This 318427-nucleotide long non-coding RNA is filed under the name Lactuca sativa (garden lettuce). RNAcentral describes it as "long non-coding RNA (LSAT_LNC006831)". The stretch from base 199283 to 199389 matches the Rfam family "Plant small nucleolar RNA R71". Lineage: Eukaryota; Viridiplantae; Streptophyta; Magnoliopsida; Asterales; Asteraceae. The record is from RNAcentral.
UUGUGGCUCUGUUUCCGAUAUUUAUCCAGGUAGAUUAGGUUUGAUAUUAGACGAACUACUUGGGUUUAAUCGGAGGCUAGAAAAGACUUUCAGUAAUUUCGAUGCCUUCCUUCAAAUGGUUCUUGAUGAGCAUAUUGAUCAUACUGGAACAAGUGACCAUGAAAAAGAUAUGGUUGAUGCAUGCAGAUCUCAGUUGACUACAAACGAGAUGAAAGCCCUUUUGAUGGUAAAAACUUUUACUUUCCAUAUUUAGAGUUAUAUACUGUUUUUGGGUUUCAUGCAUUAAUUAAUAUUGUUUCUUAAAAAAGCAUAUAAAUGUAAGCUAACUCUUAUGAUCUUAAACUUAUAAUCAGAAUGUGCUAAAUGGAGCAAUUGAUACAACCACUACGACAAUGGUGUGGACAAUGUCUGAGAUUAUUAAAAAUCCUAGAGUUAUGAAAAAGCUACAGGAAGAAAUUCGAAGAUGCGUUGGAAGAAAAUCAAGCGUUGAGGAAGCGGAUGUCGCAAAUAUGCCAUACUUAAAGUUGGUUGUGAAGGAGGCGUUAAGAUUGCAUUCGACUGUUCCAUUCUUGCUUACAAGAGAAUGCGUAAAGCAUUGUCAGAUUGGUGGGUACGACAUCUUCCCAGGGACAAGAGUGUUGAUAAAUGCAUGGGGGAUAGGAAGGGAUCCAAAAGUCUGGACAGAGAGUGCAUCCAUCUUCAAUCCUGAGCGCUUAGAAAACCUUGAGUUGGAUCGUAGUGAGAUGAUUCCAUUUGGAGGGGGCAGAAGAGCUUGUCCAGCGGCAAGCGUUGCUACUCAGAUUGUGGAAUAUACGAUUGCAAACCUUUUUUACUCUUUUGAUUGGCAACUUCCAAGUGGAAUGAAGAACGAGGAACUUGACAUGGAAGAGGUUGGCUCCCUGAUCGUUGUUAGGAAAACGCCUCUUACCCUUGUGCCCGUGAAGUACGAUUGGCAAGACUAGUAAUCGUCGGUUUUCAAUGUUAAGAAGAUUUUGAAACUAAAAAAAAGAAGAUUUUGAAAGUAAUAUGCAUGUAAUAAUUUUAUUUGGAUAUACCUCAAUAAGUUCAUUGAAUAUGGGGUUGUGGAUUAGCUGCUAGAGGCAGGUGGAUCGAGUGUGGUGGGUUACUGUAUUUCCUUUUUAUAUUCUGUUUUUAUUACUUUACGAUAAAUUGCAUUGAUAAACUAAUUUGAAAUCAUUAGAACCUUGGUAUUAUUUAUUAAUGUUUUUGAGUUUGAAAUUUUUUUUAUAUUUAUAUGGUUGUAAUUUAUAUAUCAAUUAUUUAUUUAUUCAAAUGUUAUUGUAUUUUAAUUAUUAAAUAUUAUAACACAAAUAAUAUUAUUAAAUAAACAUUAUGAUUAUAUAAACAAUGAUCUAGAAAUGAAUAAAGUCAAAGUUAAAGCAUCAAUCUGUACCACUGAAACUUAAUAUAUCUAUUGUUAAUGAAUAGUAAAAAAAAUCAUAUUUAUUGAUAUACUAUUUAUCAACACUUUAGUGUGAUGUCGAAGCAAUUUAGUAGUGUAACUAUAUAUGUUUUUUUUUUCAUUCUUUUNAAAGUUAAAACAUCAAUUUGUACCACUGAAGCUUAAAAUAUUUAUUGUUAAUGAAUAGUAAAAAAAUCAUAUUUAUUGAUAUACUAUUUAUCAACACUUUAGUGUGAUGUCGAAGCAAUUUAGUAGUGUAACUAUAUAUGUUUUUUUUUUCAUUCUUUUCUCAAUGGCUCAUUCAAUUUUGAUUUUUUUAAAUCCAUUUAUCACCCUAUAAAUAUCAAACCAACCUAACUUAAUUUUUACACAUUUUUCUACAUAUUCUCUUAAUAAAACAAAAAAACCAAAAUGUCAUCUUCGUCCUCCGAUUCGACGGCUCAAGAAGAUGCAUUAUUUGUCGGUUCCAUCAUGACAAAAACUGUGGUGUAUUUCCAAAACCGUCAAGGUCAAAGUUCAUGUUCAUCACCUAAAACAAGAAAGCCACAGUUGUGGACAAAUCUUGAAGACAUUUACAAUAGUCUUAUAGAAGACUAUUUUGCAGAUGACGUUGUGUAUGCUGAAAAGUUUCGACGACAAUUACGGAUGAGGAAGGAGUUAUUUUUACGUAUUGUUGGCGAUUUGUAAGGCCGUUUUCCAUAUUUCCAAUGGAAUCGAGGUGCGAGACACAUAAAAGGUUUCUCUUUAAUUCAAAAAUGCACAACUACAAUUCGUUAGUUAGCAUACGACAAUGGCGUUGACAAAUGAGACGAGUAUUUGAGGAUGUAUGAGCGUACCAAACAGGAAAGUAUGUAAAAUUUCGCGAAAGCUAUUACUUUGGUUUAUGAACGGCGAUAUUUGUGCAAACCCACCAUCUACAAUGUCUACCAAUUGUACACGGUGCAUGAAAGUAAUUAUGGGUUCCCAAGAAUGGUAGGUAGUAUUGAUUGCAUGCAUUGGGAUUGGGCAUUGUGCCCCAACGCAUGGCAUGGUUAGUACAUGACAGGCGACCAUAGAGAACCAACGAUUGUUCUAGAAGCAAUCGGAUCACAUGAUCUUUGGAUAUGGCAUGCAUUCUUUCGUCUAGCCGGUGCAAAAAACGACAUCAAUAUUCUAAACUAGUUGUCAUUAUUCAACGACAUCUACCUUGGAAGGUCGCACGAUGUACCUUUUAAAGCAAAUGGGGUAGCAUAUAAGCGCGAGUACUAUCUUACUAACGAGAUAUAUCCUAUCUUAUCCGUUUUUAUGAAACUGUUCACAUGUCCGAACGAAGAAAAAAGAAAAAAGUUUAAACAUGCACAAGAGUCAGCUAGGAAGGAUAUGGAGCGAACAUUUGGUGUACUCAAGAGGCGUUGUCAAGUACUAACAGUCGGGGCAUGGUCAUAUGAAGUGAUAAGCUUGCAACACAUAAUGUAUGUGUGCAUUAGAUUAAAUAAUAUGAUUCUUGAAGAUAAAGGAAGAGUAAUAUGGCGAUACAACGAAAACAAAGUUUUGGCAAAUAUUGAAGGUGUAGCCGUUGGUACGCAAAAGUAUAGGACAAACAGAAGAGAAGUACAUGAUCACGACAUUUAUCACGCCAUUCGUCACUACUAGAAAAACAACCUUUUACGACGUGCAAUGCGUGUCGUAAAACGAUCAGACGACGCUCAAAUGCGUGUCAAGGAAGGCCCUAUCAUAACGAGAGACGACACGCGCGUCGUCCAUUUACAACACGCAAUUACGAAACACAUUUUCGACGCACGUUCACGAUACACAAUGCGUGUCAAGGAAGGCCCCGUCAUAAAGGAAGAUGACACACAUUUGUGUGUCGUAACCUUACGACGCGCGUUUAGGACACGCAUUGCGUAUCAUUAAAGCCCCUAUCAUAAAGAAACACGACACACGUUUUUAUGUGUCAUAAAGUUAAAUGUUUUAAAGUUAUAUAUUUUAACAGAUUUAGUAAUUUUCAAAUUAAAUAACACAUUAAAAAUCUCAUAAUACAAAAUAAAAUACCAUAAGUAACAAAGAUAAUUCAUUUCACUAAUAUGUCAAAUACAAAUAAUUAUUCCAAUAGUGAGUAAAUGUAAUAAAAAAAUGAACUCAAGAGAAGCGAAAUUUAUAUACAGUUGCAUUAUCUAGCUUAUUAUGUGCCAACAACUCUGUGUGUGUUUGCUUUUGCUUGAGUCUCCUUUCCUCCAUAGCUUCUAGCCAUGCCAAAGUAUGAUAUCUUAAGGUUCAUGUCCAAAUCAAGUAAAACAUUGCUAGCUUAAAUUCAUCAAGUCCUUGGCGUGAAGUCUUAGAUAGACGCUUAACUGCAAUCUCCAAUCCUUCUAGCAGACCCUAGAGAUCAUUAUUGGCCAUGUAGCAGGAUCAACCUCAGACAUAGAUAGUGUUUUGUUCACCGUUGUCUAAGGAAUUACCUCAGUUCCUGAAAUAAUAAUCUGGACAAUUUGAUCAAAUAAGCUUGUUUUUUCUUUUUCAAAAUAUUUCCAAUGGAGAAGGCAUUUGUAUAGGGUAAAUAGUGAAACAGGUUUGCCUUAACCUGCUAUUUAUACCAGCAUCUAGAUGACUCCACUGUCAAAAAACCAAUCUGCCCUUUACAGAUUUAGUGACUUUUUACUAAACAAAAUACUACAGAUCAACAAAGUAAAUAGAAAUUUAAAAAAAAUGGUAUUUGAGAUGCUAUUUGGAGUUCAAACAACCAUAAAGAUUACCUAUUAAGGAGUAACCAAAGGGGAAGCAAUAUAAAUCUUCAAAAUUGUUUGGCUUUACAACCUUCAUAAAGAACAUGGACAACAAAAAGUUAGAUACUAGAUACUAUUUGGAAUUGAAAUAUAAAUAUUUAUACAAAUGAUUACGAGGGGUAAACAUGUAAAAAUACCUCUCUCUCUAACUCAGAGAGUUAUUUCUUUAGCUUUUUAAGAGUGUCAGCACGAAUAUAUGAUUUCAAAUAAAUAUAAAAAACUGGCCAUUUUAAGUUUAUGUGGUUUUGGUUUAUUGACAAUUAAGAAAAUAUAAAAAGAGAGGGGCAUUAUAGUAAACUUACCUAUGGAAUUGAUAAGUGAGGAUACGAUGACCACUACACAUGCUUUACACAGUUACCAAUAGAAAGUGUAACCAGAGGUACCCUUUGCAGUAUCAUGUAAACAACCUGGGUAAAAAAAUUUAUCAAAUCAAAUUCACAAAAUUGGAUGAAAACAUUAAAGAAUGAAAGGGGAAUCCACCAAAGACGGUUAGUACUUUAUAAGUUAGGGAUUUGAAGGAUUUGAACUUUUUGAUAGUGGAGAGAUUCCAUGGAUCCACGUUUCUCAUCCAAUUUUGUGAACUUCCUGGAAAUAAACCAAUUGCCAACAUAGAAAGAAAUAAAUACAAUUUCCUAGAAAAUAAGAAAAGUACACAUAUAUUUUGUUCAUUCAAAGAAUCAAAUAGCUUUUUUAAAUUUAAAAAUAAAAUUAAAACAUUGUGAAGCAAUUCAAGAAAUGCACUUCUAGGGCCCGUUUUAUAUGGGACAAAAGAGUCCAAUUUUUAUUAUCACACUGCCAUUCAUUAGUCCAAGUCCAGAAUCCUACUCCAGUGUAUGUCAGGCACAGUACAAGGACGUGUAAACUGUAAUGUCAAAUUAAACAAACAGUUAGGGGCAAAGAUUGAGCUUCCAACUUCAGUAGUCAGAUUUGAGUGUAGCUGAAUAAUAUGAGUCAACCUUUUGUUCUCUAUUAGCUCAACUUGAUCCAUUUCAUCACUCUACUUAUAGCAUUCAUCAUGACAAAGACCGACUUUCCGUUUCUUAAAAACAACAACUAGAACUUGAAUGGACCCUGAAAACUGGCUCUUACCAACUUCAACUUUCAAAUAAAGAGGCUAUUACCAACUUCAACUUUCAAAUGGACCCUAAAAACAACUAGCAUACUUUUCUUAGUUUCUUUACCAUAGGCAUAACAUCCUACUUUAUUUUCUUCCUAUUAAGACAUUAUUAUACAUUCCAAAUGUAAACUUCUUUGAUUUUGGUUACCAAUUAUAGCACUAUACUUUCGGUUUUGUUCUUAUUAAGGCAUUGUACUUGGUAGUAGAGCACUGUUCUUUGUAUUAAGACAUUGUACUUUGACAGUCUAACAUAUUAAAACCUCGUACUAUGAUAUACAUUUCUUGUACUAUAUAUACAUGGAAGAUACCAUUUUAAACAAUUCAAAUAACACACAGAUAUCAACAGACUAGCAACAAAAAUCAUUGUUUUGCUCCAUAAAACGAUUAAAGAGCUACAAAAGAGUACACCAGGGGAUAACUUGCACAAAAAGAACUUUCAGAUCUGUUAUUCAUAACUUUGGCCAUCAGUUUGGGUGUCCAUCCACAAAACUCCAAAACAAGUAAAGCCUUGUAUGUUGACUUGAGAAAAGUUGUUAGGUCCUCUGUGGUUGAUAAAGACUUGAGGGGGAUUUACUUAGGAAAAAGUGACAUAAAAUGAAGCAAACAGGGGGUGAUUGAUCAAAUUUUUAUCAAAAAAACAUCUUAAGAAUAAAGAACAUAGGAAAAAAAUAGUAGGGGUAUUUUCGUCCUACAAUAGUGUAAAAAUCUACUUAGAAAACACAAAAUGAAGCAAACAUGGGUUGAUUGAUCAAUCAUAACUGACCUUAUCAUUGAUGGUGUGCAGCUGAAGUUUUUUAUCCCAUUUGGAAUUAUCUUCACUUUCCUUACGAUCCCAUAUACAAGACCAAAAUGAAAACAAAAAUUCCUAGCCUGUUGAUAGGCAUAACUCAAAGGUACUCGUCACCCUAAUACAAUAAAUUAUCUUCCAAGUUUUCAUGACUUUAGGAAUUUUAUGAGAUCGAAUGUAAAAGUUCUUGAGCACUUGUGGUGGAAAUAAAUAAGAAAAAUUCAUAUUAAUUCAUAUAAAAAUGAUGAAAGCUGAAAAAUGAUGAGUUCAUAAACCUGAAUAAAAAUGAUUGACGACGUAUGGUAUUUUCAGGGCCCCACCCACCCAUUCAUCCUCUCUGAAUAAGGGCUGAACCUGAAAUCCACUUUCACUCAACCCGAAAUCGGCUCCUUUAAAGGCACCGGUGGGAGGUACAUGUUAUCCCUAGAUCCUGAACUCCCACCGGAUUUCUUCCCGGAAUUCUUGCUCUUUCGUUCGCUGAUUUUCUUCCCUGUGCCACUCCGAUAAUGCAGACAUACCUGUGAGAGUCAGUCCUCGAAAAUUUUAGUCUCGGGUGAUUCGGAGGUGAGACCACCGGUAUAGGAAGAAUCAUCGAGCGUUGCUUUCGUUUUAAAGGAGAAGGUUGGGGGCAGCAGUGCGUGGGUCUGAGUGGGGACAGAGGGAGUGGUGAUGAGAACAGAGGGUUGGAGGACACCAUUGCUGAUAGAAGUAGAGCCUCUCCUUUAGUACUUGCACCGAUCGAAUAAUCCUAAGCAUAUGUCAUUUUCAUUUUGUGAGGGUUAGCGAGUCAGUUUCCUUGAGGCUGGGGUGAGAGAACUGCAAAUGGUGAUGGUGGAUGAAGUGUUGGUCGAUAAGUUCGGUACAUCGUCGUCGUGCAGGCCUGAAGAGUCGGUGUGGGUUGGAGGUAGGGGAGGUGGGUGAGGGGUGGAGACGAAGGAGAGGAGAUAUUAGAGAACAGAUCGUAACGAAUGUAGAAGAAGAAAGCAGGGUUUAAAUUUUUUGGGGAUUUCAUUUUCCCUCUAAGAGGAGAGACGUGUGUUUCUUAAAAAAUUAUAAAAUGACAUUCAUAGAUGACACACAUUUUAGAUAAAGUGCCCUCUGUAUUUUUAAUUUUUUUUUACAUGAGACACUAAUUUAAGGGCACACAAUAAUGUAUGACCUAAAUCCUUAAAUUUUUUUGAAGAAAUGACACCUUUUUAAUGUCACUCUCUUUUGCGUCACAUAAAUCAAUGAGUGUCGUGGUUUGCACGUAGUAAAAAGGUCUUUUUCAUGUAGUGCGUGCGGAUUUGGUGGAGCACGUUUUUAGGGCUCACAUACAGCCCCAUACAGAAUAUUAACACGAUGAUUUGUUUAACGAAUCGGAUGAAGAUUCAGAUAUGUUUGUCGAGGACUCGAACGAGAAUUCAGAUGACAAUGACGAGGAUCACGAUACGGGGAUCACGAUGAGGAGGGCGACAAUUCCAAGUGACGUAUUUUAUUUAUUUAUUUAUUUAUUAAAUCUUCACUGUUUUUUAUUUAUCCUUUUUCAAGUAAUGAAAUAUUUUAAUUUUAAUUAAUUUUUGUGUUUAUUAAUAUUUUUAAGAAAUUAUAUUUAUUUUUUGAUUUAUAAAUCUUAAUAAUCAAUUAGGUUUAUUUAAAAAAAUUAAAAGUAAAAGAUAGUGAAAUGUGAAAAUUUCAUACCUUUCGGCGAGUGAAAAAGAAGGAUAGAAAAACUGACCUCACAUUCACAAAGUAAAAUGAAAGAUGGUAUAUCCUCUAAUGUAAUGCUUAUAUUUUUUGCAGUGUAAAAAUAAGAUAGAUAAAGACAUGCACGCACAUACACACACUACAAGAAAACAGGCAAUUAGCGGCGACAAAAGUCGCCGGUAGAGGGUCCAAAUGUCAGCGGUAAUGGUAAUAGCGACGAAGACGUGUCGCUGGUAAUAAGUCGUUGUCACACCCCAAAACCAGGAAUGGCGGAAACGUUCCGGGGUGGAGGACAUCAUGUGAAGUAUCAUAACAGUGUAAAGUAUUAAACAAGCAACAACAUCAUCCAUUGCAUUAAAAGUAAAGUUCUAAUACAUGUGUGUUCCUUCAUGAUGUACAACAAUAAAAUGAAUAAUCGAAAUAAGAUGAGUCUUGUAUGUGCUCCGUCUUCUCAAAACCUGACCAUCGUACCUGUCUAACUGAUGACCUGAGAAUACAAGUUAUUUUGAAAGCGAGUAUCAGCCUAAAGCUGGUGAAUUCAUAAGUAUUUAAGUGUUAUUGUCUGGUUUUGGAAUGCUGUUAUGAAUGUCAUGUAAAUCUUUAAAUGGAACAGUUGAUAUAAGUAUGAAAUGUAGUCUUCUACCAAGACUCGAAUGUUUUUGUAAGUAAAAUGAUAGUUUUUCCUUCUUUUUGACUAUUACAAACAGUAAUUAGUCUAACUCAUCGUUUAUGUGAAUGUAUCACAAAAUCAAGUAAAAUAGGAAAAAGAUAUGAUAGUCUUCUACCAAGACCUGAAUGUUUUGCUAUGAAAAUGAUGGUUUUUCCUUCUUUUUGACUAUUAAAACAGUACUUAGUCUAACUCAUCGUUUAUGUGAAUGUAUCACAAAAUAAAGUAAAAUAGGAAAAAGAUAUGAUAGUCUUCUACCAAGACUUGAAUGUUCUGUUAUAAAAGUGAUAGUUUUUCCUUCUUCUUGACUAUCAUAAACAGUAAUUAGUCUAACUCAUCGUUUAUGUGAAUGUAUCACAAAAUAAAGUAAAUAAGAAAAAGUACUAAUGUAAGUGUUAUCCCGAGGUACUAGGGCUAACACGCCAUCGCGUAAGCGAAAUGUAUAACCUAUCACAAAAUGAAGUAAAUAGGAAAAAGUACUAAUGUAAGUGUUAUCCCGAGGUACUAGGGCUAACACGCCAUCGCGUAAGCGAAAUGUAUAACCUAUCACAAAAUGAAGUAAAUAGGAAAAAGUACUAAUGUAAGUGUUAUCCCGAGGUACUAGGGCUAACACGACAUAUGUAAAUGUUAUCCCGAGGUACUAGGGCUAACAUGACAUAUAUACCCUAAUGAACAUCCGAAGAUUGUCCAAUUGUCCUCUAUAGCAGCAGCAGGGUGGAGGAAGGGUUAGUCCCGUAACUGACUCCUAAUAUAAGUAAUAACCUUAGGCAUCCGUAAAUGUUCACGACCACUGGUGCUAAUCAGCUGGGAUUCGGAAUGGUUAGUCCCGUCUAGAUAUCCCAAGGGACUAGGGAUGGGCAGGACAAUUUAUACAGAAGGUACUAAUAUAUCAUCCUCGCAAAUCGAGAUACAAGUAUUCAUGUAAGUAUACACAGGAAAAAUGUAUCUACGUAAAGGUACUCAUGUAAUGUAUUCAUGUAUCAUGUAAGCAUAUGUAAACGUACUCAUGUAUCAUGUAAGCAUAUGUAAAUGUACUCAUGUAUCAGGUAAUGUACUGGUAUAGACUCAUGAAUGAACUGACUCUUGUGUGAUUCCUUGUAAUAGGAAUAAUGUUUUGUUUCUUCUAACUAUCCCUAUAAUAAUUAACUGGAAAGUAAUUGGUUGUUCAAGUAGAUUUAUGCACCCUCGUUACACCAGGGUGUGGGAAACUGAACGAAGGAUGAAAACUAUAACAUCAAUACAUAUAUAAGAACAUAUGCGUAUAAGUGUAGUUUUGCUCAAGAAGGUAAAAAUAAUGGUUUUGCAAGAUAUCUAAGAGUUUUGAACAAUAAUUAAGAGUGACUUGAUGUCAUUUUAAUAAACAUUUCAAAACUAAUACUUUUGUUAUCAAGGUAUUUUAAGAUAGAAAACCAUUUCAUGUAUCACAUUUUGAAGUAUGUGAAAUCUACUGGAUGAAAACACAGUUAUAAAAUACAUAAGAGUGAUUUAAUAACAUACUGUUUUCUACUUGUAUUCCCCCCAUUAAAGCAUUUAAAAUCAUUUAAAACAUUGAUUAAGGGGUAUGAACUCACCUGUUGUGAGUGGUUCUAGCGGGUACGUGUGUAGGGAUGAGAAGUUCCACGAAUGAAGUCCCGAGACACAAUAAGUCCUAAAUGACAUAUAAGGACACAUAUUGACAUGAAUAUAGUGUUUAUAACAUCUAUAUGAAAGGAAACACCUUCCGGGACUAGGUAACACCUUGACCAAGUGUUGGAAUCACAUGUGAUUCAACAUAAGAAGGUAUAAAGGCACUCACAUGAGUUUACUACCAUGAGUUCAUGGCCCAAGGGAGUUUACGGCCGUAAACUCAUGGUUACUCAUGUGGGAAUGCAAGUUUGAAGGCUAGGGAAUGAUUUAGGGACAUUAGCUCUAACCUAGGAUGAAGAAAACCCACUUUCUUUGAAGUUCUAAGGAGUUCACGGCCCAAUUGAGUUUACUACCAUAAACUCAUGGUCAUUUAUGUUUAUGAGGGUCCUAAAGGUCAUAAGGAAGCAUUCUAAUUUCAAGCCUAAGCCUUUGGAAGUGUUUGUGGCAUCAAAACAUCCCUAACUUGAGUUUACGGCCCAUGGACCAUUUGGUCAUGUGUUUGCGGCUGUAAACACUCAUGGGUGUUGAUAUUUUCAUUGUUUUGGGUCCUAGACACAUCAAGGUAAAGUGUUAUGUUUGUCUCUUGGCUUAAUGAAGGUAUUUAGGGCACUUUGGCACCCUAAUAUGGAGUUCACGGCCCAAGAACUUCCUUGGGCGUGAACACCAUUUCCUUGGUGUUUUGAGGUUGCUUUCUAUCCCUAAACUCAUUAGUGUACAAGUCCAAACUAGUGUCAUAGCUUAAGGAAGGACUAGGCAGCAUUUGGCCCUUAAAAAGGAGUUUACUCCCCAAGGUGUUCUUGGGCGGUAAACUCUCAAAUCUUGUUGUUUUGUUAUGAUUUUGUGGUCUAAACAUGUAAUGGUAGCUUCUAAGUCCAUUUCCAAGGCUAUGAGGGACAUUGGGCAAACUUUGGCCCUUAUAAAGGAGUUUACUCUCCAAGUGUUCUUGGGCGGUAAACUCCCAAAUCUUGGGAUUUUGAUCCGAUUUUGAUGUUAUAAGCACAAUCUAAGCUAUAUAAAACAACUAGAGAGGGGUACUCACGAUUUGGGAUAAAAACCCGAAGAUCCGUGAGAGAGAGAAAAUGGCUUUUCUCUAGUUGGAAAUGUAACUAAUGAAUGAAUAUGGCUCAGAUUUCUAUAUAUAGUCCUGAUAUUUUUGGCAGAAAAUAUUUUAUUCCCGGAAUGAACUCUAAUAUCAUAGAGUAUUGGAAUAACAGUGUUGCACAAAACCCUAGUGCAUCCACUCUCCUGAUAUCUCCUUAAGUGUUAAACCUGAAAUACUCAAACUUAUACCCAAAGUCUGGAAUUUCUCUGUAACUGUUCUAACUUCUAUUGGCUUGAUAUGGUUUGUUCAGAAUGGAAAUUUCGGGUUGUCAUAGUCGUCACUACUGCUUUGUCGUUAUUGAUCAGAUUGUCGCCAUUAAAGAGAAAUGUCGCAGCUAAUGCUCCUGUCGCCGGUAAUACUUCGUGUCGCCGCCAAUGCUCUGCUGCCGAUAAUAACAUUUUCCAUUUUUUAAUUUUUUUUAAUCAACAAUUUUGGGUAUAAAAAACCAAUACAUAACAACGUUAAAAAAAAGAAAAAUUACAUAACAACAUCCGAUUAAAUCUUGGUUUUGCCGGAGGGGGCUGCUUGUGAAUCGACGAAGAAGAUGAAAGAAAAAAUGUAGCUGCAGCGAGAUGGAAGCGAACAAAAGAGAAAAGGAAAAUGGUGUCGAUGUUUUUUGGUUAACUACAUCAAACUUUAGCGGCGACAGCUUUACCGGCAACAACUUUAGUUUUAGCCGCGACUUCUAUCAAUAGCGGCGACACUAACGAGGGUAUUAUUGUCGCGUCAUUUAUUCGAGAAUUAACGGUGACUCAGUUAGGUCUUUAGCGGCGACUUUUGUCGCCGAUAUUUCUUUUGUGCGUUCCGCGUGUACCCUAGCCGUUGGAUAAACAUGAUCGAACAGUCUUAAUUUACCAGAACGUAAAAAUACGGAUCCAUGUCGUGGGCCAUUAGCGGCGACACAAAUAGUGACGACGUCCACAUUUAGCGACGACAAUUUGAUAUGUUGCCAUUAAAUGUAGGUGUCGCCGCUAAUGAUUGUAUUUCUUGUAGUAAAAAAAAUAAAAACAUUGCUCACCAAAAAAUGUUCACUAGAUAUGCAUAAGCGAAUUGUUUAAAAUCGGAAAAAAAAUCCUAACAUAUUUGAGCUUUUACUAUCGUUAAGCUACAUAAUUUUAUUCGUGCUACUUAUUAACGCAUUUUAAUUUCAUCAUUUUCAAGAUUGGUACCUACAAUUUAUCCAACAAACAAUUGAGUUUGUGGUGCCAAGCAAUUACUAUAAAUUUGUAACCAUUGGAAAAUUAAAUAAAUCAUCAACUAUGUGGUACGAACAGGGGCGGCUUAAUCAAUUUAGGGGCCCUAAGCGAACGAAAAUUUUGGGACCCUUUUUACUCACAUUUUACUGCAUUAAAAGUUAUCCUAGUUGUAACUUUGUAACCUCAUUGACUUCUCAACGAGGACCUAAACACAAUCAAUAUAUUUAGUGUAGAGAUUAUUAAGCUUAAACUAAAAUUUAGCAUCUUCCAAUUUAUAACACCAGAUUAAAUAAUUAUGUACAUUAACUUAUGUUCAUUUUUUAGAAUACGUAAUUCAAGUUAGUUAAAUUUUAAUUAGAAUAUUGGAUACAACUAAUGUGCCUAGGUAAUAACAGAUGUAAUCUUUGUUCUCAAGAAUGUUUUCAAAUUCACUUCAUUACAUGUCAACUGAAACAUAAUAUUUCACAAAUUUAAAAUGCAUUAUGUUUUCACAAAAGAAUGAUGUUUGUGAUUCAAUUACCAUACCCUUAACUUAACUGGACAUGUUGGUGUUGUGAGCUCCAACCAAAAUGAAACCUGAGAUAUAAAAUUGAAUGUUGAGUGAGGUUAAAAGAAACUUUAUGUAUAGUCUCUAUGGAACUCAUUACAUUCUAUUCUAAAACACCUCUCCUAAAGCAUAAUCGACAUGUAAGUCCUUCACAAAUCCACAUGAGAAUGUCAGUCCCAAAGUUUGCAUCAAUAAUAUGAGAUAAGGCUUUUAACACAUCAGUUUACAGCUUCUAUUGUCAAUAAUGAUGAAGCAUAAGCUACAAACAACACAGUAAGAUAUGCAUAUUAGAAUCUGAUCGUAAGCUAUAUAGUUGUCAAUAAUCAAAUCUCUACUAUUUACUGAAAAAUCAAAGGUUUGAUGCUGAACUUGAAACUUAUUAGUGCCAUUUAGUGGUUUGGCUAACACAACACGUAGUAAGUAAUGAAUAAGCCUUUAACCCGAACCUUAUUUGAACAAAUUUAACUCUUAAUUUAACUUUUAAUAAAAGGAAAAGCUAGUUUAACCCUCUGAAAUCACUUUGUUUCAACAUUUAUCCACUUGAUUACCUUAAAGGAAAGUUAAAUUAAUUUUCACAAGCAAAUUCCAAGCACAAAAAUGAGUAAAAAUCGCACUCACCUUCAAGAUGUCACAUUGUUGUACAAUUCCUCAGGAGCGAAGAGACUCAUUAAUGGCAAUUGGCAGAUUGCAGAAUACGUCUCUCUAUAAAAUUUCCACAUAAAAUUAGAGUUUCUCCACUUCAAAUAUCCAACAUAAGCUUAAUAGACUAAUCGUGAAAGAAGAAUAAAAAUGGAGAAUAAGAGAAAGAAGAACAUACCGUUUUAGACUUUCAGUUCUUGUCUUCUUCACAGCUGAGAGUUUUCAGUUUUUACUUUUAAUUUUUGAACAAUCAACAAUGGAGAAUCGGGGGAAGAAGAAUAGAAUUGAGAAUCAAAUAAUCAAGACUCGAUCAAUAUUCAAUCGAUUGCUGAGAAUCAAUAAUCAAAGAAUCGAAGGAAGAUGAACAAUCGCUCACUUGUUGAUGAUUUUGUGGCGUGUGCGAAUUGAGAAGGAAGACUAAUCGAGAUUUGCUUAGGGUUAAAUGGGGCCCUUUAGAACUCAGGGCCCUAAGCAAGGGCUUAGUUAACAUAAAGGUAAGGCCGGCCCUGGGUACGAAGCAAUAUAAUUUAUAUUAAUUUACAAAUUCAUAGUAAAUAUAUUCACAUAUUCAACAUUGUAAGGGAAGGAGAUGGCGGCUGGCACGUCAUAAACAUUUUUUUAUUUUAAAAUGAGCUGAUGGAUUGUCAUCUUAGGCUCCAUUAUAAAUGAAGGUGCAUGGAUUCCAUUAACUUCCAAACAAACACAACAAAGAGAAAAACCCAUUGAUAUGGAUAUUUUCGCUUUCUUCCCUUCAUCCCUUUAUUCAUCAAUAUCAAUUCUCUUAUUUUCUUCGAUCUUCAUAUAUGCCCUGCGAUGGAUGAAAACAUCCAAGGCUGCCCCUAACCUUCCCCCUAGCCCUCCUAAGCUUCCGAUAAUAGGAAACUUGCAUCAAGUGAUAGGUAAAAACUUCCAUCAGAUCCUAUGGAAAGUCUCCCGAAAAUACGGCCCAAUUAUGACUGUCCAUUUAGGUGCCACACCAUACGUCAUCAUCUCCUCAAGUGAAUUUGCAAACCAGGCCUUAAAAACUCACGAUCAAAUACUUUGUAACCGUCCACGUUCCAAGGGUUUCAAACGUCUAACUUUCGACUACAUGGACGUCGCUUUCUCCCCUCAUGCUGAUCAAUGGAAGGAGAUGCGAAAGGUUUUGGUAACCGAGUUCUUAGGUUCUAAGAGGAGUAGAUUGUUCAAAAAAGUGGUAGACACUGAGGUCAAGGGCAUGCUUGAUUCUUUCUCAUCACUAAAUACUACCAUUGACCUAGACGAGAGGCUCUUUCAUCUUGUAACCGACAUUGUUAGCAAGGUUGCAGUGGGUAAGAGCUACAGAGAAGAGACGUUUAGAGGUAAAAAAUUAAAAGAGAUGCUUGAUGAUCUGGUCAUCUCUCUUUGUGGCUCUGUUUCCGAUAUUUAUCCAGGUAGAUUAGGUUUGAUAUUAGACGAACUACUUGGGUUUAAUCGGAGGCUAGAAAAGACUUUCAGUAAUUUCGAUGCCUUCCUUCAAAUGGUUCUUGAUGAGCAUAUUGAUCAUACUGGAACAAGUGACCAUGAAAAAGAUAUGGUUGAUGCAUGCAGAUCUCAGUUGACUACAAACGAGAUGAAAGCCCUUUUGAUGGUAAAAACUUUUACUUUCCAUAUUUAGAGUUAUAUACUGUUUUUGGGUUUCAUGCAUUAAUUAAUAUUGUUUCUUAAAAAAGCAUAUAAAUGUAAGCUAACUCUUAUGAUCUUAAACUUAUAAUCAGAAUGUGCUAAAUGGAGCAAUUGAUACAACCACUACGACAAUGGUGUGGACAAUGUCUGAGAUUAUUAAAAAUCCUAGAGUUAUGAAAAAGCUACAGGAAGAAAUUCGAAGAUGCGUUGGAAGAAAAUCAAGCGUUGAGGAAGCGGAUGUCGCAAAUAUGCCAUACUUAAAGUUGGUUGUGAAGGAGGCGUUAAGAUUGCAUUCGACUGUUCCAUUCUUGCUUACAAGAGAAUGCGUAAAGCAUUGUCAGAUUGGUGGGUACGACAUCUUCCCAGGGACAAGAGUGUUGAUAAAUGCAUGGGGGAUAGGAAGGGAUCCAAAAGUCUGGACAGAGAGUGCAUCCAUCUUCAAUCCUGAGCGCUUAGAAAACCUUGAGUUGGAUCGUAGUGAGAUGAUUCCAUUUGGAGGGGGCAGAAGAGCUUGUCCAGCGGCAAGCGUUGCUACUCAGAUUGUGGAAUAUACGAUUGCAAACCUUUUUUACUCUUUUGAUUGGCAACUUCCAAGUGGAAUGAAGAACGAGGAACUUGACAUGGAAGAGGUUGGCUCCCUGAUCGUUGUUAGGAAAACGCCUCUUACCCUUGUGCCCGUGAAGUACGAUUGGCAAGACUAGUAAUCGUCGGUUUUCAAUGUUAAGAAGAUUUUGAAACUAAAAAAAAGAAGAUUUUGAAAGUAAUAUGCAUGUAAUAAUUUUAUUUGGAUAUACCUCAAUAAGUUCAUUGAAUAUGGGGUUGUGGAUUAGCUGCUAGAGGCAGGUGGAUCGAGUGUGGUGGGUUACUGUAUUUCCUUUUUAUAUUCUGUUUUUAUUACUUUACGAUAAAUUGCAUUGAUAAACUAAUUUGAAAUCAUUAGAACCUUGGUAUUAUUUAUUAAUGUUUUUGAGUUUGAAAUUUUUUUUAUAUUUAUAUGGUUGUAAUUUAUAUAUCAAUUAUUUAUUUAUUCAAAUGUUAUUGUAUUUUAAUUAUUAAAUAUUAUAACACAAAUAAUAUUAUUAAAUAAACAUUAUGAUUAUAUAAACAAUGAUCUAGAAAUGAAUAAAGUCAAAGUUAAAGCAUCAAUCUGUACCACUGAAACUUAAUAUAUCUAUUGUUAAUGAAUAGUAAAAAAAAUCAUAUUUAUUGAUAUACUAUUUAUCAACACUUUAGUGUGAUGUCGAAGCAAUUUAGUAGUGUAACUAUAUAUGUUUUUUUUUUCAUUCUUUUCUCAAUGGCUCAUUCAAUUUUGAUUUUUUUAAAUCCAUUUAUCACCCUAUAAAUAUCAAACCAACCUAACUUAAUUUUUACACAUUUUUCUACAUAUUCUCUUAAUAAAACAAAAAAACCAAAAUGUCAUCUUCGUCCUCCGAUUCGACGGCUCAAGAAGAUGCAUUAUUUGUCGGUUCCAUCAUGACAAAAACUGUGGUGUAUUUCCAAAACCGUCAAGGUCAAAGUUCAUGUUCAUCACCUAAAACAAGAAAGCCACAGUUGUGGACAAAUCUUGAAGACAUUUACAAUAGUCUUAUAGAAGACUAUUUUGCAGAUGACGUUGUGUAUGCUGAAAAGUUUCGACGACAAUUACGGAUGAGGAAGGAGUUAUUUUUACGUAUUGUUGGCGAUUUGUAAGGCCGUUUUCCAUAUUUCCAAUGGAAUCGAGGUGCGAGACACAUAAAAGGUUUCUCUUUAAUUCAAAAAUGCACAACUACAAUUCGUUAGUUAGCAUACGACAAUGGCGUUGACAAAUGAGACGAGUAUUUGAGGAUGUAUGAGCGUANCAUACUAUGUAAUUUUGUAUCAUAUUUGCAUUGUAAUCACCCAAAGUGCUUAAAAUCAACCUCAUAACUUGAUUGCUUCCAAAAUCUUUGGAUUUUCAUCAUUAUCUUCCUUCAAAUGACGUCUUUCUAUCGGAGACCCCCUGGUGGGCUUCAUAUACUAUCGUUACAAAUCAAAUGGUGUAGGAAGAAUAUAACGGUGAAUAUCUAAAAAUCUUGGAAGUAAAUCAAGUUAAGGAUUGAAGUUUAAGAACCUUAGACGAUUGCAAGGGAAAUAUAAUGCAAAACAAUGUAGUAUGAUGUGGUUAGGUACCUAAGCUUAUGUAAGGUUGUUAGGUAUAUUCACUUUACNAGUAAGCCAAUUGUUUAUCUUUUGAGCUAAUUUGAGUUUGAAUCAACUUUAUGUCCUAAAAAUCACUUAGGUAAUAAUAUAGAUAUAUAUAUAUAUAUAUAUAUAUAUAUAUAUAUAUAUAUAUAUAUAUAUAUAUAUACAUACACACACCAAAAUUAAGAAGAAAAUUCCAUAACUCACGCAUUGAUCUUUAUGAGCCAUUAAAUAUCAUCAAGUUCUUGGUUUUUUCUUUCUCAUUUUCCAAAUAAUUUGUGGCCUUCACUUGCUUUUGUUUUCAUCAUACCAAUGCACCUUCAAAUCACUAUUAAAUUUUUUUUUUUUAAACAGCAGAAUUUUAUUAAAAGAAAAACUAGCAAGAAGCUAGAAAAUUACAUCAAAGAAGUAGCAAGAGAGGGGUUAUGAAGCCACUCAGUCCAACGUAAGGUAACCCUACUACAUCUAUUAGAAAUCCAAAAAAAGGAUUUCUCAACCACAUCGUCAAAAAGAACCGACUUUUUGGGAAGAACUGUUCCAAAAAUAGACAUAUUACGAAAAUUCCAUAAGCACCAGACGGCGGUAAUAAUAACCGCAUCAAAAGCCUUUCUUUGACCUGUACCCAAAGCUAUCCUAUCCGACCAAUUGAUUAAGGACUGCACCGAGAUCUGUGAUGGGAGAGCUAAACCCCACCAUAUAGCAAUCCUACCCCAAAUAUCGCGUAAGUCACGGCAACCAGCAAAAAUAUGGUCAAUAGUCUCAACUGUAACCAUGCAUAUUGGGCACAUGAUAGAAGGGACUGUAACCCCUCUAAUCGAAAGUCUCUCCCUCGUAGGAAUACCAGAUAGGUGAAUCCUCCAUACUAGAAUAUUGAGCUUAAUAAGAACCCAGUUAUUCCAUCUAGUACUCCUACCCUCCAAAGGAACCAGGUCACUAUCCAACGCAAACCUAACAGACGAAACAGAAAAAGAAUCAGAACUAUCAAGAGUCCACCCCAAUCUAUCCGGGACCUGUUGAAGCUGGAAACCCUCCACCACAUCCAAAAAAGAAAGCCAUUGAGAUUCUUCAAUUCCACCUCUAGGAAUACGUCUAAGGACAUCAGUGUUCCACCCAAUCAAAAAACAAUCCCUAACAUUAGUUGACCGAUUCAUAUCCAAGGCGAAGACACGAUGGAAAGAAAUCGAAAAAGGAGUAUUGCCAACCCAUUUAUCAUGCCAAAAGGAAGUAUACGCCCCAUCACCAAUUCUUAUAGGAGCUAGGUUAUGAAAAUCAAACCCUCUAUCUUUGAGAUUAUUAACAAUCCUUGUAAUACCAUUCCAUGGACCCAUCAACUGUCUCCUAUACAUCAAAGAAGUUUUAGUAUCCCCCAAACCAUAAAUACUUUUGACCACCCUCACCCACAAUAAAUUUGGAUUGUGAAAAAACCUCCACUUCCACCGUAAUAGUAAAGCCCUGAUAAAGGCAAAAAGACUACCAAUCCCCAAACCUCCAACUUCUUUAGGGGCCAAAAGUUUAUCCCACCUAACCCAAUGCAUAUGGCGAUCAUCCAAAUCAGCACCCCAAAAAAACACUGAUCUUAAUCUCUCCAAAUCCUUUAUCACAGUAAUAGGCACCGGAUAAAUGGACAUUAAGUAGUUGGAAACUGAACCCAACACUUCUUUAACUAAGGUCAUCCAGCCCCCAAAUGAAAGACACUUGGCUUUCCAAGUCGCAAAUUUUUUCCGGAAAGCUUCAACCACAGGACCCCAGGAAUCGAUUCUAGCCAUAUUCUGGCCAACAGGAACCCCCAAGUGAGAAAAAGUAAGCAGCCUGUAGAACACCCCAUACAAUUAGCCAUAGAAGACACUUGGUUAUUCGUGACUCCCACUCCAUACAGCUUGCUUUUAAGGAUAUUGAUUUUCAGACCCGAGGCUAGAAAGAAACAUCUAAGAAUACGAACAAUAUGAAGAGCAUUUUGAUGAUCCCAAUCGGUCAAGAGGACCACAUCGUCAGCAUAUAAAAGGUGGGAAAUAUUAAUGCCACCAAUAUUGAUUCCCCGAUAAGCAUUAACUAACUUGGCCCUAGUAAGCGCCACAUGUAAACCUCCAUUACCAACACGAAAAGAAAAGGAGAAAGAGGAUCCCCUUGUCUCAGGCCUCUGAACAUAUGAAAUUCCCGGGAUGGGGAACCAUUCACCAGGACCGAGACCAUAGCAGAAGACAGCAUCUCCAAAAUCCAGUUACACCAUAUAGUACUAAAGCCCAUAAUUUGCAUGAUUUCGAGCAAAUAGUCCCAUGAAACCAAAUCAUAAGCCUUUUGAAAAUCCACUUUGAAAAUCAAAAGAGGAUUCUUAGAAGCUUUACUCCAAGCUACAAUUUCGUUGAGAAUAAACGGACCAUCCAAAAUCUGUCUGCCUUUUAUGAAAGCUGAUUGCUCCACACUCACCAGACUACCAAUAACCUCGGCUAGUCUAUUAGCAAGAAGUUUACCAAUAAUCUUGUAUUGGCAACCAAUCAAACUAAUAGGUCUAUAGUCCUUCACAACCUUUGGGUCUUUAAUUUUUGGGAUCAUAGUGAAAAAUGAAGCAUUACAUCCUUUUGGAAUGGACAAAUGUGUAUGAAAAUGAGAUACCAUGUCAAAAAUGUCAUCCUGAAAAAUAUCCCAAUACCGCUUUAGAAAACCAAAUGUGAACCCAUCAGGACCUGGAGCUUUUGAAGAACCGGAGUCCCACACUGCCUUUUUUAUUUCCUCUCGAGAAAACGGAGCAUGAAGAAAUUGACUUUGAUCAAACGAAAGAUGAGAAAAAUGGGAAUCCUGAGUUCUUGGACGAGUACCCACCUGCUUAGAAAAAAGAGUUUGAAAAUGACCACGAAAUUCCUCCUUAACUGUAUUUGGAUCAUCAAUCCAACACCCGUCCUUCAAAACACCUUUAAUAGCUCUUUGUCUUCUCUUAUUAUUUAUGACUCCAUGAAAAUAACCCGAGUUUUCAUCACCUUCAAUACCCCAUUUGAUUUUUGCCUUUUGGGCUAACUCCAAAUUUGUAAUUUGGUCUAGCUCCGUGAUCUUCCUUAGAGUAUUGACUCGAUGCUCCCGUAUAGAAGCAUUCCCCCCGUCAGCCAUAAGGGUAGAAUCAAUAGAUUCUAACAUUGUUUGGAGCUGCAUAGGAUUAGAGGCCAUUUUGACUCUUGUAGUUGAGUUCCAAAUACGAAUAUUUGCUUUAAGUAAUUGAAGCUUCUUCUUAAAUUUAACCCAAGGAUGUGAAACCCUGGUUAAAUUCUGAUCUUGGGACCACGAAUUUUUGACAACAUCAUCAAACCCUUCCAAGUUGAACCAAGAAUGGAAGAUACGGAAGGGAGUAGGCCCAUAAUCAACUUUAUGUUCCAAAAGCAAAAUAGGCCUAUGAUCCGGAGUAUACUUCUCCAAAACCAUACUUGUCAAAUGGGGGGAAGCAUCCAAAAUACCAUUAGAAGUUAAAAAUCUAUCCAACUUACUAAAUUUUGAACCCCACUUGUCACUCUGCGUAAACCGAGGACCACCCAGAGAAACAUCAAAUAAACCCGCCUGCUCAAUAAAAUUGUUGAAUCUCUUGGCUGUAUUAGAGUUAAACAUUAUACCAAAUCUUUCUGAUGCAUCCCGAACCUCAUUAAAAUCCCCCAUCAAAACACAUUCACCUUGGAAAGAAUUAAUAAGCUGGAGCAAGGAAUCCCAAAGAAUUCUCUUGGAAUCAGCCCCUUGUGGAGCAUAAACCACAAUAAACAUAACCGGUAGACCCGAAGAAGACCAUAACGCCUCUAUAGCUGUAAAAUAAUCUGUGACAUGAGAGGAUUUGAAAGAGACAAAAUUCAAAUCCCAAAUAAGAAGAAUACCACCCGAAGCUCCACGAGAAGGAGAAAAAAUGUAAGAAAAAGAAUUAUUCCCCCAAAAAGACCGAGCCAUACAAACAUCGAUAACUUCCAUCUUCGUUUCUUGAAUAGCCAACAAAUUAACCUUAUGUUUACAACACAACUUCCGAACCCAAGACCGUUUAUUUUUACAACCCGCUCCUUGAAUAUUAAUGGAGAGACAAUUCAUCUCAACACCAUUUUAUCUCCGGUCCCUUCUACAAUUUCUUUUACACGGUCAUAACAUCCUUCCAAGUCAUAUCCCAUUGCCUUUCCCAUCUCUAUUGUUUUUUGUAUCUCACUUAAGAAAGAUCCUUUAUUAUACGAAUUAUCCAAGCCACCAGCAAAACUAUUACAUUUUGAAAAACCUGGGGGGUGAGUUAAAUUGUCUUCUGAGUCAACAAUACCCGAAAGCCUUCCAAAUGCACCCGAAAAUCCAAUUGGAGCAUCAUUACAUUUAGCAUUACAUUCUUGAUUAGAAUCAUUGAACCGUGAGUCCAUAACCGAGGCCAAAGAAGGAGCUGGUGCUGCUGUCGGUUGACAAUCUUCAUCCAAACCGGCAGCUGGAACUGUAAUAGUGGCCUCCCGGCUCUGUUUUGCAUCAUGAGCAUCCCUCAAAUUCUGAAAUCGAGCAUUACCGUUUUUGUUUUCAACGUUUUGGUGCUGAUCAAUAAAUCUGCCAUUAGAAAAAAAAAAUUUUGAUCCCCUGUUUUUUCUUGAGAAUUCCGAAACUGCCCCUCAUCAGAAUUGGGAAUUUUGCUGCUUUCAUUAGCCUAUAACACUUGACAGUUAACAUUGGACUUGACUUCCUUUUCGAUAUUCCCAUCCUCCCUCAUUUUUUCAAGUGUCUCAUAAAUUCCAAAAGGAUCAAAUGACCCUUCUUCUCUUUCACUUUGUGAAUUAUCAUCCUGUUCUUCCAAUCCAUUACCAUGCUUGCUUUCACUGUCACUAGUAAUUUUAUUAAUAUCCCAUACAAAAGAUGGGGUCCAUCCAGGUGCCUCCUUUAUUCUAACCAAAAAAUGUUGGCCAUCAAUACUAACUGUCAUAGCCUCUGAGAUAAUCUCUUGGAAAGAGGAUAGAAUACAAAUUCGUUUUUUAUAUACAUCCUCUCCCAAAUCAUCAUCAAGAUGUAUAAUAGUUCCCCACUUAGACAUAAUACUUUUAAAUGCUUGUUUACUCCUGGCUCGUAGAGGUAAGCCUUCCACAUCAACCCAAAUCAAACGAUCUAAAGGCACAAAGUUUCUAUCCCAUGAUCGUUUCUCAACUAUCCAAUGAUCCAUAGCCCCGCUUUCAAGGAAAUUUUUACAUGCAUCCUUAUGUUUAAAUUCUAGCAUCACCCAUAAACCCCCAACAUAACGAAUCUCAAAAUCCUCAAAUCCUUCAUCAUAGCAUAGCAUACGAAGAUUGGUUAACGUAGGAAAAUCCCUACCCUUGGCAAGGCAUGCCUGAUCUCCUUUUUCCACAAUAUAAUCUCCAGCAGAAACUUGAACAACAUCCUCCUUAUUCUUUGAUAAAGAUUUAACCCCAACUCCUUUAACUACACUUGCAUAAGUAGAUGAAUGAGAAGUAGUCUUGUCAUUAAUUCUAACGUUUGCUUCUACUGCAUGAGAUGCAUGAGACUUGGCCUUUUUUGAAAAUCGUGGUACAGAAGCAAAAAGUUUGUGAUACCCAAACCAAAUGUCACAUACUUCUCUUAUCAUACGAUCAGAAUUAGCAACAUCUACGAACCGUAUGAAACCAAAACGUUUCCCCAAUCGAGACUUCCUAUUGGAAAUAAAGACAUCUACCACUUUUCCAAUUCGAUUACACAUUCUCCAUAAAUCACUAUUUAAUACGUAAUCUGGGAAAUUCGUGACAUAGAAAGAAGAAAUAUUCUUAUUUGCUUCAUAACUCCCAUUCCUGUUAGAUUGUUGCAUUCCCAUUUUUUUUAUUCCUGAUUCAUUAGGUCGCCAGCGAUUUGUAAAGGAUGGUCCUAUGGUAGACGUAAACGACUAAUUCAGAAGUAUAUACUAGACGUAACCCAGUGCUUCAGAAGUAUUGAAUCUCCCGCCGAUCACCUUACCGACGUUUGAGGAAAUCACUAUUAAAAUUAAAAAAUUAAAGAUUUAUGACACUAACUUGAUCAUAAUCACAUUAGCAUUAUAUUAUAAUUCCAUUUAUUAUAUUUAUAAUUCCAUUUAUUAUAUUUAUAAUUCCAUUUAUUAUAUUUUAACAUUAUAAUUCCAUUUAUUAUAUUUUAAUUUUUUAAUUUUUCAAAUCACUAUUAAAAUUAAAAAAUUAAAGAUUUAUGACACUAACUUGAUCAUAAUCACAUUAACAUUAUAUUAUAAUUCCAUUUAUUAUAUUUUAAUUACAAAAUUUGAGUUAUUUGAAUUUAAAAAUUUAUUUAGAUUUAUUUAUUUUAUAUCAUCAAUUAUUUUAGUGAGAGUUCAUAUUGACAUAUAUGAAUCCGCUGGAUUUGAAUCUAUUUCUUUUGUUAUGAGUAAUUUCACAUCUAUUUAUAUAAAUGUUACCAUUACCCCAAAUUAAAGAGUUGUUGCUAUAUCCUUGUGCCUCCCACAUACUUUAAGUUUAUUUUAAAUCAAAGACAUUAAAAGAAAUAUCUAAAAAGUUGAAAUUAAAUAGUUACAAAAAAUGAUAAAAUGAAAGAUAAAUAUGAUUUGAAAUUACCAUUUAGUGCACAUAGAAAUUAUAAAAAGGUGUAAGUCAGUAAAAUACAUAGCAUAGAUAAUGACUAAUGAGCCACGAGCUAUAUCCAUAAUUUUAACUAAACCCCUUCAAGUUUCUCAUAUUGUUAUUAAGAGCUAAAAUUUGAUACUUGGUAGGAUAGGAUAAAAAUCAUAGUUUGUUAUACUAGAAACCUUGGAUGUAUAUAAAUAAACGAGUACGACUUUUUUUCAAUAAAUAAUGUUAAAUAUUAAAAACAUAGUAAAAAGAUGUUUUAUUUAUUUCUAAAAAUAAAGCUGGUAUAUUUAAAAAAAAAUAGUUAUAUAAAAAAAAAAAAAACAAAGAUAGUAACAAGAUGUUUAAUUUUCUAUCAAAUUCAAAAGCUCCCUUCUAGAGGAAGAUAAAUAGGAUUAAAUUUAAAAGAGUUCUUUGAGACGUUUCAUUCCAUAAAAUAUAUGAUUGCUUUAGGAGAGUGUGUCAUUACAAUAUUUUAAAAUUAUACAAAGGCAUCAUCCGACUCGUCAGGGGUUUGGGUUUGUGACAUGAGAUAGGGAUGGGUUUUAAAAAAGCCAUGAAUUUUUUGAACGUGUGCGACAUAAUGUUUGACAUAGACAUCAGAUAGUAUUGUUGAACUCUUUUCUAUUGAAAUUGGAGGGAAGAUUAAAUACGAGCCUCUAAUUAGGGAUAAUAAGGUUAUAUUAACCGAUCGAAAUGAAAAUUUAUCUAUGUAACUGAUGAGUUUUGAGCAUUCUAACACUCCUACGGUGUACAUGCAACCCUAAAUGCUUUGGAUCUAUGUUUUCUCUAAUAUACAUGCAACCUUUCAAAGUUUCAAAAGCAUCAUCCUAACUUGCAUACUAUGGAGUAUCUAUACUAUAAAUAUCUACUUAGAUGACAUACCUUUUUGUGUAGUUGAAACCUUGAAGCUUUAAGAGCCUAUCACCAAUAAUGUGAAUUCCUCAAAUGGAACCACAAAUCACCACCAACAAUUGGAAGAACUAGAGAGAGGUUACUUGCACUCAAAAUUCGGCUAGCACUCUUGUGUGUAUUCUUAGUCGCCGAUUUUGCUAGCUAGAGGGGUCCUUAUAUAGUGUGGCUUGAUUAGGGUUACACCAUGCAAACCCUAAUGUGCAUGACUUUCCACAUUCUUCAUGCUCCAUGGGUUUUAGCCUCCAUGGAGUAUCCAUGGGUCACCACAUGGGUUUUGCCCAACAUAAGGAAUCAGGGAUCAUUAUCCUACUUUAUAAGAAUGAAUGAUUUACACAAUCAAUCCCCAUAUAUUUAAUUAGUCUCUUUUGAUCACAAAAUUAAUUCCAAAUUAAUUCUUGAUCAAUACUAAUUCAAUAAUAUGAUUUCAUAUUAAUAUAUUAGAACUUAUAAAAUAUUAAUAAAUCAUAAAUAACCUCUUCUCAAAAGUCCAUCCUUAAAUUUUUCCGAUGAAGUGCUACCCAAAUGGACCAUGCUACUCUCGGAUCAAGUACAUACCAAAUAUAGUUAUGGACCUAGACACCUUAUCCAACAGUCUCCCACUUGGAUAAGUCUAUUAACUAUAGUUGUAAGUAUUACUUCAGGAUCCGACUAGCAAUCAUGGCUCGUAAAUGCCUUUGUCAAACUUAGAUGCACCAUUUUAGAUAAGUGAUCAUAGAAUCCUCUGUUCUUAAGAUAUCAGCCAGACAAACAUAUGGAACAUAGUCAAUCUUAUUGUCCAACAGUUUGUUUCCCGAUUUUCUAUUCGUUUGACAUAAAACUUAAUCGAACACAUCAAUUGAGUUCUGACCGGGCCCAACACAUAAGUCAAAACAAAAUCAUCGAGGGGCCCAAGAUAUUGCUUUUAAUCCUCUAAGAACUAAAAGGAACAUAUAAAUUUCGACAUUAUAUGCUUGUACUAACUAUUGAUUAAACCAUACACAAUAACACGUUUUAUAACAUCAAGUUACCGAUGCAUUUUCGUAAUAUCAAUGUACGACUAACUCAUAGUCAACAACUCAUCUAUCUAGGUUUGAAGAUUAUAUGAUAUUAUCGUCUCACGAUCACUCGGGAUAAAUUCCAUGAAGUGAUACAAGUGAGCAUGGGUUAAAUCCAAUACUCAGACCUUAUGAGAACUCAUGAAUGGCAUAGCAAUGUCUAACCAUUUCUGACAAUCUACUAGCUAAAUUCAUGACAGUCUAAAUUCAAUACCUACUUCCAAAUUAUGAUCGACUGUGGGUGGUUUGAAUAAUCCAAUUAUUCUAGAAGUCGAAACAUGCAAAAUGAAACAAUAGUAAACAAUUGACAUGAGACAGUACCAUACUAGUAAAUAAAAAGCACCUUUUAUUAAAGCAUCAAAUGUCGAUUACAAUCUAUCUAUUACAAGUUCGGAAAUAGCUACCUUAUUAUUAAAACUAAUAUCAUCCCUCAGCCCAAUGCGCCUCGCAUGCUGUAAAUGCUUAACCCUACUCAGUCUCUUCGUGAGGGGAUCUAUCGGGUUCUCAUCUAAUGAUACCCUCUUUUCCACAAGGAGUCCUUAUUCUAUCUUGUGUCUUAUGAAGUGAUAUUUCCUCUCGAUGUGUCUGGACCUGCCAUGAUCCCUUGGUUCCUUGGCUAAGGCAACUGCACUAUCGAUGUCACAUAAAAUCUCCGCACACUCAUUUAUAGCUGGUACAACUCCAAGGUCUCCGAUGAAGUUCUUCAGCCUUAUCGCCUCCUUCGUCGUUUCGCUUGCUGCUAUGUACUGUGAUUCGCAUGUUGAAUCAGCUACAGUCUCCUGCUUGGAAUUUUUCCAAGUAAUUGCUCCUCCAUUCAGGGUAAACACCCAGCCCGACUAAGAGCUAAAAUUAUCUUUAUCGGUUUGAAAGUUGGCGUCACUAUACCCCACCCCUCUCAAGUCAUCACUCCCACCAAGGGUAAGGACCCAAUACUUAGUCCUUCAUAGGUAAUUGAGAAUGUUUUUCACCGCAGUCCAAUGAGCCUUGCCAGGAUUCCAUUGAUAUCUGCUGACCAUGCUCAAAGCAAAGACCACAUUAAGGUGAGUACAAGUCAUAGCAUACAUGAUCGAGCCAAAAUUGGAAGCAUAUGGUAAUUGACUCAUCUCAUGUAUUCCAGCCUCUAUACUCGGACUCUAAGUUUUACUCAGUUUGGCAUUGCACUGGAUCUAUAAGUCACCUUUCUUGGAAGUAUGCAUUUUGAUCUUCUUCAACACUUUGUCCAAGUAGGUACUUUGACUAAGUCCAAUUAGUCUCUUACUCCUGUCUCUCAAUAUCCUUAUCCCAAAGAAUAUAGGCAGCUUCUCCAAGGUCCUUCAUAGUGAAACACUUCCCGAGCCAGGACUUAACCUCCUGCAAGGUUGGGAUGUCAUUUCCUAUGAGUAGUAUGUCAUCCACAUACAACACCAAAAAGCUAACUAUACUCCCACUAACUUUGACAUAUAUACAUGAAUCAUCCUCGCUUAUCGAAAAGCCAAAUUCUUUGACUUUCUCAUCGAAACAAAGAUUCCACCUGCGAGAUGUUUUUUUCAAUCCAUAAAUGGAUUUCUCAAGCUUACACAAUCAAUUAGGAUACUUAGCAUCGACAAGACUCUUUGGCUGACUCAUGUAAACAUCCUCAGUCAACUUCCCAUUAAGGAAUGUGGUUUUGACAUGCAUUUUCCAUAUUUCAUAGUUAUGAAAUGCAGUAAUGGCCAACAUAACCCUAAUAGACUUGAUCUUUGCUACUGGUGAGAAGGUCUCAUCAUAGUCUACUCGCGGAGUUUGAGUAAAGCCCUUCGCAACCAACCGCGCUUUAUAUGUAUGUACUUUCCCAUCCAUGUCAGUCUUCUUCAUGAAGAUCCAUUUGCACCCAAUUGUCUUACGACCCGGUACAUUUUCAACCAAGUUCCAAACUUGAUUGUCAUACAUGGACUGAAUCUCGUUGUCCAUAGCCUCUUUCCAUUUAGCGGACUCGGGGCCUACCAUGGAUUCCUUGUAGUUGUUAGGUUCAUCAAAAUUUACCAGUGUGCUAUCACUGAUAAAUCUAUCACCUUCUGCAGUAAUAUGGAAACCAUAAAACUUAGGUGGAACUUUAACUCUACCGGAACACCUCAGAGGUACAGACUUGUCAAUCGGCUCAACAGGAGUUUCCUCCUCAUGUUGAUCUCUAGUGUUUGUGGUUCCUUCACCACUUGACUCUUGAAAUUCUUCAAGGUCAAUUUGCCUCCCACUGUCCCCUUGGAAUGUUAGCUCUCUCUCACAAAAAACUGCUCUCCUCGCAACGAAGACAACAUUGUCACUCGGUCUGUAGAAGAGAUAACCAAAAGACUUUUGUGGGUAGCCGAAGAAAAUAUACCGCUCACUUUGAGUUUCGAGCUUGUAGUGAGUCUCGUGUCUCAUGAAAGCCUCGCAACCCCAAACUUUGAUGUGUGCUAACGAGGUAGCCUUCCAUGUCCACAUCUCAUGAGGUUUUUUGGCAACCUUUUUUGUUGGGACUCGAUUAAGGAUAUGGGUGGCAGUCUCUAAGGCAUACCGCUAGAAUGAGAUUGGUAACAAAGCUCGACUCAUCAUGGAAUGAACCAUGUCCAACAAGGUUCGCUUGCGCCUCUCAACCACACCAGUAAGCUGUGGUGUCCGAGGCGUCGUCAACUGUGAAACAAUUCCACACUCCUUAAGAUAGUCUAAGAACUCGAAACUAUGAUACUCACCAAUCGGAUCGAAACAUCUUUAUCUUCAUGCCCAGCUGAUUCUCCACUUCUUAUUUAAACUCUUUGAAUAUCUCAAUGGCUUAUGACUUAUGCUUGAUUAAGUAUACAUAGCCAUACCUACUGUAAUCAUCAGUAAAAUUCACAUAGAAGUGGUUAGCAUCCCUUGUGGCGGUUCUGAAGGGCCCACACACAUCGGUGUGCAUGAGAUCCAACAAACCCUCACCCCUCUCACAAGUACCAGUGAAGGAUGAUUAGUCAUCUUUCCAAGAAAACAAGAUUCGUAAGUGUCAUCCGACCUUAAGUCGAAUGACUUCAAAACUCCAACCUUCUGGAGUUGGCCUAUGCGCUUCUUGUUGACAUAUCCAAGACGACAAUGCCACAGAGAUGCCUUAUCCAAAUCAUUAGAAGAAUAGAUAUGCAACACAUUAUUUCCAAGUUUUCUACAACCAUCACAGUUUCAUAUACACCAAUGUAAUGUUCUAAAAUAAAAAACACCAUUAUAAUAAGCAUUUAUUGCACCAAUUUCAUUAUUAAACGAAAAUACGAAACCUUGUUUGUACAAACCAUGAAAGGAAAUAAUAUUUCUCGCCAUAUCAGACGAGUAGCAACAAUUAUUCAAAUCUAUUUCUAACCCACUACUGAGCAAUAAAGAGUAAACUCCAAUCUUAAUGAUAGGUGAAACCUUCCUAUUCCCCAUGAUCAAGUUUAUCUUCCCGUGCUCCACAUCCUUACUUCUUUUUAGGCCCUGCACAUCAGAACAAAUGUGAAAUUCACAACCUGUUUCAAGCACCCAAGAGUUAGUAUGUGAUGACUUUUUAGAUAGAAUAGUAUAAAUACCUGCAUGGGUGGGUUUAACCUUCCCAUCCUUAACAUCCUGCAAGUACUUGGGGCAACUUCGCUUCCAGUGCCAUUUUUAAUGGCAAUAGAAACACUCUGCUUCUUUUGGGAUGGUCGAGGGAGCGAUAUAACCUCCUUUGGUUCCACUUGAAGAGGAUCCAUCAAUAGACUUUCCCUUACGGCUCUUGGAAGGAGCCUUCCUCUUCUUCCCCUUACCUUGCCCAAUUGCAAGAACAGGGGCAUUAGCAGUAGGAGUGGUUACAACAGAUUUAACUUUGAGACCACUUUCAGGGGUCCUCAGAAGGCCCUGAAGCUUGCUUAAAGUGACUUCCUCCUUGUUCAUAUGAUAAGUCAUGCGGAGCUGAUCAUAACAUGGAGGUAAGGAGUGUAGAAUAAUAUCUAUAGCCAACUCCUCAUAAGAUUUCACAUUCAAUUUGAGCAGACGGUCCACAAACCUUUUCAUUUUCUGCAAGUGGCCCGUGAUGGGUUCACCAUCCUUCAUUUUUCUUGUAAUCAUGGAGCUGAUGAUUUCAUACCGCUCUUGACGAGCACUCUGAUGGUAUCUUUCCAUCAGGUCCAGGUGCAUCUCAAAAGGGUAGAAGUCCUCAUAGGACUUUUGGAGUUCAAGAGACAUGGUGAUAAGCAAAAUACAAGCUACCUUGGUGGCAUCUUUCUCAUGUGCCCUGAAAUCAACAAUUUUCUGAGGAGUAGCAACAGAGAAGAUGACUCUCCCACAAAGGUUCAUGACAGAGAAGGAGCCUGUAGGGUUUAAGCCAGAAGUAGUGUUGGAAGACAUCUAAAAAGAAAGAAAGACGAAGUUUAGAUUAGAUAAAGGGUCCUUAAUAUAACACCCAAAAUGAAAUAUUAAGGCUAGGACCCAACACAAUAUUUUACAAUUUGGAAGAAGGAUGUCGUAAUCCAGCUUGCAAAAUAUUUAAAGGUAGUUAAAUGACGAUUUACCAAUUUCCACCAUGAAAAACGAAAUUAUUUAAUUAAGUUUUAAUUGGAUUUGAAACUCCUAGAUCCUUUGAUAUUCAUUGAGCAAUUAUUCCCUUCAGGUUUGUGACUGGGAUACCAAGGAUCACAAAUAAGGUGUGAAUAACCAUGCAAAUCUACUUGGUACUCUCAAUGUUAAUUAUCACCUUAAUCAAUGUGUCGGUACACCACACACGCUCCAUUGACCUUAUGAUAAACAUUAAGCUACCAUUUUCCACCCUUACUAGUCCAAGUUAAUGUGUCGGUUAACCACACACGCUCCAUCCACGACUUGGUAAGGUGCAAAGUGUAAUUUUAUGGAUUAGCAUCAAUUUCAUAUUUUCCUAAAGCAACUAAGAUUGGGAAUUUAUAAAAGGUUUAGUUACUUUAUAAUUAUAAUUAUACUUUUAAUGAGAACUAUAGUCUUUGUCCUACCCGUUUGGCUAACGACCCUCCACCAGUCAAGUAAGCGGUGGGUGAGAGUGGACACCCAUUAAACCACUAUUUAUAGGCAGUAACGUUAUACCCCCUUAUAGACCAGCAUCGUGAAUGAGUCCUACUAAUGGUACACCGACUUGUCUUAUAAAUAUAUAUAAAUAUUAAACUUAUAAUAUUAUAAUAGUAAAAGGGUUGAAUUUUAAUUCUUUAAAAUUAUAAGGUUUGCAAUUAAAGUUUCAUUAAGUGAGACUUUACAAAUUCCAAAACUUGAGGGCAAGUUUUGAAACUUGUCAGAACUCUUCAAGUUUAUAACAUAUGAGUUUAACGACAUCUUUUAUUAGAAAAACUUUUCAUUUCCAUAACAUCCAUAAAUUGAGGACAAGUUAUCGAGUCCAUUAAAAUCAUUUAAAAACAUUAUUUAACUAACACAAUAAUCAAAUAAUUCAUAAAAGAUUCAAUCAAACUCAUAUGAGCAAGACAAUUCAAAUCAAAACAAAUUUCAUGUAAUUAGCCUAACCACAUAAACUAAUACAAAACACGAAACUUUUGACAAUUAUCUUUUAAAUUGGAUUAACAUGAUCAUUACCACAUCAAAAAUAGGUUAAUAAGUUCAAAAAUAGUUUAGGGUAAUGAUCUUAGUCCAAUUCCAACCUUAAAACUCGAAAAUUUGCACUCUGGAGCACCAACUCAUCGAGUACAUGAACUGAAUCGGCGAGUUGGUCAGAAUUAUGAAGGGACUCAACGAGUUCCCCAGUGGACUCGGCGAUUCCACUGUCCAGACAGCUGAAAUUCGAUUUUUAAAGCAUUUCUAAGCAAGUAGCAUCAAGUAUGUUGGAAAACAAUCCUAGUCUCUGAUACCACUGAUGGGUUUUAAGCAUUCUAACACUCCUAUAGUGUACAUGCAACCCUAAAUGCAUUGGAUCUAUGUUUUCUCUCAUAUACAUGCAAACUUUCAAAGUUUCCAAAGCAUCAUCCUAACUAGCAUACUAUGAAGUAUCUAUACUACAAAAAUCUAGUUACAUGACAUACCUUUCGCUGUAGUUGAAACCUUGAAGCUUUAAGAGCCUAGCACUAAUAAUGUGAAUGCCUCAAAUGAAACCAAAAAUCACCACCAACAAUUGGAAGAACUAGAUAGAGGUUACUUGCACUCAUAAUUCGGCUAGUACUCUUGUGUGUAUUCUUAGCCGCCGGUUUUGCUAGCUAAAGAGGUCCUUAUAUAGUGUGGCUUGAUUAGAGUUACACCAUGCAAACCCUAAUGUGCAUGACUUUCCACAUUCCUCAUGCUCCAUGGGUUUUAACCUCCAUGGAGUAUCCAUGGGUCACCACACGCGUUUAGCCCAAUAUAAGGAAUCAUGAUUCAUUAGUCCACGUUAUAAGAAUGAAUGAUUUUUAAAGCAUAAAUAUUAAUAAAUCAUAAAUAACCUCUUCUCAAAAGUUUAUCCUUAAAUUAUUCCGAUGAAGUGCAACCCAAAUGGAAAAUGCUACUCUCGGGAUAAGUACAUAUCAAAUAUAGUUAUGGACUUAGACACCUUAUCCAACAGUAACAUCCCAAAUAUUUUGGAAACAUGCAUUACAUUCUAACUAUUAUCCUUCAAACUAGUAGCACCAUAUUUUCUUCGAGCGAAUUUUAGGAUAGAAUUGUUGGAAUCUAUUUUGUUGUAAAAAUAAAUGAAUGUGAGAAAACAUAAAAUAUGAUGUGAGAUUAAAUAAUUGGUAUAUAUAUNNNNNNNNNNNNNNNNNNNNNNNNNNNNNNNNNNNNNNNNNNNNNNNNNNNNNNNNNNNNNNNNNNNNNNNNNNNNNNNNNNNNNNNNNNNNNNNNNNNNNNNNNNNNNNNNNNNNNNNNNNNNNNNNNNNNNNNNNNNNNNNNNNNNNNNNNNNNNNNNNNNNNNNNNNNNNNNNNNNNNNNNNNNNNNNNNNNNNNNNNNNNNNNNNNNNNNNNNNNNNNNNNNNNNNNNNNNNNNNNNNNNNNNNNNNNNNNNNNNNNNNNNNNNNNNNNNNNNNNNNNNNNNNNNNNNNNNNNNNNNNNNNNUUCCUAAAAAAUCAUUUUAAAAAGUGAAAAAUAUAAGUUAUUAGGAGUAAUUUGUUAUUUUAAAUUAUGGGAUUGAUAACAAAAAGUUAACCACCCUAUCGGCACUCUCAAAAUAUUAAUAAAUAAACAAGUCGCUCUAAUAAAAAGAAGUCUACAUGUCAAAGACUCUCAAUCUUUUUUUACCGUUUUAUCAAUAGAUUAAUAAUUAACUAGUUUUUCGUUAAACCAUACUGGUUUUUCAUUUAUAUUUUAAUAGAUUGUUAAAAUUUUUAAUCAGUGAUGCUUGAUUGUUUUUAACCGAUUGAACUGGUUCGGUUCUUUUAAGAUACACGACCCGUCCCGACCCAACCCCCAAAAGUGUUAUUGAUUUUUUAUUGUCUUCACUUGAUUUAAAAACCAUAUGAUUUUUUGUUCUAGAUUCGUCACUGCACACACAUGCUACANGGCUGCAAAUAGUUUUUCAGAAAUUAGUUUCUAAAGACGAUUAAUUUUUUUGUGCAAAUAGUUUAAAAAAGAAAAUGUUGUUGUGGAUUAUAAUUAAACGUGCUUUGUCGUUAGUUAUAUAAAAGUACACUAUUGAUUACAAACCUGAUUAAUUCUUUGGUUUUAUAGUAUAAUUAUGAUAUAUGGUUUUUUUUUUUCAAAACAGAUGGGUAACGGAUAAAUCGAUUCGUAGGUGGAGACCCUUAAUUGAUCUAGGCAGUUGACUGAUAUCAAUUGAAUAAUUGAUGCGUAUAUGGAGAUGCUUGGUUUCGACAAUUAGUUUUUUUUUUUGGAAAGAAAACUAUACGGACCGUAUGUGUAGUGAAAAAAAAAAUUGCAACGAAAACCAAGAAUUUUGGAAACCACAUGGACCAUUUAUAUGAUUAUAUCUAAACUUUAUUAUGAAUUUCAGUAAGAACUUUAUGAACCUUGAAUCAUCAUAUUAGAAUAACUAAAAUAACAAAUUCAAAACAAAAUACGUGUAGUUACAAUGGUUGACCAUACAGUAUUAAUCAUGCAAUAUUUUUUAUACACCAAAUUUGAUAUACAUACAUUAUAGUGAGAUAUACACUUUUGUUGUUCAAGAAUGCGAAAUUAAUUCAAACAUCUAGCUAUUAACAAAAUAAAAGAAGUGAAUGGCGUUAUACUCUUUUAUAUAUUUAAAACAAUGUGUCAAAUCAAUCGACCUAUACCCAAAAACCAAUAAUAAAAUAUUUCGAGCUAUAGUUUUUGCCAAAUUUUGGUCACCUUAAAAAUAAAAUAUGCAUAAAUACUUCCUUUACUUUGACAUAAGAGUUGUAUUUUUAUCAACUAUUUACAUACAAAACUUCGAGGUUAAGUGUUUUGAUUUUAAGAUAUACAUACUUCUCCUAUUAACACCCGCUUCCACAAUUUAUUUUAAAAAAUUAGCAAAUAUAAAGACCUGACAUCCUUCUUUUGUUUUCGUUUUCUAAAUGUUAAAAUAUUAAACCUUAUUUAAUAUUUUGUUUUCAAUCCAAUACAUUUUUUUAUUUUACCGUUUUUAUUAUAAAAAAAAAGAACACUAAAAUUCUAAAAAUGAGUUAGACAACGUAAAGAUUUUAAAAUUCUAUUCUACAAAUUACAUGAAAAGCAUUAAAAUCAUGGAAAAAAUUGAAAACUUUGAACACCAAACAUGAUGUGAAUGAAGGUUUAGCUAUUCAAAAUUCAUUAAUAUGUACUUGGGUUGGGUAGGUUUGAUGCCCCCUUUGGAAAAGUUUAGUGUACAUAACAUUAAAAUAAAUUAUUUUGAUUCUCUGUUGAUCUCAUAGCCCUCCAAUUACAGAGUAGCUAACAUUUCAAGACUCAUGAAGCAUGUUAUAAAAAACUGGAUUGAUCUAAAACAAUUGUUGGGAAUACAUUUGUCAAAACCUAUGAACAAAGGUUAUUUACUGGUCAAAAAAGUAUCUAACUUGAAGGGGGGGUACUUGUCUGAAAAGUAUCUAACUUGAAGGGGGGGUACUUGUCUGAUAGUGAGAGUUGUCAUGUCUAGAACCAAGACUAAUGAUAUCAAAAAUGUUAAGUAAAAAAAACAUAAGAUACAUUAAUGUUUUACAUAAAUUUAACUAACUACCGGAUAAAGUGGAUUCUUAUUGUGUACCUCUGUCACCAUAUCAUGGAAAUGAAUAACAUCACUAACAGCAUAACACGUUAACAUCAGCCACAACCCUAAAACAAAAAAAAUAUAUCAAUAUUUGUGGAAAGUUCUUCAUGGAUAAAUCAAGAAAACUAUUAAAUAAAUAAAUAAAGUAAACCCCUCUAUUGAUGUAUACUUGAAAGAAUUUAGAAUAGUUUAAUGUUAUUUUCAGGAUAGCCCCAGAAGUAUAUUACCUUCAUGCAUGGGACGAGGAUAAUCAUCUUUGUAGGGUCAACACACUUCAUGGUCUGAUGUAUGCUUUAGGACUUUGGAAUAUUCUUAUGUUAUUUCUAGUAUAACCCCACAAGUACAUUGCCUUUAUGUAAGGGGUUGCUUGAAAUUUUUGGAAUCAUCCUCAUAAGUACAUUGCCUAAAAUAAAUGCAUCAAUAUUAGUAAGGAAGAAAAAUGAAGUGCAAUGUAUUGAUAAUUAGUUUUCUCAAAGUACAAUGCCUUUUAUAAGGAAAAAAAUAUAUAUUAAGUAUAUUAUGUUGUAAAAUAAUUCCAAUAUUUCACUUGCUAUCAGCUUAGAAAAGAUUAAUAAAAAAGCAAAACAUUCCAAACAAUAACAUCAUAGAAUCUAUCAUUAGCUCUUGUAUAACAUGAUAUAGAAAAUUAUUUGGCUAAUCAUGAUUUCUAUGGCAAAAACUCGUUAAUAACUCAAUAAACCAAACAAAUAGACACACGUAGAGAGAGUAACAUGGACAUUUUACCUCUUUGAGUCAAGAAAGAGAAAGAGAUUAGUCAUAAGUAAUAGCAACUUACUUCCCUACCUCUGAUUGAAAAAAAACAUCUGAAUUAUACACAGUUAGAUAUCUCAUAGUUUGUUACAAGUUAGAUAUUGCACAAAAUGUCAAAUAUACCUGUCAUGUUAUUUCAUCGUUGUUCUUCCUAAAACCCUACCAUUUUGAUUUCUACAGAACCAAAAUGAAUACUUCUUGAUGGUAAUAGAAAUGGUUAUGUGAUAAUUUCAUGACAUAAGGUAAAUAAAACCUUGAGAUUCCCAUUAAGGUUUCCUCUCAAAAUAACGUCUGAUUAAAAACUUGCCUUCUGAUUAUCUACAUAUCACUUGUGAAGAAAAGCAAAAAAAAAAAAAAAAAAAAAAAAAAAAAAAAAAAAAAAAAAAAAAAAAAAAAAACAAUAGAAACACACAGGAAGUAAGGGAAUAACCACACACCAUGCCAAGAAAAAAAACUCACCAACAGCUAUAGGAAAGCAAGAGCCAACGAACAAAUGCAUCCCAUGAACAUAAGGUAGCAACAAUGAAGAUUAACCAUAAUUACCCUCAACAUAAGCAUGUAAGACACACAGGAAAACUAUCUAACAUGAAAAAAAAGAUCACCAAAUUAGUAAAAGAGAAACAACCAAAGCCACUACAAGAUGCAUGAAACCAAACAAAUAAAAAUCUACCCAAUCAUAGCAAGAACAAAAUUUUCAUUUUCUUGAUGACCAGUCAAAAUCUGCAAGGUGAAGGGUAUAAAAGUAUUAUUUUUACAUAUAAUGAUAUAGACCCAUAUGAAAAACAACACCCAUAAUUUCAUAUUGCAAUAAAGAAAGAUUAUAACAUAAAGGAAAGAUAAAAGAUGGAAGUGAUGAUUUAAUAAUUGUGUUGUGAUUGUGUACACUGAUUCCCACCAGAUCAAGACAGAACUCAGUGGAACCCAUGAAAACAUGUACAUUGGGCUGAGCUUCGACAUCCCAAAUUAGAACCUUGUUUAAUAUAUUGAUUAAUUAAAAAAUACAUCAAAAAAUGAUAAAAUUGGGAAAUAAAGAAAUUGAUAAAAUUAUGACCUUUGUGCAUUGUGUGCCCUUUUAGCUAUUGCAAGAUCAGGUAAUCUAGGAACGUAAUCUAGGAACAUAUGCCACCUAUCAUCUAUAGAGUCUUCAUGUAUAACCAUAAAACAACAAAAUUAUAUAAAGUUCAUUAACAAUAUUAAAUAAAACACUUAAUAUGAAGCACCAGAAACCGAAAUGAGCCACUUAAUAUAUAGAUGGUACUUGAAAUACAAACAAACAUCAGAACCUGAAAUGGAGAUGUUAAAAAAGACUUGAUCCAAGAAUUAUUUAUUCCAAGCAAAAUCUAUGCCAAGAAUUACAUAAUAUCCUAGGAAUUCGAAGCUUAAAAUCAUAUGAAAAAAAAAAACUUGAUCCAAACAUAAUCUAUUCCAAGAAUUACAUAAUUUACAAGCAAAUCCAAGCAUAAAGUAAAACAUAAAAUUUUCAGAAUAAAACAUUUGAGAAAUUAAAAGAUUCCUGCCACUAAGAAAUUAUGGGACGACUUUAGUCUGCACCUUCAAGUGGGAAAUCGAUUUAACUGCCAAGUAUGUAAUGUUUGGAACAGAAAUCGAACUCAACCUCAUACUAAGUUUUGGAACAACGUAGGAUUCUUGAAGAUGAAGAUGUGAGACUUCAUAUGUAACGCCCGUAGAUCCGGGCUAGUCAAAUUAGAGGCAAUAAGGGUCAAAAAUGACUUUUCGACAAAAGAUUAUUUAGAAUAAAUAAUCUUAACCAAGUUGUAGAGUAUGUCACAAGGUUUCCGUACAUAUAAAGAAUGCCGAAAUCUGAGUUAUAACGAAGAAGUUAUGACCCGUCGAAGUUUCGCGACAGAACCGACACGACACCGGGAAGCAUAAAUAGUGAAUUUACGAUAGAGCGAGAUUUAGCCUUAGCGAUCUAAAGGAAAGUCGUAGAAUAUGUUAAACUAAGAACAUUGAUAAAAAGAACGCCCAAAUCUGACUUCGUAUGAAGAAGUUAUGAUUUUUCGAAGUUUCGGAAUAGCAUUAUACAGCCCGAAAUUCGAAUAUUAGAUCGAGCGGUUUUUAGCCGACACAACCUAAACGAGAAUCGAAGAUCUCGUUGAGAGUAGCGUAACGAGAAAAAGAUGGGCGAAAACGGAUGUCGGAUGAAGAAGUUAUGAGGAUUUAACGGACCAAUCGUGUCCCGGCCCGUUAAUAAUAUAAAAUUUAAAAUCGAGCCAAAAUUAGCCGACGAAGUCUAAACGAAAGUUGUAGAGUACGUUCCCACCUUCGCGUGGAUAUAAAGAACGUCGAAAACGGAGGUCGUACGCGAAAGUUACGAAUUUUUAAAGUUGAAAUAUAAGAAUGCGAAGUCUGUUGCGAGGAUGAUGACGUGGCUGCAUCUGGGCCGUCCAUCGCUGAUGAAGGAACGCGCUUCGGAUCUUGACACGUCGCCCUUCACAUACGCCCCGCGUCCAAAGUCUGUACGCCCCGCGUACCCUCGCCCUGAUCUACUCCGAGUGAUAGACAGCUGGAACCUCGCUGGAGCUCUUAUCCGAUGGCUACGCCCCGCGUAGGUCCGAGGUACGCCCAGCGUACCGAGGCCUCGCAGGGCUAUAAAAGGGGGCCGAUUUUCCUUCAUUUUUCACACCUUUCUUCACUCUCUCUCUAACUUCUUUCUCUCUCUAAGUGUUCUAAACAUCCCCAAACCCUAGGGAACCUCCCUAGCACCCUAGGGAAGCCCCGAGGCUCCCGGAGUCCCGAGAAAAAGGAGUUUUUCGGUUUCGAAACGCUGCUCCAAUUAAGUUCCGGUUUUCGAUAAAAUUCGCUGUAAGUGUGCUACGCUUACGCAAUUUUUUAUAUAGCUUUCAAAUAAUUAUAGGAAUGUUAUUAGGUCCUUAAAAUAAUUAUUUGGGCUAUUAUUAUGAGUUAUAUUGAGUGUUAUUAACGCUUAAUAAUACUCGGACUAAUUAAUUUGUCGCGGUUAUCGUUAAACUAAACCCUAGUGGUAUCGAUACUAGGUUUUAUCGAAGGAAUAUCGUUUUGAGAGUAUCGAAGCGCUGUCCGAGUGCUGAGUCACCACCUACUCAGGUGAGUGCAUAGUCCCUUUCAUCUUACACAUAGAUAUGAAGUAUUUUAUAUAAACUACGUGCUAUGUGUGCAUAUUAUCUGAAUACUUGCUGUCUAUGUUGGAUGAACGUUUUAUACAUGUUUUAAAGGAUUUAAACUGUAUACGUAUUUUAUAUAUACGAAUAUGUUGGGUAUGAGAUGGGUAGAUGAAUGAUGAGAGAUAGAAGAUGACGUGAGUAUAUAUUGGCAGCUAUAGACUUAGUGCCUAUGGGACAAACACCGGUAGCUAUGGACUUAGUACCUUUUAGACGUUGGUAGCUAUGGAUUUAGUACCUGUUGGGAAUUGGUAGCUAUGGACUUAGUACCUAUUAGUUAGACGCUGGUAGCUAAGGAUUUAGUACCUGUAGGAAUUGGUAGCUAUGGACUUAGUACCUGUUGAACAUUGGUAGCUAUGGACUUAGUACCUAUUAGAUAAAGACUGGUAGCUAUGGAUUUAGUACCCGAUGAAUAGACUAUAGCAGCUAUGGAAUUAGUGCUUUAUGAACGAACAUUGGCAGCUAUGGAUUUAGUGCCAGUCCUAUAACCCUGGAAGUAAGGGACUUCGGAAUAAACGAAUGCAGGAUAGAUGACUCUUAGGUUAAAUCCUUAAGAGUAAAGAAGAUAACGGGGAUGGGUAAUGGGGUUAAUUGUUUGAUGAUUAAACAUAACAAUUAUAUUAUUGUGGGUUGAAAACCCUAUGUACUCACCAGGUUUCCCAACCUGACCCACUCAGUUUAUGUAUAUCACAGGUGACGAAGUGAAGUGACAUUACACUGAGAGAUUUAAAAGAGAUGUAGAUCACUAGUGUAAAUCAUUGUAAGUUCUGUUUAUGCUUAUGUUUCGGUAUUAACGAUGACAUCCCAAACAUUUUAAAAUGAAAUAAAUACGUUUCUUCGAAAAUGUUUUAAUAACGUAUUUACCAUGUUUUUCUGGGAACAAAUUCCGCAACCUUUUUAUAAAAUGAAGUACUCUGAUUUUUAUAAAGCAUAAACAAAAUCGGUCUUUUCUGGCCGUGAUUUUGGGGAUGUCACAGUUGGUAUCAGAGCAUUAGUUUAAGCGAACUAGGAAUAUGGAUUUAUUUCUAGACUUAAACUUAGAAUGCUAAGCGAUGAUUGUGAGGUGUGAGCACUAGCUUAUUUUAGGAAUUAUGCCUAAAAUGCUUUUAUGUGCUAAAUGCUUUGUGCAUGAUAUGUUGUUAAUUGUUCGGAUCUAUGGUCUGUUGCCGACCGGAUCUGGAAACCUUAUGUGUUUAGGAUUCUAAACGUACGACUACGGUAUUAGAACUAGCAUGUAAACGUUUCGGAGUGAUAAGGAUGAUUUAAACGUCAAGUAAAGGUCUAAAUUCACCUUAUUCGGUGUAUAGAUCGAGAUGGUAAGGACCCGUAGCGGAAACGUAAACGCAAAUGGGAACAGGAACCAACCCCCAGUGGUUCAGCAAAUACCUGUUGUAGAAGAAGUUGCGCCUGAGCCAGUCACCAUGGCUGGAGUUCAAGCCAUGAUUCGGGCUAUGUUGGCUGAACAAAGGGAAGAAAUGAGACGGAUGUUGAAUAGGGACGAACCUACUAUGCCCAUUGAGCAACCCGAACUGAUUCCCGAGCAAUCUGAGGAAGGGAACUACAGCCGCCAAGUGAGUCAAGUUGGGACUCAAGGUGAGCAAAGGGAUGGCCCAGAAGGGAGAAACAACAAGGAUGGGCGGAUGUACAAGAAUUUCUUGGGUGCGAAACCCCCAAGUCUCUCAGGAAGCCCGAAGCCGGUUGAGAUUAUGGAUUGGAUCUCUGAGAUGGAGAUGGUGUUUGAGAGCUGCAGCUGUAACGAGAAACAGAAGACUGUCUUCGCUGUAAGACAACUGAAAACUGGAGUCUUGAGCUGGUGGAAGCUAUUGGCAGAUACGAUGCCACGAGGAGAAGCCUUAAGGAUGUCGUGGGAAGAGUUUUUGGAACAGUUGAAAAUGCAGUACUGCUCGGAGGUAGAUCUGAUAGACCUAAACAACGAGUUUCAGAACCUGAAGAAAGGGAAGAUGAGUGUUGAUGAGUAUGCCACCGCAUUUACCGAGAGGAUGAAGCUAUUUCCCUACUUGGUGCCUACUGAACUCUCCAAGAUUGAUAGGUUUGCUAACGGACUGCCCACUGACUUUGGCCCAAUGGUCAAAAUGGCAACUACCUUGAAAGCAGCUGUUAGGGCAGCUAAGAACGUAGAGGCCCAGAUAAGAGAAAAGGGUCUAGAAAAAGAUAAGGCAGGAGAGAAGCGAAAGUUUGAGGGAUCUUCGAGGUCGAACAAGGAAAGAAAAUUCUCAAAACUUGGAGGAGCAGAUGGAGGUGAAGCAAGAUGGUGUGAUAGAUGCAAGAAGAAGCAUGGUGGGAAGUGCAAUGAAGAAGUGACUUGUUACAAGUGUGGGAGGACUGGUCACUAUUCCAAAGACUGCACACAUGAUGAUAAAGUAUGCUACGGAUGUGGAGGCAAGGGGCAUAUGUCCAGAGACUGCCCAAAGAAAAAUAAAGCAGUAAGACCAGAAACGCCACCAAGGCCAAGGGCAUUUCACAUGAUCCUCGACGAAGCAGAAAACCGUGCGAGGAAUCAAGGAUGAGGACUUCAUAUCAGAAGAUCAAGUUAUGUAGUAGCCAUAGUAUUUUAUGAUGUAGCCUAGUAGAGGCAUAGUCUAGGGUGAACUUGAACACCUAUGUAAUCGUUUCAAGAAUUAAUAUAAAACCUUCGUUUUGUUAUCUGAUGUGUCGAAUGAUUGUGUGAUUUGCUGCAUGGUGACUUGGGAAACUGCGAGACAAUACUUGGGACGAGUAUGAGUAGGUGUGAAUGGUAGUAGAGGCCUAUACUACCGGAAGCACAGGACUCACACUUGGAUCAGGGAAAGUCACAAGGUUACCAAGAAGCUAGUAAUUGAUUUCGUUUUAUUCAAGUGUGUUGUUACCAUCGUUUCGGUAAUGACUAAGAAGAUUGUUGAUAUUCCGACCCUAGUGGUCAUAUCGAAUCGAGUCCGACUACGAUGAGUAUGUUGUGUGGUUCAGAGAACCAAGUUUGAUGUAGCGUCCGACUUAAACCAAACGGUUGAAAUCAAAGCGAUCAAUAGAAGUAUCGCACUCGUUGUUAAAGAAGUUGGUGGCUAGAAAUGCCUAAUGUUAAAGUGUGAUUAUAUCACAUUAGAACAUGAAGGAAGGCAUAGUCUGUUUUAGAAUUUAACUCUAAGAGACCUAAGUCUAAGUGUUGCAACAUACGAUGAUAGGUCAUUAGAAUAUGACACAUCGAUCUAUAGUAGUAAUAAAAGAACUUAUCUCAAGUCCGUAUCCAGCAAGGAUCGAGAUUGUGACUUGAAGGUCAUAAUUUGGAGUCUAACCUGAGGUAGAGAGCAGGUGCACGAUCGAGUACUCUUACAGUCAAUGAGUUUAAGAGAUAGAAUUGAAGGAAUGUAGAAGUUAUAAUUAUUACCUAGGAUGAAGAGAUGACGUAUGGAGUCAUUAUACGACCCUGUUUCGUUGAUGAUUCCGGGACGUAAUCAUCCUAAGGGGGAGAUAAUUGUAACGCCCGCAAAUCUGGGCUAGUCAAAUUAGAGGCAAUAGGGGUCGAAAACGACUUUUCGACAAAAGAUUAUUUAGAAUAAAUAAUCUUAAUCAAGUUGUAGAGUAUGUUACAAGGUUUUCGUACAUAUAAAGAACGCCGAAAACCGAGUUAUAACGAAGAAGUUAUGACCCGUUGAAGUUUCGCGACGGAACCGGCACGAUACCGGGAAGCGUAAAUAGUGAAUUUACGAUAGAGCGAGAUUUAGCCUUAGCGAUCUAAACGGAAGUCGUAGAAUAUGUUAAACUAAGAACAUCGAUAAAAAGAACGCCCAAAUCUGACUUCGUAUGAAGAAGUUAUGAUUUUUCGAAGUUUCGGAAUAGCGGUGUACAGCCCGAAAUUCAUAUAUUAGAUCGAGCGGUUUUUAGCCAACACGACCUAUAUUAGAAUCGAAGAUCUCGUUGAGAGUAGCAUAAGGAGAAAAAGAUGGGCGAAAACGGAUAUCGGAUGAAGAAGUUAUGAGAAUUUAACGGACCAAUCGUGUCCCGGCCCGUUAAUAAUAUAAAAUUUAAAAUCGAGCCAAAAUUAGCCGACGAAGUCUAAACGAAAGUUGUAGAGUACGUUCCCACCUUCGCGUGGAUAUAAAGAACGUCGAAAACGGAGCUCGUACGCGAAAGUUACGAAUUUUUAAAGUUUAUAAUCGAAUUUGCGAAGGCUGAUGAGGAUUGAUGACGUGGCACGUUGUGGGCCGUCGGAUGAUGAUUCAGAUCUCGCUUCGGAUCAUGCCACGAAGCCUCGCCUUACGCCCCGCGUCCGAGUUCGGUACGCCCAGCGUACCCUUCGGUCUUAUCCCUUCCGAGUGCGAGACAGCUAGAUUCGAUGUGGCAGCCCCAUCCGAAGUUACGCCCCGCGUAGCCAAGGAUUACGCCCAGCGUAGUCCGAGGCCUCGCAGGGUAUAAAAAGGGGCGAGGGCCUUCACAUUUUUCACACAAUUUCCACUUCUCUCUCUAGUUUCUUUCUCUCUCUAGAGUUCCAAACCUCCCCUAAGCCCUAGUAAAACCCCUAGCACCCUAGGGAAGCCCCGAGGCUCCCGGAGUCCCGAGAAAAAGGAGUUUUUCGGUUUCGAAACGCUGCUCCAAUUAAGUUCCGGUUUUCGAUAAAAUUCGCUGUAAGUGUGCUACGCUUACGCAAUUUUUAAUAUAGCUUUCAAAUAAUUAUAGGAAUGUUAUUAGGUCCUUAAAAUAAUUAUUUGGGCUAUUAUUAUGAGUUAUAUUGAGUGUUAUUAACGCUUAAUAAUACUCAGACUAAUUAAUUUGUCGCGGUUAUCGUUAAACUAAACCCUAGUGGUAUCGAUACUAGGUUUUAUCGAAGGAAUAUCGUUUUGAGAGUAUCGAAGCGCUGUCCGAGUGCUGAGUCACCACCUAAUCAGGUGAGUGCAUAGUUACUUUCAGCUUACACAUAGAUAUGAAGUAUUUUAUAUAAAUUACGUGUUGUGUGUGUAUAUUAUCUGUAUACUUGCUAUCUAUGCUGGAUGAACGUUUUAUACAUGUUUUCAAUGAUUUAAACUGUAUAUGUAUUUUAUAUCUACAAAAUGUGUUGGGUAAAACAUGGGUAGAUGUAAUAGUUGCUGUGUGACAAAAUAAAAUAAUGAGAGGCCUCGUUAUAGCUGUUCUUGAUGAUCUAGUCAUCUAGCGGAGUAUAGAUGACGACCACGGACUAUUCUAGACAGUCCAGUGGAACACUAGCAGACUCGCAACCUGUAGGUGUUUAUUCGAACUGUGUGUUUAUUCGAACUGUGUGCUCACCAGGUAUACUCCAUCCCAAUGAUAGUCCUUUGACUAGGUCCCUUGUGUUAGAUGUUUUAGGGACGUAAUGUGAGGAUAACGGGAAUGGGUAAUUGGGUUGAUUGUUUGAUGUUUAAAAAUAAUAAUUAUAUUAUUGUGGGUUGAAAACCCUAUGUGCUCACCAGGUUUCCCAACCUGACCCACUCAGUUUAUUUAUAUCACAGGUGUUGAUAUGAAGUGACAUUACACUGAAAGAUUUAAAGAGAUGUAGAUCACUAGUGUAAAUAAUUGUAAGUUAUGUUUAUGCUUAUGUUUCUGUAUUAACGAUGACAUCUCAAAUGUUUUAAAAUGAAAUAAAUACGUUUCCUCGAAAAUGUUUUAAUAACGUAUUUACCAUGUUUUUUUGGGAACAAAUUCCGCAACAUUUUUAUGAAAUGAAGUACUCUGAUUUUUAAACAAAGCAUAAACAAACCGGUCUUUUCUGGCCGUGAUUUUGGGGAUGUCACAUCAUAGAACAUGAAUUUGAUUCUUAUGUACCUUGAACUGAGAAAUCGAUUUUAAAUGUUUAGCCUGAUCAGACCGAGAAGCAAGAACUCGAUUAGUUUGUACAACUAAGAGAAUUCAGUAUGCAUAACAUGAUCGAACACUCUGGCAAUUUUAGAUAUGAGUAAAAUUGGCCGACCCAUUGUCUAGAUUAUGAAGUUGGUUAAAGGGGAAAUACUAGGAUUUAACAUAAAUCAAUCAGUGAUUAAAUGGGGUGGUUGCGUUUUAAAUCAGGAUUCAGCAUUCACGUUUCUGGACAUUAUUAGACAUAAACCACUGCGAAUAAAUAACGACUCGUUAAAUAUUCGGUGCUAUGACCAAUUAGCAAAGAUGGAGAAAAAUGAUGCAGGUGGUUAAUAGAAACCCUAAUACGAAAUACCUGGUAGUGCAGGGGUGCGAUGGUCGUAGCAAUGAUUUCUAGGUUAUGGUUGGCUUUCGGAGAUGUGGGAUGGGGAGGACUGUGACGUCUGCAAAUAGCAGUGUAGAGUGUGAUUUAUGGCUGGAAUGUAGUGGAUGGCUAAUGCGGAGGUUAGCGGUCGUUGCCAGAAAACUGGGGUGGGUCUCCGUUGCUGCUGAAGAAGGCUAGAACUAACACGAAGAAGGCUAUAACUACUUAGGUAAGCCAUAUAAUUUGUAUUUCUUAUUGACUAAUUCAAUUAACUAUAAAUGAGGAAUACAAUUUUACUUUGACCGAUUCAUUUGCACAUAAGUUUGACCGAUUCACAGAGGAUCGUAUGAUAUGAGACAUUUAAGGGAUAAAAAUGCAUAAAACAUUUGUAAUUCAUACUUCAUGCUUUGUACUAGUUAAAUUUAAGACUUUCUUAUCCUAAAAUACCUAAAUGCUUUUUAAGGUAUAUAUNNNNNNNNNNNNNNNNNNNNNNNNNNNNNNNNNNNNNNNNNNNNNNNNNNNNNNNNNNNNNNNNNNNNNNNNNNNNNNNNNNNNNNNNNNNNNNNNNNNNNNNNNNNNNNNNNNNNNNNNNNNNNNNNNNNNNNNNNNNNNNNNNNNNNNNNNNNNNNNNNNNNNNNNNNNNNNNNNNNNNNNNNNNNNNNNNNNNNNNNNNNNNNNNNNNNNNNNNNNNNNNNNNNNNNNNNNNNNNNNNNNNNNNNNNNNNNNNNNNNNNNNNNNNNNNNNNNNNNNNNNNNNNNNNNNNNNNNNNNNNNNNNNNNNNNNNNNNNNNNNNNNNNNNNNNNNNNNNNNNNNNNNNNNNNNNNNNNNNNNNNNNNNNNNNNNNNNNNNNNNNNNNNNNNNNNNNNNNNNNNNNNNNNNNNNNNNNNNNNNNNNNNNNNNNNNNNNNNNNNNNNNNNNNNNNNNNNNNNNNNNNNNNNNNNNNNNNNNNNNNNNNNNNNNNNNNNNNNNNNNNNNNNNNNNNNNNNNNNNNNNNNNNNNNNNNNNNNNNNNNNNNNNNNNNNNNNNNNNNNNNNNNNNNNNNNNNNNNNNNNNNNNNNNNNNNNNNNNNNNNNNNNNNNNNNNNNNNNNNNNNNNNNNNNNNNNNNNNNNNNNNNNNNNNNNNNNNNNNNNNNNNNNNNNNNNNNNNNNNNNNNNNNNNNNNUUUCCUUAAACUAUGCUAAUCAUUACCUUAAUAUAUAAAAAAACAUAGUUUUUUCAUUUUUUUUAAUUGUUAAGAAGCUAUUUUUAUCGAAAAUGAUUUUAAAUAUACCAAAAUUCAUGAUUUUUAUUCUCUACAAAUAGACAUCCAUAUUGAUAUACUUUUAAAAUAAAUAUAUAUAUUUUUUAUAUUUUCAGCAAUCGUUAUUUAUAAGUAAAUAAAAAUACAUCAUAUUUUUGCUACUGUACAUUCGUUAUUCACUUAUGAAUAAAAAUAUAUAAUUAAUUUUUUUUACAGUUUAAGUAUCAUUUAUACUACUUAUUCAUAUAUGAAUAACAAAUUAACUGUAAUAGAAAUCUGAUAAAUGUUUUAUUCAUAUAUGAAUAUAAAAUAUGACGACAACUAAUAUACGUUUCAUUCAUAUAUAAAUAUAAUAUAUGACGAAAGAUGAUGUAAAAAAUAUAUUUUAAGUAAGAAAACUUUAUUACGUGUAAUAUUUAUAUAUUAGCGAUACUUAAACUAUAAAAAAAGUUAAGCAUACGUUUUAUUCAUAAGUGAAUAACGAGAGAGCUGAAACUCUAAGAAAAAUAAUUUUUUUAUUAUCUUAAAACUAUAUCAAUAUGGAUGUCUAUUUAUAGAGAAUAAAAAAUUAUGUACUUUGACAUAUUUAAAAUAUUUUUUCGAUAAAAAUGGCUUUCUAAAAAUAAAAAUAAAAACAAAAAAUGAUAUGUCUUUUUGCGUAUAUUAAAGUAAUGAUUAUCAUAGUUUAAUGAAACAUAUUUGGUUGGAAAACACAUGUUUAUCCGUUAUUUAUUUCCGACGGUACGCCUAAGUGUUUUGCGGUAAAAUAAAUGUGUGGCUGAGAAUAAUUCCUCCAUUCUCAACUUUUUUUUUUCUCAAUUGAACCCUUCUUUGUUUAUAUAUAUAUAUAUAUAUAUAUAUAUAUAUNNNNNNNNNNNNNNNNNNNNNNNNNNNNNNNNNNNNNNNNNNNNNNNNNNNNNNNNNNNNNNNNNNNNNNNNNNNNNNNNNNNNNNNNNNNNNNNNNNNNNNNNNNNNNNNNNNNNNNNNNNNNNNNNNNNNNNNNNNNNNNNNNNNNNNNNNNNNNNNNNNNNNNNNNNNNNNNNNNNNNNNNNNNNNNNNNNNNNNNNNNNNNNNNNNNNNNNNNNNNNNNNNNNNNNNNNNNNNNNNNNNNNNNNNNNNNNNNNNNNNNNNNNNNNNNNNNNNNNNNNNNNNNNNNNNNNNNNNNNNNNNNNNNNNNNNNNNNNNNNNNNNNNNNNNNNNNNNNNNNNNNNNNNNNNNNNNNNNNNNNNNNNNNNNNNNNNNNNNNNNNNNNNNNNNNNNNNNNNNNNNNNNNNNNNNNNNNNNNNNNNNNNNNNNNNNNNNNNNNNNNNNNNNNNNNNNNNNNNNNNNNNNNNNNNNNNNNNNNNNNNNNNNNNNNNNNNNNNNNNNNNNNNNNNNNNNNNNNNNNNNNNNNNNNNNNNNNNNNNNNNNNNNNNNNNNNNNNNNNNNNNNNNNNNNNNNNNNNNNNNNNNNNNNNNNNNNNNNNNNNNNNNNNNNNNNNNNNNNNNNNNNNNNNNNNNNNNNNNNNNNNNNNNNNNNNNNNNNNNNNNNNNNNNNNNNNNNNNNNNNNNNNNNNNNNNNNNNNNNNNNNNNNNNNNNNNNNNNNNNNNNNNNNNNNNNNNNNNNNNNNNNNNNNNNNNNNNNNNNNNNNNNNNNNNNNNNNNNNNNNNNNNNNNNNNNNNNNNNNNNNNNNNNNNNNNNNNNNNNNNNNNNNNNNNNNNNNNNNNNNNNNNNNNNNNNNNNNNNNNNNNNNNNNNNNNNNNNNNNNNNNNNNNNNNNNNNNNNNNNNNNNNNNNNNNNNNNNNNNNNNNNNNNNNNNNNNNNNNNNNNNNNNNNNNNNNNNNNNNNNNNNNNNNNNNNNNNNNNNNNNNNNNNNNNNNNNNNNAAAAAAACGAUUUUUAUAAUUUUAUAAUCGAAAUAUGAGAGAAAAUACGGUGAAUAAGCCUCACAAUGCGGAGGACACCGCACAUCACAAGUGCGGAAAUAUGGUCUUCCUCCACAAUUGCUCAAGCCACGUGACUACACAUCAUAGAGUGAGAAGUGGGUAUACUCUCUGUCUAAAUGGUCCACACUUUCAUAACAAGAAGAGAUUUUAAUUUAUAAUACAUAUUGCAUAGUUGUUACGGUAUAGAUAUUAGUAUAAUUAUAUAUUAUUUAUUUAAUAAAUUAACUAUUAAUGAUGGUUAUAGUUUAUGAUUUUUGGUUUAAAUAAUAUGUGUUAAAUUAUUAGUAAACAACUUAAACAACUUAUGAGUGUUGAUUUUAUUUAUUCAUGAAAUAGUAUUUCUUAGAAAAAGAAUAUAAUAUAAAAUUUCAUGAUGAAAAUAGACAUGUCAAAUUGGAAGUGAGUGGUAACCCACUUGAUUAACAAUGUGUAUAACAAAAUAUUUGAAGAAGAGAUCUUGUCUUCCGUCUCACAUAUAUACUACGUCGUCAUUAAAAAAAAUACACAUGUUAAUUUAUUAACUGUAACAUCCAAAAAUCAUGACAAAAUUUUUAAUUUUUAAACCCAUUCUAAAAUCCAUAAAUUACAUAAAAACAUAUUUUCUCAAAACCAUAAUCAUGAAUCAGAGUAUCCAAAAAUCAUAAGUAAUACAAAAAUUCAGGAUGAUGUGCACAAUCACGCCUUAACAUUGCCCCUAUCAUCAGAUGUAUCUGAAACCAUAAAAUUAAAUCGUAAACCAGGGCUCAACGAGUUCCCCCAAAGUAACGCACACAACAAAACAUAUAUAGACAUUGCAUGAUGGGUCCACAGUCUCCCGACUAGAUUACCCCUGCCUACAGUCUCCCGAAUGGAUUGCCCCUCUGGCUCACAGUCUCCCGACUAGAUAGCCACUAGCUCACAGUCUCCUGUCUGGAUCGCGUUGGGUUUGUUGGCCUACAUCACAAAGCAAUGCCACCUCAACCCACCUAUAAUAUUUUGACAUAUGCAAUAUAUAAACAUAUAACCACCAAGUACAUGUAAUAAUACAGAUCUACUAAUCUAACAUAUAACCAGCAAAUACAAGUAAUCAUAUAAAUAUACUAGUCUAGCAUACAAUCAGCAUAACAUCAUCCUAUAUACCAGGAUACAUAACCUAGUAGGUCGGCAUAGGUACCUUCGACCCAUGAGUACAUUGAGGAAAACUCAACUCAAGGUCUGAAGGAUAGUUGAACUGAACGCUGCUCUAAAUAAUGGCUCUACAUGUCACCUAUAUAGCCAACAGGGACCAAACCUCAAUCUACAACUCAAGUUUUUCUAUUUGACCUAAAGUCAAACUUGGUCAACGGUCAAAGUCAAUGGUCAAUGGUCAAAAUCCCACCCAAAAGUCGCACAACCAUUCGUCACCUCGUGACCAUCUAAUGGUCACACCAUGGCCUAAUAAAACAAAAUAGUCGGGUUAUUCCAUUCUCGCAUCGUGAUAAGCGCUCUGAACAGCUUUAUGCAAUAAGCUCCUAAUCCUUUUAGACAAGCAACGAAAACUUCCAGAAUGUCUUAUCUACUUCAAAACAUCAUAAAGAUUGUGGCUUUUUGGACAUGCAUGUCCCAAACACAAGCUAGGACAGAAAAAGGAAGAAAUUGUAUUAGGAGCUCAAGCAAGAGUCUCAAAACCAAACCAUACUUUAGAUCCAACACUUAUAUCAUCAAAAUGGCAUUGGAGAUCCAUAAAGUUGGCAACUUUAUGGACCCCAACCACUAUAUCAAGAUAGACAUGAAAGAUAAUGCAUAGAAGUGUAGAUCUAAGCUUAUUACCUCAUAUAGUAUUGAACUUGGAAACUCACAAUGGUCCGAAAGGUGUAAAGAUGAAUGAUGGUGAGGCUUAAAUGAUGAGAUGGAGUACUAAAUGCUCUUCAUCUUCAUAUUCUUUGCUAGAAAUCACCACAAAUGAGCUCAAAUAACCUAUGGGGUGCUAGGGUUUUAAGGGGAAGUGUUAGGAGGAGAUGGAGGCUAAGGGUAGGCUAACUAUAGCCCUCACUUCCUUUAAAUAUACAAUCAAUACCCCCAAAAUUAGGUUUUGCAUCAAAGCCAUGUCUCACAUCGUGACCCAUAAGGGCUCACAUUGUGAGUCAUGAAGAUAUAUGUGCUUUUUCUAAAUGGGGUCACGUCAUGAUGAAGGGUUUUGAGCAUUCUAACACUCUUAUGGUGUACAUGCAACCCUAGAAACAUUGGAUCUAUGUUUGACUAAGAUACAUGCAAAUAAUUAUUUUUUUCCAAGGUUCUUAUCCUAACUAGCAUGGCAUGGGGUACUUGAAUCUAAUAAAGCUAGUACAAUUACUUACCUUGUAGUAGUAGUUGAUUGCUUGGAGUUUGAUAGCCUAGCACCAAUAAUGUGGAUGCCUCAAAUGGAAGUCACAAAUCACCACAAACUUGGAAACUUGAGAGAAUAGUCACUAACUUCUUCAAAUCGACCCUCUUAGUUUACACACAUCAACUAGUGCAAUUUCAAGAACCAAAGCCUCCUUUAUAUAGUGUGGUGGAUUAGGGUUACAUCCAUGUAAACCCUAAUACCCAUGUCUUUUCAUUUCCAUGAGAUCCAUGGGCUAAAGCUCCAUGGAGUAUCCAUGGACUUUCUAUGCAAGCCUAGCCCAUUCCAAAUAGGCAUUAUCCCACACCAUAUAAAUACAAAAGCCCAUAUUUAAUUAGUGAUACUUUUGAUCUCUAAAUUAAUUAUAGAUGAACACUAAUUAAAUAAUAUGAUUUUAUUUUAAUAUAUUAGAACUUAUGAUAUAUUAAUAAAUCAUAACUUAUACUAUUCUCAAAAUAUUAUCCAUAAAUUGUCCGGGUGAAGUGCAACCCAAAUGGACCAUGCCGGGUCGGGUCAAGUACAUACGGAAUAUAGUUAUGGACUUAGACACUAUAUCCAACAGUCUCCCACUUGGAUAAGUCUAAUAACUAUAGUUGCAAGUACGACUUCAGGAACCGAUCAACAAUCGUAGCUCUUAAAACUCUGUUGAGCUAUGAAGCGCCAUUUUAGAUAAGUGAUCAUAUAAUCCUCUGUUCUAGAUAUCAGUCGGACAAAUACAUGGCACAUGGUCUUCCUUAUUGUCCAACAUUUGUUUCCCGAUUUCCGAUUUGUUUGACAUAGAACUUAACUGAACACAUCAAUUUAGUUUUAACAGGGCCCGAUACAUAGGUCAAAACAAAAUCAUCGAGGGGCCUAGAUAUCGCUUCUAAUCCUAGAAGGAACAGAUAAACUUCGACUCAUAUGUUUGCUAUACUACUUGUUGAAUUACACACAAAGGCACGGUUUAUAACAUCGAGUUGCCAAUGUGUUUUUGUGCAAUCAAUGCAUAAGCAACAAAUCUUAUCUCUAGGUUUGAAGACUUAUAUGAUAUUACCGUCUCACGAUCACUCGAGAUAAAUUCCAUGAAGUGAUACCAGUGAGCGUGGGUUGAAUCCAAUACUCAGAACUUAUGAGCACUCAUGAGUGUUGUAGCCCCGCUUUGUCUAACAUCUUAGACCUCUACAAGCCAACCCAUGACAGUCUUGAUUCAUAUCAACUUCCAACAUAUGACCGACUGUGGAGAGUUUGAAUAAUAUGAUAUAUACCAUAACGUAAAUAUUCUGGAAGUGAAAACAUGCAAAAAGAAAUAAUAGUAAACGAUUGAUAAGAGAUAAUGUAACAUACACAUUUUGAAAUCGUGUUUUAUAAUGAAUAAUAUUAUGAAAUAUUAUGUGAAUUUGAAUGUUGAGUUCUAAUAGAUGGUUUUUACUAGAAAUAAAGUAAAACUAUGCUUAGAAUCAUUCAGAAAGUAUUGGAAGUCUUAUGAGAUUCCAAUCAAAUGUCUAAUGGUAAAAUUUAACGAAAAUAUAAAAUUUGGAAUAAGUAAAAUUUUAUUAUUGAAAAUUUUAGAUAAUCUUGUUAGAAACUUUUAGGCAAAAACCUCGUCAAAAUCCUAGUUAUAACGAAGAAGUUAUGACCAAUCGAAGAUCCGUGACAAAACCGGCACGGUGCCGAAUGACGUAAAAAGUAAGUUUUUGAUAAACUAGUUUUUAGCCUUAGUAAUCUAAAUGAAAUUCAUAGUAUUCGUUAAACCGAGAAGUUCGAUAAAAAGAACGCCAAAAUCUGACUUCGUAUGAGGAAGUUAUGAUUUUUCUAAGUUUCGGAAUAGCAGUAGACAACUAAAAACUCGAAUUUUAGAUUGAGUGAUUUUUAGCCGACACAACCUAAACCAGAAUUAAAGGUCUCGUUAAUAGUAGUACAACAGUAAAAAGUCUGACGAAAAAGGAUGUCGGAUGAAGAAGUUAUGAAUUUUUAACGGAUUUACCAGUCCCGGUCUGUUAAAAAUAAUAAUAUUAAAAAUAAAAUCAAAGUUAGCUGAAGAAGUCUAAACAAAAGUUAUAGAAUAUAUUCCCGCCUACGUGUGCAUAAAAAGAACGUCAAAAACGGAGCCCGUAUGCGAAAGUUAUGGAUUUUAGAAGUUUGGGCACAAAAUCCGAGGAAUUUCGCAUGCAUGGCUCGGAAUUGAUCAUGUACGAGCCUCGCAUGCAUGACGCGUGUCAGAUUGUGAUAGGACCGAAGGGAGGUCCAACCGAAGUCUUCUGAGUGUUGCAUACGUGGUGUGUCCGAAGUGAGCUAUGUCUCGCCUACGAGCUGCUGAUGCGCCUCCUAUACCUCGCCCCGUGUCACCCUUCCAAGCCUCGCACCUGGCCGCCUCACAUGUGCGACGUCUGGCCUCCGAAACUCGCUCCAGCAGCCACGUGUUCUUUUCCCUUCGGCCAAAGCUUCAGAUCUGAGCUCCUUCUCCCCUAUAAAUAGAGGGCCUGCAAGAUUGCCCGAGUAUUUUUAGGAAUUUGGCACUUUUUCACCCUAAUUUCAUAUUUUUGCUAUUUCAACUUUCCCCCGAAGCCCUGGUAUCAAUUUUAGCACCCGAAACACGUCCUGAAGUUCUUGAGAAACCUGAAAAAUUUAUCUUUUCGGUUUUGAAGCCCUACCUUUGCAGAGCCCGGUUUUCAAUUAAGCUCCCGGUUUUCAACAUAGAAAGUCAUACUUAAAGCCGAAGUGCUGCCCAAAUUUUUGACCCCCGGUUAAUUCAAGGUGAGUUCAAUAUAUAGGAACAAUUGUAUGUUAUGUGUUAUAUGUGCUAUGUGCUUUUCAGUGUUAUUAUUUCGGGUUAUUUUCCCGUGUUAUUUUCCCGUGUUAUUUUAUUCGCUAUUUUUAUAGCAGAAAUAAUACCUUUGACCAUGUGAUCAGUGAAAGGACUUAGAUUCACAUUGGUACUGGUACCCAGCCUCUGGCCAUAUAGAGCAUGUCUCCACAAGAAAAUGACUUCUAUUCUAUGGCAUUGACAAAUGGUUAGACAGGGCUAUAAGCCUGAAAUCUACCAAGAUGUUAAUCAGAAAUCUUAUGUCUUCUAUGCCAUUUGGGCCGAAGCUUUAUUGAUGUAUAUCAAGUAUGGAAAUUGUUAUGUCUCAUUGAUUGUAUAUCUUUGAAUCAAGGCAUUGAUUGAUAUGGAAAGCUUAACACAUGAUUCACAUAUGCCUUUGUUGUUCCUUGUUUCUCUUUGCUUCUGCCAUAUUGAAGUAUAUAUAUGACAUAACGUUAUAUUGUAUCUAUUAUUGAACUCACUAAGCAUCACCACUUACCCUAUCAAUGUUUAACAAUUGCAGGUGAUAAGUAACCAGUAUGAUCAUAUAUUGUUAAAAGAUUUAGAAUAGUUUGUGUUAGUACUUUUGUACUUCAGUUUAUGUUUGUAUAAAUUACAAUAUCCUUGGUAGUUAUGUAAUGUAUAACACUUUGUAAUAGUCGGUUUGUAUCUAGUAGUUUGUAAUCUCUUUAUCCAUGUAAAAUAUUGCUUUUAUAAAUAUGCAAGUAGCAUGUUUUAGAGUAAUAAUAUUGUGAAGUAUGAAAGUUUGGGUCUUUCAGAAAUACGAAAGUUGGGGUCUUUCAAUCAUGGUAUUAGAGCAGUAGUUUAAGUGAACUAAAUGACACGGAUUGGUAUUUAGACUUAAACUAUUGGAAGUUCAAUAUAUGAACUGAAUCAUUAUAAGUAUAUGGAUACAAACAAUUGGAAAGACUUAAGUGAAGUAUUAAGUUAUAAUAAAUCCUAAUAUUCUAAAAUACUAUAUUACUCCUAAAUUUCAGAACGAUGGCUGAACAAGUAAGUAGCCAUACCCUGAGGUUGGUGGAGGUCCUGAACCCGAGGAAGUGAAUACUCCAGUAUCUCCUCGUGAGGAGCGACUCUUGGGUAAACUUGAUGGUGUUAUUCGACAGACUCUUGAAGAACAUAAAAAGAAUGGUGAUAAAGGAAAAGAGAAAGCCACUGGAGAAUCUUCAAACGGAAAGGUGAAGCAUCCCUCGUUCAUAGAUUUCAAGAGUAGUGGUGCUAUAGAGUUUUCUGGUGUCCUUAAUCCCAUAGUUGUUCUAACUUGGAUUCAAAACACCGAGAAAGUAUUUUGUGUCUCUCAUGUGGAUGAUGAAAACAAGGCUAUCUAUGCUUCUGCAAUGCUCAUCGGAGAAGCCUUGGUCUGGGGGGAAGCAACAUAUGAAGCUCUUAACGGAUAUGACCAGGAAAAUUUAUCCUGGGAGUUGUUCAAAACUCGUGUUCUAGAAAAGUAUUGUCCUCUAGAUAUGAGGAGAAGAUUGGAGAAGGAAUUCCUCAAGCUUAAACAGGGAGGAAUGACUGUGAAUGAGUAUGAAAAUCAGUUCAAUCAAAAAGCAUGGUUUGCUGCAAAGUAUAUUCCAACUGAAGAUGAGAAAAUUUAGUUAUUCUUAGAGGGACUACGACAUGAAAUCCAUGAUUUUGUAGCCAAUCGAGAUGUUGUGUCAUUUGAUAAAUCUGUUGAGUAUGCUGGAAGGCGUGAGCAUGACUUAGAGAUACGUGGAGCCACUUUUACUGUUCUAAAGCAUCCACGUACUGAAAGAACUACUCCUGUUUCCACUAUCCCACCAGCUCAAUCUGUUCGAACUGAUCCUAGCAAGCAAGCAUAGUCUCAGAGUGCUUUUCGUGGCCGCGGCAGGUCACAAUCUUUUUUCAUUCAAUCGCCUUCAUGUCGCGUUUGUGGAAGGAAUCAUCCGAGUCAAUGCAAAAUAGACAAGGAAUCCAUUGUAUGUUAUGGGUGUGGAGAAACUGGUAAUAUAAAGCCAGCUUGCCCAAGGAAGGAUGUGACUUGCUAUGCAUGUGGUAUUCCUGACCACAAGAAGCGUUUCUGCCAUACUCUUACCAGCCAAAGGACGGGAAGUCAAGCUUCCGUCCAACAACAAAAGAAUACUCCAUCUAAAAAGGAGGAGGUGCCAAAAGCUAAGGGUCGUGCAUUCCAGAUUACCACAGAGGAAGCACGCCAGGACCUGAAUGUUGUGACGGGUACAUUUCUUGUAAACUCUAGACAUGCUCACAUCUUAUUUGAUUAUAGUACCUCAGAUUCUUUUGUAUCUUAUGAAUUUGUGCAUUCUUUUCAAACUACUUGCUAUGCACUCGUGCAACCAUUUUACGUAGAUACUGUGGGAAGUAUAUCAUUACUUGCGGAUAAAAUCUAUAGGGAUUGUAUCAUAGAAAUUGAAGGCUAUAAUUUUCUUGCAAACCUAAUCCCUAUCUCCUUACCCAAUUUCGAUAUUAUUCUCGGCAUGGAUUGGUUGUCAAAGAACCAUGCAGAACUCUUGUGUUAUGAAAAGAUCGUACACAUUCCUAUUGAAGGGGAAGAUCCUAUUCAUGUCUACGGUGAGCAAAGGAUCUUAAAAAUAAUCUCUUUCCUCAAAGCUCGUAAAUUUAUAUCGAAAGGUUGCCCUAUCUAUCUGGCCUAUACAGUUGACAUCUCAAGAAAGGAGAAUAAAACUGUAAAUGAUGUUCCCAUUGUUAACGUCCUGAUGUUUUCCCCGAUGAUCUACCUAGACUUCCUCCGGACAGGCAAGUAGAAUUCCGAAUUGACCUUGUGCCUGGUGCUGCUCCGAUUGCAAAGACUCCUUAUCGUCUUGCGCCAGCAGAGAUGAAAGAAAUGAUGAUCCAACUAUAGGAAUUACUUGACAAAGGCUUUAUUCGACCGAGUACCUCUCCCUGGGGUGCUCCGGUAUUGUUUGUCAAGAAGAAGGAUGGAUCAAUGCGGAUGUGCAUUGAUUAUCGUGAGCUGAAUAAGGUGACUAUCAUGAACAAGUACCCACUACCUCGCAUCGACAACUUGUUCGAUCAACUUCAGGGUGUUAGCUAUUUUUCAAAGAUUGAUUUGAGAUCUGGCUAUCAUCAGGUGAAAGUACAAGAGCAGGAUGUACCGAAGACUGCUUUCCGUACUCGUUAUGGGCAUUUCGAUUUCCUUGUUAUGCCAUUCGGUUUGACAAAUGCUCCUGCUAUAUUCAUGGAUAUGAUGAAUCGAGUAUGCCGCCUAAUGCUCGAUAAUUCUGUCAUCGUAUUCAUUGACGAUAUUCUAAUCUAUUCCAAGUCUGAGGCUGAUCAUGCCGUUCAUAUUCGUGAAAUCUUAGAACUUCUUCGAAAGGAGAAAGUUUAUGCUAAAUUCUCGAAAUGUGAAUUUUGGCUUCGCCAAGUUCAAUUUCUAGGCCAUGUUAUUUCUGGUGACGGUGUAUCCAUAGAUCCUACCAAAAUCGAAGCCAUUCAAAAUUGGGAAGUGCCCCGUAAUGCUUCCGAAAUUCAUAGUUUCAUGGGUCUUGCGGGUUAUUACCGAAGAUUCAUUAAAGACUUUUCUCGUAUAGCUGUAACUCUCACUAGUCUUACUCGAAAGGAAGCAAAGUUUGAAUGGGGCAAAGCCCAAGAAAAAGCUUUGUCAACUCUAAAAGAUCUUUUGACUCAUGCUCCGAUCUUAUCCCUCCCAGAAGGUGAUGAUGAUUUCUCCGUAUAUAGCGAUGCUUCAAGAUUGGGACUCGGUUGUGUGUUGAUGCAACGUGGUAAGGUGAUAGCCUAUGCCUCAAGACAAAUAAAAGAUUAUGAAAAUAAUUAUCCCACCCAUGAUCUCGAACUCGCUGCAGUGGUAUUUGCCCUAAAACUUUGGAGAGAUUAUCUUUUUGGUACGAAAUGCCAAUUGUUUACCGACCACAAGAGUCUCAAGUAUAUAUUCAGUCAGCAAACUAUGAAUAUGGGACAAGAACGAGCCAUGGAACUGAUAAAAGACUAUGAAUGCGAAAUCCUGUACCAUCCCGGAAAGGCUAAUGUGGUUGCAGAUGCACUUAGCAGGAAGGUUUAUCAUAAUAGUAUGUGUUAUACUAUAACUCACACUACGGUGAAGUUCACUAUUCUUGAUGAACUAGAGAAGUGGCAUGUUGAGGCCUUAAAGCCAAAAAAUGUAAAGAAGGAAGGAAUGGUACAUUAUGUUGAUGUUUUACUGGAUGAUCCACAAGGAUUAAAAGUAUUUAAGAAUCGGCUAUGGAUUCUAAAUAUUGGUGGAUUAAGGCAAAAGAUUUUAGAUGAAGCUCAUAAGUCUAAGCUGUCAAUACAUCCUGGUACAAGUAAAAUGUACUAUGAUGUAAGAGCUGAUUAUUGGUGGCCUGGAUUAAAGUGAGACAUUGGAAGAUAUGUACAAGAAUUCUUAGUAUGCUUACAAGUCAAAACAGAGCACCAAAAGCCUUACGGAACUCCAGAAAGUCUUAGUGUAUCUGUAUGGAAGUGGGAAGAGUUGUCCAUGCAUUCUAUUACCAAAUUGCCAAAGAUUGCUAAACAACAUGAUAUCAUUUGGGUAAUCAUUGACGGCCUGACUAAGAGUGCACAUUUUCUUGCUAUGCGUGAAACGGAUCCAAUGGAGAAAUACGCACAAGUAUACCUGGAUGAAAUUGUCGCAGGACAUGGUGUGCCGCUAAAGAUUAUUUCAGAUCGUGAUACUCGCUUCAUUUCUCAUUUUUGGGCGAGUAUGCAACGUGAAUUGGGAUCUCGAGUUGCCCUCAGCACAGCUUCUCAUCCCAGACAGACGGUCAGACGGAAAGAGCAAUCCAAAUAGUAGAAGAUAUGCUUCGUGCAUGUAUUUUGGAUUUCGGUGGUAACUGGGAUAAAUACUAACCUCUUGUCGAAUUUUUGUAUAAUAACAGUUACCACACUUCAAUCAAAAUGCCACCAUAUGAGGCAUUAUAUGGUCGCGAAUUCCGUACACCAUUAUGUUGGCGUGAUGUAGGACAAAAGAUCCUUGGAGGCCCUGAAAUGAUUCAAGACACAACCGACAAGAUUCAAAUCGUACGAGAAAGAAUGAAAGCGGCCUAGGAUCGACAGAAGUCCUAUAUAGAAAAGAGAAGACGACCCAUAGAAUUCCAAGUGGGUGAUUUCGUGAUGCUGAAGGUAUCCCCAUGGAAAGGCCUUAUGCGAUUUGGGAAGAAAGGAAAGUUGAGUCCUAGAUUUGUUGGUCCUUUCAAAAUCAUCUAGAGAAUUGGAAAGCAAGCAUACUGCUUGGAAUUUCCUGAAGAUUUGGUAGGUAUUCAUGAUGUGUUUCAUGUGAGUUAUCUGUGCAAAUGCUUGAGUAUCUAUGAUGAAACGGUUCCGUUAUCUGAGGUGAAAUUGGAUAAUAAGUUAAGAUAUGUCGAAGAGCCUGAAGAGAUCGUGAAUGAAUGAAAAACUAAGCUAUGUAAUAAAGAAGUAGAAUUGGUUCUUGUCAAGUGGAAACACCAUCGAGGCCCAAACUAUACUUCGGAGAAUGAGAAUGAGACAAGAGCGAAAUAUCCCCAUUUAUUUUAAUCGAUGUGAUUUCAGGGACGAAAUCCUCAAAAGGAGGAGGUAUUUGUAACAUACAUGUUUUGAAAUCUUGUUUUAUAAUGAAUAAUAUUGUGAAAUAUUAUGUGAAUUUGAAUGCUGAGUUCUAACAGAUGGUUUUUACUAGAAAUGAAGUAAAACUAUGCUUAGAAUCAUUCAGAAAGUAUUGGAAGUCAUAUGAGAUUCCAAUCAAAUGUCUCAUGGUAAAAUUUAAUGAAAAUAUAAAAUUUGGAAUAGGUAAAAUUUUAUUAUUGAAAAUUUUAGAUAAUCUCGCUAGAAACUUGUAGGCGAAAACCUCGUCAAAAUCCGAGUUAUAACGAAGAAGUUAUGACCAAUCGAAGAUCCGCGACAAAACUGGAACGACACCGAAUAACGUAAAAAGUACGUUUUUGAUAAACUAGUUUUUAGCCUUAGUAAUCUAAAUGAAAUUCAUAGUAUUCGUUAAACCGAGAAAUUCGAUAAAAAGAAGGCCAAAAUCUGACUUCGUAUGAGGAAGUUAUGAUUUUUCUAAGUUUCGGAAUAGCAGUUGACAGCUAAAAACUCGAAUUUUAGAUCGAGUGAUUUUUAGCUGUGACAAACUAAACAAGAAUUGAAGGUCACGUCAAUAGUAUUACAACGGUAAAAAGUCUGACGAAAACGGAUGUCAGAUGAAGAAGUUAUGAAUUUUUAACGGAUUUACAAGUACCGGUCUGUUAAAAAUAAUAAUAUUAAAAAUAAAUUCAAACUUAGCCGAAGAAGUCUAAACAACAGUUGUAGAAUAUAUUCCCAACUACGUGUGCAUAUAAAGAACGUCAAAAACGGAACCCGUAUGCGAAAGUUAUGGAUUUUAGAAGUUUGAGCACAAAAUCCGAGGAAUUUCGCAUGCAUGGCUCGGAAUUGACCACGUACGAGCCUCGCAUGCAUGACACAUGUCGGAUUAUGAUAGGACCGAAGGGAGGUCCAACCGAAGUCUUCUGAGUGUCGCAUACGUGGCGUGUCGAAGUGAGCCACGUCUCACCUACGAGCUGCUGGCGUGCUUGCUACACCUCGCCCCAUGUCACCCUUCCAAGCCUCGCACCUGGCCGCCUCACAUGUGCGACGUAUGGCCUCCGAAACUCGCUCCAGCAGCCACGUGUUCUUUUCCCUUCGGCCGAAGCUUCAGAUCUGAGCUCCUUCUCCCCUAUAAAUAGAGGGCCUGCAAGAUUGCCCGAGUAUUUUUAGGAAUUUGGCACUUUUUCACCCUAAUUUCAUAUUUUUGCUAUUUCAACUUUCCCCCCGAAGCCCCAAUAUCAAUUUUAGCACCCGAAACACAUCCUGAAGUUCCAGAGAAGCCCAAAAAAUUUACCUUUUCGGUUUUGAAGCCCUACCUUCGCAGAGCCCGGUUUUCAAUUAAGCUCCCGGUUUUCAACAUAGAAAGUCAUAUUUAAAGCCGAAAUGCUACCCAAAUUACUAUUUUGACCCUCGGUUAAUUCAGCAUGAGUUCAAUAUAUAGGAAUAGUUGUACGUUAUGUGUUAUAUGUGCUAUGUGUUUUUUAGUGUUAUUAUUCCGGGUUAUUUUCCCGUGUUAUUUUAUUCGCUGUUUUUAUAGAAAGUAAUACCUUUGACCAUGUGAUCAGUGAAAGGACUUAGUGUAACUCCCAGUUCCUGGUACAUAUUUAUUUUUGGUUAAAAGUUCUUUUUGGAAGAGCUACUAGGCGAUUUGUAGCCCUAACUCGCCGAGUAGAUGUCGAGAUGGGUGCGGGCUUUAAGUGAUCUACUCGGCGAGUCCACGCCUGGACUCGACGAGUAGGCCAAUCAGGAGGAGACCCAAAUCCUUAGGGUUUGCACCCUAUUUAAACACCCUUAUAGCCCCAUAUCAGCCUCUAUCAUCCUCAGAGCAUUCCUGAUCGAAACCCUAGCCUCCAUUGGCAAGUUUGAGUGAUUGUUGUUUUGUGAAGGGACUUUUGGGGCACUUUGGAGCAAGUGGAAGAAGAGAGAGAUUGAAGAGGUCAAGGAAGGGGACUUAGAUCCAGAGCACGUGCAUUUGUAGUCAUCCAUUCUGGUAAUAAAUUUCCCAUCUUGAUUAUUGAUUUAUUAGAUCUUGUUUGUCCCUAAAUUGUUGCUUUUAAGCCCUAAAACCCCAAAUCCGUGAAGAGAAACCUUAUGGUUGGGUUACACUCCAGAUCUAGACCUUAUGGACAUGUUAGAAGCAUAAAGUUGCUGUGGUUGAAGUGAUUGUGCAUGACCCCUUAAAGGACUUGGAAUUGUAUUUUUGAGCUUAUAGGGCCAUGCAUGCACGUAAAGGUUGCAACUUUAUGUGUUAAGCAUGCCCUAGGAUCAUGGAUAUGUGGUUUUGAAGCGUUGCAUGUCUCUGUUUCGGCUUAUAUGGAAAUUGGGUCAAGGGAUUCGGCGAGUCCCAAGGUGGAACUCAUCGAGUUCUAUGAAGAUGGCCUUAGACUCGGCGAGUUGGAAGAACAACUCGGCGAGUCCUAUGAAUAUUGCCUGGUACUCGACGAGUUGUUCAUACAAAUCGGCGAGUAGGAUGAAGGACUAUUGGACUUUGGUUUAGAAGGAAAACUCGUCGAGUCAACACUUAGCUCGACGAGUAGAGACGGGUUUAUGGUUGGACAAAAGGGUAGGGACUCGACGAGUUGGCAAGCCAACUCGGCGAGUCGGGUCAACUGACAGUUGACUUUGACCUUAACUCUUGGUAUGAUUAGGGGGUAAAUGGUCAUUUUACCCUAAGGUUGGUUAGUAGUAUUUGACUAAGUGUUUUGUGGGAAUUGUAGCCAGAGGAUUUCUGGGACAGCAACAUCAGAAGACAGUCAGUUCCCACGCAGACCAGUAGCUACCUUUCGAGGUGAGUUUCCUUCCAGUAGGAACGGGUCUAAGGCACUAGAGUCGGACCGUAUAAGCGAUAGGAUAGUAUUGGAGUGUGGGCAGAGCCCGUAUCUCUUAGAUGAGUUUGAUAAUGCUAUAUGCUGGCUUGGUAGAAUUGUUUAUACUCGUUGUUUGUGGGAUACUUGUAUGUUAUGGUCUAGAUAGUGGAGUGUGGGUGAGGCCCGUAUCUCCUAACUGUUAACUAUAUGGUUGUAUGGUAUGGGGUAUUAUAGGGGAACUCACUAAGCUUUGUGCUUACAGUUUUCAGUUUUGGUUUCAGGUACCUCUUCUUCGAAGGGGAAGGAGCUGGCGCGGUAGCAGCACAUCACACACAUGCCUCGUAUUCCGCACUAUGAGAUCUUCCUGGGGAUUUAUACUCUGAUAUUAUUAUUAUGUUUUAUAAAACAUUUUCCAGACAUGAGACAUCUUUUAUGAAAUGAUAUGAUCGGUGAACAUUUUAUUUCUAAUGCUUUGCUAAGUAUAUGUUUUUAAAAUGAAAAUUUUGGCCUGUAUUUUUGGACCUCAUGAACUACGUGUGCCGACCGAUGCUGGACCGAUCUGUGAUAGUUUUCAUUGAUGACAUUUUGGUUUAUUCCAAGACGCAGGAGGAGCACGAGGAGCACCUGAGGGAGGUUUCGGAGACCCUGAGGAGGGAGAGCUUGUACGCUACGUUCUCCAAGUGCGAGUUCUGGUUGCGUGAGGUGCAAUUCCUUGGGCACCUCGUCAACCAAAAUGGUAUACUGGUCAACUCGGCCAAGAUCGAGGCCAUAAUGAGAUGGGAGGUUCCGAAGUCUCCAUUCGAGAUUCGGAGUUUCCUAGGUUUAGCAGGCUACUAUCGGAGAUUCAUCCAUGAUUUCUCCAAGAUAGCCGUACCCAUGACACGGUUGACUAAGAAAGCCGUGGUCUUUCGGUGGGGGCCUGAGCAGCAGCCAGCAUUCGAGACUCUCAAACAGAGAUUGUGCGAGGCGCCAAUAUUAGCCCUACCUGAGGGCGUAGAAGAUUUUGUGGUAUACUGUGACGCGUAUAUUUCGGGGUUGGGCGCGGUACUGAUGCAGAGGGGGCAUGUCAUUGCCUAUGCUUCGAGGCAGCUGAAGCCUCACGAGGCGAACUACCCGACGCAUGAUUUGGAGCUGGGGGCGGUGGUCUUCACCCUCAAGAUUUAGCGGCAUUACCUCUACGGGGUUCGAUGUACCAUUUACACGGACCACAAGAGUUUGAGGUACCUCAUGGAUCAGCCGAAUCUGAACAUGAGGCAGCGUCGGUGGUUGGACGUGGUGAAGGAUUAUGAUUUUGAGAUCCUUUAUCACCCGGGGAAGGCCAAUGUGGUGGCCGAUGCGCUUAGCCAUAAGGCGGCAUCGAUCUGGGAUGUAUGUAUGAGAAUGACGGUAGUGACUCCACUGUUAGAGCAGAUUCGGGAAGCUCAGUAGGAGGCUAUGAAGGAGGAGCAUCGGAAAAGCAAGCGGAUAGUGGGUCAAGUCACCUCCUUCGAUUAUGAUAGCCGAGGAUUAUUGACACUACACCAUAAGGUGUGGGUGCCGUAUCACGGAGGCGUGCGCCAGAUCUUGAUGGAAGAGGCGCACAAAUACCGAUUUUCUAUCCAUCCAGGGGCAACGACGAUGUAUAGGGAUCUUCGUCUAGACUAUUGGUGGCCCUACAUGAAGUGGGAUGUGGCUUGGUACGUUGAGCGGUGCUUGACCUGCAGGAAGGUCAAGGCCGAACAUCAGAGACCGCACGACAAGAUGCAACCGUUGGACAUCCCGUUGUGGAAAUGGGAAGAUAUUACGAUGGAUUUUAUCACAAAGUUUCCAGGACCGCACGGGGAGUAGAUUCGAUUUGGGUCAUCGUGGAUCGAUUGACCAAGAGCACCCAUUUUAUUCCGAUCCAGGAAAGUAUCUCGGCCGAAAAGUUGGCCAAUAUCUAUAUCAGGGAGAUAGUGGCGCGGCACGGGGUGCCGGUGUCCGUAAUAUUAGACAGAGAUGUGUGGUUCACUUCCAGGUUUUGGAAGAAGUUUCAUGAUGAGUUGGGCACUCGUCUGCAUUUUAGCACCGCCUUUCAUCUGCAGACUGACGGUCAGAGCAAGCGCACCAUCCAGACUCUAGAGGAUAUGUUGCGAGCGUGCGUGCUAGACUUCGGUGGUAGUUGGGAUACCUAUCUUCCCUUGGCUGAGUUUUCGUAUAACAACAGCUACCAUGCGAGUAUUGACCGCUCUCCUUUCGAGAUGCUCUAUGGGAGGAAGUGCAGGACCCCGAUUUGUUGGGGCGAGGUCAGUCAGCAUGUCAUCGGGAGCACCGAAGUGGUGCUCAAGACGACAGAGUCGAUCCAGCAGGUUCGUAGCAGACUGCAGACUGCGUAGAGUCGGCAGAAGAGUUACGCCGACAGAAGACGCCCAAACUUGGAGUUUCAGGUGGGUGACAUGGUCCUCCUAUAGGUAUCACCUUGGAAGGGUGUCAUUAGGUUCCGGAAAAAGGGCAAGUUGGGCCUCAGGUUCAUUGGUCCUUUUAGGGUUUUGGCUCGGGUGGGUCGGGCCGCCUAUAGGUUGGAUCUACCAACAGAGCUUAGCCAGAUCCACAACACUUUUCAUGUCUCUCAGUUGAGAAAGUGUUUGGUGGACGAGUCGGCAGUUGUACCCUUGGAGGAUAUUCAAGUUGAUUGCAACUUGAAUUAUAUCGAGAGACUAGUUGCGAUCUUAGAUCGAAAGACGAAGACCUUGAGGAACAAGGUGGUUCAGUUGGUGAAGGUGCAGUGGCAGCACCGGAGGGGUUCAGAGAUGACAUGGGAGGAGGAGGAGGAGAUGAGGGAGCAUUACCCAGAGUUGUUUCUGGAGUCAGCAGACUUUGAGGACGAAGUCUAAGAUAAGUGGGUUAGAUUUGUAACGCCCAGUUCCUGGUACGUAUUUAUUUUUGGUUAAAAGUUCAUUUUGGAAGAGCUACUCGGCGAGUUGUAGCCCUAAAUCUCCGAGUAGAUGUCGAGAUAGGUGCGGGCUUUAAGUGAUCUACUCGGCGAGUCCACGCCUGGACUCAACGAGUAGGCCAAUCAGGAGGAGACCCAAAUCCUUAGGGUUUGCACCCUAUUUAAACGCCCUUAUAGCUCCAUAUUAGCCUCUAUCAUCCUCAGAGCACUCUUUAUCGAAACCCUAGCCUCCAUUGGCAAGUUUGAGUGAUUGUUGUUUUGUGAAGGGAUUUUUGGGGCACUUUGGAGCAAGUGGAAGAAGAGAGAGAUUGAAGAGGUCAAUGAAGGGGACUUAGAUCUAGAACACGUGCAUUUGUAGUCAUCCAUUCUGGUAAUAAAGUUCCCAUCUUGAUUAUUGAUUUAUUAGAUCUUGUUUGUCCCUAAAUUGUUGCUUUUAAGCCCUAAAACCCCAAAUCUAUGAAGAGAAACCUUAUGGUUGGGUUAUACUCCAGGUCUAGACCUUAUGGACGUGUUAGAAGCAUAAAGUUGCUGUGGUUGAAGUGAUUGUGCAUGACCCCUUAAAGGACUUGGUUCUAAGGCACUAGACCUGUAGCUACCUUUCAAGGUGAGUUUCCUUCAAGUAGGAAUGGGUCUAAGGCACUAGAGCCGGACCUAUAAGCGAUAUGAUAGUAUCAGAGUGUGGGAAGAGCCUGUAUCUCUUAGUUAAGUUUGAUAAUGCUAUAUGCUGGCUUGGUAGAAUUGUUUAUACUCGUUGUCUGUGUGAUACUUGUAUGUUAUGGUCUAGAUAGCGGAGUGUGGGCGAGGCUCGUAUCUCCUAGAUAGCGGAGUGUGGGUGAGGCCCGUAUCUCCUAGAUAGCGGAGUAUGGGCGAGGCCCGUAUCUCCUAACUGUUAACUAUAUGGUUGUAUGGUAUGGCGUAUUAUGGGGGAACUCACUAAGCUUUGUGCUUACAGUUUUCAGUUUUGGUUUCAGGUACCUCUUCUUCGAAGGGGAAGGAGGUGGCGCGGUAGCAACACAUCACACACAUGCCUCGUAUUCCGCACUAUGAGAUCUUCCUGGGGAUUUGCACUCUGAUAUUAUUAUUAUGUUUUAUAAAACAUUUUCCAGACAUGAGACAUAUUUUAUGAAAUGAUAUGAUCGGUGAACAUUUUAUUUCUAAUGCUUUGCUAAGUAUAUGUUUUUAAAAAUGAAAUUUUUGGCCCGUAUUUUUGGGAUGUUACACUUAGAUUCACAUUGGUACUGGUACGCAACCUCUGGCCAUGUAGAGCAUGUCUCCAUAAGAGAGUGACUUCUAUUCUAUGGCAUUGGAAAAUGGUUAGACAGGGCUAUAGGCCUGAAAUCUACCAAGAUGUUGAUCAGAAAUCUUAUGUAUUCUGUGCCAUUUGGGCCGAAACUUUAUUGAUGUAUAUCAAGUAUGGAAAUUGUUAUGUCUUAUUGAUUGUAUAUCUUUGAAUCAAGUCAUUGAUUGAUAUGGAAAGCUUAACACAUGAUUCACAUAUGCCUUUGUUGUUCCUUGUUUCUCUUUGCUUCUGCCAUAUUGAAGUGUAUAUAUAUAUAUAUAUGUGUGUGUGUGUGUGUGUGUGUGGCAUAACGUUAUAUUGUAUCUAUUAUUGAACUCNGGCAUAACGUUCUAUUGUAUCUAUUAUUGAACUCACUAAGCGUCACCGCUUACCGUAUCAAUGUUUAACAAUUGCAGGUGAUAAGUAACCAGUAUGAUCAGAUACUGUUGAAAGAUUUAGAAUAGUGUGUAAUAGUACUUUUGUACUUCAGUUUAUGUUUGUAUAAAUUACAAUAUCCUAGGUAGUUAUGUAAUAUAUAACACUUUGUAAUAGUCGGUUUGUAUCCAGUAGUUUGUAAUCUCUUUAUCCAUGUAAAAUAUUGCUUUUAUGAAUAUGCAAGUAGCAUGUUUUGGAGUAAUAAUAUUGUGAAGUAUGAAAGUUUGGGACUUUCAGAAAUACGAAAGUUGGGGAAUUUCAGAUAGCAACACUUUACUCAUAAAUAACAACUUUUAUUUAUCAUCAAAUGUGAAUUACACUUUACAAAUUUCAAAAUUACCUGACUUCUAAAAACUAACAUCAUCUCUUAUCCCUAUGCUCCUAGCAUGCUGAAGAUGCUUAACCCUACUCAGUCCCUUCGUGAGGGGAUCUGCUGGGUUCUCAUCCGAUGAUACCCUCUUUUCCACGAUGAUUCCUUCUUCUAUUCGAUGUGUGAUGAAGUGAUAUUUUCUGUUAAUGUGUCUGGAUCUCCCAUGAUCUCUUGGUUCCUUGGCUAAGGCAACUGCACUAUUGCUGUCAUAGAAAAUCUCCAUUGGCUCCUUUAUAGCUGGUACAACUCCAAGGUCUCCGAUGAAGUUCUUUAGCCAUAUAGCCUCCUUUGCUGCCUCGCUUGCUGCUAUAUACUCUGAUUCACAAGUGGAAUCUGCCCCUGUAUCUUGCUUGGAACUUUUCCAAGUAAUUGCCCCUCCAUUUAGGGUAAGGACCCAGCCCGACUGAGAGCGGAAAUUAUUCCUGUCAGUCUGAAAGCUAGCAUCACUAUACCUUGCGACUUUCAAGUCAUCACUCCCACCAAGGGUAAGGACCCAGUCCUUAGUCCUUUGCAGGUACUUGAGAAUAUUCUUUACCGCUAUCCAAUGAGCCUUUCCAGGAUUCCCCUGAUAUCUGUUGACCAUGCUCAAAGAAAAGGCAACAUCAGGACGAGUACAAGUCAUAGCAUACAUGAUCGAGCCUACAGCGAAAGCAUAAGGCACUCAACUCAUCUCAACUAUUUCAGCCUCUGUACUCGAGCUCUGAGUUUUACUCAUUCUAGCAUUACACUGGAUAUGUAACUCACCUUUCUUGGAAUUAUGCAUGUUGAACCUUUUCAACACUUAGUCCACAUAGGUGCUUUGACUAAGUCCAAUUAGUCUUUUAAUCCUGUUUCUCAAAAUCCUUAUCCCUAGGAUAUAAGCAGCUUCUCCAAGGUCCUUCAUAGAGAAACACUUCCCAAGCCAGGACUUGACUUCCUGCAGAGUUGGGAUGUCAUCUCCUAUGAGUAGUAUGUCAUCCACAUACAAUACCAAAAAGCUAAUUAUACUCCCACUAGCCUUGACAUAUACACAAGAUUCAUCUUCGCUCCUCGAAAAGCCAAACUCUUUGACUUUCUCAUCGAAACAAAGAUUCCAUCUGCGAGGUGCUUGUUUCAAUCCAUAGAUGGAUUUCUCAAGCUUACACACUCUAUUAGGGUACUCUGUACUGACAAAACCCUCUGGCUGAACCAUGUAAACAUCUUGAGCCAACUUUCCAUUAAGGCAAGCGGUUUUGACAUCCAUUUGCCAUAUUUCAUAGUCAUGAAAUGCAGCAAUGGCUAACAGAACCCUAAUAGACUUAAUCUUGGCCACUGGUGAAAAGGUCUCAUCAUAAUCAACUCCCAUAGUUUGAUAAUAACCCUUUGCAUCCAGUCGUGCCUUGUAAGUGUGUACAUUACCAUUCAUGUCGGUCUUUUUCUUGAAGAUACAUUUGCACCCAAUUGUCUUACAAUCAGGUACAUUGUUAACCAAGUUCCAAACUUGAUUGUCAUACAUGGAUUGUAUCUCGCUAUUCAUAGCCUCUUUCCAUUUAGCAGCCUCAGGGCCUACCAUGGCUUCCGUGUAGCUGUUAGGCUCAUCCAGAUUUACCAGUAUGUUAUCACUGAUAUGUGUAUCACCUUCUGCAGUAAUAUGGAAACCAUAAUAAUGCUCAGGUGCAUUCCUAACUCUGGUGGACUGCCUCAGAGGUACAUAUUCUUCAGUCGGCUCAAUAGGAGUUUUCUCCUCAGGUUAUGGGCUAGGGGUUUAGGUUCCUUCACCACUUGACUCUUGAAUUUCCUCAAGGUCAAUUUGCCUCCCACUGUCUCCUAGGCUUAGGAAUUCUCUCUCUCUCUCUCUCUCUCUCUCUCUCUCUCUCAGGAUUCCUCUUCUUGCUACAAAGACCACAUUAUCAUUGGGUCUAUAGCAGAUGUAACCGAAGCAUUUCUGUGGGUAGCCGAUGAAAAUACACCUCUCACUUCGAGGUUCGAGCUUAUCGUGAGUCUCGCGUCUCACGAAAGCCUCACAGCCCCAAAUCUUGAUGUGGUCUAGAUUCGAAACUUUUCCAGUCCACAUCUCGUGAGGUGUUUUAGCAACCUUCUUUGUAGGGACUAGAUUAAGGAUAUGGGCGGCAGUCUCUAAGGCAUGACCCCAAAAUGAGAUUAGUAGCAAAGCUCGACUCAUCAUGGAACGAACCAUGUCCAAUAAGGUCUUAUUGCGCCUCUCAGUUACAUCAUUCAACUGUGGUGUCCUAGGAGGUGUUAAUUGUGAGACAAUCCCACAUUCCUUAAGAUAGUCAAGGAACUCAAUACUAAGAUACUCACUAACUCGAUCGGAUCAAAGCAUCUUAAUGUUCCUGCCCAACUGAUUCUCCACUUCUUGCUUAAACUCUUUUAAUUUUUCAAAGGUUUCUGACUUAUGCUUGAUUAAGUAGACAUAUCCAUAUCUACUAAAAUCAUCAGUAAAAGUCACAUAGAAGCGAUUAGCAUCUCUUGUGGCGGUUCGGAAGGGUCCACACACAUCUGUGUGUAUGAGGUCCAACAAACCUUCACCCCUAGCACAAGUGCCAGUAAAAGGUGACUUUGUCAUUUCACCAAGCAAACAAGAUUCACAACUAUCAUCCGACCUUAGGUCAAAUGACUCCAUGACUCCAUCCUUUUGGAGUUUGCCUAUGCGUUUCUUGCUUACAUGUCCAAGACGACAAUGCCAUAAAGAUGCUUUAUCUAAGCUAGUGGAAGAGUCAAUACACAAUACGUUAUUUUCUGGGUUAUCUACAACAGAUACAGUUUCAUACACACCAUCAGAAGGUAAUGCUAUAAAAUAAAGAACAUUAUUAAAGAAAGCAUCAAUACCACCAUUAUUAUUAUCAAAAUAAAAGGUACAACCUUGUUUAUAUAAUGAAUGAAAGGAAAUAAUGUUUCUUACCAUUUCUGGCGAAUAAUAACAUUUAUUAAAAUCUAAUGCAAACCCACUAUUUAGCAAUAAGGAAUAAACUCCUAUCUUGGUGACAGGUGAAGCUUUCUUGUUCCCCAUGAUCAAGUUUAUCUUUCUCUGCUCCACAUUCUCACUUCUUCUUAGUCCCUGCAAAUCAGAACAUAUGUGAAUACCACAACCUGUAUCAGAACCCAAGACUUAGAAUGAGGUGAGUUAUUAGACAAUAUAGUGUAUAUACCUGCAUGGUUAGGUUUUACUUUCCCAUCCUUCACAUCUUGCUGUUCUUUGGGCAGUGUCGCUUCCAGUGCGACUUUUCAUGGAAAUAGAAGCAUUCAGCCUCACUAGGGUUAGCAGAAGGAGUGACAAAAACUUUCUUGGUUUUGCUUGAAGAGGAGCCUUCAAGGGUCUUUGGUACCCUUAGAAGGGUUCUUUCUCUUCUUCCCUUUGCCAUACCAGAUUGCCACGACAUUGGCCGCAGUUGGAGUAGGAGGAGUAGUAACACCCAACUUGCCUUUAAGACUACUUUCUGCAGUCUUUAAAAGCCCUUGACGUUUACUAAUUGUAACUUCUUCCUUGUUCAUGUGGUAUGUCAUUCUAAAUUGAUCAUAACAUGAAGGUAAGGAGUGCAAAAUGGUAUCUAUUUCCAUAUCCUCAAGAAAGUCAACAUUUAGUUUCUUCAAACGAUCCACAAACCUUUGCAUUUUCUGCAUGUGGGCCGUGAUGGUCUCACCAUCCUUCAUUCGGGUAGUUAUCAUGGAGGAGAUAAUUUCAUACCUUUAUUGAUGAGCACUUUGAUGGUAGCGGUCCAUCAAAUCCAUGUACAUCUCAAAAGGGUAGUGGUCCUCAUAGGACUUUUGGAGCUCAGCUGUUAUAGUGUCCAUCAUGAUGCAUGGUACCUUAGUAGCAUCCCGUUCAUGUUCCUAAAAUGCAACAAUCUCCUAUGGAGUAGCAGUUGACUAAUCAAUCUCCUUUAGCUCCUUGUCAAGGACAUAUUCUCUGUCCUCAUAAUGAGUGACCAUCCUGAUGUUUCUGAUCCAAUCCAUAAAGUUGGAUCCAUCAAAGAUGACUCUCCUACAAAGAUUCAUGAGAGAGAAGGAGCCAGUAGGGUUUGAGCCAGAAGCCUUGUUAUUGGAAGACUUCUAAAAAGAAGAAAGAAUAGAUUAGAUUAGAUAUAAAGAUAGUCCUUAAUACACCCAAAUGUAAUAUUAAGGCUAGGACCCAACACAAUAUUUUAUAACUUAGAAGAAGGAUGCCAUAAUCUAAGCUAUAAGAUAUUUGAAGGUGAGUGAAUGACGAUUCAUCAAUUUCCACAUUGAAAAACGAAACAUUUAAUUAGGUUUUAAUUAGUUUAGAAACUCGUAGAUUCUUUGAGAUUUAUUAAACUUUUCAAUGGCAUGUUUCAAUCUCGAGUGUGCCCUUCAAGUUUUGUGACUGUGAUGCUGAGGAUCACAAAACAAGGUGUGGAGUAACCAUGCAAGUUACUUGGUACCCUUAAUGUACUACCCCUCAAUCGAUGUUCUGGUUAACCACACACACUCCAUCGAUACUAUGAUAAACAUUAAGUCACCCUUUUCCUACCUUGAUAAGUGUAUGUUAGUGUGCCGGUUAACCACACACGCUCCACUAAUGACUUAAUCAAAGUGCAAAGUGUAAUUUCAAGGAUUCGAACCUUAUUCACAUUUUCCUAAAGUAACUAAGAUUGGGAAUUUAAUAAAGUUUUAGUUACUUUAGUAUAUGAAGAAAUGAGGAAAAUUCAGUAAACCUAGACUAAAGUAGUCCAAGUGUUGAAAAUACUGAAACCGAGUUUCAGAAUCGUCAAGUGGUAUUAGUGCAGAAAAUAAAGAGUUGUGAAUCAAUCAAGUUAAUAGAAAAACGUUUUUUUAAUGUUCAAUGUCAAUGAUUUUAAUGUUUCUCAUAUUCAUGAAGAUUCAAUUACAAAUGUUUGAAUGUAAAACACACUAAGACACUCAAAUCGCUCUCUGAAGACUAGUCUAGGCAGCAAUUGUGUAGAAUGAUUUGAAAUGAGCAAGAAAGAGCUAGGAAGAGCAAAUUUAUAAUGGAUCCCAAGGGGCCUAUUUAUAGGAUUUGGAAAAGCCCAUGACAUGGCUUGACCAAUCAGGUGUUGACACGUCAUCAUGACUUAGUCAUCAGUUGACACCUUUGCUCUACAUAACGGAGAAUGGAUGGAAUAUUCCAAUUCCGUUAAUAUUCUUUUAGGGUUCCAUCCAAGUUAUGAGUCUUCAUAAUUCUUGAACCUUCAUGAUCAACAAUGAAAAUGUCAUGAGCAUCAUGUUGCUCAAUUGUCUUCUUAGAUGUCAUCAACUUCUAGAAGUGUUGUUGAUGAUGUCAAGUAGUUUCUUGAAUGUUGAACUGUGUCUUGAACUUGAAGAUGUACCACCACAUGUUCAUGAUGAGUCAUGGACGAAAUUCAUGUUCCUUUGAGCAUUUGGAUGUGCCUUCAUUCUACAUGAUGAGUCAUAUGCAGACUUGUUGAGCCAUCAAUGUGAUCAUGCUGAUCAAUUGACUUGAGUUGAACCACCAAGUGUUCUUGUUGAGCCAUCAACUCUUGUUGAGUCAUAGAGUUGUGAAUGAGUCAAUGAUGUUUCUGAUAAGCCAUCAAUACUCCAAAUGAUCCAUCAGUGUCUUGAUGCUCCAUAUAUUAUCUAGAUGUGCCAUCUGAGAUCAUGAUGAUCCAACAAGCUUUCAGCAAGUGAUCCAUGUUCAACUUCAAGUGCUCCAAUAUCUGAUUCUUCAAACACUUGUUGAAUCUUCUGUAUCUUUCCAACCUAAAACAUUCUGAUAAUGUUUGUUAGAGAGAUAUAUAAAAGGACUCAACUUAUUUCAAGUGACAAUCACAUCAAAAUAUUUCCAAUAGUAUAUUCAUCAUACUUAAAUGAGAAUUAUAGUCCUUGUCUUACCUUUUCGGCUAACGACCCUCCACCGAUCAAGGAAGCGGUGGGUGAGAAUAGACACCCAUUAAGUUGCCAUUUUAUAGGCAACAACAUUACACCCCCUUAUAGACUGUGACAUCCCCAUUUUCAUGGCCAGAAAAGACCAAUUUUUUGUUUAAGCUUUAUAAAAAUCAGAGUACCUCUAUUAAUAAAAGUGUUGCGGAAUUUGUUCCCAGUAAAACAUGAUAAAUAUGUUAUCAAAGCAUUUUUGAAGAAAAGUAUUUUUAUUCAUUUUAAAACAUUUGGGAUGUUAUCGUCAAUACAGAAACAUAAGCAUAAACAGAAUUUACAUUCAUUAUUACUAGUGAUUUAUAUCUCCUUAAUCUCUCAGUGUAGUGUAACUUCAUAUCGAAACCUGUGAUAUAAAUAAAAUGAGUAGGNCAAAGCCUGUUAUAAAUAAAAUGAGUAGGUCAGGUUGGGAAACCUGGUGAGUACAUAGGGUUUUCAACCCACAAUAGAAUAAUUAUUAUGUUUGAACAUCAAACAAUCAACCCAAUUACCCAUCUCCUUUAUCUACUUUACUCUUAAGGAUCUACCCUAAGAAUCAACUAUUCCUCGUUCAUUCAUUCCUGAGGAUCAUCCUAAGGAAUCGACGCGAAGUCCAUCAUUGCCACGGUUUACACGAUGGGCACUAAGUUUUCAUAGUCACCAGGGUUUAGGCAUCAAGUCUGCAUGAUCACCAAGGUUUAGGCAUUAAGUCUGCAUGAUCGCCAAGGUUUAGGCAUCAAGUCUGCAUGAUCACCAAGGUUUGGGCAUCAGGUCUGCAUGAUCACAAAGGUUUAGAGUACACCGGGUGAACACAUCGUUCACAACACCUACAGGUUGCGAGCCUGCUAGUGUUCCACUGGACUGUUUAGAAUAGUCCGUGGUUAUUAUCCAUACUUUGCUGAAUGACGAGGCCAUCAUUUGGGAAAGGCUUCUCAAAUCGUCCACCUCUCACCCUCACCUCGUGGUCUUUAACACCUCUCAACUCAUCAUCCAACUCAUAUUCCAUCUAUUACAUCUACCCAUGUUUUACGUCAACAUUAUCGUAGAUAUAAAAUACGUAUACAGUUUAAAUCAUUUAAAACAUGUAUAAAAUCAUUCAUCCAGCAUAGACAACAAGUACUCAGAUAAUAUGCACACAGAGCACGUAAUUUAUAUAAAAUAAUUCAUAUCUAUGUGUAAGAUGAAAGUAACUAUGCACUCACUUGAUUAGGUGGUGACUUGGCAGUAGGAUAGCACUUCUUUACUCUUAAAAUAAUUUUCCUCGACAAAACCUAGUAUCAUUACCACUAGAGUUUAGUCUAACGUUAACUGUGACUAAUUAAUAGUUUAGCUAUCUUUUCUUGGCACUCCGGGAGCCUCGGGGCUUCCUUCGCAUGCUAGGUAGGUUCCCUAGGCUUUUUGGGGGGUUUCGGGGGGGGGGGGGGGAANUAAAGAGAGAGUUUAGAGAGAGAAAGUGAAGUUGGGAAGGAGUGAAGAAUGAGGGAGCCCGACACCUUUAUUUAUAGGCUAGAGAACAGAUCUACUCGUCGAGUAGGUCCUCCUACUCAUCGAGUCCAUGACAAGUGUUACCCUCUGGUGGCUUGCCUUGGGGAGAAAACCUUGGCCCUUAUUCAGCCACAUCACUCGAUUUCGCACAGCACCCUGCCGACUUCUAAACCCCGUAACAUUCGCAUACGAGCUCCGUUUUUGACAUUCUUUAUAUCCACACGUAGGUAAAAACAAGAUAUACAACUUUCAUUUUGACUCCGUCGGCUAAUUCUUGACCGAUAUUAAAUUUAAUAGUAGUAGGAAUUUAGACUGUUAAAUGACCGCGAAGAAUUCGUAAUUCCUUCAUACGGACUCCGUUUUUGUCUGUAUUUUUACAGUUGAGUUCCUAUUAAUGAGAUAUUCAACUCUCAUUUAGUUCGCGUAAGCCAAAAACUGCUCGAACUAAAAUUCGAGUUUCGGGUCAUGCACUGCUAAGCCGAAUCUUAGAAAAAUCAUAACUUCUUCAUACGAAGUCAGAUUUUGGCGUUCUUUUUAUGGAUGUUCUCGAUUUAAUGUAUGCUACAACUUUUUUUUAGAUCACUAUGGAUAAAAAGUCCUCUAUCAUAAAUUCACUAUUUACGUCUCCCGGUGCCGUGCCGGUUUUGCCGAAAAACUUCGAUGGGCCAUAACUUCUUCGUUAUAACUUGGAUUUCGGCGUUCUUUAUAUGUACAGAACCAUUGAGACAUAUUCUCAACUUGGUUAAGAUUAUUUAUUCUAAAUAAUCUUUUGUCAAAAAGUCAUUUCGACCCCUAUUAUAUCUAAAUUGACUAGCCCGGAUCUGCGGGCGUUACAAUUAUCUCCCCCUUAGGAUGAUUACGUCCCGGAAUCAUCAACGAAACAGGGCUCACAUGAUGACUCCAUACGUUAUCUCUACAUCUUAAGUAAAAACCGUAACUUCUAUGUUGCUUCGAACAAGUGUCUAACUCUUGGACUCCUUGACUGCCGGCGGUGCUUGAUCUUGCACUUGCUCCCUAUCUCACGUUAGACUCCAAAUUACGACCUUCAAGUCACGGUCUCGAUCCUUAAUGGAGACUCCAUCUUCUUCAUAAAAAACUUAAGAUAAGUAUAUUUGAUUACUACAAUAGGCCGAUGCGUCACGUUUUAAUGACCUCUCAUCGUAUGUUGCAACGCUCAUAAUCAGGCCUCUUAGAGUCAAAUUCCAGAACUGACUAUACCUUCCUUCAUGUUCUAAUGUGAUACAAUCACAUUUCAACAUGUAGCAUUUCUAGCUACCAACUUCUUUAACAAUCAUUGUGAUACUUCUACUAAUCGCCUUGGUUAGCUUUCAUUUCAAUCUUUUGGUUUAAGUCAGAUGCUACAUCGAACUUGGUUCUCUUGAACGACGUAACAUACUCAUCGUAGUCGGAAUCAAUUCGACAUGACCACUAGGGUCGGAAUAACAACAAUCUUCUUAGUCAUUACUGAAAUGAUAGUAAUGACAUAUUUGAAUAAAACGAUAUCAAUUACUAGCUUCUUGGUAACCUUGUGACUUUCCCUGAUCCAAGCGCGAGUCAUGUGCUUCCUGUAGUAUAUGCAUCUACUACCUUUCACACCUACUCAUUCUCAUCCUAAGUAUUAUCUCGCAGUUUUCCAAGUCACCAUACAAGAAAAUCACACAACAGUUUAACACAUCAGAUAACAAAACGAAGGCUUUAUUAUUUCUCGAUACUAUUACAUAGGUGUUCAAGUUCACCUUAGACUAUGCCUCUAAUAGGCUACAUCAUAUGAUUCUAUCCCCUUGGUUACUUCAUAACUUGAUCCUCGGGUAUGAAUUCCUCAUCCUUUGUUCCUCGCAUGGUUUUCUGGUUCGUCGAGGAUCAUGUGGAAUUCCCUUGGCCUUGGUGGUGUGUUUGGUCUUGUUGCCUCGUUUUUCUUUGGGCAUUCCCUAGAAAUAUGCCCUACUUUGUUACAUCCAUAGUACACCUUCUUGUUGGAUGCACACUUGCUGGCGUAAUGCCUCGUCUUUCCACAUUUGUAGCAAGUCACAUCCUCGCUACAUUUCCUAAAGUGAUUCUUUUUACACUUCUCGCAUCACUUGGCUUCACCUCCUCCUCCUUCGUCAGUCUUUGAGAAUUUCCUUUCUUUGUUGGAUUUUGAAGAUCCUUCAUGCUUCUUUUUCUCUCAAACUUCAGAUCUCUCCAGACCUCUAUCCCUAAUCUGGGUCUCAAACAUUCUUGGCUGCCCAGAUGGCGACUUUCAAAGUGGUAUUUUGCUUAACCAUUGGACCGAAGUCUGCUUGUAAUCCGAGGGCAAACUUGUUAACCUUGGAGAGUUCAGUUGGGACUGGGUAAGUAACUAGCUUCAUCUUUUCCGUAAAGCUUGCAGCGUAUUCUGUAAUGCUCAUUCUUCCCUACUUCAGAUUCUGGAACUCAUUGUUGAUUUCCAGAAGAUCUUGCUCAGAGCAGUAUUGCGUCUUUAGUUGCACCAGAAAAUCCUCCCAAGUCAUAUUACUAGCUUCUCCCUUAGGCAUUGAAUCAGCUAGUAGCUUCCACCAGCUCAGUACUCCAGAUUUCAAUAGAGGAACCGCGAGAGCGGUCUUUUGUCUGUUGCUACACUCGCAACUCUCAAGCAUUGUCUCCAUCUCGGAGAUCCAGUCCAUAACUUCCACUGGCGCCUGGCUCCAGAUAGACUCGGUGGUUUGGAUGCCAUGAAAUCCUUGUACUUGCAUCCACAUCCGUCAUUUCCUCCAUCCUGAUUGUUUUGUCUAACUAUCGGUGGGUUGGCUUGGCCACCCGUCCCACUGUAGUUUCCUCCUUCUGACUGCCCAUCAUUCAGCUCGAGAUGUUCAAUUGGUACCGUAAGUUCUUCUCAGUUCUGUUGAAGUAAAUGCCUUGUUUCCUCCAUUUGGUGAUCCAACAUCAUCUGGAUCAUCGCUUGCACUCCGACCAUCGUUAUUGGCUUAGGUGCCACUUCUUCGACAACAGGUAUUUGUUGUAUCACUGGAGGUUGAGGGGGUUGGUUCCUAUUUCCAUUUACGUUUACGUUUCCGCUACGGGUCCUUGCCAUCUUGAUCUAUACACCGAGUAAGGUGAAUCUAGAUGUUUAUUUAUGAUAGACGUUUAAAUCAUCCUUAUCACUCCGAAACGUUUACAUGCUAGUUCUAAUAUCGUAGUCGUACAUUUAGAAUCCUAAACACAUCAGGUUUCCAGAUCCGGUCGGCAACAGACCAUGGAUCCGAAUAAAUAACAGCAUAUAAGGCAUAAAACAUUUAGCACAUAAAAGCGUUUUAGGCAUAAUUCCUAAAAUAAGCUAGUGCUCAUACCUCACAAUCAUCGCUUAGCAUUCUAAGUUUAAGUCUAGAAAUUUCUUACAAAUUCCUAGUUCGCUUAAACUAAUGCUCUGAUACCAACUGUGACAUCCCCAUUUUCACGGCCAGAAAAGACCGAUUUUUUCUUUAUGCUUUAUAAAAAUCAGAGUACCUCUUUUAAUAAAAAUGUUGCGGAAUUUGUUUCCAGUAAAACAUGAUAAAUAUGUUAUGAAAGCAUUUCCGAAGAAAAGUAUUUUGAUUCAUUUUAAAACAUUUGGGAUGUCAUCGUCAAUACAGAAACAAAAGCAUAAACAAAAUUUACAUUCAUUAUUACUAGUGAUUUAUAUCUCCUUAAUCUCUCAAUGUAGUGUAACUUCAUAUCGACACCUGUGAUAUAAAUACAAUGAGUAGGUAAGGUUGGGAAACCUGGUGAGUACAUAGGGUUUUCAACCCACAAUAGUAUAAUUAUUAUGUUUGAACAUCAAACAAUCAACCCAAUUAACCAUCCCCAUUAUCUACUUUACUCUUAAGGAUCUACCGUAAGAAUCAACUAUUCCUCGUUCAUUCAUUCCUAAGGAUCACCCUAAGGAAUCGGCACGAAGUCCAUCGUUACCACGGUUUACACGACGGGCACUAAGUUUGCAUAGUCGCCAGGGUUUAGGCAUCAAGUCUGCAUGAUCACCAAGGUUUAGGCAUCAAGUCUGCAUGAUCGCCAAGGUUUAGGCAUCAAGUCUGCAUGAUCACCAAGGUUUGGGCAUCAGGUCUGCAUGAUCACAAAGGUUUAGAGUACACCGGGUGAACACAUCGUUCACAACACCUACAGGUUGCGAGCCUGCUAGUGUUCCACUAGACUGUCUAGAAUAGUCCGUGGUUAUCAUCCAUACUCUGCUGAAUGACGAGGCCAUCAUUUGGGAAAGGCUUCUCAAAUCGUCCACCUCUCACCCUCACCUCGUGGUCUUUAACACCUCUCAACUCAUCAUCCAACUCAUAUUCCAUCUAUUACAUCUACCCAUGUUUUACGUCAACAUUAUCGUAGAUAUAAAAUACGUAUACAGUUUAAAUCAUUUAAAACAUGUAUAAAAUCAUUCAUCCAGCAUAGACAACAAGUACUUACAUAAUAUGCACACAGAGCCAAAAAGCUCUUUUCUUGGGACUCCGGGAGCCUCGGGGCUUCCUUCGCGUGCUAGGGAGGUUCCNUGGGGGGGUGUGGUGGGGGGGGGGGUAGAGAGAGAAAGUGAAGUUGGGAAGGAGUGAAGAAUGAGGGAGCCUGACACCUCUUUUUAUAGGCUGAAAAAUAGCUCUACUUGUCAAUUAGGUCCUCCUUCUCAUCAAGUCCAUGCUAGGUGUCACCCUCUGGUGGCAUGCCUUGGGGAAAAAGCCUUGGCCCUUAUUCAGCCACGUCACCCGAUUUCGCACAACACCCUGCCGACUUCUAAACCCCGUAACAUUCACAUACGAGCUCCGUUUUUGACGUUCUUUAUAUCCACGCGUAGGUAAAAACAAGAUAUACAACUUUCACUUUGACUCCGUCGGCUAAUUCUUGACCGAUAUUAAAUUUAAUUGUAGUAGGAAUUUAGACUGUUAAAUGACCGCGAAGAAUUCGUAAUUCCUUCAUACGGACUCCAUUUUUGUCUGUAGUUUUACCGUUGAGUUCCUAUUAAUGAGAUAUUCAACUCUCAUUUAGUUCGCGUAAGCCAAAAACUGCUCGAACUAAAAUUCGAGUUUCGGGUCGUGCACUGCUAAGUCGAAUCUUAGAAAAAUCAUAACUUCUUCAUACGAAGUCAGAUUUUGGCGUUCUUUUUAUGGAUGUUUUCGGUUUAACGUAUACUAAAACUUUGGUGUAGAUCACUAAGGAUAAAAAUUCAUCUAUCUUAAAUUCACUAUUUACACCUCUCGGUGCCAUGCCGGUUUUGCCGAAAAACUUCGACGGGCCAUAAGUUAUUCGUUAUAACUCGGAUUUCGGCGUUCUUUAUAUGUACAGAACCCCUGAGACAUAUUCUACAACUUGGUUAAGAUUAUUUAUUCUAAAUGAUCGUUUGUCAAAAAGUCAUUUCAACCCCUAUUGUCUCUAAAUUGACUAGCCUAGAUCUACGGGCGUUACAUAGACCGGCUUCGUGAAUGAGGCCUACUAAAGGUAAGACGACUUUGUUCUUAUACACACACACACACACACAUAUAUAUAUAUAUAUAUAUAUAUAUAUAUAUANNNNNNNNNNNNNNNNNNNNNNNNNNNNNNNNNNNNNNNNNNNNNNNNNNNNNNNNNNNNNNNNNNNNNNNNNNNNNNNNNNNNNNNNNNNNNNNNNNNNNNNNNNNNUGAGUUAAUUGAGUAUUAAAAUGAAGACUCUUCAUUUUUAUAACUCAUGUGUUCUUAUAAUGGUUUUUAAUUAAAGUGUGACCUUUGGUUUCCAUUACUUGAGGACAAGUUAUGGACUCCAUUAAAACACAUAAUGAUCAAGAAGUAAACUACCAAGGAGGUUACAAAUAAUUCUUAUGAUCAUCUAAUCACAUAAGUUCAAGAACAUGAUUAUCAAUAAUUUCAAGAAUCAUAAAUAACAUAUAUAAAACUUGUUAUUUUUUGAUAAUAGCCAUUGUAAAUGGAUUAGCGUUAACGUUACACCAUCUAAAACAAGUUUUAUAACACCAAAACAUUUUAGGGUAAUGUUUCUAGUCCAUUUCCAGCAGCAAAACUUGAAAAUCUGGAAACUGCAGCCUCUACUCGUCGAGUGCAUGAACAGACUCGACGAGUAGCAUGCAUUUCUUCAUGGACUCGUUGAGUUCAUACGAGCAUUGAACAAAAAUUUCGAUUUUCAAGCUAUUUGCAUCCAGUAUCAAGUAAACAAGCCUAGGCUCUGAUACCAAUGAAGGGCUUUGAGCAUUCUAACACUCCUAUGGUGUACAUGCAACCCUAGAAACCUUGGAUCUAUGUUUGACUAAGAUACAUGCAAAUAAUUAUUUUUUUCCAAGGUUCUUAUCCUAACUAGCAUGGCAUGGGGUACUUGAAUCUAAUAAAGCUAAUAGAAUUACUUACCUUGUAGUAGUAGUUGAUUUCUUGGAGUUUGAGAGCCUAGCACCAAUAAUGUGGAUGCUUCAAAUGGAAGUCACAAAUCACCACAAACUUGGAAACUUGAGAGAAUAGUCACUAACUUCUUGAAAUCGUCCCUCUUAGUUUACACACAUCAACUAGUGCAAUUUCAAGAACCAAAGCCUCCUUUAUAUAGUGUGGUGGAUUAGGGUUACAUCCAUGUAAACCCUAAUACCCAUGUCUUUUCAUUUCCAUGAGAUCCAUGGGUUAAAGCUCCAUGGAGUAUCCAUGGACUUUCCAUGCAAGCCUAGCCCAUUCCAAAUAAGCAUUAGCCCACACUAUAUAAAUACAAGAGCCCAUAUUUAANCAUUCCAAACAAGCAUUAGCCCACACUAUAUAAAUACAAGAGCCCAUAUUUAAUUAGUCAAACUUUUGAUCUCUAAAUUAAUUCUAAAUUAAUUAUAUAUGAACACUAAUUAAAUAAUAUGAUUUUAUAUUAAUAUAUUAGAACUUAUAAUAUAUUAAUAAAUCAUAACUUAUACUAUUCUCAAAAGAUUAUCCAUAAAUUGUUCGGGAGAAGUGCAACCCAAAUGGACCAUGCCAGGUCGGGUCAAGUACAUACCAAAUAUAGUUAUGGACUUAGACACUAUAUCCAACACAUGACACCUUAGUGCUCACGUAGUGACCAAGGUGUAAACAUUAAAAUUAAUCAGAAUUUCUAAAAUCAUGCUUACCUAGAUCUGGGUGUUACAAUUCUACCUACUUAGAUCAGACUUCAUCCUCAAAGUCCAUUGUUGUUAUUAAAUAUGGGUAAUGCUCACGCAUCUCUGCCUCGGGUUCCCACGUCCACUAAGAAACCUUCCGAUGUUGCCACUGGACCUUGUCAAAAGAUACCACCUUGUUACGUAAGACCUUCAUCUUCUUAUCCAAAAUAGCCACCAUCCUCUCCAAAUAAUUCAGGCGCUCAUCGACUUGUAUAACGUCCAUUGGAACUACCACUAAAUUUUUAACCACACACUUCUAGAGCUGAGAAACAUGGAUGGUGUUGUGAAUCUGGCUAAGCUCCUCCGGAAGAUCCAAUUGGUAGGCUACAUUGCCUACCCUUGACACUACUUAGGAUGGUCCAAUAAAUCAAGGACCCAACUGUCACCUCUUCCUAAAGCAUAUAACACACUUCCAGGGUGAUACCUUCAGUAAAACCAUAUCACCGACUUGGAACUCUAACUCGCAUUGUCGUAUGUAGGCAUAACUCUUAUGCCGGAUCUGAUUCGUCUGUAAUCUCUAUCUGAUCAUCUGGAUAAGCUCUAUCGUAUGGAGAACUACCUCAGUCUUCGAUGACCCUAUGGCUGACUUUACCCCAAAAAACCGAUGUACGACACUUCCUCCUAUAAAGAAGCUCGAAAGGUGGUGCACCAAUCCUAGAAUGAUAGUUGUUAUUAUAGGAAAACUCAACUAGAGGAAGGUAGGAAUCCCAUCACCCACCAAAAUCAAUGACAUAAGCCCUCAACUUAUCCUCGAGCGUCUGAACGGUCCACUUACUCUGACCAUCAGUAUGAGGGUGAUAAGUAGCACUGAAAUGCAGUCUCGUACCUUUGUCCUCAUGAAUUUUAUGCAAAAACCAAGAAGUAAACCGCACAUUAUGAUCGAAGACGAUAGAAGUCGGCACUCCGUAACGAGUAACAACUUCGUGCACAUAUACAUCAGCCAACUUUUUGACUGAUCUAUAAGAUGUCUCAAACUCUUGUGAUUCAUGUAGAUAGUAGAUCCCAUAGAGAUAAUGUCGCCAAAUAGUUAAGGCAAACAUUACUGCCCCAACUCAAAAUCAUGUGUUAGAUACCUAGACUCAUGAGACUUCAACUGUAUCGAUGCAUAUAUAAUGACCCUACCUCUCUGCAUGAAAACCGCCCCUAAACCUAUGAUCGGCGCAUCACAAAAUACCACAAAAUUCUCAAUGGCCUCCAAUAGGGUCCAUACCCAGGCCUCACAUAACUUCCCCCUUAAAGUCUCAAAUUCAGCCUGCUACUCAGGCCCCAAAUGGAAAUCCAUGUUCUUUUUCAUUAGAUAGGUCAGAGGAAUAACAAUCUUGGAUAAAUCCUGAAUGAAUCUCUGAUAAUAACCAGCCUACCCCAGAAAACUCCUAAUCUCAUACGGGGACUUUGGAACCUCCCAUUGCAUCAAUGCUUCAAUCUUAGUCGGAUCGACCAGAAUCCCGUCCUGAUUGACGAUAUUUCCUAGAAACUAGACCUCUGGUAACCAGAACUCACACUUGGAGAACUUGGCAUGAAUCCUCUCAUGCCUUAGUACUCCAAGUAGCUCCUUGAGAUGUUCCUUAUGUUGUCCAUUGGUUUUGGAGUAGACUAGAAUAUCAUCAAUGAAGAUAAUGACCGACUGAUCGAACAUCGGUCUACAUACCCAGUUCAACAGAUCCAUGAACGAUGCAAAUGCGUUGUUGAGCCCAAACGACAUCACUACAAACUCGUAAUGACCAUAAUGAGUCUAAAAUGAUGUCUUCUCCAUGUUCUCCUCCCUAACUCUCAUCUGGUGGUAGCCCGAUCUCAUAUCAAUCUUGCAGAACUAACAUGCACCCUGCAACUGAUCAAAGAGAUCAUCAAUCCUAGGGAGUAGGUAACGAUUCUUCAUUGUAAGAUUGUUUAACUCCAAAUAAUCUAUGCAUAUAUGAUGAGACUCAUCCUUAUUCUUCACAAAUAGGAUUGGGGCUCCCUAGGAUGAAUUGCUUAGUCUGAUAAAUUGUUUUCCCAACAUAUGUUGAAGUUAAGAGGACAACUCUUGCAUCAUUGGUGGUUUGAGGCGAUACAACGCCUUAGCAAUCGGGGCCGCGGGGAUCAGAUCGAUCCUGAACUACACCUUCCUUAUGGGUGGCACACUUGGUAAAUCCUCUAUAAAUACAUCUAGAAACUCUCUGACCACUAGUACAUCUGAAACUGAAACUCUCUCCUCAUCCUGGGUGCCAACCACAUAAGUAAGGUAUCCGAACACCCAUGUUGUAGUUACUAUCGAGCCCUGGUAGCAGAACAAAGGCUGAACCAAUCCUAGUACCCUCACCAUAAAUAGUCAAUUCUCGCCCACUUAGGGUUCAAAUUAUCAGUAGUUGUGUUUCUUAAUCAAUCAUGGCGCCAAAUCUGCUCAACCAGUCCAUCCCUACAAUCAUGCACACAUCCCCCAUAAGGAUAAGAAUAAAAUCUAUCAAAUAAGACACUCCGAAUAUCUAUAAGGUAUAAUCCUGAAAAAUAAUCAAUGUAGAAACUUUGUGUUCAUUGGUGAUGGAAACUCGUAACGAACACUCCAACUCCCUAAGAUUCAUAUCAAAACCCCUAUUAAGCAACUGAGACACAAAGGACCGACUUGUACCCAAGUGAAAAAGAAAAGGAGCAGGAAAGGAAUUUACUAAGAAUGUACCUAGUAGAAAUACAAUCAUAAGAAUAUAAGAAAACACCCUAACAAAAUAAUAAAGAGAGCAUACUAGUAACGACAUCAGGUGCCGCCCUGGCCUCCUACGCUGUGAGCUGAAAAGAAUGACCCCUAGCCUCGGGGUCUCAUCCCUCCCUUGUCGCCCAUAUGUAAUCCAAAGGGUGGUCAGAGGUAGUACCUACACUGGUUUUACAGAAAGUAAUGGACAAUUGGCAUUCACAUGGCUAACUUGAUCAUAGAGGUGACAAAUCCUAGUGCUCGGUAGCAAAGCCUAUUAGCGACAGUCUCUCACAAAGUUCCCCUCCUUGCCACAAGUGCACCCCUUGACCUCUAGAAUGUGAAUCAUCAGGCUUGAAAUACUUUGCUGCUGGCUGCGAAUGAGCAGGGGUCUUCCUGCUCCCUCUUGUCUGUAUCCCAAUCUUAAUCUCUCUUUUCCGAGCGGAAGACUGCAGCUCGGAGAGAGAUCUAUAUCAUUGGGUUGAAACGAAUUUACAAAUCUCUGUAUUAACCAUGCUUAAGUAUGGGAUAUUUGGACCUUAUUUGAAGUAGCGCAUUUAGGACAGAAGAGAGCUCUCUCAAUAAACAUCUUGGUGAUCUCUGUCACCGACUUUUUCAUCUGCUUCAAAAGAUACUCCUAGGCUAACCUCUCUCUUUCCAUCAGGGGAACAUACUCAACGUGGAACAUAUAAUAAAACUGAUCCCAAGUCACUGUGGCUUUCUUCGUAGGAGAAUAAGCACUAGUCAGCAGCUUCUACCAAUCCUUCACCCCCAAAUGAAGAAGGUUCAGGGCACAACUGACCUUGUAGUCCUCCGGACACGAACAAGUGAGGAAACAGUCCUCCACAUUAGAUAACUACCUCAUAGCAAAAAUUAGGUCCUUAACCUUGUCAAACUCUAGGUGCUUCAUGUUGGUGAAGUCCCUGUACUGAAAUGACCCGCUCCCCUAGAGUCCUGCAACAACAAUAGCCGCAGUGACUAUGAAAGUAGCCUCGGUGACGACAACAUAAUGUUUGUCAAACAUCUCGAUCAUGUUGGUAUUAAUAGACCCGAAUACCUCCAAGAUCUCAUCCAAAAUAGCCAUGGUCACUUGAAUGGUGAUCAUCUCCCGGAUAUCAUCGUCAGUUAAUCUUGGCCUCACCGGGCCGCCAACACUUGAUCCUGAACCCCUAAUGACUAGCAUACUGAAAAUAAACUGGAAAAACAUUAGAAAAUAUUCAUAAACCAACUACGAUAUCAUAUUGGGAUUACUUAGCCCUCAGGCUUCUGACUUCCUUGAUAUGCAUAUGAGUCUUAUGCUUCCAGUAUUACAGGCCCAUACUACCUUCCACACCUACCCGUAUUUGUCUCAAGGGAUCGUCACAGACCAUUUACUUACUCUCUUGAGAGUGGUUGAUUAUUCCUUAUAUUGCCCCCCUAUACAUCCUACUUACUCAUGAAACUUCUACUAACCCUCUAGCCGCUCGUGCAUACUAAUCAUACAUAACACUGGAUUCUAUAUACAUUCAAAUACUUGAUUCUAACCUAGGCCCACAACCAGACAAGGAACUUGAAAUAAGGCUAAAUGAAACAUUCUCAUGCUAUAGAAUCUUAGUUAUGCACAACUAUGGUGUACACACCAAACAACCAUAGUAAUAAUGUCAGUUCCAUAUAACAACUCAAGAGACAACCCCUAGGCUAACAUACAUCAUACAUCAGGUAAUUCUAUCAUGCAAUACAUGUAGAUCCAUCGCCUAUAUACUAGCAUGCAAUUCUAUCUUAUCAUCAACACACAAAACAUAUGUAGGUAUCUUGGGGAAUCACUUUCCUUUGCUCCGGCUGAACGUACACAUCACAUCCUUUUUGUUGGUUCUUUUAGAAUUAAAUUUUGGAAAACCUUCUACAAAUACUUAGUUUGAGUCAGGAAUCACACAUAUGUUCAUCCAAUUCUCUAAAAUCAGUGCUCUGAUACCAACUUGUAACAUCCCAAAAUCAUGACAUAAUUUUUAUUUUUUAAAACCAUUCCAAAUUCCAUAAAUUACAUAAAAACAUAGUUUCUCAAAACCAAAGUCGUACAUCAGAGUAUCCCAAAAUCAUAAGUCAUAGAAAAAUCUAGGAUUAUGUGUACAAUCAUGCCUUCUCCUUCCCCUAUCCUUAGAAGUACCUGAAACCAUAAAAUCAAACGGUAAGCCAAGGCUCAUUGAGUUCCCCCAAAGUAUCCCACAUAACAAAACAUAUAUACAAAUUUCAUGUCGGGUCUAUAAUCUCCUAACUGGAUUACCGCUGUCUCCCGACUAGAUUUCCCCUCCGACCUAGAGUCUCCUGACUAGAUUUCCCCGGGUUUGUUCUCCUAUAGCACCAAGAAAUACUGCCAGAAACCACCCACACCAUGUCAAAAUGUGAAACAUAUAAACAUGUAACCAACAAGUACAUGUAAGCAUAUUGAUCUACCAAUCCAACAUAUAACCAACGAAUAUAGGUAAUCAUAUAGAUCUACCAGUCUAACAUGCAAUCAACAUAACAUCAUCCUAUAUACAAGGAUACAUAUGGCAUUCGACCCAUGAGUACAGUGAGGAAAACUCACCCCAAGGUCCAAAAGAUAGUUAAAUUGAAUAUUGUUCCAGAUAAUGGCUCUACAAGUCAUCUAUAUAGCAAACAAGGACCAAACCUCAAUCUACUACUCGAAUUAAUCUAUUUGACGUAAAGUCAAACUUGGUCAACGGUCAAAGUCAACGUCAAUGGUCAAAAUUCCACUCGAAAGUCGCACAUGUAGUCGUCACGUCGUGACCAUCUAUUCAUCAUGUUGUGACCUAAGAAGAAAAAAUAGUCGGGUUAUUCCAUUCUCACAUCGUGUGCCAUAAGUGCUUACAUUAUGAGAAGCACUCUAAACUACUUUAUGCAAUAAGCUCUUAAUCCUUUUAGACAAGCAACCAAAACUUCCAGAAUGUAUUAUCUACUUCAGAACAUCAUAAAGAUCAUGGCUUUUUGGGCAUGCAUGUCCUAAACACAAGCUAGGGAACAAAAAGGAAGAAAUGGUAUUAGAAGCUCAAGCAAGAGUCUUAGAACCAAACCAUACUUCAGAUACAACACUUAUAACAUCAAAGGGGCACUGGAGAUCCAUAAUGUUGGCAACUUUAUGGACCCCAAACACUAUAUCAACCUAGACAUGAUAUAUAAUGCAUAGAAACCUAGAUCUAAGCUUAUUAACUUAUAAAGUACUGAACUUGGAAACUCAUAAUGGCUCUGAAGGUGUAAAGAUAAAUGAUAGUGAGGCUUGAAUGAUGACAUGGAGUAUUAGAUUCUCUUCAUCUUCUUAUUCUUUGCUAUAAAUCAACACAGAUGAAUGAUAUGGUUUCAAAAGGGAAGUCUUUAGGAGGUAAUGGAGGCUAAAGGUAAGCUAACCCUAGUCCUCACUUCCUUUAAAUACAGAAUAAAUCCCUCAAAAUCAGGGUUUCCCUCGUAGCCAAGCCUCACUUUGUGACCCGUAAGGGAUCAUGUUGGGAGUCACGAAGAUAUGUGUGUUUCUUCUAACAGGGGUGACGUUGUGACACCUUAAUGUUCAUGUCAUGAACAUGGUUUAAACUUUAAAAUUAUUCAGAAUUUCUAAAAAGGUGCUUACCUGGAAAUUAGUGUUACAUUAACAAAGAAUAUGAAUGAAACACCUAGUUUUGGAUGUUUCUAUUAUCGGGAUAACAGGUCAUAAACGAAUCAAGUAAAGGUCUUGGGCUUCGAGGGAAUAGAUUUUAGACCCUAUCAGAUGUUGAUAAUGUUGGGUUAAGUAAUUAAAGCCAUCAAAUUGUUCUUUAAAGCAAGGGGUAAAUGGGAAAAGUUAUAUAUUUGGCUUCUUGCAUGGAUUAUGAUUUUAGUUUGACAUAUAUUAAGCCAAAAGUAAUUAGAUAGGGUUUGGGGCUCGUCAAUACCUUUUUAUACAUAUAAAGUCAAAAACAGAGCUGAAAUGAAGAAAUUAUGACUGUUUAGAGUUGGAGUGGAAUUUGGUGAAACUCGUUGUCACGACAUUAGAUGAAUGUUGUCACGACGUGAAUGCCGUCACGAGGUGACAAACAACUUGUCACGAGGUGGAAACUGGGCAGCCUAAGCCCAUAAAUUUUUAGGGUUUUCUAUGUAUUUAAAGAGUGGUUCUGUCUUUUUAGGGUAUUUUCCAUCCUCCAUCUUAUCUAACGCCUCUUGAGAGAAACCCUAGCCUCCCUUUUUGUUGGUGUUCGAAGGUAUUGUGAGAUGUCGAAUAUGUAAAUGUUGUCUGUAAUGUCGAAAGCUUUUUUGUAAUGUUAUUAUAAGGAUGCUUUAGUUUUGAGGAUUGUAAUGUCGAAUGUUCUUAUAUUUUUUGUGCUGUCAGUAUCCCUAUAAAUAUGGGAUGGAUACACUUAGAGGGGAGGAUCUUGGACUCUCGAUUUUACUUAUUUGUCUUUCCUCUUGUAUUCUAUGAUUAAGAAAUAUAACAAGCCAACCAGAUAUUAUUUUGAUUGUGUAUUCUAAAUAUGUUCUUACUUUGAUUUUGUUUUCUCACUUGAUUCAAUCGUCACUACAAUUGGUAUCAGAGCAGGAAUCAUACUGUUUUGAUCUAAUUUUCAUCUGUUUCAAAAGCUUUUUGAAUCUCGUUCUAGAUUUAAAAGUUUCCGCACUUUUAAUUCUGAAAAUCUAUGUAGAUCUUCGCUUUUGAUUGGAUUAUGCAUUUCGAUUGACCUAUCGAGUGUUUGUUAUUCGUAUUCUGGUUGAUUCAUCUUGUUAUUUUCAAAUUUCUCAAGUUUUUCUCUGAAUUCAUCUGUACAUCCACGGCGAAUUUCAAUAUUAAUACCAUGACUUCUUACUCUCAUCUGCUAGGAUCUUCAACUAAGAUUCCUAUGCUAAUUUCGGAGUAUUACGAUCAACGGGCGGAUCGUAUCGAGGAUUACUUGAACGGAAUUGAUGAAGAACUUUGGAAGUACGUUACUAAUGAUUUUCAUCCUCUUCCUUCUGUUCAAGGUGUAGGAACUUCUACAACAAAACCAAGUGUUACUGAACAAACUGCAAGGCUGCUGAAAAACGAGAAGAGGUUUACGAGAGAACUUCGUCGAGCUCUUCCUCCUGUUGUGUAUAAUUACAUUCUAAGUUGCAAAACUUCCAAGGAAAUAUGGAAUACUCUAAAGGAAAAGCACCAGGGAAGCGAGAAAACCAAAAUAAUUUCAGUCAAGCAAUGUAUGUUGGAGUUAAGAGAGUUCAAGCAAAAAGGAGAAUCAAUUGAAUUGUUCUAUGACCGUAUGAAUGAGCUUAUCUAUAAGUGAAAUAGGUAUGGUAUUACCAACUCGACUAUGGAGUUCAAUCUCACUUUCACUAUGGGGCUUCACAAGGAGUGGACGAACGGGAGUCUAAUGGUAAAGACACAACAAAGCUUCGAUUACUUUUCUCGAAACGAUCUUUACAAUGUACUAAAAGUCCACGAAACUGAAGUGAAUGAAAUCCUUGAAGAGUCAUGGAUCAAUCUGGGUGGUCCAUUAUCACUAGUGUCGAAGGUGUCGGGAAGAGAAGUUGAGAAAGAAGCUUUUGAGAAGGAAAGUUCCGAAGAUGAAGGUCUGUUCGUCAACUCCGAUGACGAAGCAGUAUGUUUUUAUUCAAACAAUAGAGUAAAGAAGUUUUACAAAAAGCCUUUCAAUGCGAAACUAAGAACUGGUGAAGUUAAGGGAAAUUUUUCUGGGAAAGUGAGUGCUAAAAAGAUGAUUGAGAAGAAAGAAGCGAAGGGUGAAGAGUCAAAAGCUGAGAAAAAGCUCAAAGGUGAUUCGGUUGUUGAUUGUCACUAUAGCAACGUGGCUAAUCAUAUGGCGAAUGACUGCAUGUAGCGAAAGAAAGAAGAAAAGAAGAAUAGGGUCAAGGAUGAAGCAUAUUAUUCAGAAAGAUUGGAAGAAAUGAGGGCUAAGACAAAGGGAAUGUCACUGGUUGCAAGAGGGGAAGAUGAAGAUGAGGGAAAACACCAAAUAUGGUCUCCUGGGUCGGAUGACUAAGAAAUGCGAAAUCCGACGCAUGGAGCCAUGUUCGCGAGGUAUAAGGAUGAAGCAGAAGAUAAAGUUACUGGUAGUUGUUCAUGGGUUUUAGCCAUAAAAAUAUCCUAUGUGCUCAUGCAAACCCUAAUGCUUGGAUCUAGGUUUCUCUAUUAUACAUGCAAUUCAUCCAUGACUUUAAACCCUAGAUCUAGCAUACAAUUAAUCAUAUUAACAUAAGAAUGGGGUUUAGAGAAUUACCUUUGAUUGUUAUGUAGCAAUAACAAUCUCAAGUCCUCCUUGUAAUGACUUUAGAAAGCUUAGAGUCACAAUUGUCACUCCUCUAAUGGUUCACAAACACCACGAGCAAGAGGAUGAAGAACAAGGAGAGUGGAGGCUGCCAAAAACGUCCAGAAACCCUAGUGGAACUCUUCACCACGUUUUUGGGGCUUAAGGGUGCUAUAUAUACAUGUAGGCUAUUAGGGUUUUCAACUAGGAAACCCUAAUCUGACUGCUUAAGCCCUAAGCAGCCCAUGGAUUCCUUUGGUAUAUCCCUUGGACGAUUUCUAAUGGGCUUCCCCAUAAACUUCGUCCAACCUUUAUAUUAUUAAGUAAUCCAUAGCCCAAUUGCAAUUAUCUUAUAAUUACAGUUCCAGUCCCUUAAGUUUAAUUAAUCUCUUUUAGCCACAAAACUAAUUAUCAAUUAACUCUUGACUAAUAUUAAUUAAACAAUAUGAUUUCUCCUUUAAUAUAUUAUUCUCAUAAUAUAUUAAUAAAUCAUAAUUAAUCCUUUCUCUCCAUUAUUCAUCAUAUCAAGUUGCUUUGCUGAAGGCAACCCAAAAGGACCAUGCACCAUCGGGUCAAGUACAUACCAAAAUAGUUAUGGACUUAGACACUAAUCCAACAGUCUCCCACUUGGAUAAGUCUAAUAACUAUUCUGCGUAUGACUUCAGAUCCUGAUCUGCAAUCGUAGCUUUCCAAAGCCGCUGUCAACUCUGAUCCUAUCAGAUACGCGUGUCCUUUAGAUAAGGGAUCAUAUAUUCCUCCAUUCUAGAUAUCAUAUGAGAUAUGAUUUCAAAUCAUUCUCUUUGUACUAUUUCUCGAUUUCCGAUUUAUGACGACUGACUAAUUGAACAAAUCAAAUUAGCCCUAGCCCGGCCGAGCAUUUACGUUUGUCAUCACUAAAUCAUCGAGGGGCCCAAAGAUAUCGCUUUUAUCCUACUUUGGAUAAAAGGAACGGAUAAACUUUGAUUCAAUGCUUGCUUGCACUCACUCACCGAAUCACACACAACAAUAUGUUUUAUAACACCAAGUUACUGGUGCGUUUACAUAUUAUCAAUGUGCAACCGACUUGCAAGAUACAACUCACACAUCUUAGUUUCAAGAAUAUAAGAUAUUAUCGUCUCACCAAUCACUCGUGAUAAAAUUCAUGAAGUGAUCCAAGUGAGCGUGGGUUUAAUCCAAUGCUCAAAUCAUAUUCAUAAGCACUCAUGAACGUUGCAGCAAACAUUUGCUUAUGUCUAAUACACUUUAGACAAUCCACACACCAAUUCACGACAGUCUUCAUUCAUACCUACUUCCAACAUAUGAACGACUGUGGUCCGUUCGAAUAAUUUGAUUGUUCUGAACCAAUUUAAUUAUUCAGGAAGUCAAAACAUGCAAAGUGAAACAAAAGAAUAAUACUAAUCCCAUAUGGCCCCAAACUCUGGGUAUAAAUAAAACAUUUUAUUUAAUCACCAUAUUGAUUACUCAUUAUUUGUUGUUUCGGGUAAUCAACUUCUUACUUGAAUUAUUACUACACUUGUCCGAUGCUCUUAGCAUGCACACAACUUUUACCUACGGGUCUUACUUUGUGAAAUAGAUCAAAUGAACACAUUUCCAAUCAUACUCAUUUCACAACUCCCAAUCCUUUUCACAAGUGAAAGAAUAUCAAAUUCUUGCCACUUAAAGAAUAUGCUAGAUUCUAACAUUUUAUGCAAUGAUCCUUUCGUAAUGUCAUAGCACAAAAGUCACAAUGACUAUUGCCAAUGAAAUUACAAAGUCCUCUAUUUGAGAUUGUUACAAUACAAUUCCAUAAACGUGAUGUCUCUCACUCAAAGUACAUUCCUUUGAACGUCUUUUAGCAUAAAUUUCUAAUCUAGACAUAGGCUCUCAAUAUCCAACUCCCAAUAUGGAACCAUUUCCAUAUUUGCCAUAUGACAACUCAUUCUUAAUAGAAUCUUAUCUAUUCAUAAUAAUGUUGAUAUGGUCCAUCCAAUACUAUACUUCCAACUACUCACAAGCGACUAAACCUCAGCGAGCUUUGGAUCGUCCUUUGAUAGUUGUUUAAUUAUCUUAGUCAAAACAGAUUCUUGUCCUUUUUCCCUCUUAAUGUGCUAGACAUUUGGAAAAUUUUAGAAUGGUCAAAUAUUAUAGCACUUGCAAUCGAUCCUUUACCCGAAGCGUAUGGGACACGAUGCAUAAUGUCUUACAUAAUGAUACGAUACUUUAUCAAUCUUUUGCGAUAAUAUCUCAUGUGUCACAUUCUCACAAUUGGAACUAUGAAGAGGGAUGCCAUGAUCAUAAUCGACUUUGCAAAGUAUAACUCUUGUUUUCUAUAAUUAAUAUUGCUAACUUGCAAUACUUGCCUUAAUAGUCAUACAAGCAAAACAUUUAUGCUCCCACUAUCAUGAUGAUUAUUAUCAUAUAAGCAUAACACUUAUGCUCCCACUAGCUUUGACAUGUAUUUAGAAAAUAGCUUAACUUCCAGAACAACAAUACAUAUUGAAUUUCUUAAGUUCAUAUUUAUAAUACCUAGUGCUUUGAUAAUCCUUUAUCUAAGCUUCUCAAACUUAUACACCUUUGCCUUAGAUAGCUCAUAUGUGUGUCUAAAAAAUUCAGACUAAUUGCCAAAUCUCACAAUUCGAAUCAUGGAAAGGGAUACCGUAACCAUAAUCGAAUUCGAGAAUACAAUUUCCACAAUCACUAUCUUCUUAAAAUCUCUAUUAGUGAAAACAUUUCCUCACAGUCAUUUUCAUGAAGGAGGGAAUCUUAUGAUACUUAGACUUUAAUGGUGUAUGUGUUUCUAUCCAUGUGGAUUUGUCAAAACCAAAGUUUGCGACAAUUCCAAACUAAUAUGGACCGAACUUUCUCAAUCUUGAUUUCUUGCCUUAUGGUAACACUAGUGCCCACCAUGUCUUCCAAGUAGUUAAGCAGCUCACCCUUUCCUAUCAAUGUACUUUCCAUUGAUCAAGAUGCUUGCCUUUUAUGCGUUCAAAUGAAAACUCAUAGAACUCACAUGCAUAAUUAACUCAAUUGGAACGGCAUAUAAACAAGAUAGUGUCAACACGAUAAGUCGUAAACCUCAAGUCGUGUGCUAGUGAUGAUCGAUAAGGUUUAUUUUUUUAUUUGUUCUUCAAACCUUUCAAGACCAUUAAGACUCCCACUUACUCCUUGACAUAUAAGUUUCUCUUGUUAAUAAACGUUUCUUGACAAACAAAUAUUCAAAAGUUAGUGUAGCUUUUAUCAGGACAAAACACUUCAUAAAAUUGGUCCUAGUUAGUCUUUGUCUUAUCCAAGACAUCACAACUUACCACAUUUGAUGAAUUUUAUAAACCUUCUUAAGACUUGUCACUCAAUGUCACAAUCUUAACUCUAAGACUUGUUUUGGAACGAAGUAUGCUUGACUUUUUGAUUUAACCAUUUCUUCAAUUCUUGAUUCCUCUUCUCAGACAUACAAUUGUACUAAGACUCACUUAGAGGAUCAAUUGAGAUAUGGUUCUUAAUCAUUAAUACCUAUCAUAAAACAUAAUAAAAGGUACUCUCCCUUCUUCUUAGAAUAAAGAAACUUUUAUCUUUCUGCCUACUUGAUUCUCCUUAUUCGUUAUGCUAUUGAUUUAAACUCUUUCUAUCAAUUCAGAAUUACACUUAAUCUUAUAAGUAUAAUCAUAUUUACUAAACCUUUAGUAAAUCAUGACGAAUAUCUUUGUUACUCUUGUGGUGGACUUGAUCAACACACAACUUUGUGUACUAGAUCUCUUAGUCCUUCACUUGACACUUUAUCAACGAAUUAGUCUAAUUUCCAAAUAUGAAAUUUCUCAUUCAUCGUGCAACCAAGUUGCAUGAUUCCAAGAAACUCUCCCUAUUUGGUAAACUCUCGAUAUUUCCACAAAUGAUAUAAUUAAGAAUCAAAAAACAUUAUUGCUAAUAAUAGAAACCUUCAAACAUCAAUUUUUCGUACAUGCCACUAUAAGGAUAAAUAAAUAAUAUAAAAACAAAAUUUAUUUUAUUGCAGAAAAAUUUGUCCUUACAAUGCAACUCAUCGAAAGAAUAUGUUAAUACAUAUUUCUUAGCAAUCUUUUCUAACUCUAAGUAGUAGCUCAAGAAUCCAAUCUUCAAGCAAUGCGAUCGAAAUCCAUUUCUUCACAAUUAGAUUCCGCUCACUUCUUCCCUUAAGCUUCCUCUCUUUUCUUUGAUCCUUCAAAACAUCAAUUGUAAUCUUAUCACAUCAUGUAUUAAGAAUCUAGAAUAGGAACUUAAAAAGAGUUAGUUAAUGGAUUUUACCUAAAGCAGAGCCAUACGUUUUGACUCUCCCAUCUCUUAGAUCUCUUAGGUAAAUAAGGCAUCUUCGUCUCCAAUGCCCUUUCUCUUGGCAAUAAAAGCAAAUUGACUCUUUUGGAAUGGCUCAUGGAACUACUUCAGACUUUGCCUUUCUCUUAUGAUCAAACUUUUCGAUCAUGGCACGCCUUUCGUUUCCAUUCCCUAUAUCCAUAAAAGUCUAGAAGGCAGAUUCACCAAUCAACUUUGCUUUUCUAGUGCGCCAAAUCAUUGCUGAUUCAGCAGCAAUAAGUAUGUAGGUGAGAUCUAUAAGGGUCACGUCGUGGUUCAUCGCAUAGUACUCUCUUACGAACUCACUAUAUGAGUUAGGAAGCGAUUGAAGAACCCAGUCAACAGCCAGCUCCUUACAGGCAACGAAUCCCAACAUUCUUAACCUUUCAAUGUGUGACUUCAUCUCUAGGACAUGUGCACACACCGACUUUCCUUCUUCAUGUUUACUUGCCAAAAGGGCUUGAGUGAGGUGGAGGAAGUGAAGCAUGAUCUCUUGUUCCUCGAUCGAAUCGUGGAAUAUCAUCUUCAUGUCGAAGGCUUGUUCCACGGGAUUUGGGAAUACCAUAGUUGUCAUACUUUGACAUCUACAAAAUGGGAGAAAAUAAAUUCAAGUUAGUUGAUUGAUUGAGUCCUUAAUAAAUCACCCAUUUGAGAUAUUAAGGCUAGGAUCCAACACAACACUCUACAACCUAGAAAAGGGAUGCCGUAAUCUAGUUGCAGAAUAUUUGAAGGUAGGUAAAUGACGAUUUUCCAAUUUCCACCAUGAAAAACGAAAAAGAAAUUUAUGUUUUAAAUCUAUUGAAAAUUCCUAGAUCUUUUGAGACUCAUUGAACAUUUCAAUGACAUGUUUAAAUCUCGAUAUGCCCCUCUAGUUUUUGACUGGGAUACUGAGGAUCACAAAGCGGGUGUGAAUAAUCAUGCAAACUUACAUUGUGCCCCCACAUGUUACAGUCACCUAUUUGAUGUGCCGGUUAACGACACACGCUCCACCGAGCUAUGACAAACAUUGAGUCACCCUUUGCUACCUUUGCUUAGAACCAUUUAGUGUGCCUGUUAACCACACACGCUCCACCAACGUCUUUGCAAGGGCACAAAGUGUAAUUUCAUGGAAUUGCAUCAAUUCACUUUUGCCUAAAGCAACUAAGAUUGGAAAUUUGUAAAACAUUUAAUUACUUUUGUAUUGCAUUAUACUUAUAAUGGAACGUUUCUGUCCUAUCCUACCCGUUCGGCUAACGACCCUCCACUAGUCAAGAGUGCGGUAGGUAAGAGUGGAUACCCAAUCAAUCGCCAUUUUAUAGGUAAUUUCCUUAAACACCCCGUAUAGACCAGCUGCGUGAAUGAGGCCUACUAACAGUAAGACUGACUUUUACUCAUACAUAUAUAUAAUAUUAGACUUUUAAUGUUAUAUAUUGUAUAGGGUGUAUUUUACACUUUUAAAAUAGUAGGUGGUCAAAUUUAAUAAUUAUACCUUUAAUUUAAUUAAAUUGUAAACCAAAACUUUAUAGAUUUAUUAAAUCUCUUUUAAUUAUACACUUUAAUUAAUUAAUAAAACCAUAAGGGUGUGAUUUGAACUUUUCAAAACAAUACUAGGGUUUUAGGGUUUUAGAAUUGAACAUUUCUAAAUUAACUUUUAAUCAACUUUUAAAUUCAAAAACUUGAGGGCAAGUUUUGAAACAUUUCAAAACAUUUGGGUUUCAACUAUUUAAAUUUCAAAACAAAACCUUUAAGUUCAAAUUUAAACCAUAAAACUCACAUGGGCACAAAUGAAACUUUUUCACAACACAAGGAUCAAAUAAUAAAUAAUAGAAAUUAAACAAUUAAUUUUGUCAUUAUCUAUAUUUGACCUAAUUUUGAUUUCUUGCAAGAUAAGUUACCGCAUUAAUACAAAUAAUCAAUCUUAAAUCAUAUAAGGAAGAUAUUAUCUAAUCAAUUGGUAAUUAUCAUUUGUUUUGGCAAGGAUAAUCUUUUAGAAACAUUAAAAAUCAUAUUUUAUAAGUUGAAAACGAAUAUGGUAAUUAUCCUUAAGCAAAACAACAACAAAUUCUGAAAUUCCCUAUGUCUGACGCUCCGACUCGCCGAGUCACACAUUGGAACUCGCCGAGUCAGUUCGAACAGAAGGCCAUAAUUCGAUUUUCAGUUAAUAAUUCAACAUAGCAUCACAUACAAUAGAAACCAAUCAAGUCUCUGAUACCAUUGAUGGGUUUCAGCCAUAAAGACAUCCUAUGUGCUCAUGCAAACCCUAAUGCUUGGAUCUAGGUUUCUCUAUUGUACAUGCAAUUCAUCCAUGACUUUAAACCCUAGAUCUAGCAUACAAUUAAUCAUAUUAACAUAAGAAUGGGGGUUAGAGAAUUACCUUUGAUUGUUAUGUAGCAAUAACAAUCUCAAGUCCUCUUUGUAAUGACUUUAGAAAGCUUAGAGUCACAAUUGUCACUCCUCUAAUGGUUCACAAACACCAAGAGCAAGAGGAUGAAGAACAAGGAGAGUGGAGGCUGCCGAAAACGUCCAGAAAACCUAGUGGAACUCUUCACCACGUUUUUGGGGCUUAAGGGUGCUCUAUAUAUACAUGUAGGCUAUUAGGGUUUUCAACUAGGAAACCCUAAUCUGACUGCUUAAGCCCUAAGCAGCCCAUGGAUUCCUUUGGUAUAUCCCUUGGACGAUUUCUAAUGGGCUUCCCCAUAAAAUUCGUCCAACCUUUAUAUUAUUAAGUAAUCCAUAGCCCAAUUGCAAUUAUCUUAUAAUUACAGUUCCAGUCCCUUAAGUUUAAUUAAUCUCUUUUAGCCACACAACUAAUUAUCAAUUAAUUCUUGACUAAUAUUAAUUAAACAAUAUGAUUUCUCCUUUAAUAUAUUAUUCUCAUAAUAUAUUAAUAAAUCAUAAUUAAUCCUUUCUCUCCAUAAUUCAUCCUAUCAAGUUGCUUUGGUGAUGGCAACCCAAAAGGACCAUGCACCAUCGGGUCAAGUACAUACCAAAAUAGUUAUGGACUUAGACACUAAUCCAAUAAUUGUUUUGUUUCGACAUUUUGGGACAAAGCGCCAAUGACUUCGAAGGUAUGUUCCCUACUUCAAUCCUUUAAUAUUCCUUCAUGUGCUUAUAACUUUGUGUUACUGAAUUUGAUGUUGCUAUUACUUAUGUCAAUAAUUUGGUUAUUUCUACUACAACGAUGCUAAAAGUCUAGUGCUCAAUUACUAGAAUCACAAAAGAUGUUGGAGGCGAAGAAAGUUAAGAUAGAUCAUUUAGAAUUACAAAUUACGAACAUCAUGUGUGAUGGGGAUAGUUUGAGUACCGAUAAUAAAAUUAUGUUGAAACAAAGAAACAUUUAUUGUAACUCAGCUAUAAGGUUAUAUGGUAAAUUGACUGAAUAGCAUCAUUCAUCUGACAUAAGCAAAGAACAACAUAUGAAGCUUUUACCCUUUUUAUCUUUUGAAGGAGAGAAAGUAGAUGCAAAUUCUUAUGAAUGUGAGAUGUCAAUUUCUGAGUUUGAUAAGGUUCCUGAUAAUAGAUAUCCGUAUCGAAUUGUGAAAAUUGAUGAAUAUCUUAAUGAAAAUGAUCUUUUUGAUACUGUUAAUAAGACCCAAACUAAAAAUGAACAAAUCAAGAUUUUGAAAAGUACUGAGAAUUCGACAUCUGAUUUUCAAAACAAUUUUACUCAUAUCGAAGAUGACAAUAUUAGUGAAAUUGAAAAAGAUGAAAUUGUUGACUGUUCUCAGUUAGCUGUCAUUAAUAUCAAAUCUUUAGCUAUGCGUAAACAAAUAUGUCAUGAUUCGAAUGUUAAAGUUAAGAAAGAUCAACCCUAUACUUCGAAAGUUUUUGAUCCUGACUAUGUGACUGUCGAAGAUAGUCAAACUGAUAGUGAUGAUGUUGAAGAUAUUUCAAAAUAAACUACUACUCCUUGUGUAUCGAAAGAAACAACCAUUCCUAUAAUUGUUGAAGAUCAGGUUUAUAAAGAGACAAAGAAAUUCGACAAAAUCCUAAAAGAAAAAGGUUCUCACUCUCUUGAAGAAAAUUCUAUGGUUUACCCAAACUUCAAGUGCACUGAUAAUGUCGUCUUUCCAAAUCAAGUUUUUUUUGUCACAAAGGAAAAUGGAGAAAGUGUUAAACCUAAAAUAAACAAACUUGUUGAUGAGGACAAUAAGAAAGCUUCAAAGGAAGGAUUUUUCUCAAAUCAGAGCGCGAUUGCGAACAAUCUCAACAAAAAUUUCAUUCACUUUUCAACGACAAAAGCCAAGUCAAACUUGGGUUGUUAAAACAGGAACGCCGAAAGAUGAAAAACAAACAAAUGUAAAAGUUUCUGAAAAUCCAAUUGAAAAAGUUCAAAGUAUAAAAGAAAAUGUCCAAAAGAUUUCUCAAGAAAAUGGAAUUUCGAUGAACAAAGCUCGAAAUAAGGCUUAUUGGAAAAAUUAUGUGUCUAAAAAGAAACAACAAAGUCUUUCAUCCAAAGAGGCUGAAAAGAAAAAUUCUAAAUAUGUUAAGCCAAAGAGCAUGUUUCGAAACCAAAACAAACAUCUCAUGUUAAACUUCUUAUCUUGAGAGUUAUGUGAAAAAUCAACAAACAAAGAAUUUUGUUCAGAAUUCACAAAAUCAAAGGUUUUCACAACAUAAUCUUCAAAAAUAUGGUUUUCAAUCAAAUGAUAAAAAGAGUUAUCAUCGGGUUCCACAUCAAAAUUUAUUUUCGAACUCACAAAAAGUUUUUCCAAGAAAUGAUAAUGGGUAUCAAAAUCAGUUUCAGAAUCGUUAUAAACGUCAUGUAUCAACAAGAAUGCCAACAAGAAACUAUGAAAAGUUGAAAAUCCAAGGGAGAAUAUAUGAACCUUUUAAGCCAGAUCAACCUCAUUUUCCAAACCCACCUUUGAAACAAACAGUUAUAGUUUCAUUUGUUAAGGGAAAAACGAAUGUGAAGAAUAUUAAUUUGGAAAAUUAUCUCAAGAACAGAUCAAGGAUGCAUAUGAGAAGUAUCUAAAUGAAUCAUCAAAUGGAUGUUCUUCAUCAUAAGAUUCAAAUCCUUCUGUUCAAAAAUCGAGAGCAAUUUCGAAAGAAAAAGUCAGUGAGAAUCAAACUAAGAUGAAUGAGGCGAAAUUUAAAGUUGGCUUUAAAUCUUCGAAUGAUUACAUUUUUGAUACCCUUAAAUAAUUAAGUGGACUUAAUUAAUAGUGUCAAGUCAAAAGUUCGUAAUUGGAUAAUAGGGUCUUCAUUUCAUCAAGCAUUUUGUACCAAUAACCAAGGACCCAAACAACCUUGGGGACCUAAAUUCUUUAAAUAAUUGCACGUUUUGAGUGACGAGCAAUAUGAUGAUAAAUGGUAUAUUAAUAGUGGUUGUUCUCUUCAUAUGACUGGGAAGAAGGAAAACCUAAGAUUUUUUCGAAUUCUUGAAAAUGUUAGUAAUGUGAAGUUCGGAAAUAAAAAAAUUUGUAAAGUCAAAGGCUAUGGAAAGGUGACAAAUGGCAAGUUGACCGUCAAUAGAGUAACUUAUGCUGAAAGUCUUCAACAAAAUUUGAUCAGUGUUUCGCAACUUGUUGUGGGCACUGGAAAUCAAGUUGUUUGUGAUGAUAUUGAACAAAGAAACUAAAGAAAUUCUUCUUAAAUCAAAACGAAAAGGCGAUAUGUUUACACUUGACAUCAAACCCAUCGUUGGUGUUCCUUCAAUUUGUUUACUUUAGAAAGUUUCUUCUUAUAUAAGUUGCCUAUGGCAUCGAAGACUCUCUCACUUGAAUUUGAAGAAUUUGAAUAAGUUGGUAAAAUAUCUUGUUCGAGGUUUGCUAGUUUGAAAGUUUGAUCAUGAUACUUUGUGUGCAGCUUGUGAACAAGGAAAACAACACAGACAAGGACAUCCAAUUGUUAUUGAUUCGAAGAUCAUUAAACCUUUGGAACUUCUUCAUAUUGACCUUUGUGGUCAUUCAACAGUUGAAACACUCAACAAGAAGAGGUACAUUUUUGUUAUAGUUGAUGAUUUUUCUUGGCUUACUUGGGUAUAUUUUCUAUAUUUAAAAUUAGAAACAAUUCAAGUGAUGAUCAAUUUCAUCAAACACAUCGAGUUAAGUCUAAAGAAAAAGGUUUGCAAGAUCAAGAGUGAGAACGACUCACAAUUUAAUAACACGGUUCUUUAUUCGUUUUUGUCUGAGAAAGGAAUUUCACACAAUUUCUCAUCUCCUUAUACACCUCAACAAAACGGUGUUGUCGAAAGGAGGAAUCGUUCACUUUGCAAAGCUGCAAGAACAAUGUUGACUUAUGCGAAUCUUCCACAAUAUCUCUGGGCUGAAGCUAUUUCUACUACUUGUUUCACUCAAAAUCAGUCAUUUAUUCAUAGACGAUUCAAUAUCACCCCAUAUGAAAUCAUUAACAACAGGAAACCAAAUGUUAAAUUUUUCCAUGUUUUUUGUUGCAGAUGCUUCAUUAUGAAUCUUAAGAAUAAUCUUUUGAAAUUUCAGUCCAAGGAUGGUGAAUGAAUAUUCUUAGGCUAUUCUCAUAAUUUUGUGGCAUACAGGGUGCUCAACAAGUGAGCUAGGAAAAUCGAAGAAACCUUUAAUCUCACAUUCGAUGAUCACUAUGUCAAAAGAGUCGAAAAGUGUUUUUAACAAAAACCAAUCAUUAAUGGGUCAAAUGAAAAAUCUGAAAGUAUUAAUUCAUUAGAUUUUGAUUAUGAUUUGAUUUUUGGUGUUCUAGAUGUUGUUGAUAAUCGUUUGCCUGAAGCGUCGAAACAUUCUGAUGAUUCUACUCUGACUCGGGAUAAUAAUGAUUCAUUUUCAUCAAAAAAUUCUUCCAAGAUUAACAAAAGUUUGUCAGAUGCAUCAAAUGAUCAAGUGGAGGGGGAGCACUUGAAUUCGUCUGCUCAUGUUGAGGGGGAGCAAACUUUCGAGGGGGAGAGAGAAAGAAUGAAUGUUAAUGUCGAGGGGGGGCAUCCUAAUAAUCCAAUUGUCGAGGGGGAGCAAUAUGGUGAUAAUACAAAUGUUUCGAAUGCUCAAAAUGAUGAAAUUUUUGACGUGGAUGAUAAGUUGUCAAAUGAUGGAGAAGGGUCUGAAACUAAGGAAAUGUUCGAGCAUGCACCAUUGGAUUUUGAUCCUGCAUAUCCUUUGAUGGAUAUAUGGACUCGAAGUCAUCCAAAAGAACAAAUUCUUGGUAGUCCUGAAGAUGGAGGGUUGACCAAAGCUCAAAUUCAUGCAAAGAAUGAGGUACUCAAUAAUCACCAGGAAUUUUGUAUGUUCAAUGUUUUUAUUGCAAAAAUUCAACCAAAGUCAGUAAAUAUUACUAUGGAUGAUCCUGAUUGGAUUGUUGCUAUGCAAUCUGAAUUGGCUGAGUUCGAAAGAAACAUGGUUUUGAGACUUGUUCCAAACCAACAAGAUACUUCUAUAAUUGGUCUUAAAUGGAUUUUUAAGAGUAAAACUGAUAAAGAAGGAAAUAUUCUUCGAAAUAAGGCUAGGCUAGUUGUAAAAGGAUAUUCGCAACAAAAAGGUAUAGAUUCUGAAGAAACCUUCGCCCCUGUCGCAAGACUCGAGAUUUUUCUAAUCUUUUUAGCCUAUGUAGCACAUAAAGAUUUCGACAUAUAUCAAGUUGAUGUGAAGUGUGCUUUUCUCAAUGGAGUUCUCGAAGUAACGGUUUAUAUUGAGCAACAACAAAGUUUUGUCAAUUCUCAAUACCCUGAUCAUUGUUAUAUUUUAGAUAAAGUUGUUUAUGGUCUUAAACAAGCUCCACAUGUCCAGUAUGCCACUCUUACUAAUUUCUUAAAAUCUUCGAAAUUUAAGCAAGGAUCUAUUGAUCCCACUCUCUUUCGAAUGAAAGUUAGGAUUCAUCUCAUUCUUGUUUAAAUUUAUGUUGAUGAUAUUAUUUUUGGUUCAACUGAUCCUCAAUUGUUAAUUGAAUUUGAAAAUAUGAUGAAAAGUAAAUUUGAGAUGAGCAUGAUGGGGAAGAUAAACAAUUUUUUGGGAUUAAGUAUUCGUCAAAGCAGAGAAAGAAUUUUCAUCAAACAAGAGAAGUAUACAAGAAAUCUUCUUGAGAAGUUCGGAAUGAAGAAUAACAUAAAGUUGAGAGUACUGAUGGCAGUUGGAACAAGACUAAGUCCUUCAAUUGAAAAACCAGUUGUUGAUCUCGCAUUGUAUCGAAGCAUGAUAGGUUCGUUAGUAUACCUUACGGCUAGUAGACCUGAUAUUAUGUUUUUUGUGUGCAAUUGUGCUAGGUAUCAAUUGAAUCCUAUAGAACCUCAUCUUACUGCCAUGAAAAGAUUUUUUUUCUAUCUCAAAGGAACAAUUUCGUUAAGGUUGUGGAAUCCUUUGAAAACAUGGUUUUUCAUUCAAUCAUUCUGAGAUGCUGAUCUUGGUGGGUGUCAACUUGAUCGAAAAAGAACAAGUGGUGGAUGUCAACUUUUGGAUGGGAAGCUUGUGAGUUGGCAAUUGAAGAAACAGACAUGUGUUUCAAUUUCAAAAGCAGACGCAGAAUAUGACGCUGUUGCAGCUUGUACUUCUCAAAUCAUAUGGAUUCAAAGUCAACUGCGUGAUUAUGCAACUAAUAUGAAGAAAUUUCUGUUGUAUUGUAAUUCAAAAAGUGCUAUACGCAUUUGUCACAAUCCUAUGCAACAUUCGAAAACACAACACAUUGCUCUUCGAUAUCACUUUAUUAAAUAUCAUGUAGAAGAUGGCAACAUUGAAGUUCAUUUUGUAAAGACAACUGAUCAGCUUGCAUAUAUCUUUACAAAGCCAUUAGAUGAAAAAUAUUUCGUAAGAAUCUUGACGGGAUUAAGAAUGAUCGAAGCAAAUUUAGUUACAGGACUGCUUUCAAAAGAAUAACAAACCAAAGCGGAGAACAGCUGUCGUGUCAGUGGUUACUGUUCAUAGUCAACACUUCGACAUACUUCGCUUUCGACAUCAUGCACCAUGGUUUGACAAAAUUUUCACUAUUUUGUGUCAUUGUCUUAUUUUCGCUAAUCAAGUACAUUUAUUUUAUUGUUUUCUAUUUUUUUAAAUCAAAAACAGCAAAAGGAUUUUUCAUUUUUGUUCUUUAAAAUCAAAAACAACAAAAAAUAUUUUUCAUGUUUGUUCUUUAAAAAAAAAUCUAAAUAUCAAAAAGAUUUUCUUAUUUUUGUAAUUUCUUUUUCAAAAAUCAAAAAUCCAAAAAUAUAUUUUGUUUUGUUCUUUUAAUUUUUCCUUGUGUAGCUAUUAACGAAGAUUUUUGUUGCCUAAUGCCUACUGUUACUUUAUGGGAAGGUAUAUUUUUGAAACUAUGUACUAGUUAAGAUGUCCCUAGAAGCAUGCUGCAGCAUGUCUACCCAAGCCUCGAUAACUCAAAGUGUUUCAAAGCCUUAAUGAAUUUCUCAUUACGAGGUUUCCUACCCAAUAAGGCUGUAUUCACAUUAGUUUUUGAGCUACCUUACUCUUCUCACAAAAGUUAAGAGUUUCCUGCUUGGUCCUAUCAUAACAGAGGUACUUUAGAUUCUUGAACCACACUUUUUAAUCCAAAGAUUCUUUCACAUUCACACACAAUGACAUAUGUCUAAGAGAUAUCUGAUAUAAACCAAUAAGGAUUUAAACAUAUCAAAGAUCUGUGUUUAUGAUAUGGGUUCAUGAGACGUUAAUGAAAGUGAAACCUAAUAUUUCGAACCUAAAAGGGAAUUGACGGGGAACUUUGUUCCAGAUUUUAACGAAACAUUUGUUUCAGUGCCUAUUUUUGAUACUCCAAAUCAUAUUCUUUCGUUUUGCGUGGUCUUCAUAAAAUGUUCGUAUCACACGACAUUUUUACCCAAUGAGAUACAUGAAUAAUUUUGUUUUGAGGAAUAUAUUUCAGUGUGCAGUAUCAAUCUGAAUCUUUGUUACUUGAUAAAUUUUUCAAAGCAUACUUGUCACUGACUAUACCUGUCAAACAGGUAAUUUCGAUUACAAUUUCUCACACUUAUGUUUAAUUGUGAUAUGUAAUGAAAUUUUCAACCACCCAUACAACUUAUUAAAAAAAGCCCUUCGAUACUUCUCUAUAAGUAUUUUAUUGUAAUUCAUGGGAAACCACACAAGCUGUUAGUCAUCUCUCUUGAUGAAUAACGAAGCGAUCUUUGUAUGGGAUCUUACUGCUUUUGUGUCGAUAUAUUUUUGACAUCACAGAAUCCAAAAUUUUCUUAUAUUGCUUCUUAUCUUUUUAAUUGGCACACUUUUCACUCAUGAAAUCCUUGAAGUUCUGAGUAAUACCAACUCAGACUGAUGAUUUUGAAAGUCUGGCAAAUGGCUUCGCUUUUAAACCCAAAAGUGAAAUAGCCUAACCUCCAGGCCGAAGGUUACUGAUGGUUCUAAUUCUCUUGGGGCAUGCAAAAAGUCUAUUUGAUGUGAUAUUUUAAGUUCAUGUCCAGUAUUCAAGGAAAAAGUGCACAUCACUUUUUCAGACGUGGCUAUUUCUCCGGCUAUUGGUGUGAUUUUCAAGGAGCCACAUUAAAUGCAUUUAAUGCUGGAAACCGCUUCAAAUUCAAACUCAGUUUACGUAUAAAAUGGGUUUUGUGGUUUCAUUCUAACUUUACGCUUUCAUAAUAUCCCAAAAUCAAAAAGAAUUAUCUACCAUCUUCACCAAUUUUCAAACCUUAACAAUGGCAGCACCAAAUGUUAGUGUUGAUCCAUCACAAACUACUGAAUAUAUCACAUCGCAACCGCUUAUGAAGAUACAAGGCACCAAUUUUCAAGUGAAAUUGGAUGUUUCUCUAUAUCCAAAGGGGUUGAAGAUGCGCAUUGUUUCUUUGACCAAUUUUGUUUUGUCAACUGCAAUGUCUUCUUCAUUCUCAGUACCAUUAUCUUGGUUAUCACUUGCUGGGUCUACAACGGUUCACAUCAUGGCAGUGAAGAUCAUUACUUUCCAGAUGAUGAAUGAUAAGAAGUUCAUGUUUACAAAGAAAUUAUUUGCAUAAACCUUGAAGUUACCUACAUUUUCUUCUUAUUAUUAGGUAACUAAUGAACAUGUUAUUCAUAUGUUUAAUGAGAUGGGUUAUCAGCCUAUUUUUACCAAGAUUAGUGAGUUCAAGAAGUCCAGUCUACCAUGUCUAUGGAAUUUCUUAUUUGAGAGAUAACUUCGGUGCUUGAUGGGUCGAAGUGUGGGAUUAGACAAAGCCAAGCUGGAAAUCUAUGUGUUAGUGGUAGGAAUUUUGUAUGAUAUUCUUGUUGAUUAUGCCACACAACUGUGGGAGGAGUUUGUUAAAAGCAUCAGCAACACGAAUGUUGUCACUGACAUUUUGUGUGCUUAUUACUGGAGUUUGAUUCUUCAGUAUGCAUAUAAAAAAGAAGGGAUUCCAGUUCCUGUUGAUGAACAGACAACAAAAUUUUCAAUGUGUCAGUUUCCAAAGGUCGUUGAAGAUGAUGAGGAGGUUUUCCAACUAUCGAUCGAAUUCCAGACGCAAUGCUUCACAAGGUUGAUCCAUCUCAUUAUGUAUUGGUGAGUUAUUUGACAACGAUCAAUCCUGAUAUCGUAACUAGUGUUUUGUUACCUAAAACCACUGGUCCAUCAAAGAAGAGGAAGGGGUCUAAGAAAGACACAAAGGAAAGUUCAUCAAAAACACAACCUGAGAAAGUUGAGAAGGUUGUUAAGUCUACUCCAAAUAAGGUAGUGACAACUGAGCCACCUCCGAAGGUUGUUCCUAAGCCAGUUUCGAAGCCCGUUGUUGAUUUCUCAUCUCAUCCUGAAACAGAAGUCUUACCUUCGAAAUCAGGGAUUUUGAAGAGAUUGAGGAAAAUGGUUCAUAAACUACCUCAUUCACCGGAAAGAUCAAAAAGCUUUUCACCAUCAUUUGCUAUCAAGCCUCAGGUUAUUCGAAAGGGGGUUGUCUUUUGUGAAGUUCCAGCACCUUCGUCUCCUGCAUCAAAGAAAAGGCGUGUUGAAGACAUGGCCAAAAAGAUUGUGAAGAAGUAAAAGAGAAAGAGGAAGUUAGUUAUCAGUGAAGAUUCAAAGGAUGAGGAAGUAGUUAUUGAAUCUAUAGUUGGAGAUGAUAAUAUGUAUAUUCCAUCACCAUAGAGGGAUUCUCUAAUCAAGUCGAACUUCGAGGAGAUUGGAAAUUCUGGUGGCCCUGCGAAAGCAUCUAAUGUGGACACAACCACUAAUCUUGGUGAUCCUAUGAAGGUGUCUACUCCUAAGCAGAAAACAGUCAUACCACCCGAGGUUUCGCGUACCGAGUCAUUGAAUGAGGAGGUUCGAACCUCAGACAUCUUUGUGUACAUAUCUCAUAUGGACACAAAUGUCAACAUGGGUGAAGGAUUAUCAAAUAAUGAAGCUCUUAUUAAUCAAGAUCAAGGUAAUCCUAAUCUUAUUAUUUCAUCAUCCUUCGAAACUUCUACUAUUGAUACUUCCACUUGUCUACCACCAUUUAUCUAAACUGUUUCUACUUCUACCCAUUCACCCACUUUCGGUACCAUCAUUGAUCAACCAUUACAUCUCUAUUUUCAUCUCAAUCCAUUGACCCCACCCUUGUUCAAGAAGCUGAACACAAUGAUGAUGAUGAGUUUGAUGGUACUUUUGUUGAUAUUGAGUUUGAUCCUGAAGAAGACAAUAUUUCGGAUAAUAUGUUGCUGACAAUGACACAAUUCUAAAUUCUAAAUAGAAAGCUCAAUUCAUUGUUACAACUUCAGGCUGAUGCAGAGGGAAAAUUUUUGUAUCGGGAAUCGAAGUUGAAUUGUUGCUAAAGCAUCAAGUGAAGGGUUUUGAGCACUCUAGCAGCCUUAUGGCGCACAUGCAACCCUAGAUGCUUUGGAUCUAAGUUUUCUCUAAUUAUACAUGCAAUUUGAUUUUCUAAAGCAUUCAUCCUAACUAGCAUACAAAGCAUAUGUACUUGAACAACAAAACUUGUUAGAUGACUUACCUCUUGUAGUAGCUUGUUAACUUGGACAUUUAAGAGCCUAGCACCCCAAAUGUGAUGCCUCGAAUGCUUCAUAAAACACCACCAAAAAUGGAGGACUUGAGAGAGAGUGAUUUGCACAAAAUUCGGCUCUUAUGAACUCUUAGAACACAUAGGAUGAUUUUAGAGGCUAAUGUACUCCUUUUAUAGUGUGGCAAAGACUAGGGUUACAUCCAUGCAAACCCGAAUGCACAUGACCUUUCAUAUUACUUAGGUUGUGACAACCCGAAACUUUCAUCCUAUGUAAUUGGUCCGUGUAUCGGCUUUAAAUCUUGAAUUCAUCAUCCUUUGUCAAUCUUAUGGUUCCAUAUGCGUGAUUUGGACUUAAUAUAAUCUAGAUAUGAGUCUUAGGAAGCGUUAGAGAGUAUUUUGCAUCGCGAAAUCGGACCAAACACACCAACUAAGGUGUGUGCGGCCACACUCUUGUGUGUUCGGCCACACACCCAUGUGUGCGGCCUCACUCCCAACCGCACACCCUCCCAGCCUUACACCCAAACCUAUAUAUGGAUGGAUACCCCCUUCAUUCAUUCAUUUGGAUGUUCCUUACCCUCUCUCUACUUUCUCUCUCUAAAAUCAUCAACCAAGAACACCUUGAAGGCUUCAUAUUCGUGAUCUAGUUCAUCUUCAAUCUAAUUAGUAGUAAAAACUUGAAUCCCAAUCUUAAAAACUGAUCAUGUUCAUCAUAUUCAUGGUCCCUUGAAGGUGUACGACCGCACACCUUCAUGAGGGGGUAGCACACAUUCAAAUCUCCCUAGUGUGAAGAGCAAACACUUCAUAUGGACUCACAAGAGGAGUGUACGGCCGCACACUCCUGUGUACGGCCACACACACACUCUGUACGGCCGCACACACUUGUGUGCAGCCUCACACACCCUUCUGGACGCACACCCUAGCCGCACACUCACUUCCAAAGCCAUAUACUCACUCUCAUGCCCAUAUUUGGCCCUAAACUUGCAUAGAUCAUUAACUUGGAUCAUGUGACACUUAUUCUUAGUAGUUCCAAACCCUAAGGAUGUUUUCCCCAUCAUGUUUAAUCAUGAAACACCUUAGUUCGAACUCAUUUAUGUGUCAUCACAUGAAUAAUAGGGGCCAUUGGCGUUCAGGGCAUCCGUUGACACUCGAACCCUACGUUAAACUGUGAGUUCAUACCCCUACUCCUUUUUCCGUGUUUUCAAUGAUUUCCGGGGGGGGGGGGAAUACAAGCAAGAGUACAAUGGAACAUGUACUUAAAACUUAUUAUUUCGUAUGAAAUGUUUUCAUGACAUAUAUGCUUUUAACACUGGGAAUCUUAACCGGCAACCGUUUGAACUUGCAGAACUUACUACCAUAUUAUUUGUGAAAUACCCUAUAAAAUGCUAUGUUUAUAUUUCACAAAUGGUUUUCAACAUUAUAAUAGUUAAAAGCAUUUUUUUAAAACUUAGAACUUGAAACGUGGAACUUGAACCGUCCUUGGUAACACUCCACCGAGAUACGAGAGUGAAGGACUACUUUUAAAUUCAUUAAUCUUACGAUUGGAGACACGUCCUUGGUAACACUGCCACCCGUGAUGAGAGUGUAGGACUACCCCUAUAAGCAGAAUCUCCUUGAGGGAGAACGUGACUUGAGUGUAUAGAUCUAUACGGGAUUGACUAUCCCACACCUGGCUGCUAGCUACAGCCAAACCGAAAGGUUCAAGGGUGACAAAAGUCAUAUUGUGAUACUGGCCCAGUUACGAGCCAUAUGUAGUCUUUAGUAUGGUUAUAGAACUCGCAAUCUAGAUUUAUGAAAACUUUGAUACAUAUUUAAUAGUUUUAUAUACGUGUUAAAACUAAUACAUUUUACAUGGAUAACUGUGUUUUCAGAACAUAACUUUCGUGGUAAAUAAACUUUCAGGAAAAUAAGGGUUUUUCCUAGGAUAACUGGACUUUCAUAACUACAUUUGUGUAACGAACGGAUAACUCAAACUUUUCUUAUAAGAAAAUAUGGGAUUUUUUUGGAUUCAUAACUUGUACAGAAACCAAAGGAAACUUGUUCCUUUUCAGAAAACAAAACUACUUAUGAACUCACCAGCUUUAUGCUGAUUUUCAAACUGGUUGUAUUCUCAGGUCCACAUUAGACAGGUACCCCAUGGUCUUUUGGAGAAUACGGAACACACUGAAGUCACAUCUUACUUUUGUUUAUAUAUAUACAUAUGUAUAACACUUGCAACACUUGGUUUUCAAACAAUUGUAAAUUUCAUAUGUAAUUUAAUGGUUGUUUACUUUUCUUACUAUGUACAUUGGUUAUGAUAUGCAACAUGAUGUCACAUCCGCCACAGAACGUUUUUGCCUAUGGUUUCGGGGUGUGACAGAUUGGUAUCAGAGCCCUUGUUUAUAGUCCACUAAGUAUACCAAACCUUACAUGUUAUCAAACUAUAAACACUAAAGGGGCCUAAGGGCUCUGAACUAAAAGUAUACUUUAAAAUAUAAGUAUUUUCAAAAGUAUACAAGUAUACCUAACCGCCAGAUUCCGUAACUAUGAGUAGAACAAAACAUAAGUAAAUGGAUGUUGGGCGCUGCGGUUAAACCUGGGCAGUUAUGUAGUCGUGUCUAGGGUCAAUACAGCCUGAUCAACUAUAUUCAUUCGAGACACGGCCAACAUGUGCUUAGGAGUGACUGUGGUGUUUGGCAUGCCUAAAACUUACCCAAUACCCAAACAUCGAGCCAUUGUCGUAGCGAAUCAUGAAAUACUAUGGGAGUAUUUCUCGAGCCAAUCUAUCGCAGAAAUCCUCAUUUAAGCAUUGUUCUUUGAUCAUUCUUUUGGCGAUAACUUAUCUGCUUUGAUAACUCUUUCAUGCUUUAUCGCUUAUUCAGAAUAUAUAUAUAUCUGUCGUAUCUCUUAAUUCAAUUCAGAGAACUCACCAUCCUCUCCUUCCUGAUCUUUUUAGAUCAAGAUGCCUCCAAGAAAGAGACCCAACUCAAAGAACAACAAUCCUCCGCCGCUACCUCCUCCUCAAUUUGAUCCUGUAAUGUUCCAGGCAGCUGUUACUACUGCGAUGGCAGCUGCUUUGUCUCAAAUGAACACCGGUGGCUCCGGUGGCUCAGGAGGUGGUACCCAAACCCAAAACCAAGAAGGCAGCCAGGGACGCCGAAAAGAGUGUUCCUACAAAGACUUUAUGAACGCGAAACCCACGUCUUUCGAUGGCAUUGGAGGUGUCAUUACUCUGACCCGAUGGAUCGAGAAAAUUGAAUCUAUUUUCGAGAUCUGUUCCUGUUCUGAAUCCGAUAAGGUGAAGUUCGCCGCCUGCACUUUCACCGAUAAAGCCCUGACUUGGUGGAACGGCUGAGUGAAAUCCCUAACUCUACCUGUAGCCAAUGCUAUGGGCUGGGAAGCCAUGAAAGAACUUCUUCUAGCUGAGUACUGCCCUCGGGGUGAAAUGCAAAAGUUGGAACAUGAACUCUGGAACCUAAAGAUGAAGGGUUCUGAUAUUGUCGCUUACACUUCCAGUUUCGAUGACUUGGUGCUACUCUGUCCGGGAUUGGUCACCCCGGAGAGCAAAAAGAUUGAUAGAUUUAUUUGGGGGCUGACCCAACCAACCAAAGGAAAUGUCUUGGCUGCAAAGCCAGACACCUAUGACAGCGCCAAAUGUCUAGCGCAAGCUUUGAUCAACCACAAUGAAGACCUCGAGGAAGCAACCACCACUCCUGAGUCGGCAAAAUGGAGUGGUGAGAAAAGAAAGUUUUGGAAAAAGAAGAAAAGCCAGCCUUCUCAAGAAUCCUCAAAGAAACAGAAAACUGUAGCAGUCCACGCUGCUACUAUCCCUGCUGCUGCUGCUUCUACCGUGGGAUCCACAGCUCAAACUCCUACCGGUAGAUACGCUGGCACCCUUCCCUUAUGCAACAAGUGCAACUAUCAUCACCUCACUUCCGGCCCGUGUCGGGAGGUGCAUUGCAAUAAUUGUUGCAAGAAGGGCCACCUUACUCGGAACUGCAAAUCGCCAAACCAAGCGACCAAUCAAGCCUCUGGAGCAGGAGUCGGUCAGGCCUGCUACGGUUGUGGGGAUGUUGGGCAUUUCAAGAGAAACUGCCCCAAGGUAGCAACGACUGGAAACACUGGAAGAGUCCUAGCCAUGGGACGAGAGGAGGCAGUCGCCGAUCCAACUAUUGUCUCGGGUACAUUUCUUCUCGACAACUCUUAUGCUAGUGUUCUUUUCGACUCGGGUGCCAAAAGAAGUUUUGUGAGUCAUUCAUUCAAACAUAACCUUAAACAUAAUUCCUAACCACUAACUAAAACUUUCACCGUUGAGAUGGCUAACGGUGAGAAAGAAAGUGCUAGCGAGGUGUUCAUAAAUUACACCCUUACCCUGAACGACCAUUCAUUCCCCAUCGAUCUUAUGCCAGUCUCCAUAAAGAGCUUUGAUGUCAUCAUUUUCAUGGAUUGGUUGAGUCCCAAUCAUGCUGAUAUCAUCUGUUACAAAAAAGCCAUCAGCCUCAAUCUCCCCUCUGGUCAAACCCUCAUAAUCUAUGGUGAUAAGCUCAGCUCUAAUCUUCGCAUCAUUUCCUGCAUCAAAGCUCAGAAGCUUCUGCGUAAGGAGUGCUAUGCAUUCCUAGCCCAUGUAAUCAACGAGAAGCAGGAGGUUAAAGACCUCGAGAGCAUCCACGAAGUCUGUAAUUUUCCGGAUGUCUUUCCAGAAGAGCUCCCAGGAAUCCCUCCCGAACGUCAAGUUGAAUUUCGUAUCGAUCUAGUUCCUGGAGCUACCCCCGUAGCCAAAUCUCCAUAUCGCUUAGCACCAGUAGAAAUGCAGGAGUUAUCUAGCCAGCUCAAUGAGCUGCUCAAUAAAGGUUUCAUCAGACCGAGUUCCUCACCCUGGGGAGCUCCGAUAUUGUUUGCUAAAAAGAAAGAUGGAUCCUUUCGGAUGUGUAUCGACUACCGCGAGCUGAACAAGUUGACCGUCAAAAACGAUAUCCUCUUCCGCGAAUAGAUGACCUCUUCGAUCAAAUUCAGGGAGCCAACUACUUUUCAAAGAUAGACCUUAGAUCAGGGUACCGUCAACUACGAGUUCAUGAGAAUGAUGUUUCCAAAACAGCUUUCAGGACUCAGUAUGGACACUACGAGUUCGUACGGAUGCCCUUUGGUCUAACCAACGCACCGGCAGUGUUCAUGGACCUGAUGAACCGGGUGUGUCGUCCUUUUCUGGAAAAAUUCUUCAUUGUGUUCAUUAACGAUAUACUCGCUUACUCCAGAAGCGAAGAAGAUCACAAACAACACUUGAGGUUAGUGUUGGAAACUCUCAGAUCUGAAAAGCUGUACGCGAAAUUCUCUGAGUGUGAAUUCUGGAUUCAGAAGGUAACCUUCCUUGGUCACGUGGUUAGUGAAGAAGGUAUUCACGUGGACCCUUCCAAGAUCAAAGUGAUAGAGAAUUGGUCGGCACCAAAGACACCCACAUAAAUCCGUCAAUUCUUGGGUCUCGCCGGCUAUUAUCGGAGAUUCAUCCAGAAUUUUUCCAGAACCGCCAAACCCUUAACUACUCUGACGCAGAAAGGUGUACCCUUUUGUUGGAGCGAAAAGCAAGAAACUGCGUUCCAAACAUUAAAGGAAGCCUUAUGUAGCACGCCUGUUCUGUCCCUACCCGAAGGGACGGAGGACUUCAUUGUCUAUUGUGAUGCGUCUAAUCAGGGCUUAGGCUGUGUGCUUAUUCAAAGAGGAAAAGUAAUUGCUUAUGCCUCGAGAUAGUUAGAGGCACACGAGGUCAACUAUACCACACACGACCUGGAAUUAGGAGCCGUGGUCUUUGCGCUGAAGAUUUGGAGACAUUAUCUCUAUGGAACCAAGUGUACAAUCUUCACUGACCAUAAGAGCCUGCAGCACAUCUUCGACCAGAAAGAUUUAAACAUGAGGCAGCGGCGAUGGGUAGAAUUGCUCAGUGAUUAUGAGUGAGAAAUCCGCUACCACCCCGGCAAGGCCAAUGUGGUGGCAGAUGCCCUCAGCCGAAAGGAAUGUUCGAGCCGCAAAGUGAAGACGAUGACGAUGACUAUCCACUCCUAUCUAUCUAUGCAAAUCAGAGAAGCCUAGUUGGAGGCCCUCAAACAAAAGAACGUGUCAAGCGAAUACUUGAGGGGAACGGAUAAGAAACUUGAGAUCAGAGGUGACGGAGUCUAUUGUUUCAUGGACCAAAUCUGGACCCCAAAGUUCGAGGGUUUCAGGGAGGUUGUCAUGGAGGAAGCACACAAGACCAGAUACUCUGUUCACCCGGGUUCGGAUAAGAUGUACCUAGAUCUCAAGAGACAAUACUGGUGGCCAAACAUGAAAGCCGACAUCGCUACAUUCGUGGGCAAGUGCCUGAGUUGCGCCAAAGUGAAGGUCGAAUAUCAGAAACCCUCGGGCUUGCUCCAGCAGCCCGAGAUACCUGAGUGGAAAUAGGAGAUGAUUUCUAUGGAUUUCAUUAUCAAAUUACCUAGGUGUCCGAGUGGGUACGACACCAUUUGGUUAAUUAUCGAUCGUUUGACAAAAUCCGCUCACUUCAUCUUGAUUAAAAAAACAUUCAAGAUGGAAAGACUCACGCGAAUCUACAUCCAAGAGAUAGUCCGAUUGCACGGUAUACCUACGUCCAUUAUCUCCGAUCGAGAUUGCAGGUUUACCUCCCGAUUUUGGCAAUCUCUUCAGAAGGCUCUUGGAACUAAACUAGACAUAAGCACGGCUUAUCAUCCUCAGACAGAUGGACAAAGUGAGAGAACUAUCCAAACUCUGAAGACAUGUUGAGAGCUUGUGUCAUUGAUUUCAGAAAGUCUUGGGACAUUCAUCUACCCUUGAUCGAGUUCUCGUAUAACAACAACUACCACACCAGCAUCAAGGCUGCUCCGUUCGAGGCCCUCUACGGUCACAAGUGCAGAUCCCCUCUGUGCUGGGCCGAGGUAAGGGACACGCGGCUAGCCAAGAGUCAAUUCCCCGACAGUGCUCUCACUGGUCCUGAAAUCGUCCGCGAAACCACCGAGAAAAUCAUUCAAAUCCGAGAACGACUGAAAGCUUCAUGAGAUUGAUAGAAGAGUUACGCAGACAUACGACGGAAACCUCUGGAAUUCCAUGUUGGAGAUCGUGUCUUGUUGAAGGUCUCGCCCUGGAAAGGCAUGGUACGCUUUGGAAAGCGUGGGAAACUUAAUCCGAUGUAUAUAGGACCCUUCGAGAUCCUCGCCAGGAUCGGUCUUGUAGCCUAUAAGCUCCGAUUACACCGUGAGCUUAGUAACAUCCAUCCUGUUUUCCACGUCUCUAAUCUCAAAAAGUGCUUAUCCGAUGAAACUCUUGUGAUCCCUCUUGAUGAAAUUGAGAUCAACGUGAACCUGAACUUCGUGGAGGAACCAAUCGAAAUCAUGGAUCGAGAGAUCAAACGUACAAAACAAAGUUGCAUUCCUAUAGUGAAGGUUCACUGGAACGCCAAACGGGGACCAGAAUUCACUUGGGAGCGCGAAGACUCGAUUAAACAGGAGUACCCACGUCUCUUUCCGAAUCCAUGAUUUGUAACUUAAUUCCGAAUUUCGAGACGAAAUUCCUUCUAACGGGGUGAUAAUGUGACAACCCAAAACUUUCAUCCUAUGUAAUUGGUCCGUGUAUCAGCUUUAAAUCUUGAAUUCAUCAUCCUUUGUCAAUCUUGUGGUUCCAUAUGCGUGCUUUGGACUUAAUAUAAUCUAGAUAUGAGUCUUAGGAAGCGUUAGAGAGUGUUUUGCAUCGCGAAAUCGGACCAAACACACCAAAUAAAGUGUGUGCGGCCACACUCUUGUGUAUACGGCCACACACCCAUGUGUGCGGCCGCACACCCUCCUAGCCUCACACCCAAACCUAUAUAUGGAUGGAUACCCCCUUCAUUCAUUCAUUUGGAUGUUCCUUACCCUCUCUCUACUUUCUCUCUCUAAAAUCAUCAACCAAGAACACCUUGAAGGCUUCAUAUUCGUGAUCUAGUUCAUCUUCAAGCUAAUUAGUGGUAAACAGUUGAAUCCCAAGCUUAAAAACUCAUCAUGUUCAUCAUAUUCAUGGUCCCUUGAAGGUGUACGGCCGCACACCUUCAUGAGGGGGCAGAACACAUUCAAAUCUCCCUAGUGUGAAGAGCAAACACUUCAUAUGGACUCACAAGAGGAGUGUACGGCUGCACACUCCUGUGUAUGGCCGCACACACACUCUAUACAGCCGUACACACUUGUCUGUAGCCUCACACACCCUUCUGGCCCCACACCCUAGCCGCACACUCACGUCCAAAGCCAUACACUCACUCUAAUGCCCAUAUUUCACCCUAAACUUGCAUAGAUCAUUAGCUUGGAUCAUGUGACACUUAUUCUUAGUAGUUCCCAACCCUAAGGAUGUUUUCCCCAUCAUGUUUAAGCAUGAAACACCUUAGUUCUAACUCAUUUAUGUGUCGUCACAUGAAUAAUAGGGGCCAUUGGUAUUCAGGGCAUCCGUUGACACUCGAACCCUACGUUAAACUGUGAGUUCAUACCCCUACUCCUUUUUCCAUGUUUUCAAUGAUUUCAGGGGGGGGGGGAUACAAGCAAGAGUACAAUGGAACUUGUACUUAUUACUUAUUAUUUCGUAUGAAAUGUUUUCAUGACACAUAUGCUUUAAACACUGGGAAUCUUAACCGGCAACCGUUUGAAUUUGCAGAACUUACUGCCAUAUUAUUUGUGAAAUACCCUAUAAAAUGCUAUGUUUAUAUUUCACAAAUGGUUUUCCACAUUAUAAUAGUUAAAAGCAUUUUUUUAAAACUUAGAACUUGAAAAGUGGAACUUGAACCAUCCUUGGUAACACUCCAUCGAGAUACGAGAGUGAAGGACUACUUUUAAAUUCAUUAAUCUUACGAUUGGAGACACAUCCUAGGUAACACUCCCACACGUGACGAGAGUGUAGGACUACCCCUGUAACCAGAAUCUCCUGGAGGGAGAACGUGACUUGAGUGUAUAGAUCUAUACGGGAUUGACUACCCUACACCUGGCUGCUAGCUACAGCCGAACCGAAAGGUUCAAGGGUGACAAAAGUCAUAUUGUGAUACUGGCCCAGUUACGAGCCUUAUCUAGUCUUUAGUAUGGUUAUAAAACUCGCAAUCUAGAUUUAUGAAAACUUUGAUACAUACUUAUUAGUUUUAUAUACGUGUUAAAACUAAUACAUUUUACAAGGAUAACUGUGUUUUUAGAACAUAACUUUCGUGGUAAACGAACUUUGAGGAAAAUAAGGGUUUUUCUUAGGAUAACCAAAAUUUUCAUAACUACAUUUGUGUAACAAACAGAUAACUCAAACUUUUCUUAUAAGAAAAUAUAGGAUUUUCAUGGAUUCAUAACUUGUACAGAAAUCAAAGGAAACUUUUUCGUUUUCAAAAAACAAAACUACUUAUGAACUCACCAGCUUUAUGCUGAUUUUCAAACUGCUUGUAUUCUCAGGUCCACAUUAGACAGGUACCCCAUGGUCUUUUGGAGAAGACGGAACGCGCUGAAGUCACAUCUUACUUUUGUUUAUAUAUAUACAUGUGUAUAACACUUGCAACACCUGGUUUUCAAACAAUUGUAAAUUUCAUAUGUAAUGUACUCGUUGUUUACUUUGCUUACUAUGUACAUUGGUUAUGAUAUUCAACAUGAUGUCACAUCCGCCCCGGAACGUUUUCGCCUUGGGUUUCGGGGUGUGACAUAGGCUCCAUGGGUUAAACCUCCAUGGACUAUCAUAUUGGUUUAGCCUAACCUAAAUAACCAUUGGCCCACACUUUAAGAAUCAUUGAUUUACUAAAUCAGUCCCUGUAUAUUUAACUAGUCUCUUUUAAGAAUCAUUGAUUUACUUUUAAUGAAGGGAGAAUUAUAGUCGUUGUCCUACCCGUUCGGCUAACGACCCUCCACCAGUCAAGGAAGCGGUGGGUGGGAGUGGACACCCAUUAUAUUGCAAUUUUAUAGGCAAUAACCUUAUACCCCCCUUAUAGACCGACUUCGUGAAUGAGGCCUACUAACAGUAGUCUGACUUGUUCUUAUAUAUAUCUAUAUANUUUUAUUAACUUAUAAAACUAUAAAGUAUAAGGGUUGAAUUUUAACUUUUAAAAUUCUAAGGGCUUAACUUGGAUUUAAAGUAUUCAUGAAGGAAACUUUACAAAUUCCAAAACCUGAGGGCAAGUUUUGAACUAUUCAAAAACUUUUCAAUUCCAUAACUUAUGAGUUUAAAGUAGUUUUAAUUAAAAACACUUCAAGUUACAUAAGUUGAGGACAAGUUAGGGAAGACUUUAAACUAUUAAAAGAAUGUGAAUCUUCCUUAUACAUAACUUAUGGAAAUCUUUAUGAGUUUUAUGAAUCUUAAAUGUGACUUUUCAUAUAACUUGAGGACAAGUUACAAAAACACAUUUUAUGAUCAACUCUUAGAUUAAUUUGGAUUGAAAACACAUUAUCACAUAACUUUUCUAUUAAUCUAAGCAACUUAUAAGAACAAGAUAAUUCAGAUCAAACUUUUUCAUGUAAUUAGCCUAAUCCUUAAACUAAUACAAAACAUGAAUCUAUUGAUAAUUAUCUUUAAAAUUGGAUUAGCAUGAACAUUACCACAUCAAAAACAAGUUUAUAAGUUCAGAAAUAGCUUUGGGUAAUGUUCCUAGUUCAAUUCCAGCCAAAAACCUUGAAGAUAUGCUGUCUGGGGGUCCAACUCAUCGAGUUCAUGAACCAACUCGGAAAUUUGCAUGGUUUUGUUCAUGGACUCAUCGAGUCCCUUCAUGGAAUCGGUGAGCCUGCUGUCCAGACAGCAAAAAAACAUUUAUUUUUCAACAAUUUUAGCAAGUAUAACAAGAAAAAACCAGGCUCUGAUACCACGGUUGGGUUUUCAGCAUUCUAACACUCCUAAGUGUAUAUGCAACCCUAAAUUCAUUGGAUCUAUGUUUUCUCUAUUAUACAUGCAAAUAUGAAUAUUCCAAGAUAUUAUCCUAACUAGCAUACAAAACAUUGAUUCAUAUGUAAUAAAGCAAGUUAGAACACAUACCUUUUGAUGUAACGCCUUUAUGAUCUAGUCCAAUGCCUUUAUUUCCAAAUGAGUAUGAUAUUAUCAUACAACUUGAGUCAAUUCGAUCCUCACACUACCAGUUUUGUGCGUAAAUCUCUUUCUCCGAAAUCGCCUUUCUAGCGAAGCCAUCAUUCCCGAACUCAGAGGUACUCAUGCAUAGGGUACCUUAUGUUACGUGUCCCUCCCGAAGAAACCUCAGCAAACUUCCUCGAAAUACCACUCGUACAGUACGUCAAGUUCAAUCUGAAGACUCGUACGGUCAAUCUAUCGCUGAGAAAUGUAUACGCAAGGGUGGUAUAUAAUCAAGGUUCUACAUGUUUAGAAUUGAUGAUCCCGCUUUAACUUUUUUUCCUUGUUUGGAUGUGAAUUUAAAGAAGAAUCAUUUAUUCGACUACCUUUUCAAUCUUAAUUAUAUACGACUCGUAAUCGCGGGACUGUGAUUGAUGAACCAAGUAUGAGUUUUGACAUGAACUUCAGGACGGAGACUGCUCAAGACGUGGUCAUUCUGCCAUGCGAAUGAAGUUAGAAUCCAAUCAAAUGCCUUCUCGCUGAGCGGGGACAAUAGAUACAGAUAGAACAGAAGUACCUAUCCUAUUCCCUACUUCAUGAGUAAUCGUACUUUCUUUUGGAUCUUCCCUAUAUCUUUCUAGAAGAACUCCCAGGAUUACCCCCAUAACGUCGAGGUCAACUUCGGAAAUCAAAUUAGUUGCAGGGGCUACCCCUGUAACCGAAUUUCCCUAUAGUCUAGCACCUGCAAAGAUGCAAGAACUGUCUAGUCAACUUAAUGAACUGCUUAGCAAUGGCUUUGUAAGACCGAGCUUCUCACCCUGGGGAACUCCAGUCUGGUUCAUCAAGAAGAAAGACAGAUUGUUUAGUGUGCACAUCGACUACUGAGACCUCGACAAGAUUUCCAUUAGGAAUCAUUACCCUCUGCCUCGCAUAGAUGGAUCUGAGAUCCGAGUAUCACCGGUUACGAGUGUUAGAGGAGGAUGUCCCGAUGACGGCCUUCCGAACUCGAUACGGACGCUACGAGUCCGUAGUGAUACCUCUCGGAUAAGACCAAUGUGCCCGCAGUAUUCAUAGAGUUAAUGAAUACGGUAUGCCGUCCUUACUUAGAUCAGUUCGUCAUUAUCCUUAUAAAUGACAUACGCAUCUACUCUCUUAGUAAGAAAAAGCAUGGAAAGCAUCUACGACAGACCGUGGGAACAUUACGAUCAGAGAAGCUUUACGCGAAGUUCCCUAAAUGCGAGUUUUGGAUUCGAAGAGUCGAAUACCUAAGGCACACUGUUAGUGAAGUGGGAAUUCAUGAGGACCCUUCCAAAAUCAAAACUGUUUAGAACUGGUGAGCAUCGAAGACGCCUACAGAAAUUCACAAGAGGGGACCACGUUCCUUUGAAAGUCUCACCCUGGGAGGGCUUUAUAUGCUUCGGAAAGCAUAGAAGGCUAAAUCCAAGAUAUGUGGGGCCUUUCGAGAUUCUUGCUAGAAUCGGCCCUGUAACAUACAAACUCAACCUACCCACGAACUUAACAACAUACAUUAUAUUUCCCACUCCUCGAACAUGAAAAAGUGCCUUUCCGUCAGGACUCUUGUAAUCCCACUCGACGAGAUCGAGAUCAACGAGAGCCUCACCUUCGUGGAAGAACCUUAGUGACCAUGGACCGAGAGGUCAAGCAGACGAAGCAAAGCCGCAUCCCAUUAGUGAAGGUUCACUGGAAUGCCAAGCGAGGACCUGAAAUCACUUGGGAGCGCAAGGAUCAAUCAAAACUGAAGUAUGCUCAUCCCUUUACUUGAUUAUUUGUAUCUACUUCCUUGCUUAAACUCUAAUUUCGGGACGCAAUUCCCUCUAACGGGGGGAUGAUGUGACAACCCGAAAUUUUCUAUCCUAUACAGUCAAACACUUCAUUGAAAGUCAAACUCAUUUCUGCUAACUUUUAGCAUGUUUGGUGUCCGUUUGAGCAUUCUGAGAUUUAAUACAUAAAAGGAUAAAGUAAAUGAGUAUGUGAGUUGAGUUUAUAACCUGUCAAACGAGCCAUAAACCCUCAAAAGAGGAGUUUACGGCCAACACCUUGGAGUUUACGGCCGUAAACUCAAGGUGGCCGUAAACUCCAUGCCUAUAUAUGAAAAACUUGGCCAUUUUCAUUCAUUUUUCACACUUUCCAGCCUAGAACUCGGGUUUUCUAUUAGGUAUCAUCAAGAACUUUCCUUCCAAUCUUCCAUUCAUGAAAGUAAAUCCUUUUAUCUAAGUGUUAUACCUCAGUUCUUCUUGAUUCACACAUGAUUUCAUCCAUUAAAUCACUUCUUUUGAUAGAUCUUCAAGUGUUCUUCAAAACACCAAGAACCAAGAACACAUACUAGUGUUCUUGGACCUUAAACACUCUUGCAAGCUUCCUAUAAGUAAGUACACUCCUACUAUCUAGUUAUAUCAUUAUAUUACUUGCUAAACCUUUGAAAAACUCCAAGAAUGCCCAAGAACACAUGGGUUUACAGCCAAGGCAAUCUCCUUGGGCCGUAAACACCAUUAAGUGUUGCAUAUGUGCUUCCAUUACCUCCUAAGGCUUGGAUAUUGGACUAGGACCCUUCAUACUUAAGCUAUAGGACCUUAAGCCACGUAAUGGUAGGAGUUGCCAAUGGUUUAUGACCAUAAACCCACUAGGGCCGUAAACCUUAGGCCGUAAACUCCAUGGAGUUUGGUCCUUGGGCCGUAAACACUAAAGCAAGGUCUUACAACCCUUAGAUGCAACGCUUUAGUACUUAUAGCACAUGAAUCAAAGUGUUUUCCAUGAUCUAGGGUGUUUAUACUUGUCUAAUUAGUGUUAUAGUCAUUAAUUAUAUACAUAUAUAUGUCUUUAUAUGUUAAUAGGAUCAUUGUGUGUGUUCAAGUCUUCACUUGACACCUAGCACCUUGUCCAACACUUCCAUUCAAUCCACUCACUACAGGUGAGUUCAUAUCCCUUAAUUAACCUUUUAAAUGUUUUAAAUGAUUUUAUGGGGGGGGGAUACAAGUUGAAUCAUACUAGGUAUUAUAUCAAUCACAUGUGAUUAAUAACUAGUACACAAAUGGAUUUACUACACUUUUAGCUAUUUUACCAAGCAUACUACUUCAAAAUGAUUUUCUCAAACGUUUUUACAUGUUAAACUCUCUAUGAAACUGUCUUACAUACUAUAUCUUUCCUUCAAACUCUGUUAUAACUGUGUUUCAGACAAAGGAUUUCUUAUACUCUAAAUUGUUUAUAUCAAACAAACUGCUUUUUAACUGUUUUAUAAAUUGACAUCAAGUCAUCAAUUCUUAUUAUUAAACUUUUCAAAUGUUUUACAAAACUUCUUUUAAACUUUUAUAUUGUCAAAUGCAUGCCUAUAUAUCUAUAGUUAUAUAAGUAAUGUUUAAAGGACUUAGGACUGCUAACUUGCUUUAACUCCUUUUCCGUGUUUGGAUGUGGCAUUAGGGUAUCGAUUAUUUGUCUAAAUGUCGUCUAAAUAUUAGUUAUAUAUUAUGUAUACAUAUAUAGACAUAAAAGUUCUAUCAGUAAGUUCAGUACCUUUGGGUUACAAAGACAUACUCUCAUUCAUAUACAUACAUUACUAGUAACUAUAAUAGGUAUAGUUAGGAGAUACUAUUUACUAUUCCUACUACAAGGAAUCACACUAGGAGUUAGUUCAUACUUGAGUCAAUACAUAUUGUAAACAAUACAUAAACUAUACUAAUACAUACACUACACUAAUACAUACACUACUCUAAUACAAACACUACACUUACAAUUGAACGUACUAUAUGAAGAGACACUAUUACACACUAUAUGAAGAGACAUUACUACGUACUAUAUGAAGAUACACUAUUACACACUAUAUGAGAGACACUACUACAUAUGGUAUGAAGAGAUACCACUACUCACUACGGACUGACCAUCCUACACCUGGCUGCUAGCUACAGUAGGUGUGUUCAUCUACGGAUGUUCUCGGUUGUACUUUUCGGCGAUUUACCGCGCCAUGUUUAUCCUAGACAAAUAGAUACGAUUUCAAGGAUUAUACCAUUUUCCUCACUACCUUUAUUUUGUGACACAUUCACAUAAACGAUGAGGUAGAAUAUAUUUUGAUACGAUUUCAAUGAUUAUAUAAAUUUCCUUAUUACCUUUAUUUUGUGAUACAUUCACAUAAACGAUGAGGUACACUAUAUUUUUAUAAUAAUAUUUAUACAUGGGAAAAACCAUCAUUCUUACAAAGAAGCAUACCUUCAAAACAGUCGGGUCUUGGUAGAAGACUACAUUUUCUACUAAUAGGAAAUAUAGGAUAUUCUAGGGCUUUUCAUACUUAUACAAACUUUUUCAUUGAACAUUUACAAGUCUUCACUUCAAAACUUUACAAAUCAAUGACACUAAAAUACUUAUGAAUUUACCAGCUUAAAUGCUGAUCUACUCUUUCAAAAUAACUUGUAUUCUUAGGUCACCAGUAGACAGGUACGAUGACCAGGUUUUGAGAAGACAGAACAGUCAAGACUCGUCUUUUAUUUUGAUUAUUUAUUUUGGUGUUUUAUUCUAUGAAAGAUCACACUUGUAUUAAAAUUUUACUAUUAACGCAAUGGAUGAUGUUGUUCCUUGUUUACUACUUUACACUGUUAUGAUACUUUACAUGACGCCCUCCGCCCCAGAACGUUUCCGUCGUUCUUGGUUUUGGGGUGUGACAACAUCUGAAAAAAGAAAGAAAGACAAAGUUUAGAUUAGAUAAUAUUCCUUAAUAUGACACCCAAAUGAAAUAUUAAGGCUAGGACCCAACACAAUAUUUUACAUAUUGGAAGAGGGAUGUUGUAAUCCAACUUGCAAAAUAUUUGAAGGUAGGCAAAUGACGAUUUACCAAUUUCCACCCUGAAAAACAAAAUUAAUUAUUAAGUUUUAAAUAAAUUGAAAUUCCUAGAUCAUUUUGAGAUUCAUUGAACUUUUCAAUGGCAUGUUUAAAUCUCGAUUAUGCCCAUCAAGUUUGUGAUUGGGAUACCGAGGAUCACAAACAAGGUGUGAAUAACCAUGCAAAUCUACUUGGUACACUUGAAUUCAAUUAUGACCUAAUCAAUGUGCCAGUUAACCACACAGGAUCCACUCAUCUAUGAUAAACAUUAAGCUACCCUUUGCCACCCUUACUAGUCCAAGUUAGUGUGUCGGUUAACCACACACGCUCCACUAAUGACUUGGUAAGGUGCAAAGUGCAAUUUCAUGGAUUAGCAUCAAUUUCAAAUUUUCCUAAGGUAACUAAUAUUGGGAAUUUAUAAAACAUAUAUUUACUUUAUAAUUAUCAUUAUACUUAAAUGAGAAUUAUUGUCUUAUUCUACCCGUUCGGCUAAUGACCCUCCACCAAUCAAGGAAGCGGUGGGUGAGAAUGUACACCCAUUAAACUGCAAUUUUAUAGGCAGUGCCCUUAUACCCCCCUUAUAGACCGGCUUUGUGAAUGAGGCCUACUAACGGUAAGCCUGACUUGUCUUAUACAUACAUACAUAUAUAUAUAUAUANAUAUAUAUAUAUAUAUAUAUAUAUAUAUAAUCAUUAAACUUUUAAUAUUAUAAUAGUAUAAGGGUUGAAUUUUAAACUUCUAAAUUUUUAAGGUUUGGAGUUAAAGUAUUCAUAAGUGUGACUUUACAAAUUCCAAAACUUGAGGACAAGUUUUGAAACUCUUCAAAACCUUUCAUUUCCAUAACUUAUGAGUUUAAUGACUUUUUAAGAUUGAGACUUUUCAUUUCCGAUAACUUGAGGACAAGUUAUGGAUUUCAUUCGAGGCAUUUAGAUCAUAAAUUAACUAACUCAAUUAUCAAGUAAUUUAUCUAUGAUCUAAUUAAACUCGUAAUUCAAGAUAAUUCAUAUCAACAAUUUACAAGAAACUAAUACAAUCUUGAAAAUUUUGACAAUUAUUUUUGAAUUGGAUGAGCAUGAUCACUACCAUAUCAAAAAAGAAAAAAAACAGAUUUUAUGAUUCAAAACAGUUUGUGGUAAUGAUCCUAAUGUAAAUCUAGCCAAAAAAAACUCGAAAAUCUAUUGUCUGAUCAUGCAACUUGUCGAGCCCAACUAUGGACUCGUCGAGUCCAAGGAAAAAACCAUCCUAUUCGUCGAGUCCAAGCAUGCACUCGUCGAGUAGGUGCUGCCAGAACAGAUUUUCAGCUUUGAAAAAUAAUACUUUUGCAUCAAUAUAAUAGAAAACUAUCAUAGGCUCUGAUACCACUGAAGGGUUUUGAGCACCCUAACAACCUUAUGGUGCACUUUCAACCCUAGAUGCUUUGGAUCUAUUUUUUCUUUAAUUAUACAUGCAAUUUGAUUUUUCUAAAGCAUUCAUCCUAACUAGCAUACAAAGCAUAGGUACAUGAAUAACAAAACUAGUUAGAUGACUUUCCUCUUGUAGUAGCUUGUUAAUUUGGACCUUUAAUAGCCUAGCACCCCAAAUGUGAUGCCGCAAAUGCUUCAUAAAACACCACAAACAAUGGAGGACUUGAGAGAGAGUGACUUGCACAAAAUUCAGCUCUUAUGAACUCUUAGAACACAUAGGCCGAUUUUAGAGGCUAAGGGACUUCUUUUAUAGCGUGGAAAAGACUAGGGUUACAUCCAUGAGAACCCUAAUGCACAUGACCUUUCAUAUUACUUAGGCUCCAUAGGUUAAACCUCCAUGGACUAUCGUAUUGUUUUUGCCCAACCUAAAUAACCAUUGGCCCACACUUUAAGAAUCAUUGAUUUACUAAAUUAGUCCCUAUAUAUUUAAUUAGUCUCUUUUGAUCACCAAAUUAAUUCUUUAUCAAUACUAAUUAAAUAAUAUUAUUUCAUAUUAAUAUAUUAAAACUUAUACUAUAUUAAUAAAUCAUAAAUAACCUCUUCUCAAAAGUCCAUCCUAUCAGAUUGUUCAGGUGAAAUGCAACCCAAAUGGACCAUGCUAUUCUCGAGUCAAGUACAUACCAAAUAUAGUUAUGGACUUAAACACCUUAUCCAACAUCAAGAGCAUUGAAUUUAGGAGGGAAUUGAUUUGGUUGAGCGAAACAAUGAGAAAAUAGUGGAGGCAUAGUCUGCUUCGUUUACUUAUGAAUUGAAAGCAUUAAAGGAUGUUGCAAGGGAAAGGCAUGUUAUGUUCAUUCAAGAUGUGAAGAAGAUUCACGAUGAUCUUAAUCUUAAAAUUCAAGAACUUAGAGAAUGUUGGGUUGCAGAUUCGUUUAGAAUUGCAUCAUUGGGCUCGGUUAAUAGUCCAAUUAUUUUGUACUCCGGUUUGGGCCUGUCCAACCGUGAGCCUGUUAGGUUUACUAUAUAAUAAUAUGCUUGCAUGCAAAUUAGGCUAACGAUCUAGAGUACGAUUGAUAGAAGAAGAUAGCAUUACAAAGUUCUUUCUUUAUUGUUCCUGUAAACCUUCUAACCCUCUACAGUUGAUGUUCUUUAUCGAGCUCUUCUGAGGGUUGUUUUAUAAUCAUUCGACUCGUUUGAUUCAUUCUUGAGUUGUUUACUGCUUUCGUGUUCUUGCUGUUUGUUCUUUAUAUUACCUGUUUAAGAUCUAAUCGAUCUUCAAGUUUAGUUUUAAACGUAUCAAUUGGUAUCAGAGCGGGAGGCUGUGUAAUCGAUACACUUCUUUUCUGUGAAAAAGGUUUCAAUUAGGGUUUUCCGCAAUUGUUGAUAUUUAUUGAGCCGUCAUCUCAUUAUUGACGUAUCUUGAUAUUUAUUACUUUGCCCUAAUCUGAUUUAUUACAAGUCUGAUCAUUAAACAGGUUAUUCGAUCAUUAUGGACAAGUCGCAAUCGAAUCCCAUCAAUAUCUCUAACAGCAUUGGAUCUACCACGAAGAUUCCCAUCCUGUACACCCAUGAUUAUGAAGUCCGGGCGCAUCACUUUGAAGAUUAUGUUAUAGGAUCUGAGGAUAAUGGAUACCUCAUCUAGGAAGAAAUUGUUAAUGGACCGUUUUCUCACUCUGCAACUUCAAGGAUUAUUAAAACUCAAAAGGAGUAUAAUGAUCUCCUGAAGGAUGUUAAAGAUAUUGCGCAAGAUGAAAAAGAUAAAUUUUAAUGCAAUAUCAAGGUGUUAAGAUUGAUCAGAUUCGCCCUUCAGUCCGAGACUUUUAGGCUGGUGAGUUCAUGCACGACGGAAAAAGAGAUUUGGGACAGGCUACGUGAAUUGUACUCUACAUACGAGGAUCUUGAACACUCCAUCCAAACCUUGCUCUUGUCUGAGUUUGGAGAAUUCGGGCAGGGAGCCGAAGAAACUGUGACCCAAACGUUCGACCGCUUCAAUCAUCUUCUUAGCAAGAUGAUCAAACAUGACAUUGAAAGGAAGCUUAUUGAGCAGAAGGUUACGUUCUUAAAUGGUCUCAGAUCAGAGUGGAGAGCAGUUGUGUCCACAGUAAAAGCCCACGAGCAAUUUAAAUCAUAUUCCUUGGCGAAACUGGUGGGCAUUCUCAAAUCUCAGGAGAAGAUUGUGUUGCAGGAGAAGAAUGUGGUCUCAAGCCUAGGUUCGUUGGCCCUCUUGUCAAAAAGUAAAGCUGUGAUGGAGGACGAAGACCUCAACUUGGAGGAGUAUGACCUCACGUCUGAGGAUUAUGCUAUGAUGGUGUCUAACCCCAAGAGGUUCAUCAAGAAGAGAUUCCCCAACAACAAAAACCGAAACUGGCAGGGGAGUUAUAGUUCAGAAAAGGUUAAAGAUGAACCGAAGGUUGAAGAGUCUAAGAAGGAACCGAAGGCAGAAGGUGAUUCUGGAGUAAGCUGUUACUACUGUGGAGGGAAAAAUCACUAUGCUAAGGAUUGUGUCCUCAAAAAGAUGGCUGAAAAAGAUGAGGAAAAGGAUGAGGAAGCUUUGCUACAGAAAAAGCUUGAUGAGAUGAGGAAGAAGAAAUCUACCGCUAACCCUUCCAUGAAUGCUCUUAUUGUGCAGGGUUCGGUUGCUGAUGACGAGUUCGGUGGAGUGGAAGUUUGGUCAACCGACUCUGAAGACGAUGAAGUGAGGAAGCCUUCUCAUGGAAAGGCUUGUGUGGCAAAGGAGGAGAGCAGUGGAGGAAGGUGCUUCAUGGUGUCCGAUGUAUCUCAGAUGAGGGGAUACAACACUGAUGGUGGAAGCAAUGAACCGAAGGAGCAGCAGGAUAUGUGCUUUACGGCCAAACCGCUCAGCGUGCAGUUCAACGAGCUCGAUGAACUGAUCAAGAAGGUACAAUCGGUUUUCGUUUCAUUUAAAGUACCACAAUCCUCAUAUGAGAAAGAACUAAAAAAUGUUAAUACAAGAAUUUCUCAUCUAGAUAGUAGUUUAACUCAAACUCGAGUCACCAAUUCUAACCUAACUGAUCAAUUAAGCAGGGUGUCUUCGAAGAGUGAGGAGCGGCGCAUGUGGAUCGAGUUGAAGGAGUCUGAAUUAGUUAAAAUAAAAGACGAAAACAUUUAUUUACAAAGAGACAAUUUAAAGUUGUUAAAACAGCGGAAUGUUUUUUGUUUAAUUGCAAAACGUCUUUAUUCUAAUAUUACUCAGCUUCACUUGGACUGUGAAAUAGGCCAAAAGAUCCAUCGCAUGAUUUUGCCCUUCCUUGAGUUUAAGGAGGAUGAAAUCGAUGCUGAAGCUUAUAAUUGUGAGAGUGUGAUAUCAUCUGAUGACAUUAAUCCGACCUACAUGUAUGGACUGGACAAAAUAGAAUCUUUCAUUAAAUCCAAGGACCACAAGGACAUGCUUAAAAACCUUUUGGAUGAAAAUGAUAGACUUAAACUGAGAACCGAAACCAUACAAAAAUUUGACUCUUUAAACGCCAACUUGAGCUCAGAAAACAAAAUUGAUGUUGAAAAUGCAUCUGAGCUUAAUGAGGACGACAACAUGAGUGAAAUUUCUGUAGAGGACACGGUUGACUGCUCAGAAUUUGUAAAAAACGAACCUGAAAACCACAAGAAUCUAAUUUCUGAAAAUUCAGUGGAGUUCGCUCGAUUGUCCCAACAAAAGUCCCCGAUCUUAGCAGAGAAAGCGGUUGUAUAUCAAAAGGUCAGGACCACUCCAAAUCAAGUGUACAAGGUCACUGGAGUAACCGAACAUCAGACCGCUGAACUCACAGCUAUUGUAAACGAAGACAAUGCUGAUGGCUGCGAUGAGUACUUCUGGUCAGCUCCAAUAGAUAAUGCAAACGAAACGGUAGGCUUAUCAGAAAGAACCUCAUGGAUGAGUAAAGGUAGAUACAUACCAGAACCCUUGAAUAAGCCAGAUAAUUUCGAUGAGCCAAGUACUAGUGGUACGAAAGACAUUCCUCAAGAGAAUGGAAGUUCGGCAAAAGAAGACAUUCCCUCUAGUUCCUCAGUUCAAAGUGAAACUCCUACAGUUCAAAGUGAACCAGCCAAGGAGAAACCGAAAAUGAAAGCCAAUAUUCAUCAUCAACCGAAGCAGAUGAGGAAUAAGAAACGUGAAAGGAACCAGAGAUACAGGAAGAAUCUCUCUGAAAGGAAACAAUUCUGGCAAUCCCAAAAUGCAUAUUUCUCACAUCAAGACAAGAAUCUGAAGUUUGAGAACAAUCCUGUCAAAAAGCAUGAGAGCCACAACAACCGAAAGCCAAGGUUCGGUUCAGAAGAGAAUACCAACCGAAAGCAAAGGCUCGGUUCUGAGAAUGACUCCAACCGAAAGCAUAGGUUCGGUUCAGAGAACUGCUCCAACCGAAAGCAAAGGUUCGUUUCAGAAGUCAAAAGAGAUCAAAACUCUAAGGUCAGUCCCACCAAUGAUCAAAAGCAAAAGGGUCACCUAGAGUCUCCAGCCAAGAAGUCAUCUCAAUCUAAGCCCACUCCUUCUCAUUCAUCUAAUUCUUCUAAUUCUUCCAAUUCAUCUCCAUCUUGCUCUAAAGCUCAUUCUGUUCGUUCUCAAAAAUCUCAUUCGUCAGCUGAACAAAAAGGCAAACAGAAGGUUAAUGCAUCCAAACCAGAGUCUAAACCGAACGCACCUAAUCCUAAUAAAAUCAAAGUUUUUACCAUCAAAAAGAAAGAUGAAACAACACUUAUAAAACGAACAUAUCUUGUUGACAUCUCUCUUACUAUUCCUGUUCCUAUGAAAAGCUCACGUGGACCCAAGAAACUUUGGGUUCCUAAAUCUGCUUAAUUUUUGCAGGUUAUAAGUGACGAGCAGUUCGACGAAGAAUGGUACAUAGAUAGUGACUGCUCGCGUCACAUGACAGGAAGGAAAGAAGAGCUCAGGGAAUACAGGUCUCUUUCAAAUGGUGGCAACGUCAAGUUUGGAAACAACUCUUUCGGCACCAUAAAGGGAUACGGAAUGAUAACUAAUGGUGAUUUUACUAUAAGGAAGGUGGCUUAUGUGGAAGGACUACAACACAACCUCAUCAGUGUAUCUCAGCUUGUUGGAGGUACAGGUCUCAAAGUCUCAUUCGACGAUGAAGGUUCUGAAAUUAUUGAGAAGAAGACGAAGAAAGUAAUUCUCAAAUCGGAGCGUAAGGGUGAAAUGUUUCCUCUAAACCUUAAACCCAUCAAAGGAAACCCAGCUAUAUGCUUGUUAUCAAAAGCUCAAUCUGACGAAAGCUGGUUGUGGCACCGAAGACUCUCUCAUCUCAACUUUAAAGAUAUCAACAAACUUGUCACUGGAGGUCAUGUUCGAGGCCUUCCAUUGCUCAAGUUCGACAGAGAUCAUUUGUGUGCUGCAUGCGAAAUGGGGAAGCAGAGUCGUCAAAGUCAUCCAUCUAUAAUUAACACAAAAGUUGUUGAACCACUCGAAUUACUUCAUAUUGAUUUGUGUGGUCCAUCAUCUAUCGAAAGCAUCGGUGGUAGCAAGUAUAUUCUUGUUAUUGUUGAUGACUUUUCACGAUUUACAUGGGUGUUCUUUCUAAAGCUCAAAUCUGAAGCGACUCAUAAGCUGAAAGUGUUCAUCAAGCAGAUUGAAGUACAGCUCAAGAAGGUCGUUCGCAACAUCAGAAGCGACAAUGGUCUGGAAUUCAAGAACAGGGAAUUUGAAGAAUUUCUAGCAGAAAAGGGAAUAAGUCACAACUUCUCAGCUCCCUACACACCUCAACAGAACGGAAUUGUCGAAAGACGAAACCGAUCUUUGUGUGAAGCUGCCCGAACUAUGCUAAGUUUCGCUUCCUUACCUCUUUAUUUUUGGGCUGAUGCAAUUUCUGCUGCUUGUUUUACACAGAACAGGUCUUAUCUCAACAAACGAUUCACGCUCACACCAUACGAGAUUCUCAACAACAGAAAGCCCAAUGUGAAAUUUUUCCAUGUGUUCGGCUCACGGUGUUUCAUCUUUAACUCUAAAGAACACCGCAACAAGUUCGAUGUCAAAGCCGACGAGGGAAUCUUUCUGGGUUACUCUCUCACUUCCAAAGCAUACAGAGUCCUAAACAAGCGUUCGAGAAAAAUCGAAGAGACCUAUUACGUGACUUUUGACGAUAGCUAUGUCAAAAAGCUACAGGCCAAAGAAGACACAGCUGGGGAAAUCUUUCCUCAAACUGGCCAAGUCACAGUCUCGAUCGCUAAUCUAUACGAGAAGUUUCUGGAGCUAUUUGACGAACCAGAGAAAGCUACUCUCUCAGAAGCAGGUGCAGCAGACAACAAGGUAGACCACAUGAAGCAAAUUGUCGAAGAAGCUGCCAGGAGAAUGAAUGAAGGAGGAUCGAAUUCUGAUGAACCUCCAUCCAACGAUGCUUCAGUCGAGGGGGAGCCAAGCUCACAUGUUGAGGGGGAGCCAAGCUCUACAACUGCUACCGAAAGUCCAACUGCAACCGAAAGUGCUUCUCCAACCGAAGGUGCAUCAACGCCUGAAAGUCCAGCACCACAAGAAACCUCUGAACCUCAAGUUUCUCAUAGCUCAUCAAUCGAGGGGGAGCAUGGUGAUAUGUCACUUGACUACGAAAGCCAAUCCGAGCCAGAAGAAAUGAUCAAUGCUGAACUAGACCCAACCUUUGAUCCAAACUAUCCUCCUCUUACCAAAUGGACCAGAGAUCAUCCUAUCUCUCAAGUGGUUGGUGAUGUCUCUGAAAAGGUUCUGACCCGAUCACAACUGAAGGCAAAACAGACAUCCUUAUUUUCAAAGGUUGAGUUUUGUAUGUUUAACUCAUUCGUAUCAAAAGUUGAACCGAAGACAGUUAACACUGCUCUCGAUCACUCCGAUUGGGUUCAAGCAAUGCAAGACGAACUGAACGAAUUUGAAAGGAACAAAGUCUGGCGCCUCAUUCCAACUCCUCCAGAUGCCUCGGUUGUUGGUCUCAAAUGGGUCUUUAGGAAUAAAAUGGACAAGGAAGGGAACGUUAUAAGGAACAAAGCUCGUCUGGUAGUAAAAGGAUAUUGUCAGGAGGAAGGGAUUGAUUAUGAAGAGACUUUCGCUCCUGUAGCUAGGCUGGAAUCUGUAAGAAUAUUUCUUGCUUACGCUGCCCACAAAAACUUUGAAGUUUUCCAAAUGGACGUCAAGUGUGCAUUUCUUAAUGGAGAACUCGAAGAAACCGUGUAUGUGGAGCAACCUCCUGGGUUCGUGAACGAAAAAUAUCCAAAUCAUUGCUACAUUCUGGAUAAAGCUGUGUAUGGCCUCAAACAAGCUCCGAGAGCCUGGUAUGAAACGCUAACUAAAUUCUUAAAGAUGUCUAAAUUCAAACAAGGUUCGGUUGACCCAACCUUCUUUCGCAAAAAGGAAGGUAACCACCUUAUGAUCGUUCAAAUUUAUGUCGAUGAUAUCAUCUUUGGCUCAACGAAUCCUAGCCUAACAGCUGAAUUCAGAAAGCUGAUGGAGACUAAAUUUGAAAUGAGCUCAAUGGGUCCUAUUAACUUUUUCCUUGGUUUAAAUAUUAGACAGGGACCCGAAGGCAUCUUUAUCAAUCAGGAAGCUUACACGAAGACUCUCCUAGCAAAGUUUGGUAUGAUGGGAGACUCCAAAGUCAAAGUCCCAAUGGCAUUCGGCACCAAGCUAACUCCAUCCCUAGACAAACCGGCUGUUGAUAUCACGCUCUAUCGUCAAAUGAUAGGCUCACUGAUGUAUCUUACUGCUAGCAGGCCUGACAUCAUGUUUUCUGUGUGUUACUGUGCUAGAUUUCAGGCAAACCCACGCGAACCUCACAUGCUUGCAGUGAAGAACAUUCUACGAUAUCUCAAGCGAACUGCCUCCUUAGGUCUAUGGUAUCCUUCCAACUCAGGCUUCUUCGUUCAAGCCUACUCAGAUGCAGACCUUGGAGGAUGUGGACUCGACAGAAAAAGCACCACUGGUGGCUGCCAAUUCCUUGACGGGAAGUUGGUUAGCUGGCAAUCAAAGAAACAAACGUGCGUGUCUUUGUCUACUGCCGAAGCUGAAUACAUAGCAGCUGCAUCCUGCACCUCUCAAGUGAUUUGGAUCCAGAGUCAACUUCGAGACUAUGGACUCAAUAUGAAGAAGAUCCCUCUAUAUUGUGACUCUGAAAGUGCAAUUAGGAUCUGUCAUAACCCAGUGCAACACUCCAAAACCAAACACAUAACACUGAGGUAUCACUUCAUCAAUGAUCAUGUGGAAGAUAGAAAUGUCGAAGUACACUUUGUUAGAACCACUGAUCAAUUGGCCGACGUCUUUACCAAAGCUCUUCCUGAAGCGUCAUUCAACAGAAUUUUGCAAGGGCUAGGUAUGAUGGAAUCAGAGUCAGUACCACAAACUACCUCUCAACCUCAAACGUAAGAAGCGAAAUUGACCGAACACUCAGGUUGGGUUGAAUCAUCUGACUCGCUCAUCACUUCAAAGGUAGUUUUCUUGGUUGUAAAUUUCGUGUACAAAGUUGUUUAUCUUAAUGUCAAAAGUAUUUUCUUAUUACAAGCCAAAAUUCCUGGUUUUUCAAAAUUUUCCAAAACCGAAACCAACCGAACGCUCGGGGUUCGGUUUUUCAAAAUUUUUCAAAACCGAAACCUACCGAACGCUCAGGUUCGGAUUUUCAAAAUUUUUCAAAACCGAAACCAACCGAACGCUCGGGUUUGGUUUUUCAAAAUUUUUCUCAACCGAACGUUCGGGUUCGGUUCUUCAUUUUUUUCCGAAGUUUUUUUUUAUUUUAAGUCUUAUUUUUUUUNNNNNNNNNNNNNNNNNNNNNNNNNNNNNNNNNNNNNNNNNNNNNNNNNNNNNNNNNNNNNNNNNNNNNNNNNNNNNNNNNNNNNNNNNNNNNNNNNNNNNNNNNNNNNNNNNNNNNNNNNNNNNNNNNNNNNNNNNNNNNNNNNNNNNNNNNNNNNNNNNNNNNNNNNNNNNNNNNNNNNNNNNNNNNNNNNNNNNNNNNNNNNNNNNNNNNNNNNNNNNNNNNNNNNNNNNNNNNNNNNNNNNNNNNNNNNNNNNNNNNNNNNNNNNNNNNNNNNNNNNNNNNNNNNNNNNNNNNNNNNNNNNNNNNNNNNNNNNNNNNNNNNNNNNNNNNNNNNNNNNNNNNNNNNNNNNNNNNNNNNNNNNNNNNNNNNNNNNNNNNNNNNNNNNNNNNNNNNNNNNNNNNNNNNNNNNNNNNNNNNNNNNNNNNNNNNNNNNNNNNNNNNNNNNNNNNNNNNNNNNNNNNNNNNNNNNNNNNNNNNNNNNNNNNNNNNNNNNNNNNNNNNNNNNNNNNNNNNNNNNNNNNNNNNNNNNNNNNNNNNNNNNNNNNNNNNNNNNNNNNNNNNNNNNNNNNNNNNNNNNNNNNNNNNNNNNNNNNNNNNNNNNNNNNNNNNNNNNNNNNNNNNNNNNNNNNNNNNNNNNNNNNNNNNNNNNNNNNNNNNNNNNNNNNNNNNNNNNNNNNNNNNNNNNNNNNNNNNNNNNNNNNNNNNNNNNNNNNNNNNNNNNNNNNNNNNNNNNNNNNNNNNNNNNNNNNNNNNNNNNNNNNNNNNNNNNNNNNNNNNNNNNNNNNNNNNNNNNNNNNNNNNNNNNNNNNNNNNNNNNNNNNNNNNNNNNNNNNNNNNNNNNNNNNNNNNNNNNNNNNNNNNNNNNNNNNNNNNNNNNNNNNNNNNNNNNNNNNNNNNNNNNNNNNNNNNNNNNNNNNNNNNNNNNNNNNNNNNNNNNNNNNNNNNNNNNNNNNNNNNNNNNNNNNNNNNNNNNNNNNNNNNNNNNNNNNNNNNNNNNNNNNNNNNNNNNNNNNNNNNNNNNNNNNNNNNNNNNNNNNNNNNNNNNNNNNNNNNNNNNNNNNNNNNNNNNNNNNNNNNNNNNNNNNNNNNNNNNNNNNNNNNNNNNNNNNNNNNNNNNNNNNNNNNNNNNNNNNNNNNNNNNNNNNNNNNNNNNNNNNNNNNNNNNNNNNNNNNNNNNNNNNNNNNNNNNNNNNNNNNNNNNNNNNNNNNNNNNNNNNNNNNNNNNNNNNNNNNNNNNNNNNNNNNNNNNNNNNNNNNNNNNNNNNNNNNNNNNNNNNNNNNNNNNNNNNNNNNNNNNNNNNNNNNNNNNNNNNNNNNNNNNNNNNNNNNNNNNNNNNNNNNNNNNNNNNNNNNNNNNNNNNNNNNNNNNNNNNNNNNNNNNNNNNNNNNNNNNNNNNNNNNNNNNNNNNNNNNNNNNNNNNNNNNNNNNNNNNNNNNNNNNNNNNNNNNNNNNNNNNNNNNNNNNNNNNNNNNNNNNNNNNNNNNNNNNNNNNNNNNNNNNNNNNNNNNNNNNNNNNNNNNNNNNNNNNNNNNNNNNNNNNNNNNNAUUCAACGGGAAACCACAUUAACACUUUAAGGUCUCUCUUGACUUUGAAGGAAGAGAUUCGUGCCCGGGAUCAUUUGUUUCGUGUCAUUAUUGACAUCACAUUUAUUCCUAAAAAGAGUUGCUUUAUUUCUUUUCUUUUUACACUCUUAGCACGAAAAUCUUUGAUUUUCCAAAAUUCUGGUACUAAUAAUUACAGGCUGUUUUAUUGCAUCGGUGGUUAAUUAUAAAGACGUGAUCCAAAUUCAUGCACGUGGGAGUAUCCUUCAAAAGAUGUCGUUACAGGGAUAAGAUGAAGGGUUGCUGACUCAGGCGGGAGUUUAAUUGAUUUGAUUUCAAACGGCGGUAAAAAGGGAACGCAUGCGAAUUUGAAACGUCCAAUCUCUAAAUGACGUCGCAGACGCGUGUACGAUUUGAAACGGUUCCUCUCUAAAAAGCACAGAAAAGCGCGUGUGGAUUUGAAACGAUUUAUCAGAAACGGCGCUUGAUGGGAGGCGUGUUCCAAGGAAUCUGACACUCUCUCUCAUACGUGAUCAUCGCUUACCUUAACUGUCACGCAUNUUUCGUAUUUCGAUGGAAGAUUUGAACAGAUUUUUCUCUCUCCUUACACCCACUAUAAAAGGCAGUCUCCUCUCCCAUUUACCUCUUUACCGCAUCAAAAUUCCCAAGAGAGCAAAAACUCCUUGAAAACCUAACUGUUCAUCAUCUUCUUCUCCACUUCAACAAUGGUAGAAUCAUCGUCUGUUCAUGCUACUUCCCACAUCCUUCCCAUUCACCCUCAUCAAUGUCUGGUGAUCGACUUAACUCCUCAGUCGUAUGACUCCUACAUGUUUCCGAUCAUCGAGUGCCUGAAGUACUCGCCAAUCGCUCCUGCACUUUCACGGGUAGAAACAGUACCCAUGGUGAUUUUAUCACAGAUCUAUGCGACUGCACAUUAUGAUAAAGCAGUCGAUAGAAUCUUCUUCGAGGUUGCUGAUCACAAAACCUCGAUUUCCAGGCAACGAUUUGCUUCCUUGCUAGGGUUUGCUGCUGACCCUUCUAGGGUUAAUCCGGAGACGAUUCCACUUGGGCACCUCUACAAUAUGUUUUACAAUAUGGGGUACACGGAGGCGCUCACCUCCGUCGCGAAGUUUAAAAAAAUCAUGCUUGCCGCCACAGUGGAACGGUAUGUUCACUGUCCUUUUCAAGGAUUUAUCUGAACGGAGCUCAAGAUCAGACGGCUCCAGCCGACUCUUUUUGUCGAUCAUGUACGGCGUCAACCUUGAUUAUGAGUUGGUUCUCUGGCAACAACUCAUCCAAAGCCUCUCUUCUUCUUCACGACAUUUUGAGGUGUCGUAUGCAAGGUUCUGGACCAUCGUUGCUAAAUGGGCGAUGGAUAAGCAAGAUGUCCCAACUCCUGAUGGUGCAUCGAUGUCUUCGAUUGGUACAUUCCGUACCACGAAGAUUAUCGUCUCAGAUACAUUGAAGUUCUCUUUCAUUGGCUCUAUUCCGGAGACCAUGUACGGCGAUGUUCCAUCUCACAGCAGGAUCAUCCGGACUAUUAAGGAGUUCAAGCAGUCUGGACCGAGGGAACUCACACAGGAGAUGCUCAAGUCCAUCCAUGAUGCUGAUAAGCCUGUUCAUAGAGGCAAAAAGGCAGAUAAAGGGAAGCAAGUGACCAAAGGGGCUAAAGGUCCUUCUCCCAGGAAGAGGAAACCAACCAAAGCUGCACAGUCCCCGCAGCCGAAGAGGCGAAAGACUCAACCGAAGCGAAAGCUAAUAAUCGCUUCCUCUUCGAGUGAAUCAGAAGGUGAGAGUUCGGAUUCGGACGGCUCUCAAAGAGGCGAAACCCCUCCAAGAGGCAACACCCCACCCCGAUCACCUACACCAGACAUGGAAAUCCAUAUCUCACCAAUUCCCUCUCCCACUCAAACAAUCCCUACUUCCAUUCCCACCAUAAACCCCUCUACCACCAUUCCUAAAACCUCUUUNNNNNNNNNNNNNNNNNNNNNNNNNNNNNNNNNNNNNNNNNNNNNNNNNNNNNNNNNNNNNNNNNNNNNNNNNNNNNNNNNNNNNNNNNNNNNNNNNNNNNNNNNNNNNNNNNNNNNNNNNNNNNNNNNNNNNNNNNNNNNNNNNNNNNNNNNNNNNNNNNNNNNNNNNNNNNNNNNNNNNNNNNNNNNNNNNNNNNNNNNNNNNNNNNNNNNNNNNNNNNNNNNNNNNNNNNNNNNNNNNNNNNNNNNNNNNNNNNNNNNNNNNNNNNNNNNNNNNNNNNNNNNNNNNNNNNNNNNNNNNNNNNNNNNNNNNNNNNNNNNNNNNNNNNNNNNNNNNNNNNNNNNNNNNNNNNNNNNNNNNNNNNNNNNNNNNNNNNNNNNNNNNNNNNNNNNNNNNNNNNNNNNNNNNNNNNNNNNNNNNNNNNNNNNNNNNNNNNNNNNNNNNNNNNNNNNNNNNNNNNNNNNNNNNNNNNNNNNNNNNNNNNNNNNNNNNNNNNNNNNNNNNNNNNNNNNNNNNNNNNNNNNNNNNNNNNNNNNNNNNNNNNNNNNNNNNNNNNNNNNNNNNNNNNNNNNNNNNNNNNNNNNNNNNNNNNNNNNNNNNNNNNNNNNNNNNNNNNNNNNNNNNNNNNNNNNNNNNNACAAAAGCUUGUGAGGCAGCGACCGAAAAAGUCGAUAAACUAUUUUCCGACGCCUCUUCCCUGUUAAAGUCCUUACAGGAGAGUGCCGCUGCAACCAAGACAACGCUGGAACCGAUUGUUCAACAAUUGGCCACGUUCGUCUCAACAGAGUCGAAGUCGUUCGCUACCCUUCGCCAAUCAAUCAGUGACGACAACUCUGCCCUUCGGACAUCUAUCGACGAGCGCCUCUCUAAACUCCAAGAGGAUCUUGCUUAUGAUAACUCGUUGAUGGAUGCUCUAGCAAGGAAGACCACUGCCCUCAAGGUCAAGAGUGCUCAACUUUCAAGUUCUCAACAACAACUUGAUGCUCUUCGAUCCGAAAGGGAAGUGAUAAGGACGUGUGUUUCGGAUGUACACUCCGCAAUAUCUAACAUCCUAGAAGCGCACGAUCCCAUUCUGAACCACACUGUGAGGCGAACCCUUGCAGAAAAACUCGCCCCUGCCCUGGAUCUUCUCAGCAAAAUUGAAGGGCUGCCUAGUUUCAUGUACACUCCAAAACAAGGGGGAGAAAAGGAGUUCGGAUCUCAACCACCUCCUUCCUCAAAAGCCGCUCACACAACCGAACCUCCUCUUACAGGUCAAGCUUCGGGUUCGGGUGUGAAGGAUAAAGGAAAGAAGAUAGCUGAGGAAGAAGAUGAAGAUGAUAAAGAAACCAUUGCUGACUUGCUGAAACGCAAAAAUAGUCGCAAUGUUGAUGAUGCCAACAUUCGUGUGGCGCGAGAAGCUGAAGAAGCCGAACGUAAGAAGAAAGAAGCCCACGAUCUCCUCGAGAGCAGGGAGACUCUUUUCCCUGCUUGGACUCGAGAGAGAUUGAUAAAGGAGGCUAUAGAUACUCCAAGCAUCCUAUGGCUCGAACCGGUGAUCUCCUUCGACUGCUACAAUUCUGUCGAUUCGCAGUUCGACAUGCCGUUGACUCGAAAUGCGUUUAUCUUCCACGCCUUCUCCAAUAUUUUUGAAGUCCCUCAUCCGAACCCUGAGGUUGAUAGGGAACUGAUCGAUUUCUAUCUGAAGGCGGCUCGUCCUCAGUAUCUAACAUGGAGCGCCCAGAAGAUAGUGAAUGUUCGGGUAUUGAAGCCUUAUACCGAAGGAAGAUUCAUCAAUGUUCGGUUCAAGGUGAUUCGAGGGUCUGCAAGAACUGAACAUCUAAUAUCCCUGGCAGAUCUAUCGAACCUAAAUCCUCAUGAUUGGAUCGUUUUGCAUAACAUCCUCUUGACGAAUGAAGCUGAAUAUGGUCCGAUUAUAGACCAUCUCAAGAGGAUGAUUGUCUGUUACAUCAUGGAGGUAGCCCUAAUGGAUCAGGAGGUAGCCACUGUCUUCAAGAAGAAACCGACGAUAUCUCCUGUUGGCUCAGCCAGUGAUCUGAACCAGAUGAAGAUGGGCAAGAUUGACCCGAGGCGUAAUUCGGUCAUGUUCACUAGAGCAGAAGGACAGAAAUGUCUCUUUGCCUUAGCGGAUAAACAUCUUUAUACCACUGCUUGUCUUGAGCAUGUGCUAGGGAUCAUCCAUCGGUGUAAAGAGAAUACAGCGGAUGAUAUCAAAUACUUCGACGAUAUGAUACAGUGGUACAUCCGAUUCAGACAGACGAUACUUGCCCUUAUCUCGCAUCUGUUUCAGACUGUAAAGAAGAAGGUUCCUGCUGCUGCUGGCCCAAGCAAGAAGUAAAGAUCUCGCUCCAAUUGACGCAAAGGGGGAGAUUGUUGGGUUGCAGAUUCGUUUAGAAUUGCGUCAUUGGGCUCGGUUAAUACUCCAAUUAUUUUGUACUCCGGUUUGGGCCUGUCCAACAGUGAGCCUGUUAGGUUUACUAUAUAAUAAUAUGCUUGCAUGCAAAUUAGGUUAACGAUCUAGAGUACGAUUGAUAGAAGAAGAUAGCAUUACAAAGUUCUUUCUUUAUCAUUCCUGUAAACCUUCUAACCCUCUACAGUUGAUGUUCUUUAUCGAGCUCUUCUGAGGGUUGUUUUAUAAUCAUUCGACUCGUUUGAUUCAUUCUUGAGUUGUUUACUGCUUUCGUGUUCUUGCUGUUUGUUCUUUAUAUUACCUGUUUAAGAUCUAAUCGAUCUUCAAGUUUAGUUUUAAACGUAUCAGAGAAGAUAUGGGAAAGGAAGUUGUCGCAUUAGAAAAUAGUUAUUCAUCUAUUCACAAGAAGGUUGAUAUAAUUGCUGAUGUUGUAACAAAGUUUGUUACUUUGUAUGAAGAUCUUGUUCCGAAGGUUGAUAAGAUGGGUGAUGGUGAGGUUUAGAGUUUUGCAAACAUUGAUAACUUGUUGGUUGAAUUAAAGGGCUUGGUUUUGGGGUCCAGUUUUGUUUCUUCUUCCUUGAUUACUCCAGAACUUAUUUCUGAGAAGUUUACACUAUUGGAGUCCAUAAUUCAGAAGGAGUUAGCGCCACGUGCGAAGCUAAUCAAUAUAAUGCCAACGGAUUCCCCCACCUGUUUAUACAGGGGUGCAAUGGGGAGAAAAGGGAAGUGUUGGUGUUGGAUCAAGGUUUGGUACUAGUGAAGAAAAAUGAUGAUGAUGCGAAGGCUGGUGGAAAGGUAUAUUCUACUCAACUUCCAACUUCUUUUAUCAAUGUGUCUACGAUUUCGUCUUCCACAACAACAACAACGAAGCCAAUAUCAAAAGGAGUCGUAAUUGGUUCUGCUGGUGGAGGGUCCAGUUCUUCGAAACCACCUCCUACCACUGAACAGAUGCAAAACAAAGGGAAAGGAAUUCUUCAUGACCUCGCUACAGAAGAAAAGAAAGCUUCACUCGAACAAGAAAAUUAGAAAUAGAGGGAAAUUCAAAGCAUCCUGCGAUAGAGAGAAAAUGGUCCACCAGGUCUUAACAAAUGUGAACCUUCAACAUAAUACAGUUACAAAUAUAUCAAAGCCACGGUUGUUUCUGGUGAGAUGCAUUAUUUCAGUAAGACACCCAAAAAGAGUUCCAACAUAGAAAACACUGAUUUUAAUCAGUUGGAUUUCCCGAUCAAUCAGAUGAUGUUUAUUGAUGAAAAUUUUGUGUAACACCCCGUUCCUGGCAUGCAUUUAGUUCAUUUAAAUAUUCCUUUUGUAAAAGCUACUCAACGAGUUAGAAGCCCUAACUCGUCGAGUAGAUGCCAGAUUGGACGCGAGGAUUACAUGACCUACUCGGCGAGUCGAGAGCCGGACUCGAGGAGUAGGGCCACCAGGAGGAAAGCCUAUUCUCGGGGUUUUGCACCCUAUUUAAGCCACUUAACCCCCUUUUGGGCCUCCCAUAACAGCUUCCCUGUCCUUCGGAACCCUAAUUCGCUGUGAGCUUCAUUCUUGAGAGAUUCUUGAAGUUUUGGGUGUCUUUUUGUGAUAUAAAAAGAAGUUAGAAGAGCUUGGAGCCAUCAAGCUUGCGGAGAAGAUCAAGAUCUGGGAUUUAAUCCACCUUUGGCAAACUUUUGAGGUAAAAAACUCCUAUCUUGGUAAUCCAUAACUUAGAUCUCUUUUAGUGUUGAUUUACGAGUAUUUUUGAUCCCUUGAGAAGGAUAAGUUACCUCCACAAGGGUUGUAUGCCAAGCAAUCCCUUUUUCCUGUGAUAUUUGGCCUCUAGAAUCAUAAAGUGGUAUUUAACCCAUUUUUGUCCAAGUAAUGGUCAAGUUCAUGGAAGUAGGUUGCCAUAACUUGACUUUGGGUCCAUUUGAGGUGUGUAACGCCAUCAAGUCUCCAACUUUGUAGAAAUGGACCAAGGAAACGAUUUAGAUCUGUAUUUUGGAGCCCUAGAUUUGUGAAAUCAGCUGAUUAGGUUAGAUCUACAAGGGACUCGACGAGUUCAUAUAGGAACUUGACAAGUCCGGUCAAGGAUCCCCGAUGUUGUUCAUGAAACUCAGCGAGUUGUCAAGGAACUCGAUGAGUUGGAUCAUCUUGCCCCUUUUUUGAUUAUGUUAGGACUCAUCGAGUCUGUGGGUGACUUGACGAGUUAGUUCAUCCAGUCGCAAGGAUGGGUAGCCUGGAAACUCGACGAGUCAUUAGGUGGCUCGGCGAGUUGAGUCGUGAUUUUAGGGUUUCUGAGUUGUUGAACCUGGCGAGUCGAUAUGCUAACUUGACGAGUUAGGUCAACUUAGAAGGUUGACUUUGACCAGAAUGUUGACUUUAACCAGGGGUAAAGUGGUCAUUUUACCCUAAAAAAGAUUGUUAGAUUUUGACUAAGUAUUAUUUUAUAGUGGUAGGCGAGGAGUCGUGGGAGCAGCCAGCAGAGAUUCCUGACGCAUGAGUUCAGCAUCCAGUUUGAGAGGUGAGUUUCCUUCAGUAGGAACGGGUGUAAGGCACCAAGGCCGACCCGUGUAUGUGAUAUGUUAGUAGUUGAGUAUAGGCGGGGCCCGAAUCUCACAGCAGCCGAGUGUGGGUGGGGCCCAAAUCUCGUAGUAUUAUUAAGUAUAGUUCUAUGACUUUUUGAUAGGGAUAGAUAUACUUGUUAUCUGUGUGAUACUUGUAUGCAUGUUAGACAGUAGAGUGUGGGCGGGACCCGAAUCUCCUAGACAGCAGAGUGUGGACGGGGCCUAAAUCUCCUAGACAGCGGAGUGUGGGUCGGGCCCAAAUCUCCUAGACAGUGGAGUGUGGGCGCGACCCGAAUCUCGUAGACAACAGAGUGUGGGCGGGGCUCGAAUCUCCUAGACAACAGAGUGUGGGCGGGGCCCGAAUCUCCCUGAGAGUGGGCGGGGCCUGUAUCUCCUAGUUGGAUGUUAUGUGUAUGGCAUGCGGUAGUUUGGGGCGACUCACUAAGCUUCGUGCUUACAGUUUCAGUUUUGGUUUCAGGUACUUCCACUAGCAAGGGGAAAGGCUCGGGAUGAUCCCGUGGCACACACCAUAGUUUCAGCCUGGGAUGUUUAGAAUCUAAUAUUUUUCUCAUAUGAUUUUGAUGCAGUGCAUGACAUGAUGUUUUGAGAUACAUGAUUCUUGAUUUUCUUUAUGAUUGAUGGGUAGUUAUGGUUUUAUUAAUGAUUUAAAAAUGAAAAUUUUUGGAUUGUAUUUUUGGGAUGUUUCAAGAUGGUAUUAGAGCCUUGGUUUGAGGGAUUCAGGCACACUCUCGGGUGUGUCUGGACUCAAACUAAGGAAAUGGUAUAGAAAUUUCAGAAGGGAAAUCAUUUUUGUAAAAAGAAUUUUGAGAAAAGAAAAGAGUAGAAAAAGCAAAAAGAAUUUUGGAAAAGGAGAAAAGGGUCUGGUGCAUGCAAUCAAUCGAGCUCAAGUAAGUACUCCCAAAUUACCCAUACAAAUUUUUGAUAUGAUAUGUCUAUGAGAACUGCAUGCUAGAUUAGGACUACGGAUCUAGGAAGGAUGCCUUAUCUGCCUAUUAUAUGUGUAUCAACUUUAUGAGAAAUGCAUGCCAGUACAGGUCAGUCAGUAUUAUAGCCAGAGUAGUAUAUGCUUGAUUGUGUGUACUGAAUGCCUGAAUGCUGCUUGCUUAGUGCUUUUAGGAGUUCUAGUUGUCUUUUACUAACUAAUAAAUGAAUAUGUUAAGUUAAAUAUUGCGAGGACUAAAUAAUUUUAGAAGGUUAGGUCUAGCUCUAUUUCGCAGCUCUUGUUUGAGUCCAACCGUUGUAGGGUAGGAUCUCUCAUUUGAAGAAUUAUCUAGUCUGAGUGAUAUGUAAUAGUAUUCGCGAGCUAGUUAGGGGAAGAUGGCAGGGACUUCUUAUGCAGCUGAUGGCGAAGAGUGGUUUGAUGAUUACCCUAGGGCAAGCCUAGAUGAGAUUAGCACGUGAAGCAGUAGCAGUAGAAAGGACUUGGUGAAGUUGAGGCAGUAUUAAGGAAAGUAUAGGUAGAUGUGGAAGGUAGUAUGGGCCCGUACUACUAAAAGCAUAGGAUCCAUACUCGAAUCAAGGAGGGCUGAGAUGAAUCCGGUGAACUUGUAGUGUAUGUGAUCCCUCGAGAUAUGAUGUGUAUUCUGAUGCUUAUUAUCGUAUGUUUUUCAGUAUGAUGGUUGUAUGCACUAGACCAGUCGGCAAUUUAGGUGCCGGUGAGGUAUCAGGCUCAGGCUCUGGAGCUGAGCAGCUAGAUGAGCAGACUAUGGAGUUCAUCACCUCAGAGUUCACACACAGCAUACUAGACCAGAAUCUUGUGAUCUUUGGCACGAUCAAGGAGGACAUACUUGAGCUUUUGGAUGAGAGGUUGAGUGCUUUCCGCAUUGAGGUGGCGACCAUGAUGGGGUCGCGCACACUAACUUUCAGGGAGUUCAGGGCUUGUGGAGCUCCUGACUACCAUGGGGCUCGGGACCCCAUUGCGAGUACCAGAUGGUUGGCGGAUGUCGCCAAAGCAUUCCACACCAUCAAAUGUCCCGAGGGGACAAGGUCCGACUUGCGUCCUGUCUUCUGAAGGACAUGGCACAUGAUUGGUGGGAGGAGGUUGGACGAGCCAUUGGUGAUGACACAUUGUUGGAUGCUAGGACCUGGGGUCAUUUCACGACCACGUUCAGGGCCGAGUUUGCACCUAUUAUUGAGGUGCAUUAGCUUGGUAGGGAGUUCCAGGAUCUCCAGCAGAUGAUAGAGAUAGUGGCAGAGAUUACCGCCAAGUUUAGGGAGAGGGCUCUUCUCGUUCUGCAGUAUGUGGCAGACAAGGAGAUGAAAAAGGCCAGAUACAAUGAAAUACUGAGGAGUGACAUCAGACAUUUUGUGAGCCAGUCCAUCUGCAAGACACUAGAGGAUAUGAUUGCGAGGGCUCGUGAGAGAGAGAGAGAGAGAGAGAGAGAGAUUGAUUUAGAGAUGGAGAGGCAGAGGAAGCCAAAGGCAGUGUCUGGCAUAGAAGGCUCGAGCAAGAACCCCAAGGUAGACUCCCGAGGGAAGGGCCUGCAGGGCCAAGGCUACUGUGGCAAGUGUGGCAGGGGGCAUGAGGGGUCGUGUAGGGCAGGUAGUUCGGGCUGCUUCAAGUGCGGCCGAAUUGGACAUGUUAGUUAGGAUUGUAUUGGAACUACCACUACCACUACAGCAUCUUAUCUGAUUUGCUUUCAGUGCAAUCAGAGGGGACACAAGAAGUCCUAGUGUCCGAGUCAAGCAUCAGCAGGACACGUGGUGGCACCCGCUCCUACCACUUUGAGGAUUACAGAUGGCCGUCAGGGCCGAGUGAGGCGCCAGUGGCGAAAAGCAGAGCCUUCCAGUUUACAGCAGAGGAGGCACGUGUAGCCCAUGACAUAGUGAUGGGUAUGUAUCUAUCUCUUAUCUCUAUUGAUAUUUAUUGUUAUUCAUGUUUAUAUGUUUUUGUUAUAGGAUCAUUCUUAGUGAACGUUAUAUCAGCAUUGGUACUGUUUGAUUCGGGUGUCACCCAAUCUUUUUUGUCGCUCGCGCUCAGCAAGCGAUUUAUAGGAGCUCCAGGGGAGCUGGAUUGCCCACUAGAUGUAGUGAUAGCAGAUGAAAGGACCGUCAGGGUCACAAGAGUUCACAGAGGAUGUACAGUUCAGUUAUUCUGUAACAACCCAAAAAUACAACACAAAAAUUUCCAUUCAAAUAACAUUACAUAAGCCAUGAUUGACAACCAUAACAUAAUUCUUAACGUAAAUCCGGAGUAUUAGUUCAAAACAUAUUCGUGUUAUUAGAGUAAAACAUCCCAGUCUGACUAGCUAUGGUGUGUGCACUGCAAUCUUCUCGAGCUCCUCCUUUGAAAACUGAAUACCUAAAACCAAAACUGAAAACUGUAAGCACGAAGCUUAGUGAGCUCCCCCAAUCUACCACAUACCAUACAAUAACAUAUAAAGCACAUACUGGGGCCUUGCCCCCUACAUCGGACCGACGUCCGGAAAUCCCGGACUAACUGGGGCCUUGCCCCCUGCAUCGGACCGAAGUCCGGAAACUGCAUCGGGUCGAAACCCGGACUAACUGGGACCUUGUCCCUUGCAUCGGACUGAAGUCCGGAAACUGCAUUGGGCAGAAGCCUGGACUAAUUGGGACCUUCUCCCCUGCAUCAGACCGAUGUCCAGAACUAACUGCAUUGGACCGAAGUCCGGAACUGACUGAACAUAACAUAGCAUAAACAUAUUAACUAACAUGAACACAUAUACUACAUACUGCAUCGGACCAGGGUCCGGAACUCGUAACACAAAAUAUGCUUGAAUCAAAAAGACAUCAAACAAUCUAACUACUGCAUCAGACCGUGGUCCGGAACUACUGCUAACUAAAAGGGCCGGCAUUGUGGCCGUACACCCGUUCCUACUGGAAGGAAACUCACCUGAACUGCUGAGCUUUGCUGAUAACCCUCUGGCUGCUAACCGACAACCCUCUGAGUCGCUGCUCCACUAGCUCUCCGAGCUACCUAUAUCAAUAUGAAACUUAGUCUGAUAGUCCUCCAAAAGACAACUAAGUCAACUCUGGUCAAAGUCAACCUUCCAGGUCAAACCUACUCGCCGAGUCUGCCUACCGACUCGCCGAGUUCAUAUGCUCAGGAUCCUUUUAUUCGCGACUCGACUCACUGAGUCAACUCCUGACUCGCUGAGUCUACUGAUUUCCAAGUUCUGCCCUGACCAACUCACUGAGUCCCCAAUCCACUCACUGAUCCGAGUCUUAACUCGAAGGGUUUGGGGUUUCGCGACUUGACUCACCGAGUCCAAGAACAGACUCGCCGAGUCCUAGGCAAUCUUCAACAGACUCGCCAAGUUGUUCUUCCAACUCNGCCUAUCUUCACCCACCUCGCCGAGUCUACCCAUGUGACUCGUCGAGUUACUACGUGACUCAAGCCUGAUAUCUAGCCCGACUCGCCGAGUCAUCUCCCAGACUCGCCGAGUCCAUACACGCAUUCCCAUAAUUUCAAAUCACAGAGCUUCUCCUUUGAUCCAAACAAUAGAUCUGGUUUUCUAAGACUAUCUGAACACGUAAUGUUGCUGACUUUACAUGUGUCUUUGAUGUAAUGAAGCGAAAACACUAAAACUUAACUAUUAAGGUGGCUAUUUGGCUAGAACAAGGUCAUGGCUACCAAAAGAUGUCCCUCUUGAGCUCCUGGAGCUCAAGGAUGGCUAGAUCUACAAUAUAGACCGAUACAAUUGCUUCAUCAUUACGAAUCUAUGGUUUUUGAGCUCAAAACCAUCCAUUUGGGGGAAACUAGAUCUAGAAGUACNAGUACAAUAACAAGAUGAGAGCUUUAUUACCAGAAAAUGAUGAGGUUGAGGAGCUAAUCCUGGACCAACAUGCUUCUUCUUGGACCUUCCCAACUCCUUUUCCUUCUUCUACUUCUUCAAAGCUUGCAAUUCACUCACAACUUAAGAAACUAGCUCAAGAAUGAGAUUAGGUGGCAAGGGUUUCGGGUUCUGGACUAUAGGGGCCGCAAAUGAGCCCUAAGGAAGAGAAUGAGAUGUUUAAAUAGGGUACCAAGUCCCAGAAUUAGGGUUUCCUAACCCAGAACAGACUCGCUGAGUCCACUUGCCGACUCACCGAGUCGGUCACUACUUUACUGCAGGAUCCCACUCCGACUCGCCGAGUUCCUCCCUGGUCUUGACGAGUCGACCCUCUUUAACUUAUGGUUUUUCCUUUCCUUUCUUGUCCUUUCUGAUUUCGGGUGUUACAACUCUCCCCCACUUAAACUAAACUUCGUCCUCGAAGUUCUCUAUGGUCAACUGACCUGCAAUCCGCCUCAAACACCCUUCCUGGUGACUUUAACCCUUUUGUCCAUCACUCUAGCCACUCUCAGUGCUGGUCACUACUACUGGUACAUACUGAAAGCUUCUUAAUUCCAUAACUUAGUGCUGAGCACCCAUCCCAACGAAUGGAUCAGAUAAUCCUUCGAGUGAAAGAUUAAUCCCUGUAACGGGUUAAGACCCAUACGAGCGCUGCGCAACAUGUUCAAACCCUCCCCUCUGAGAUUAUCCAACCCUGUCGUGAGAGACCCUCUGUCAACUUGUUGUCUCUUACCAUACUUCCCUUGUCAACUUGCCCCUAAUCCGCCUACUGGAUGCACUGAGACCACCCUGGUCCAACUAAUCUGCCGAUAUCUGGGUUACCGGACUCUCAUCGGUCACUACACCCCAUCGCAAUCUCCUAUUCGCUUCCAGCGACUUCUGAAGAUACUUUGACUAUCUAUAACUAUUCUAUCCACUCUGCCACUUAUAUUGAAUCAAUGCUGCUGGAACCAACCUUCUUAUCUCUCAUCUGACUACUCAACUUCCAAUAACUCGAGUCUUCCAUCCUGAAAGAAAGGCCACCUGCCUAAUUACCCUUGCAGAUUACUUAUACUUGGCAGAAGACCCAACUGAUCCUGCUGAGAGGGACUUGCCAUUCCCAAAUCAAUCAACUAUACCACCAGCACUGGCAUUCCAACACAAAUACUAAUACUGUCCAUAACUCUGAAACUAUCCAAGACACUGAACUGCCUGAAACACCGUACAUGCCUGAAACACUAAACUGCCUGAAAUGCUGAACUGACUGAAACACUGAACUAACUGAGACACUGAACUGCUAUAUUGCUACUUCCUAAAAUGUCUCAAGACCUUCCUGGUCUCCAAUCACCUGUCGUUUAUCUGCAACCCCGAGUUCCACUCAACUGUGGAGUCCAAGGACUCCUCACUCAGUCGCUCCCACGACUUCUGAACGAAAUCUUUCUCUGGAACUAGUUCCACUAGUUAUCCUAACACUCUGGCUCUAACAACCUCCCGAUCCAACCGACCGAUUCCACAUCAAAUCCUGACAUCAUCAAAUCCAUGACUAAAAUGAUGGCUCCCAGACUAAAGGUAGCCCAUAACAUACACGAACCUAAGCGGUCCACUGCUUCCCUGAUCUCAUAACUGUGGUGACGAUCCACUGACAAAUCGCUGACUUAACCAUAACUGAACCAUUUGGGUAAUCAGAAAUCCAACCUGUUGAUUCCCAUAUCCUCACUGCUGCACCCGAACUGGUUGGUACUACUACUUCCCCCGCGUCCAAACAACGCGCUCAUGCUGACUACUAACCUGACGAAUGCUCUGGCUACAUCCGCAGACUUACACUCUCUAAUACUAUCUGGUUGAUAGUGAAUGCUACGGCUACCCCUGCAGACUUACAACACUCUACUACUAUCUGACUGCUAGUGAAUGCUACGACUACCCCCGCAGACUUACAACAUUCUACUACUAUCUGACUGCUAGUGAAUGCCACGGCUACCCCCACAGACUUACAACACUACUACUACUAUCUGACUGUUACUAUUCCGAGGACAUCCUGAUCAUCCCUAGACCUGCUAGCGAUUCCUCAUCCUGAUUCUCAAAACCAACCCUUAAUCAUCGAAUAUUGCAUCAACCUCGACAUCUUAUAUCCUUGAUACACUUAGCGUUUCGUCGAGGAAUUCUUCGGCUUGGUUCCAAAACCAACCGUCUACUAAUCCGGAUACAUGAAACUAUCGUUGGGAAGUUUCCAAACUUCCAUCUCCUGAAUCCACACAACCCUGCAUGCUGUCUCUGCCGCUGACUACUAACACGGAAGCAUCUCUUGGUAAUCGUUCUCAAGAUCCUCAUUCUGACUCCCUAGAGUUCUACAGGCGGUCCUCCAAUCUUGGAUUCCCAACCAGCUACUGACCAUCUCGAUUACAUGAACUAACUAUUCGGAAGUUCCUCAAACUCCCAAUCCUGAACUCCUCAAUCCAUCAAUCGAUGUGCUGCUAUCCUUUCUUCUCAGAGGUCCUGCACUCAUUCUGGGUCUGCGUGCUCUUAUCCUUGAAUACUCGGAGGGUUCUCCCCCACUUGGUUCGGCUUACUCCUUACUACUUACUAAUCAAAAGGAUUCCCCAACCUUCCUUCCAUGAAAAGGGGCGAUCCAAUGCCCGCCUACAAUUACCUCUGUUGAUGCUUUAACUAACCCUUACCAAAUCUGAACCAUUCCUGUUAACUAACCGAGAACUCUUCAAUCCUUCACUAAAUUUUCUUUAGUGACUACAUCCCGAGGACUUGCAUUCAGGGUAAACAUCCCCAACUCACUUCCCUACUGUCCGCUGGUUUCCUCAAUAGAAGCUCUAAAUUGUCACUACUAAGAACUUAACUGAUCAAUCCCGAAUGACACCUUUCAAAAAGAGUGAGGCAUUACAACUGCUGCAUCCGAAGCCACCUGAUCUAGAGGGGACGAUCUCUAACUAUCAUUCUGACAACCAAGGUAUGCAAUUGGAAUAUAACUCAAUCACAAGCAAGUAAUAUAAUAUCCCAACACAUAUGCUCAUUAAUAUCGAUGCAGCAAAAUAACAAUAAUAUCAUGAAUAGUAAUCGACAUGAAGGUAAAAGAUACGUACCCCCAACAUCCAUCGCUGCUCGAAUCCUUGUUGAAAUCAACCAGAAUACUCUGCUCCUAGCCUUGGGCGCCGUUGCCCGACUCUGAUGUCUGCUGGUGGCUUUAGAAGUCCCAGGGACAGGAGCUGGCACCUGCCCUGCUGUAUGCAACCUCGGACAGUGGGCCUUCUUGUGGCCCCUCAGACUACAACGGAAACAUAUCGGAUCUAGCUCCUUGACGACGGUAAUAGUACAAUCUCUACUAAAGUGGCCAAUUCGGCCGCACUUGAAACAUCCAGCAUCGCCACCACUUCUACGCCCGCACGCACCCUCGUGCGUCCUACCACACUUCCCGCAUCGACUGCGGCUCUGAUAACCCCUCGAUCUCGAAUCCGACCCCUUGGGCCUCUUGCCCGAACCUGUGGCUACCCGAGUCUCAUCCUUUUUCCUCUUCCUUUCUGACUCACUACCCGUUUCUCACUCCUGCGUUACCUCGUCGACCCCAUGCAUCAUCUGAACAACCGCUGCCUGACCCUGAAGCUUCGCGGUCAACCUAUCGGUGAUCCUCAGGACCAUGUCGGGCAAUUCCUCGCGAAUGGCUCGCGAAACUUCCCUUACUAUCCAAUUAUGCAGAGGUCCCCCUGGAUACAGGGUGCCCCACUAACACCUGUUCCCCGAUGGUAAGAGCUAAAAACGGGAACUCCCUCCAUGAUGGAUCCCUGAACUCCAUAAGCAUCAGGCUCUAGCCGAUCCCCAAUCUGUCCUGAAACUGUCCCGGCCCUAAAGGCCUUAAGAUGACUGUCCAUAAGCUCCACGAUGGCCUCUCUAACCGAACCAAAAAUCACUAGAGUCUGAUCGAUGAUGUUGCACAUAAUCUCCGCGGAAAUAAAACCCCUCAUCUGAUCAUCAAGUUGCCCGGCUCUAGAACCUGAGCCGGAUCCCUCCCUGGUACCUGAACUGUUAACUAGUAUCUCGCGCAACAACACCAUACUAAAAACAUAAAACAUUACUUAUCAAAAUACCCUCCGCUGCCAAGGGAUCUCUCACAUACUCUACUAGUUCCCUGGUUUUGCCUCGGCCCCUCUUGAAUCAAGUACAAAUCCUCUGCUUUCAGUAGUAUGGGCCCAUACUACCUUCCACAUCUAUCCGUACUUUCCUCAAGAGUUACCUCAACUCCACCAAGUCACUCUCCUGAUACUGAUCUUUGCUACUACCUUCCUAGGCUUGCCCUAGGGAACCUCUGACUCCACCCAAACCAGUCCUCAGCUGCUGAAGGCCUCCUUGUAAUGACAAUUAGCCACCACCUGAAUACCAUCCAAUGCAAUGAAGCUCGGAUAAUCCUUUGAGUAAAAGACUCAUCCCUACAACGGUUAGACUCAUACGAGAGCUACGCAAUAGGGUCAAAUCCGGCACUCUGAGAUUAUUCAACCCUGACCACAUGUGAUGUGACGUAUUCACCUAAUGGCUAACUCCCAUUACUCAGAGUCCCACUAAGCACAAAGCAAGCAGCAUUCGGAUAAAGGAAACAUACUCAUGCAAAGCUAUUCUCAUAACAAGAAACUAUACUAGCAUAGAAUGCUAAGCUCAUACUAUCAAGCAUAACCUACACAGGCUAUCCUACUACUGUCUACUCAUUACUAGCAUGCAAUUCUCAUAAGGCUGAAACAUAUAAAGCAGGCACAUAAGGCAUCCUCCUAGAUCCUUAGUCCUAUACCAGCAUGUUGUUCUACUAAAACUAAAACUGAAACUGGAAUUGAAACUGAAACUGAUAAUCAUAAACUUGUAUGUGUAAUUUGGGAGUACUUACUUGAGCUCGGUUGAUUGCAUGCACCACACCCUUCUUCUCUUUUCAAAGUCCUUUUCUUUCUAAAAAAUCUUUUUGAUUUUUCUAAAACUCUUUUCCUUUUUCUCAAAACUCCCUUUUUACAAAAACUGAUUUUCCUUUUGAAAAUUUCUAUACCAAUUCCUUAGUUUGAGUUCAGACACACCCGAAAGUGUGCCCGAAUCCCUCAAACCAAGGCUCUGAUACCAACUUGUAACGACCCAAAAAUACGACACAAAAAAUUUCAUUCAAAUAACAUUACUUAAGCCAUGAUUAACAACCAUAACAUAAUUCUUAACGUAAAUCCGGAGUAUUAGUUCAAAACAUAUUUGUGUUAUCAGAGUAAAACAUCCCAGGCCGACUAGCUAUGUAUGUUAUGUGCACUGCAAUUUUCCCGAGCUCCUCCUUUGAAAACUGAAUACCUGAAACCAAAAUUGAAAACUAUAAGCACGAAGCUUAGUGAGCUCCCCCAAUCUACCACAUACCAUACAAUAACAUAUAAAUCACAUACUGGGGCCUUGCCCCCUACAUCGGACCAAAGUCCGGAAACUGUAUCGGGCCGAAGCCCAGACUAAUUGGGGCCUUGCCCCCUGCAUCGGACCGAAGUCCGGACACUGCAUCGGGCUGAAACCCAGACUAUCUGGGACCUUGUCCACUGCAUCGCACCGAAGUCCGGAAACUGCAUCGGGCCGAAGCCCGGACUAACUGGGACCUUGUCCCCUGCAUCGGACCGAAGUCCCGAACUAACUGCAUCGGACCGAAGUCUGGAACUGACUGAACAUAACAUAGCAUAAACAUAUUAACUAACAUGAACACAUAUACUACAUACUGCAUCGGACCAAGGUCCGGAACACAUAACACAAAGCUUGCAAUUCACUCACAAGGCAAGAAAAUUGCUCAAGAAUGAGAUUAGGUGGCUAGGGUUUCGGGUUCUAGACUAUAGGGGCCGCAAAUGAGCCCUAUGGAAGAUAAUGAUAUGCUUAAAUAGGGUACCAAGUCCCGGAAUUAGGGUUUCCUGACCCAGACUAGACUCGCCGAGUCCACUUGCCGACUCGCCGAUCGGUCACUUACUUUACACCCGGAUCCCGCUCCGACUCGCUGAGUUCCUCCCUGGACUCGACGAGUCGACCCUCUUUAACUUAUGGUUUUUCCUUUCCUUUCUUGACCUUUCUGAUUUCGGGUGUUACAUAUUCAAUCAGCAGUUUUCAGUGGAUUUGGUUCUUAUUCCCCUGAGUGGGAAUAAGGUUAUAGUGGGUAUGGAUUGGUUGAGCCCCAAUGGGGCAGUGAUUGACUGUGAGCAGCAGCUAGUGAGGGUUCGCACCCCUAGUGGGGGAGGGUUAGUAGUCAAGGGCGAGAGGCCACAAUGCGGAUCGGUUUUCUAUUCAGCAGCGAGGGUGAGGCGCCACCUUCAGCAGGGUUGUGCAGGAUACGUUGCAUACGUCAUGGAUACUCGGGAUAAGGGUAAGGUGAUGGUUAAUAAUGCACUGGUAAUACAAGAUUACUCUGACGUAUUUCCAGAGGAUUUACCUGGGGUACCUCCGGAGAGACAGGUUGAGUUUAGGACUGACCUAGUCCCUGGUACGGCUCCGAUAGCCAAGGCACCAUAUCGGUUGGCUCCUCCCGAGAUGCAGGAGUUAUCUACGCAGGUGCAAGUGCUGCUAGACAAGUGUUUUGUCAGGCCAAGCAGUUCACCAUGGGGAUCCCCAAUCCUAUUUGUGAAGAAGAAGGACUGGUCACAUCGCAUGUCUAUAGACUACCGGGAGUUGAACAAGGUAACGGUGAAGAACCGUUACCCACUUCUGUGGAUAGAUGAUUUGUUUGAUCAGCUUCAGGAGCAUCUUGGUUCUCCAAGAUUAAUCUACGGUUAGGGUACCACCAGAUGUGAGUCAGGGAUGAUGAUGUGCAAAAGACAUCUUUUAGGACUCGCUAUGGUCAUUAUGAGUUCGUGGUGAUGUCGUUUGGGCUCACCAAUGCUCCAGCUGUGUUCAUGGACCUUAUAAACCGAGUGUGCAUACUGAUACUGGAUCGGUCUGUAAUAGUCUUCAUUGAUAAAAUCUUGGUUUACUCCAAGAAUUAGGAGCAGCAUGAGGAGCACCUGAGGGAGGUACUGGAGAUACUGAGGAGGGAGAGACUUUUUGCAAAGUUCUCCAAGUACGAUUUCUAGGGUCUGACACACGAUUUAGAGUUGUGGGGCUAUGGUGUUCACCCCCAAGAUUUGGCGGCAUUACAUAUAUGGGGUCCGCUGUACCAUUUACAUGGAUUACAAGAGUUUGAGGUACCUCAUGGAUCAGCCGAAUCUGAACAUGAGGCAGCAUCGGUGGUUAGAUGUGGUGAAGGACUAUGAUUUUGAGAUCCUUUACCACCCAGGAAAGGCCAACGUAGUGGCCAACACCCUGAGCCGCAAGGUGGUAGCGGCCCGGAUCCGAGACAUCUAUCUGAGGAGGAACGCCGGAAGUGCAAGCGGAUUAUUUUCCAGUUGGCCUCCUUUGAUUAUGACAGCCGUGGGUUGUUGACCCGGCAUAGGAGGGUCUGGGUACUGUACUGGGGUGGAGUACAGUAGGUAUUGAUAGAUGAGGCCCACAAGUCUAGGUUCUCCAUCCAUCCUGGGGCGACGAAGAUGUACAGAGAUCUUCGGCCUGAUUACUAGUGGACCUGCAUGAAGCGAGAUGUAGCCCGGUAUGUUAAGAGAUGCCUGACCUAAAGGAAGGUCAAGGUAAAGCACUAGAGGCCUCACAACAAGAUGCAUCCGUUAGACAUCCUCGUGUGGAAGUGGGAGGACAUUACUACGAAUUUUAUCACUGAUAAGAUUAAAACUUAAUCUUGAAGAUCGAUUAGAUCUCAAACAGGUAAAAUAAAAAACAAACAGCAAGAACACGAAAACAAUAAACAACUCAAGAAUGAAUCAAACGUGUCGAAUGAUUAUAAAACAACCCUCAGAAGAGCUCGAUCAAGAACAUCAACUGUAGAGGGUUAGAAGGUUUACAGGAACGAUGAAGAAAAUUACAGCUGUCGUAAUUCUCUCUAUUGUAUUCUAGAUCGUUUUCUAAAAUCGUUAACCUAAUAUGCAUGCAAUCAUAUUCUUAUAUAGUAAACCUAACAGCUCACGGUUGGACAGGCCCAAACCAGAGUACAAAACUAUUGGACUAUCAGCCGAGCCCAAUGACGCAAUACUAAGUGAAUCUGCAACCCAACAAUCUCCCCCUUUGCGUCAAUUGGAGCGAGAUCUUCACUUCUUGCUUGGGCCAGCAGCGGCGGCAGGUACCUUCUUCUUUACAGUCUGAAACAGACGAGAGAUAAGAGCAAGUAUCGUUUGUCUGAAUCUGAUGUACCAUUGAAUCAUAUCGUUGAAGUAUUUGAUAUCAUCCGCUGCAUUCUCUUUACACCGACGGAUGAUCGACAGCACAUGCUCUAGAGAAGCAGUGGUAUAAAGAUGUUUAUCCACUAAGGCAAAGAGACAUUUCUGUCCUUCUGCUCUAGUGAACAUGACCGAAUUGCGCCUCGGGUCAAUCUUCCCCAUCUUCAUCUGAUUGAGAUCACUGGCCGAUCCAACAGGAGAUAUCUUCGGUUUCUUCUUGAAGACUGUGGCUAUCUCCUGAUCCAUCAAGGCGACCUCCAUGAUGUAACAGACUAUCAUCCUUUUGAGAUGGUCUAUAAUUGGACCAUAUUCAGCUUCAUUCGUCAAAAGGAUGUUAUGCAAAACGAUCCAAUCAUGGGGGUUGAGGUUCGGUAGAUCUGCUAAGGAUAUAAGAUGUUCGGUUCUUGCAGACCCUCUGAUCACCCUGAACCGAACGUUGAUGAAUCUCCCUUCGGUAUAUGGCUUUAAAACCCGAACAUUAACGAUCUUCUGAGCGCUCCAUGUUUGGUACUGUGGUUGAGCAGCCUUCAGAUAGAAUUCGAUUAACUCCCUAUCAACCUCAGGAUUAGGAUGAGGGACUUCAAAAAUGUUGGAGAAGGCGUGGAAGAUAAACGCCUUUCGGGUCAAGGGCAUAUCGAACUGCGAAUCGACAGAAUUGUAGCAGUCGAAGGAGAUCACCGGUUCAAGCCAUAAGAUGCUUGGAGUAUCUAUGGCCUCCUUUAUCAUCCUCUCCCGAGUCCAAGCAGGGAAAAAAGUCUUUCUGCUCUCGAGGAGAUCGUGGGCUUCUUUCUUCUUGCGUUCGGCUUCUUUAGCUUCUCGCGCCACACGAAUGUUUUCAUUUUCAACAUUGCGACUAUUUUUGCGUUUCAGCAAGUCAGCAAUGGUUUCUUUAUCAUCUUCAUCCUCUUCCUCAGCUAUUUUCUUUCCUUUAUCCUUCACACCCGAACCCGAAGUUUGACCAGUAGGAGGAGGUUCGGUUGUGUGAGCAGCUUUUGAGGAAGGAGGUGGUUUCGAUCCGGACUUCACUUCUCCCCCUUGUUUCGGAGUGGACACGAAACUAGGUAGCCCUUCAAUUUUGCUGAGAAGGUCCAGGGCAGGAGCAAGUUUUUCAGCAAGGGUUCGCCUCACCGAAUGAUUGAGAAUCGGAUCGUGUGCUUCCAGGAUGUUGGAUAGGGCAGAGUGUACAUCCGAAACACAUGUUUUGAUAACCUCCCGUUCGGAUCGAAGAGCUUCAAUCUGUUGCUGAGAGUUUGAAAGCUGAGCGCUCUUGACCUUGAGGGCGGUGGUUUUACUAGCAAGAACGUCCAUUAACGAGUUUUCGGCAGCGAGAUCCUCUUGAAGUUUAGCGAGGCGCUCGUCAAUGGAGGCACGAAGGGCCGAGUUGUCGUCGCUGAUGGAUUGGCGAAGGGUAGCGAACGACUUCAACUCCGUUGAGACGAACGUGGCCAAUUGUUGAACGAUUGGUUCCAACGUUGUCUUUGUUGCAUCNNNNNNNNNNNNNNNNNNNNNNNNNNNNNNNNNNNNNNNNNNNNNNNNNNNNNNNNNNNNNNNNNNNNNNNNNNNNNNNNNNNNNNNNNNNNNNNNNNNNNNNNNNNNNNNNNNNNNNNNNNNNNNNNNNNNNNNNNNNNNNNNNNNNNNNNNNNNNNNNNNNNNNNNNNNNNNNNNNNNNNNNNNNNNNNNNNNNNNNNNNNNNNNNNNNNNNNNNNNNNNNNNNNNNNNNNNNNNNNNNNNNNNNNNNNNNNNNNNNNNNNNNNNNNNNNNNNNNNNNNNNNNNNNNNNNNNNNNNNNNNNNNNNNNNNNNNNNNNNNNNNNNNNNNNNNNNNNNNNNNNNNNNNNNNNNNNNNNNNNNNNNNNNNNNNNNNNNNNNNNNNNNNNNNNNNAGGUCCAGGGCAGGAGCAAGUUUUUCAGCAAGGGUUCGCCUCACCGAAUGAUUGAGAAUCGGAUCGUGUGCUUCCAGGAUGUUGGAUAGGGCAGAGUGUACAUCCGAAACACAUGUUUUGAUAACCUCCCGUUUGGAUCGAAGAGCUUCAAUAUGUUGCUGAGAGUUUGAAAGUUGAGCGCUCUUGACCUUGAGGGCGAUAGUUUUGCUUGCAAGAACGUCCAUUAACGAGUUUUCGGCAACGAGAUCCUCUUGAAGUUUAGAGAGGCGCUCGUCAAUGGAGGCACGAAGGGCCGAGUUGUCGUCGCUGAUGGAUUGGCGAAGGGUAGCGAACGACUUCAACUCCGUUGAGACGAACGUGGCCAAUUGUUGAACGAUUGGUUCCAACGUUGUCUUUGUUGCAUCAGCGCUCUCCUGUAAGGACUUUAACAGGGAAGAGGCUUCAGAGAAUAGUUUAUCGACUUUUGCGGUCGCUGCCUCACAUGCUUUUGUGGAGGCGUCUAUUGCUGCAGUGGCAGAGGCGACGGAAUCAUGCUGAGCCCUGGAGAAGGCAUCAACAAUCUUCUGAAGAGCGGCUUCAGAGAGAGAGGACUGAGUGUUGGAGGAUGAAGCAAGAAGCAAGUCAACCUUCUCAUUUAGCUCCUUAAGAUGCUUCUUUGUUACUGGAGCAUCGUCCUCGUCGUCGCUUUGGACCUGAAACGGACUAAAGUAGACCGAAUCGAAGGUCAUAUUUUCCCCUCCAAGAAAAGGGUUAUCUCCAUCAGAGGCAUGAUCUGGAGAUGUUGGGGGUGGUGAAGCUGGGGGUGUGGUGGUAUGUGUAGGUUCAGGUUGAGUGUUGGUGGGGGUAGUUUCGGGUGGUGGUUGAGUGUGGAUAGGUUCGGUUGUAUGCUGGGUUUCGGUUGUAUGAGGAGGUUCGGUUACAGGUGGUGUUUCGGUUGCAUCGGUAUGAACCCCCGUAUCAGAUACGUUGGUUGUAACCUUUGCAGUUGUUGUUGUUGUAUCUGUGAAAAUGGGUGGUGGUAUAGGGAAUGAGGUUUUAGGAAUGGUGGUAGUGGGGUUUAUGGUGGGAAUGGAAGUAGGGAUUGUUUGAGUAGGAGAGGGAAUGGGUGAGACAUGAAUUUCCAUGUCUGGGGUAGGUAAUCGGGGUGGGGUGUUACCUCUUCGAGGGGUUUCGCCUCUUUGAGAGUAGUCCGACUCCGAACUCUCACAGUCUGAAUCACUCGAAGAGGAAGCGAUUACAAGCUUUCGCUUCGGUUGAGUCUUUCGCCUCUUCGGCUACGGGGACUGUGCAACUUUGGUUGGUUUCCUCUUCCUGGGAGAAGGACCUUUAGCACCUUUGGUCACUUGCUUCCCUUUCUCUGCCUUUUUGCCCCUAUUAACAGGCUUAUCAGCGUCAUGGAUGGACUUGAGCAUUUCCUGUGUGAGUUCCCUCGGUCCAGACGCCUUGAACUCCUUAAUAGUCCGGAUGAUCCUGCUGUCAGAUGGAACAUCGCCGUACAUUGUCUCCGGAAUUGAGCCAAUGAAAGAAAACUUGGAUGCAUCUGAGACGAUGAUCUUCAUGGUAUGAAAAGUACCGAUCGAAGACAUCGAUGCACCGGCAGCAGUGGGGACAUCGAACUUAUCCAUCGCCCACUUUGUGAUGAGAGUCCAGAACCGGGCAUACGACACCUCAGAAUGUCGUGAAGAAGAAGAGAGGCUCUGGAUGAGUUGUUGCCAGAGAACAAACCCAUAGUCAAGAUUGACACCGUUGUAGACGCCAUACAUAAUCGACAAGAACAGUCGACUAGAACCAUCGGAUCCUGAGCUCCGUUCAGAUAAGCCCUUGAAGAGGACUGUAAACAUGCCGUUCCACUGUGGCGGCAAGCAGGAUUUUUUAAACUUCGCGACGGAGGUGAGCGCCUCCGUGUACCCCAUAUUGUAAAACAUGUUGUAAAGAUGCCCAAUCGGAAUCGUCUCCGGAUUAAUCCUUGAAGGGUCAGCAGCAAACCCUAGCAGUGUACCAAAUCGUUGCCUUGAAAUCGAGGUCUUGUGAUCAGAAACCUCGAAGAACACCCUAUCGACUGCUUUAUCGUAAUGUGCAGUCGCAUACACCUGCGAUAGGAGCUCCAUGGGCACAGACUCAACCCUAGAAAGUGCAGGAGCAAUUUGUGAGUACUUCAGGCACUCGAUGAUCGGAGACAUAUAAGAAUCGUACGCCAGAGGGGUUAGGUCAAUCACCAAACACUGUUGAGGGCGAAUGGGAAGGAUGUGUGAGGUGGCAUGGACUGAGGAUGAUUCUGCCAUUGUUGAAGGUAGGAAGAAGAAGAUGAACAGUAAAGCUUUAGGGAAUUUUUGCUCUCUUGGAAAUUCGGAUGCAGUAAAGAGGUAAAUGGGAGUGGAGACUGCCUUUUAUAGUGGGUGUAAGGAGAGAGAAAAAUCUGUUCAAAUCUUCUAUGGAAAUACGAAAAGGUUUUCCGGAAUGACAGAUGCGUGACAGUUAAGGCAUGCGAUGAUCACGUAGGAGAGAGAGUGUCAGAUUCCUAGGAACACGCCGCCCAACAAGCGCCGUUUCAGAACAAACCGUUUCAAAUCCACACGCGCCUUUAAGUGCCAGAGAGGAACCGCUUGAAAUUCGCACACGCGUCCAUUAUGUCAGUAAAAGAAUGGGCGUUUCAAAUUCGCACGCGUCCCUUUUUAACCGCCGUUUGAAAUUUAAUCCUUUGAUCUCCCGCCUGAGUCAGCAACCCUUAAUCUUAUCUUUUAAAUGGCAUCUUUUGAAUUAAUUUCCCACGUGGAUGAUUUUUGACCAUAACUCGAUAAUUAACCACCAAAGCAAUAAUACAGCCUGUAAUUAUUAGUACCAGAAUUUUGGAAAAUCAAAGAUUUUCGUGCUAAGAGUGUAAAAAAGAAAAGAAAUAAAGCAACUCUUUUUAGGAAUAAAUGUGAUGUCAAUAAUGACACGAAACAAAUGAUCCCGGGCACGAAUCUCUUCCUUCAAGAUCAAGAGAGACCUUAAAGUGUUUAUGUGGUUUCCCGUUGAAUGACGAUCAAACACUUAUUAAUAAAUGUUGAAAGGCUUCUUUUAAUUAGGCUACGUAAGGGUGGCUUUCGCUUUGAUGCAACAAUUCUAAUCUUGAAAUAAGAAAGAAAGUGAACAAAGUACUUGUGAGACCGGUGUAGUCUGUUGAACAAGUAGGUAGGAAUUAAUUUUAAAUUGGCUUGGAAAAUAUAAAAUCUCAAAAAAAAAUAAAAACUGGAUCCCAAGGGAAGAAAUGUUAUGGUGUUUAACAAUUUCAUAGGAAUCACACAAAAUAAAAAUUUGAGAUUUCAUCAAGAUACAUCCGUCAAUUCUUUGGUGAAAACUUGAGCAAAUUUAUUGUUCACCGUCAAUUCAGAUUUGGGGUUGAAUUUUGGGUUUCACUCAGCUCGUAGUGGCACGAAACUGAGAUCAUAAACACAGUUGUUGUGUAACCAUAAACCUCAGUGGUAAUUUCUGAGAGUCUCAAGGGUUACGUUGAUGAAACGAAUGUAAUGGAGAAAUGUAAUGGAGAUGGUGUAAGAAAUUAAAGUACCUCUGCUGCGAAAAUAAGGACCAAGCAGAAAACUCUUAUCUCAUGUGAGAAGAGAGUGAGGUAGCUCACGAUUAGAAUAAAUGUGAUAGCCUAAUUGGGAAGACAAGGUUUGUUUAUACCAAGUCAUUAAGGCUAUUAUUCAGAAUCUUAUGAGGCUUGGGACACAUACAGCAGCAUGCUUCUAGGGAUACUUAAGUAAUCUAACAAUUAUAUCCCCAUAAACAAACGAACACACAAAAAAAAUAAAAGAGAAAAAUAUUUUUGGAGUUUUUGAUAUAUAUUAAAAAAGAUAAAAGAAAAAGAAAAAAAAUUAAAAAAUUAGCAAGAAAAAAAAUAAGACCUAGAAAAAGAAAAAAAAAAAACUUUGGAAAAAUUUGGUAACCGAACCCGAACGUUCGGUUGGUUUCGGUUGAGAAAAGUUUUGAAAAACUGAACUCGAGCGUUCGGUUGGUUUCGGUUUUGGAAAAUUUUGAAAAACCGAACCCGAGCGUUCGGUUGGUUUCGGUUUAAGAAAAUUUUGAGAAACCGAACCCGAACCUUCGGUAGGUUUCGGUUUUGGAAAAUUUUAAGAAACCGAACCCGAACCUUCGGUAGGUUUCGGUUUUGAAAAUUUUUAGAAAACCAAGGAAUUUAGGCUUGCAAUCAGAAAAUACUUUUGUCAAUAAGAUAAACAACUUUAUACAUGAAAUUUACAACCAAGAAAACUACCUUUGUGGUGAUGAGCGAGUCAGAGGAUUUAACCGAACCUGAACGUUCGGUCAAUUUCGCUUCUUACGUUUGAGGUUGAGAGGUAGUUUGAGGUACUGACUCUGAUUCCAUCAUACCUAGCCCUUGUAAAAUUCUGUUGAAUGAUGCUUCAGGAAGAGCUUUGGUAAAGACAUCAGCCAGUUGAUCUGUGGUUCUUACAAAGUGUACUUCAACGUUUCCAUCUUCCACUAGGGGCACAACUGCCGUGUCGUCCACUAAGCACUUCUACAACUGGGAAACAUGGAAAGUGUUGUGGAUCUUGCUGAGCUCUGCUGUAAGGGUUUGAAGUGGACAUGGGAACCCGAGGAGGAGAUGAGGGAGCACUACCCAGAGUUGUUUCCAGAUGCAGCAGACUUCGAGGAAGAAGUCUAAGACAAGUAGGGGAGAAUUGUAACACCCGUUCCUUUUACGCAUUUAGUUCAUUUAAAUAUUCAGUUUUGUAAAAGCUACUCGACGAGUUGGUAGUCGUAACUCGUCGAGUAGAUGCAAGAUUAGAUGCGGGGAUUAAAUUACAUACUCAGCGAGUCGAGAGCCAGACUCAACGAGUAGGGCCGCUAGGAGGAAACCUUAUUUUUGGGGUUUUGCACCCUAUUUAAGACACUUAACGGCCUCCCUUACCAGGCUCCUUUUCCUUCAGAAGCCUAAUUGGUUGUGAGCUUCAUUCUUUAAAGAUUCUUGAUGUUUUGGGUGUGCUUUUGUGAUAUAAAAGGGAGUUGGAAGAGCUUGGAGCCAUCAAGUUGGUGGAAAAGAUCAAGAUUCGGGAUUUCAUCCAUCUUUGGCAACCUUUUGAGGUAAAAAUCUUGUAGCUUGGUAAUCAAUAACUUAGAUCUCUUUUAGUGUUGAUUUAUGGGUCUUUUUGAUACCUUCAGAAGGAUAAGUUACCCCCAUGGAUUAUAUGCCAAGCAAUCCCUUUUUCCUAUGAUAUUUGGCCUCUAGAAUCGUAAAAGAGGUAUUGAACCUGUUUUUGUCCAAGUAAUGGUCAUGUUCAUGGAAAUAGGUUGCUAUAACUUGAGUUUGGGUCCAUUUGAGGUGUGCAAAGCCAUCAAGUCUCCAACUUUAUAGAAACGGACCAUAGAAACGAUUUGGAUCUGUAUUUUGGAGCCCUGUAUUUGUGAAAUCAGUUGAUUAGGUUAGAUAUGCAAGGGACUCGACGAGUUUAUAUAGGAACUCGACGAGUCCGAUCAAGGAUCCUCGAUGUUGUUCAUGUAACUCGGCGAGUUGUCAAGGAAUUCGAUGAGUUGGAUCAUCUUGUCCCCUUUCUAAUUAUGCUAGGACUCUUCGAGUUUGAGGAUGACUCGACAAGUUAGUUCGUCCAGUUGCAAGGAUGGGUAGCGUGGAAAAUCGACGAUUCAUUGGGUGGCUUGGCGAGUUGAGUCGCGAUUUUAGGGUUUCUGAGUUGUAGAACUCGACGAGUCGAUAUGAUGACUCGGUGAGUUAGGUCAAACUAGAAGGUUGACUUUGACCAUAAUGUUGACUUUGACUAGGGGUAAAGUGGUCAUUUUACCCGAAGCAAGAUUGUGAGAUUUUGACUAAGUAUUAUUAUAUAGUGGUAGACGAGGAGUCGUGGGAGCAGCCAGCAGAGAUUCCCCACGCAUGAGUUCAGCAUCCAGUUUGAGAGGUGAGUUUCCUUCAGUACGGCCGGGUCUAAGUCACCAAGGCUGGCCCAUGUAUGUGAUAUGUUAUUAGCUUAGUAUGUGCGGGGCACGAAUCACCUAGACAGUGGAGUGUGGGCGGGGCCUGAAUCUCCAUGAGGGUGGGCGAGGCCCGUAUCUCCUAGUUUCAUGGUAUGUGGUAGUUUGGGGAGACUCACUAAGAUUUAUGCUUACAGUUUAAUUUUUGGUUUCAGGUACUUCCACUAGCAAGGAGAAGGGCUCGGGAUGAUCGCAUGGCACACACCACAGUUUCAGCCUGGAAUGUUUAGACUUUGAUAUUUUUCUCAUAUGAUUUUGAUAAAACACAUGAUAUGAUGUUUUGAGAUACAUGAUUCUUGGUUUUCUUUAUGAUUGAUGGGUAAUUAUGGUUUCAUUAAUGAUUUAAAAAUGAAAAUUUUUGGACUGUAUUUUUGGGAUGUUUCAAUUUGAAGUCGGAAAUAAGUACAAGAAUAAACGUAAGUUCAAACACAUGAAGAGUCGUUUACAUGCAGUACCUGGAAAUAGUGAAGAGGAAAUCUGGUCGAUGGUCAAAAUAGUUCGAGUUCUCAAUGUAUCCAAAGAUGGUUUGUUCAAGGGUAUGUUGCAGAAUUAUCGAUACCAUGCAGUCCGAGCAAACAAUGUCUCCUUCGACUUCUCAGUUACUGACUUUCCUUUGAUGAACCUCUAUGAUUUGCUGGUGGUCGCGAAGAUUUUGAAUUCGGUGAACGUGUUGAAGCUGCAAGUGACAAAUAAAGAAGAUUUUAUGAUUGGGUUCGCACAUUUGAAGGUAUUUAUUGAUGGCUACUAUAGGGAUUUAGCUUUAAUUGGUAUUGAAUUAGCUACAACAUUAGGAAAACAAGUUUAUGUUCCUUAGUCAAUGUUGAAGAGUCAAGCCAGUCUGAAAGAUUAUGAAGAUGGAGAUAUUUGUUUCAAACCCCUAGGGAUUGUGUUUGUAGGUAAAAAUAAGAAGAGCAAGACUACAAAAAUUUUAUUCUAGGUGUGUGAUGUUGAAAGGUAUACUUCAUCUCACUAUACAAAUCUUUUUGUCUGGAUGAAUAGUUGUGCCAAGAAUAAUGACAAGGAAAAAACUGAAAUUUGAAAGAUUAUUAACUGGUAUGCUGAAGUUUGAAGGGUUUUGCGUCAAGCAGCUUAGAUGUUUGCAACUUAUAUUCGACAUUUCUCACAAAGGUGGAGAAUGUUAGGGUUCAAAAGUUAUUGUGAGAUGUCGAAUAUGUCUUUGUUUUCUAUAAUGUCGAAACUAUGUUUGUAAUGUUAUUAUAAGGACACUUUAGUUUUGAGGCUUGUAAUGUCGAAUGUCCUUAUAUUUUUUGUGCUGUCAGUAUCCCUAUAAAUAUGGGAUGGAUACACUUAGAGGGGAGGAACUUGGACUCUCGAUUGUACUCAUUUGUCUUUCCUCUUGUAUUCUCUGAUCAAGCGAUAUAACGAUCCAACCAGAUAUUAUUUAGAUCGUGUAUUCUAAAUAUAUUCUUACUCUGAUUUUGUUUUCUAAGUCGAUUCAAUCGUCUCUAUAAUUUUCACCACUUUGAGCCUCCCCUCUACUCUCUCAUUCAUUUUUGUAGUUCUUGGUUGAUUUUGGAAGCAUCUCUUUCAUGACAGAGUUUUGGAGCCUUGCAUAAGAUCUCAACUUCCAACUAUCUUUUGGACCUUAGGUAUGAUUCAACUUUCCGCCGUUAUGCUUAUAAGUUGAUAGAUUUAGAUUCUAAACUUGUUUUUGUCCUUUAAAUGAAGAUUUUUAUGUUGGAUGUGAUAAAUUUUACAACUUUAUCAUUCCACCUUGUCACAAGAGUAUUUUGGUCUAUGGAUCUAAUCUUUCAUGAUAUUUUGGACACCAUACUUGAAGUUUGGAUCUUAUUUUAGUCAUUUUGACCUAGCUUGUGUUUAAAACAUCCAUUGGACAUACAUGUCUUAAAAGCAAUUUUAGAUGGUGAUUUGAGAUGGGAAAAGUCUUCUAGAAAGUUUGAGUGUUUGGCCUGAAGAAUUAAGAGCUUAAGGUAUUAAGUUAUCAAAGCAUUCCUACAACAUGACAGAUUGAUUAUCACGACGUGGUGAAUGGAAACUUAGCAACAAUUUUGUCUUCACGUAGUCAAGACAUGGCCAAUGGGUGGUAAGGAUGUGACGAUUAGCUGGUGUUGAUUUUGACUGUUGACAUUGACCGUUGACUUUGUCGAUGGUGGACUUUUGGUUAAUUUAUGGGUUUUAUGGUGUAGACUAAGAGGGUACUUCCUUAUUGUUAUUAGGUGUCUCGUACCAGUCUACACUAUGUGAGAGUUGUUGUGUUUAGAUGUUAUCUACGAGGUGAGUCUUCCCACUGUACUUGACUAUGUGGUAGUAUAGGCAUGUCGAGCAAUUGGGUUUUAUUUCUUGAUUUCUAUUAUAUAAGAAAUGAGUUGCUAAUAAAUUUUGGACUGUUGUAAGUCUAUGGGAUUGUUGGAAGUGCUCAGGGUUGCUAAUAACCCAUGGGGUGUGAUGUUAAUUCAUAGGGCAUGCUAUUAGCCCAUUAGGACCGUUGAUAGUCUCCAAAGUUUGUUAAUAAUAUUUAGUUGAUUAUUAUGUUGUGUUGUAUGUGGUAUUUUAAUGAGCCCACUAAGCUUUAUGCUUACAGUUAUAGAUUAAAUAUUUUGUAGGUACUUAUCGGAUUGCAAAGGAGGGACUAUACACAUACAUCUGCAUAUUUAUGAUUUAAGAUUCCGCAUUGUCUUUCGAUUAACUCUGAUUUCUAAAUAAUGAUUUAUGAACAAAUGAGUUGCCUUGGAAGUCAUUUUCUUUAAAAAUAGAUGUUUUAUUUAUUUCAAAAAUGAAAAUUUAGCCAUGGUUUUUUGGAUCUUACAUUGAAAAUAUUUUCCGAAAGGAUUGCACAAUAUUUACGAUAUGACAUCCUCAAUUUCACGGCCAGAAAAGACCGAUUUUUUUAUGCCUUAUUUAAAAAUCAGAGUGCCUUUUUGAAGAAUAAUAAUGCAGAAAUUGUUCCCAAAAUAGGAUAAAAUUAUUAUCAAAGCAUUUCCUAAAAAAUGUAUUUAAGUUAUAUUAAAAACGUUGGGAUGUCAUCGUCAAUACAUUAUAUAAGCAUAAACAUAAAUAACAUAGGCUUACAACAUCUAUUAUUCUACUGGCCUACAACCCAUAAAUCUAUCAUUUGAUCAUUUCACCGGUGUUCCUGUGCCACUACCUAUAAUACAAGAAACUAAGUGGGUCAGGCUUGGGAGCCUGGUGAGCACAUAGGGUUUUCAACCCAUAAUAAUUAAGUUCUUUAAUUUCAUCAAAUCAAUCAACCCGAUUACCUGUUCCGUUUAUCAUCACUUUAUGUACCUAAAACAUAUAACUUAAGGGACCUAGCCUAAGGAUUAUCUUCAGGGUUGAAAAUACUGCUUAGGGGAUUCCUCAAAAAUAUAUGUCAGUAAGUCAACCAUGAGGGGGAUGGAGUACACCUGGUGAACACGUAGUUCAAAACACCUACAGGUUGUGAGCCUACUAGCGUUCCAUAGGACUGUCUAGAAUAGUCUGUGGUCGUCAUCUAUAUUAUGCUAGAUGAUUAGAUCAGCUUUAACACCAAGGACUCUCAUCAUUUAUUUCAUCUUUCAUCAUCUAUAUCAUAUACCCAUCUUUACCCAACAUAAUUAUAGGUAUAAAAUACAUAUACAAUUUAAAUUGAGUAAAACAUGUAUAAAUCAUUCAUCUACCAUAGAUAUCAGGAACACAAAUAAUAGGCACAUAUAGCACGUAAUUUAUAUUAAAUACUUCAUAUCUAUGUGCAAGAUUAAAGUAAAUAUGCACUCACUUGUUAAAGUGACAUCUCGAAAUUCAGGCAGCGCUUCGCUCCUAGCAAUUGUCUUUUCCUUUGACGUAACCUAGUAUUAUUAUUACUAAGUUUUAAUCUAAUAUUUAUUGCGACUAACUAGUAGUCUAGAUUCAUCAUUAAUUCAAGUUCUACUUCAAGAUCUAUCAAGUAAGGAACAACCAUGUAGGAUCAUAUCAGAGGUAUGGUCCGUUUCGUAUACGAAGUAUAUGGUUUGGAAAUCCCACUUUAAACACCUCACUAAGUUACUGCCUAGUCAUGAUCCCCAUAAGUAGAUCAAUUAGUAUAAUGAAUUCCAAUCACUGAUAAAUCUUGUUUAUAGGUUCAUAAUAACAAUAAUGAACAAAAAUAUAAGUUAUACUUAAAUUAUGGUAAUCAUAACUCACUUACAAGGGGGUUAAGCGAGGAACUGGGCUCUACGUGGACAGAACUUCUGAGCCGAAAGCUCUUUUUCUCGGGGCUUUCUGGCACUUUGGGCUUCGCUAUUAACACCUAAGAGAUGCUAGAUAAAAGCUUAGAGGGUUUCGGGUGUUUGGGAGAGAAAUGGGUGAAAAGGUGUGGAGAAAUGACUGAAAAACGAGCUCUAUUUAUAGGUUGCCCAGUGCCCAGUACGCUGGGCGUACUCAAUAUUACGCGGGGCAUAUUGGAUAAAACAGCAGUACGCUGGGCGUACCUAAGAGUUACGCUAGGCAUAAUUUUCUAUGUUUCGCAAUCUCGUUCCAAGCCGUGGGGAGGAAGCAGUGGCCUAGAUCCUGCCACAUGGCACUUCGAGGUUUAAUCCAAAAAUUAAUUUUCUUCUAAAAUCCAUAACUUUUGCAUACGAGGUCUAUUUUUGACGUUCUUUAUAUCAAUGCGUAGGUAGUGAUGUGAUCUACAACUUUCAUUUACAUUAUGUUGGCUAAUUUUGACUUUAUUUUUAAAGUUAUAUUUUAAUAGGCUUAGACAGUUAAAGUCCGUUAAAAAUUCAUAACUUUGUCAUCUGACGUUUGUUUUUGGUUCUCUUUAUAUCAUUGAGCUCCUAUUAACGAGAUAUUCAAUUAUUGUUUAGGUUGUGUCAGCUAAUAAUCGAUCAAUCUAAAAUUCGAUAUCCGGGUUGUGUACUGCUAUGCUAAAUCUUAGAAAAAUCAUAACUUUCUCUAACGAAGUCAUAUUUGGACUCUCCAUAUAUAUAUUCUCGUUUGAUCGUCUACUACGACUUUUGUUUAGAUUACUACGACUAAAAAUUAGUUUAUCAAAAAUUCACUUUUUAUGAUACGUGGUGUUGUGCCAGUCUAGUCGUGAAACUUUGACGUGUCAUAACUUCUUCAUUAUAAGUUGGAUUUCAGCGUUCUUUAUAUCCACGGAAUCCUUGUUACAACCACUUCAACUUUCUUCAAGGAUAUUGAGUCUAAUUUUCAUUCCAUUUUUUAUGCAUAUUUUUAUUAUUAUUUUAUUAUAUCUUUAUAAGCACGUAUAUUGCACAUAAAUCACAUAAAUAAUAAAAUACUCAAAUAAUUGUUCUUCAUUACUUCAAAAUAACUUACAAUUGUUGACCCUAACUAUUACAUUAUCAUAAUAAUGCUUAGCCAGAAACACGGGCGUUACAAUUCUCUCCCCCUUAAGAUGAUUCCGUCCCGGAAUCAUGCAUUAGCAAACAAAUGUGGAUAACGACUUAUCAUGUCACUCUCUGUCUUCCAGGUGAGUUCCGGCCAAUUCGAAUGCUUCCAUUGUAAUAACACUACUUCGACCAUCUUGUGUCGCAAAUUCUUUGUCUUAUGGUCAAUAAUUGCUUCAGUCUUUUCGGUUAACCUCUUAUCUUCAUUAAUCCUUCACUCCAAAAGUGUCAUUGUAUUGGGAACUUCUCCCGUAAACUUCCUCAAAUAAGACACACAGAAAAUGUUAUGAAUACCAUCUAGUUCUUCUUGAAAUUCCAGCUUAUAAGCUUGGCUCCCAAUCCUCUGAAGAACCUUUAAUGUCCCAAUAAAUGUUGGACUCAACUUUCCUCUCUUUCCAAAUCUUAUAAGUCGCUUCCACGAUGAGACAUUGAGAAACACUGAAUCUCCAACUUUGAGUGUCAUUGGUCGUUGCUUCUUGUCAACAUAGUUCUUUUAGAGAUUCUGUGUUGCUAACAUCCUUUCUCUAACAUGCUUGAAUGGUAACUUUUGUUGUAGGAAAACUAUACCAGGGGUAAAUUCUCAUCCCAGUUACCUUGAAAUUCUAGGGUAUAUGCUCUUAACAUAUCUUUCAGUGCUUGAAUGAUCCUUUUGCUCUGACCAUCAGUCUGCGGAUGGUAGGCUAUACUUAAAAACACAUCCGUACCUAAUUCCUCUUGUAGACUCUUCCAAAAUCUUAAUGUGAAACAACUGUCACGAUCCGAUAAAAUCAUUAAGGGAACACCGUGAUGUCUUACUAUCUCCUUCACAUAUGCAUUUGCAAGCUUAUCCAUAGAACAUAUCUCAUUAGCUGCUAUGAAGUGUGCGCUCUUUGUGAGCUGAUCCAUGACUACCCAAAUCAUGUUGUGACCGUUCUUCAUCCUAGGUUCUUUAGUCACAAAAUCCAUGAUGAUGUCUUCGCACUUACCCAUGGGUACAUGCAAAGGUUCUAAACUCCCAUAUGGUUUCUAAUGCUACACUUUAACUCUCGUACACGUUACACAUUCUGCCAUAUACUUUGCAACACCGAGCUUCAUCGUCGGCCGCCAGUAGUAAGGUUUCACAUCCCAAAACAUUGUAGUGCUAUUGGAUGAAUCGAGUAGAUGGUCUUGUGAGCUUCUUCCAUCAGAAGAUCCCUUAUUCCUCCCAUCUUUGGUACCCAAAUUCUGUUUUGAAAUACCUUCAAUCCUUGACUAUUAGUAACGAAUACCAACGUUUUGCCUAAACAUUCUUCCUUUCAGUCAUUUUCCUCUAAAUCUACUUCCUGAGCUUUCUUGAUGCUUUCCACAAUUGUUGAGACAACUUCUAUAAUUAACACUCUUGGCCUUUUCUCUCCAGGUUUACUUUGAGCAUUAGAUACGACAUUUUCUUUACCAGGGUUGUUAAGUAUAUCACAGUCAUAAUCCUUGAGCAAUUCUAGCCAGCAUUGUUGUCUCAUAUUCAAUUCCUUUUGAUCGAAUAGAUACUAGAGACUUUUAUGAUCAGUGAAGAGUUUGCACUUUGUGCCAUAAAGAUAAUGCCUCCAUAUCUUUAAUGGAAAUACUACUAAUGCCAACUCCAGAUCAUGGGUGGGGUAGUUCUUCUCGUGCUCUUUCAAUUAUUGAGAAGCAUAUGCUACCACUUUAUCUGUUUGGGUCAUAACGCAACCUAACCAAACUCUAGAUGCAUCGCUAUAGACUGCAAAGUCUUCAACUUCGUUGGGUAAACAAAGAAUUGGUGCCUACAAAACUUCUUCUUUAAUUUCUCGAAUGCUUCUUCAUGUUUCUCAUUCCAUGUAUAUGCAGCUCCCUUAUGGGUCAAAGCUGUUAAUAGCUGUUGAAGCAAAGCCAUGGAUAAACCUUCGAUAAUAUCCAGCUAAUCCCAGAAAUCUUAGAAUAUUAUUGGGACUUUUUGGUCGUUCCCAUUUCAUCACAAUUUCAAUCUUUGCUGGAUCAACCAUAUUCCUUCUUGGUAAACCACAUAACCAAAGAAUUGGACUUCUCGAAUCAAAAAAUCACAUUUGGAAAACUUUAGGUACUACUUCUCUUUCUUCAAAACUUCUAAUACUUCCCCCAGGUGUUUGCCAUGCUCCUACUGGCUCUUUGAGUAAAUUAGAAUGUCAUCUAGGAACCUUAUCACAGAUAUAUCGAGGAAUGAUUUACAAACCAUGUUCAUCAAAUCCAUAAAUGUCCCUGGAGCAUUGGUUAGUCCAAAUGCCAUAACCAAGAACUCAUAGUGUCCGUAUCUUGUUCUGAAUGCGGUCUUCUCGACAUCUUGCUCUCUCACCUUCAGCUGAUAAUAUCUUGACCUAAGAUUGAUCUUUAAGAAAUAGCUCAAACCUUGCAGUUUAUCGAGCAGGUCGUCAAUCCUUGGCAACGGAUAUUUGUUCUUUAGCGUUGCCUUGUUCAGUUCUUUAUAGUCUAUGCAUAUCCUCAUUAUCCCAUCCUUCUUCUUCAUGAAUAACACUAGAGCUCCGUAGGGUGAAGAACUAGGUAUACUGAAACCGUUGUCCAACAACUCCUGAAGUUGCAUCAUAUGCACUUUCAUCUCCGUCGGUUCUAAUCGGUAUGGUGCUUUUGCUAUUGGUGUUGAUCCUGGCAACAAGUCUAUUUGAAACUCUACUUGUCUAUCAUGGGGCAAUCCAGGAAGAUCUUUGGGAAAGACUUUCAGAUAGUCACACACCACUAGUACUCUUUGCAUUUUUUUCUUCUCCUUCAUUGCGUCAAUCACAAAUGCCAAGUAUGAUGUACAUCCUUUGGACAAACAUUUUCUAGCUUUCAUCAGGGUAAUGAUCCCAAAAUUUACACUAUGUUUGUCCUCGUACACCAUAAACGACUCUUUUCCAGGUGGGUUUACUCUUACAAUCUUCUUCCUACAUAGUAUUUUGGCAUCGUUUGCACUAAGCCAAUCCAUCCCAAGUACAAUGUCGAAAACGUUCAACUCAAUGGGAAACAACUCCUCGUAAAAUUUAUUCUCGAUCAAGUUGAUGAUGAUGUUUUUAAUGCAAUCGCUAACAGGCAUAAAUUUGCUACUGGCAACUUCUAUAACUAGAGCAUUAUGAAGUUUAUCUAUAGGCAAUGUUAGUCUUCCACAAAAUUUAUGAGAUAUAAAGGAGUAAUUUUCUCCAGAGUCAAACAAUAUAUUGGCAGACAAUCCAUUUACAAGAAAGGUACAUGAAGCGACUUCUGCUUCAUCCCUUUCUACUUCCAGGGUCAUUUCGAAUGCUAUUGCCUUUGGCCUUGGUGGAACAUUAGGCCUCGCUGCCUCUUUCUUCUUCGGGCAGUCCUUAGAAAUAUGACCUUUUUCAUUAAAUCCAUAACACGCCCCCUUGUUGGAUGUACACUCAUUGGCAUAGUGCCCAGUUUUCCCGCACUUGAAACAAGUCACCUCCUUGCUACAUUUUCCAAAGUGUUUCUUUUUGCACUUAUAACAGCAUCUUGCUUCACCUCCUCCUCCUCCAAACUUCUUAGAACUAUACUUUGAGAAUUUUCUUUUCUUGUUGGACCUUGAAGAUCCAUCAAACUUCCUUUUCUCUCUUACUUCAGCUCUUUCCUGACCCUUCUCCCUUAACUGGGUCCAAUAAUCUUAGCUACCCAGAUGGCGGCGUUCAAGGUGGUUUCUUGCUUGACCAUCGGACCAAAUUCCACUAGCAAUCCAUUAGCAAACUUGUUGACCUUGGAGAGUUCAUUCGGAACCAAAGAAGGAACAAGCUUCAUUUUCUCUGUAAAACUUGCAGCAUACUCGGUGACACUUAGCCUUCCCUUUUUUUCAGAUUUUGAAACUCAUUGUUGAUCUCCAGAAGAUCCUGCUCAGAGUAGUACUGCAUUUUCAGUUGCACCAAAAAGUCUUCCCAAUACAUCUUGCUAGCUUCUCCCUUGGGCAUGGAAUCAGCUAGUAGCUUCCACCAUCUUAAUACCCCAUUCUUCAAUAGUGUAACUGCAAGAGCGGACUUCUAUUUAUUGCUGCAGUCACAACUUUCAAACAUCAUCUCCAUCUCGGAGAUCCAAUCCAUAACUCCCACUGGUGUUGGGCUUCCAUAAAGACUUGGUGGCUUGAAUGCCAUUAUUUCCUUGUACUUGCACCCACGUCCAUCAUUUCCUCCAUUAGGUUGGUUUUUUCUAACUACUCAUGGCUCAGCUUGCCCUAAAACUUUGGAGGCAUUAUCUUUUGGCACAAAAUGCUAAUUAGUUACCGACCAGAAAAGUCUCAAGUACAUAUUCAGUCAACAAACUUUGAAUAUGAGACAACAACGAGCCAUGGAGCUGAUCAAAGAUUAUGAUUGUGAAAGCCUAUAUCAUCCUGGAAAAGCCAACGUAGUUGCCGAUACACUUAGCAGAAAGUUUUAUCGCAAUAGUAUGUGUUAUGCUAUUACUCAUACUACAGUAAAAUUCACUAUUUUAGAUGAAUUAGAGAAAUGGCAAGAAGAGGCCCUAAAGCCAGAAAAUGUGAAGAAAGAAGGGAUGAUACAUUAUAAUGAUGCUUUACUUGAUGAUCCACGAGGAUUAAAAGUAUUCAAGAAUCGGCUGUGGAUUCCAAAGAUUGGUGGAUUGAGACAGAAGAUUUUAGAUGAAGCCAAUAAAGCUAAACUGUCAAUCCAUCCUGGUACAAGUAAAAUGUACUAUGAUGUAAGAGCUGAUUAUUGGUGGCCUGGAUUAAAGAGAGACAUUGGAAGAUAUGUACAAGAAUGCUUAGUAUGCUUACAAGUCAAAGCAGAGCACUAAAAGCCAUAUGGAACCCAAAAAAGUCUUAGUGUUCCUGUAUGGAAAUGGGAAGAACUGUCCAUGCAUUUCAUUAUCAAAUUGCCAAAGACUGCUAGAAAGCAUGAUAGCAUUUGGGUAAUCGUCGACCGCCUGAAUAAAAGCGCUCAUUUUCUUGCCAUGCGUGAAACGGCUCCAAUGGAGAAAUACGCACAAGUAUACUUGGAUGAAAUUGUUGCAAGACAUGGUGUGCCACUAAAGAUCAUUUCUGAUCGUGAUACCCGCUUCACUUCUCACUUUUGGGCGAGUAUGCAACGUGAAUUAGGAUCUCGAGUUGCUCUCAUCACAACUUAUCAUCCCCAGACAGAGGGUCAGACGGAGAGAACAAUCCAAACAGUAGAAGAUAUGCUUCGUGCAUGUGUCUUGGAGUUCGGUGGUAACUGGGAUAAAUACUUACCGCUUGUCGAAUAUUCGUAUAAUAACAGUUACCACAUCUCAAUCAAAAUGUCACCAUAUAAAGCAUUAUAUGGACGCAAAUGUCGUACGCCGUUAUGUUGGCGUGAUGUAGGACAGAAGAUCCUUAGAGGCCCUAAAAUGAUUUAGGACACCACCGACAUGAUUCAAAUCGUACGAGAAAGAAUGAAAGUGGCCCAGGAUCGACAGAAGUCCUAUACAGAAAAGAGAAGACGACCCAUAGAAUUCCAUGUGGGUGAUUUCGUAAUGCCAAAGGUAUCCCCAUGGAAAGGCCUUAUGAGAUUUGGGAUGAAAGGAAAGUUGAGUCCCAGAUUUGUUGGACCUUUCAAUGUCAUCCAGAGAAUUGGAAAGCAAGCAUACCGCUUAGAAUUGCCUGAAGAUUUGGCAGGUAUUCAUGAUGUGUUUCAUGUGAGUUAUCUGCGCAAAUGCAUGAGCAUCUACGAUGAGACGGUUCCAUUAUCCGAGGUGAAAUUGGAUAAUAAGUUAGGAUAUGUAGAAGAUCCGGAAGAGAUCGUGAAUGAAAGAACAACUAAUCUACGUAAUCAAGAAGUAGAGUUGGUGCUUGUCAAGUGGAAACACCAUCAAGACCCAAAUUAUACUUGGGAGAAUAAGAAUGUGAUAAGAGCGAAAUAUCCCCAUUUAUUUUAAUCGAUGUAAUUCGGGGACGAAAUCCUCAAAAGGAUGAGGUAUUUGUAACAUACAUGUUUUUGAAAUCGUGUUUUAUAGUAAAUAAUAUUAUGAAAUAUUAUGUGAAUUUGAAUAUUGAGUUCUAACAGAUGGGUUUUACUAGAAAUGAAGUAAAACUAUGCUUAGAAUAGAAAAUAUUAGAAGUCUUAUUAGAUUCCAAUCAAAUGUCAAAUGGUAAAAUUUAGUGAAAAUAUAAAUUUUGGAAGAAGUAAAAAUUUAUUAUUUAUGAAAAUUGUAGAUAAUCUCGUUAGAAACUUGUAGGCAAAAACCUCGUCGAAAUCUGAGUUAUAACGAAUAAGUUAUGAUCAAUCGAAGAUCCGUGGCAAAUCCGGCAAUCAACUUUCAUAUAAAGAUGGUUUAAUAUGACUUCGUAUGAGGGAGUUAUGAUUUUUCUAAGUUUCGGAUUAGUAGUAGAUAGCUACAAACUCGAAUUUUAGAUCGAGUGAUUUUUAGCCGACCCAACCUAAAUGAGAAUUGAAGAUCUCGUCAAUAGUAGUACAACGGUAAAAAGUCUGACGAAAACGGACGUCAGAUGAAGAAGUUAUGAAUUUUUAACGGAUUUUCCUGUCCCGGUCUGUUAAAAAUAAUAAUAUUAAAAUUAAAGUCAAAAUUAGCCGACGAAGUCUAAACGAAAGUUAUAGAGCGUAAUUUUAGCUACACGUGCAUAUAAAGAACGUAAAAACGGAGCUCGCAUGCGAAAGUUAUGGAUUUUAGAAGUUUUUGGCACAAUUUUCGAGAAAUUUCGCAUGAGUCAUCCUUGGCCACGUCACCUCGCACGCGAAGGCGCCCCGUGUCCGAAGCUGCUUAGUCACCCGGUGACUCCUCGCCUGUCCGAAGUUGCUGCGUGGCGGAUUCUGAUUCGACCGAAGGGAGGCCCAAUCCGAAGCUCGCAGCUGGACCGAGCCUCGCAACCACCUGCCCUCUUCCCCUCGCUUUGGAUCCGAGGCUCGCACCUAUAUAAAGGGUGCGAGACCUCCCGGUUUUUGUUGGAAUUUUUGCCAUCUUUCACCCUUUUUCCAUAUUUUCUUACAUUCCGACUUCCCCCGAAGCCCCGGUACUAAUUCCAAAGCCUGGAAUACGCCACGAAGUGCCUUGAAGCCCGAAAAUUUUAUCUUUUCGGUGUUGAAGCUCUACCUUCGCAGAGCCCGGUUCUCAAGAAAACUCCCUGUUUUCAACGAAGAAAGUGAUAUUUAGAGCCGAAAUGUUGUCCAAAUUAAUAUUUUAGCCCCCGGUUAUUUCACGGUGAGUUUAAUAUAUAGGAGCAAUUAUAUGUUAUGUGUUAUAUGUGCUAUGUGCUUUUCAGUGUUAUUAUUCCGGGUCAUUUUCCCGGGUUAUUUUUAUUCGCUAUUUUUAAUAGCAAAGAAAUACCUUUGACCAUGUGAUCAGUGAAAGGACUUAGAUUCACAUUGGUACUGGUAUGUAGCCUCCGACCAUGUAGAACAUGUUUCUGUAAGAGAAUGAUUUCUAUUCUAUGGUAUUGGCAGAAGGUUAGACAGGGCUAUAAGCCUGAAAUCUACCAAAAUGUUAAUCCGAUGUUGUAUGUCUUCUGUGUCGUUUGGGCCAAAGCUUUAUUGAUGUAUAUCAAGCAUGGAAAUUGUUAUGUCUCAUUGAUGUAUAUCUUCAAUUCAAAUCAAUGAUUGAUAUGGAAUGUUUGUCACAUAAUUCACAUAUGCCCUUGUUGUUCCUUGUUCCUCUUUGCUUCUGCCUUAUUGAAGUAUAUAUAUGGCUUAACGUUAUAUUGUAUCUAUUAUUGAACUCACUAAGCGUCACCGCUUUCCCUCUCAAUGUUUAACAAAUUGCAGGAGAUAAACAUCCAGUAUAGUUAUAUACUGGUAGAAGAUUUUUGAAUAGUUUGAAACUAUUAUAUCGAUAGAAGCUUACGAAUAGUUUGAAACUAUUGUAUUUUGCACUCCCAUAUGUAUAAAACUAUAGAAUCCUGGGAAGUAAUGUAAUAUAUAACACUUUAAAAUAGUCGGUUUGUAUCCAGUAGUUUGUAACCUCUUUAUCAAUGUAAAACAUUUUUUUAUGAAUAUGCAAGUAGCAUGUUUUGGAGUAACUAUAUUGUCAUGUAUGAAAGUUUGCGUCUUUUAUAAAUACGAAUUUUAGGGUCUUUCAAUCAUGGUAUCAGAGCAGUAGUUUGAGUGAACUAAAUUCCACAGAUUGGUAUUUAGACUUAAACUAUUGGAAGUUCAAUAUAUGAACUUAAUCAUUGUAAGUAUAGGGAUAAAAACCAUAGGAAAUAUAUAUAAGUAAAAGUAUUAGGUAAUACUAAACCCUAAUAUUCUAAAAUACAAUGUUACCCCGUAUUGUAGAGCAAUGGCUGAACAGGUUAGUAGCCAUACCCCUGAGGUUGGUGGAGGUCCUCAACUCGAGGAAGUGAAUACUCCAGUAUCUCCUCGUGAGGAGCGACUCUUUGGUAAACUUACGGGUGUUAUUCGACAGACUCUCGAAGAACACAAAAAGAAUGACGAUAAGGGGAAAGAGAAAGCCACUAGAGAAUCUUCAAACGGAGAGGUGAAGCGUCCCUCGUUCAAAGAUUUCAAGAGUAGUGGUGCUAUAGAGUUUUCAAGUGUUCUCAACCCCAUUAUUGUUCUUACUUGGAUCCAAAACACAGAGAAAGUGUUUUGUAUUUCUUAUGUGGAUAAUGAAGAUAAGGCUAAUUAUGCUUCCGCAAUGCUCAUUGGAGAAGCCUUGGUCUGGUGGGAAGCAACUUAUGAAGCUCUCAACGAGUUUAACCAGGAGAAUUUAGCCUAGGAAAUGUUUAAAACUCGUUUGCUAGAGAAGUAUUGUCCUCUAGACAUGAGGAGGAGAUUGGAGAAGGAAUUCCUCGAGCUUAAACAAGGAGGAAUGACUGUGAAUGAGUAUGAAACUCAGUUUAAUCAAAGAGCAAGGUUUGCUACAAAGUAUAUUCCAACUGAAGAUGAGAAAAUUCAGUUAUUCAUGGAGGGACUACGACACGAAAUCCACGAUUUCGUUGCCAAUCGAGAAGUUCUGUCAUUCGAUAAAGCCGUUGAAUAUGCUCGAAGACGUGAGCAUGAAUUAGAAAUACGUUGUGCCACUGUUACUGCUCCGAAGCAUCCACGUACUGAAAGAACUGUUCCUGUUCCUUCUUUUCUACCAGCUCAAUCCGUUCGGACUGAACCUGGUAAUCAAGUUCAAACUCAAAAUGUCUCUCAUGGACGCGGUAGAUCACAAUCUUUUUCUAUGCAAUCGCCUUCAUGUCAUAUUUGUGGAAGGAAUCAUCUGGGCCAAUGUGAAAUAGACUAGGAAUCCAUUGUCUCUUAUGGAUGUGGAGAAAAGGGUUAUAUAAAGCCAACUUGCCCAAGAAAGGAUGUUACUUGCUAUGCAUGUGGAAUUACUGGACACAAGAAGCGUUUUUGCCCUACUCUUACUGAUCAGAUGACGGGAAGUCAAGCUUCUGUUCAACAACCGGCGAGAAGUCAAGUCCAUGUUCAACAAUCAAAGGGCACUCCAACUAAAAAGGAGGAGGUGCCAAAAGCUAAGGGUCGUGCAUUCCAGAUUACCUCAGAGGAAGCACGCGAGGACCCGAAUGUUGUGACGGGUACCUUUCUUGUCAACUCUAGACCUGCUCACAUCUUAUUUGAUUCUGGUGCCUCAGAUUCUUUUGUUUCUUAUGAGUUUGUGCAUUCCUUUCAAAUUGCUUGCUUUGUACUCGCGCAACCAUUUCACGUAGAUACUGCGGGAAGUAUAUCAUUACUUGCUGAUAAAGUCUAUAGGGAUUGUGUUAUAGAAAUUGAAGGCUAUACUUUUCUUGCUAACCUAAUCCCUAUCUCCUUGCCCAACUUUGAUAUUAUUCUCGGCAUGGAUUGGUUAUCAAAGAACCAUGUAGAACUCUUGUGCUAUGAAAAGAUAGUGCGCAUUCCUAUUGAAGGGGAGAAUCCUAUCUAUGUCUAUGGUGAACAAAGACUCUUAAAAAUAAUCUCUUUCCUUAAUGCUCAUAAAUUCAUAUCGAAAGGGUGUUCUAUCUAUCUGGCCUACACAAUUGAUGUCUCAAAAGAGGAAAAGAAAAUUGUUAAUGAUGUUCCCAUUGUUAACGAAUAUCCUGAUGUUUUUCCUGAUGACUUGCCUGGCCUUCCUCCGGAUAGGCAAGUAGAAUUUCAAAUUGACCUUGUGCCUGGUUAUGCUCCGAUUGUAAAGACUCCUUAUCGUCUUGCGCCAGCUGAGAUGAAAGAAAUGAUGAUCCAACUGCAGGAAUUACUUGAAAAGGGUUUCAUUCGACCGAGUACCUCUCCCUGGGGUGCUCCGAUAUUGUUUGUCAAGAAGAAAGAUGGAUCGAUGCGAAUGUUCAUUGAUUAUCGAGAGCUGAAUAAGGUGACUAUCAAGAACAAGUACCCACUACCUCGUAUCGACGAUUUAUUCGAUCAACUUCAAGGUGUUAGAUAUUUCUCAAAGAUUGAUCUAAGAUCUGGCUAUCAUUAGUUGAAAGUUCACGAGCAGGAUGUACCGAAGACUGCUUUCGUACUCGAUAUGGGCAUUAUGAAUUCCUUGUUAUGCCGUUUGGUCUAACAAAUGCUCCUGCUAUAUUCAUGGAUAUGAUGAAUCGGGUAUGUCGCCCAAUGCUCGAUAAAUCAAUCAUCAUAUUCAUUAACGAUAUUCUAAUCUAUUCCAAGUCUGAAGCUGAUCAUGCCAUUCAUCUUCGUGCGGUACUCGAACUUCUUCGAAAGGAAAAACUAUAUGCUAAAUUCUCGAAAUGUGAAUUUUGGCUUCGACAAGUUCAAUUUCUCGUCCAUGUUAUUUCUAGUGAUGGUGUAACCUUAGAUCCUUUCAAAAUCGAAGCCAUUCAAAAUUGGGAAGUGCCCCGUAAUGCUUCCGAAAUUCGUAGUUUCUUGGGUCUCGCGAGAUAUUACCGGAGAUUCAUUAAAGACUUUUCUUGUAUAGCCAUACCUCUCACGAGUCUUACACGGAAGGAAGUGAAGUUCGAAUGGGGUGAAGCCCAAGAAAAAGCUUUCUCAACUCUAAAAGAUCUUUUGACUCAUGUUAUGAUCUUAUCCCUCCCAGAAGGUGAUGAUGAUUUCUCCGUAUAUAGCGAUGCUUCAAGAUUGGGAAUCGGUUGUGUGUUGAUGCAACGUGGCAAAGUGAUAGCCUAUGCCUCAAGACAACUGAAAGAUUAUGAAAAGAAUUAUCCCACUCAUGAUCUCGAACUCGCUGUAGUGGUAUUUGCCCUAAAACUUUGGAGGCAUUAUCUUUUGGCACAAAAUGCUAAUUAGUUACCGACCAGAAAAGUCUCAAGUACAUAUUCAGUCAACAAACUUUGAAUAUGAGACAACAACGAGCCAUGGAGCUGAUCAAAGAUUAUGAUUGUGAAAGCCUAUAUCAUCCUGGAAAAGCCAACGUAGUUGCCGAUACACUUAGCAGAAAGUUUUAUCGCAAUAGUAUGUGUUAUGCUAUUACUCAUACUACAGUAAAAUUCACUAUUUUAGAUGAAUUAGAGAAAUGGCAAGAAGAGGCCCUAAAGCCAGAAAAUGUGAAGAAAGAAGGGAUGAUACAUUAUAAUGAUGCUUUACUUGAUGAUCCACGAGGAUUAAAAGUAUUCAAGAAUCGGCUGUGGAUUCCAAAGAUUGGUGGAUUGAGACAGAAGAUUUUAGAUGAAGCCCAUAAAUCUAAACUGUCAAUCCAUCCUGGUACAAGUAAAAUGUACUAUGAUGUAAGAGCUGAUUAUUGGUGGUCUGGAUUAAAGAGAGACAUUGGAAGAUAUGUACAAGAAUGCUUAGUAUGCUUACAAGUCAAAGCAGAGCACUAAAAGCCAUAUGGAACCCAAAAAAGUCUUAGUGUUCCUGUAUGGAAAUGGGAAGAACUGUCCAUGCAUUUCAUUAUCAAAUUGCCAAAGACUGCUAGAAAGCAUGAUAGCAUUUGGGUAAUCGUCGACCGCCUGAAUAAAAGCGCUCAUUUUCUUGCCAUGCGUGAAACGGCUCCAAUGGAGAAAUACGCACAAGUAUACUUGGAUGAAAUUGUUGCAAGACAUGGUGUGCCACUAAAGAUCAUUUCUGAUCGUGAUACCCGCUUCACUUCUCACUUUUGGGCGAGUAUGCAACGUGAAUUAGGAUCUCGAGUUGCUCUCAGCACAACUUAUCAUCCCCAGACAGAGGGUCAGACGGAGAGAACAAUCCAAACAGUAGAAGAUAUGCUUCGUGCAUGUGUCUUGGAGUUCGGUGGUAACCGGGAUAAAUACUUACCGCUUGUCGAAUAUUCGUAUAAUAACAGUUACCACACCUCAAUCAAAAUGCCACCAUAUAAAGCAUUAUAUGGACGCAAAUGUCGUACGUCGUUAUGUUGGCGUGAUGUAGGACAUAAGAUCCUUAGAGGCCCUAAAAUGAUUCAGGACACCACCGACAUGAUUCAAAUCGUACGAGAAAGAAUGAAAGCGGCCCAGGAUCGACAGAAGUCCAAUACAGAAAAGAGAAGACGACCCAUAGAAUUCCAUGUGGGUGAUUUCGUAAUGCUAAAGGUAUUCCCAUGGAAAGGCCUUAUGAGAUUUGGGAAGAAAGGAAAGUUGAGUCCCAGAUUUGUUGGACCUUUCAAUGUCAUCCAGAGAAUUGGAAAGCAAGCAUACCGCUUAGAAUUGUCUGAAGAUUUGGCAGGUAUUCAUGAUGUGUUUCAUGUGAGUUAUCUGCGCAAAUGCUUGAGCAUCUACGAUGAGACGGUUCCAUUAUACGAGGUGAAAUUGGAUAAUAAGUUAGGAUAUGUAGAAGAUCCGGAAGAGAUCGUGAAUGAAAGAACAACUAAUCUACGUAAUAAAGAAGUAGAGUUGGUGCUUGUCAAGUGGAAACACCAUCAAGACCCAAAUUAUACUUGGGAGAAUAAGAAUGUGAUAAGAGCGAAAUAUCCCCAUUUAUUUUAAUCGAUGUGAUUCGGGGACGAAAUCCUCAAAAGGAUGAGGUAUUUGUAACAUACAUGUUGUUGAAAUCGUGUUUUAUAGUAAAUAAUAUUAUGAAAUAUUAUGUGAAUUUGAGUAUUGAGUUCUAACAGAUGGUUUUUACUAGAAAUGAAGUAAAACUAUGCUUAGAAUCAUUCAGAAAAUAUUAGAAGUCUUAUGAGAUUUCAAUCAAAUGUCAAAUGGUAAAAUUUAGUGAAAAUAUAAAUUUUGGAAUAAGUAAAAAUUUAUUGUUGAAAAUUGUAGAUAAUCUCGUUAGAAACUUCUAGGCGAAAACCUCAUCGAAAUCUGAGUUAUAACGAAUAAGUUAUGACCAAUCGAAGAUCCGUGGCAACUCCGGCAAUCAACUUUCAUUAAAGACCGUUUGAAUCUGACUUCGUAUGAGGGAGUUAUGAUUUUUCUAAGUUUCAGAUUAGUAGUAGAUAGCUAAAAACUCGAAUUUUAGAUCGAGUGAUUUUUAGCCGACCCAACCUAAACCAGAAUUGAAGAUCUCGUCAAUAGUAGUACAACGGUAAAAAGUUUGACGAAAACGGACGUCAGAUGAAGAAGUUAUGAAUUUUUAACGGAUUUUCCUGUCCCGGUCUGUUAAAAAUAAUAAUAUUAAAAUUAAAGUCAAAAUUAGCCGACGAAGUCUAAACGAAAGUUAUAAAGCGUAAUUUUAGCUACGCGUGCAUAUAAAGAACGUAAAAAACGGAGCUCGCAUGCGAAAGUUAUGGAUUUUAGAAGUUUUUGGCACAAUUUUUGAGAAAUUUCGCAUGAGUCAUCCUUGGCCACGUCACCUCGCACGCGAAGGCGCCCCGUGUCCAAAGCUGCUUAGUCACCCGGUGACUCCUCGCCUGUCCGAAGUUGCUGCGUGGCGGAUUCUGAUUCUACCGAAGGGAGGCCCAAUCCGAAGCUCGCAGCUGGACCGAGCCUCGCAGCCACCUGCCCUCUUCCCCUCGCUUUGGAUUCAAGGGUCGCACCUAUAUAAAGGGUGCGAGACCUCCCGGUUUUUGUUGGAAUUUUUGCCAUCUUUCACCCUUUUUCCAUAAUUUCUUACAUUCCGACUUCCCCCGAAGCCCCGGUACUAAUUCCAAAGCCCGGAAUACACCACGAAGUGCCCCUGAAGCCCGAAAAUUUUAUCUUUUUGGUUUUGAAGCUCUACCUUCGCAGAGCCCGGUUCUCAAGAAAACUCUCGGUUUUCAACAAAGAAAGUGAUAUUUAGAGCCGAAGUGUUGUCCAAAUUAAUAUUUUAGCCCCCAGUUAUUUCACGGUGAGUUUAAUAUAUAGGAGCAAUUGUAUGUUAUGUGUUAUAUGUGCUAUGUGCUUUUCAGUGUUAUUAUUCCGGGUCAUUUUCCCGGGUUAUUUUUAUUCGCUAUUUUUAAUAGCAAAGAAAUACCUUUGACCAUGUGAUCAGUGAAAGGACUUAGAUUCACAUUGGUACUGGUAUGUAGGCUCUAGCCAUGUAGAACAUGUCUCCGUAAGAGAAUGAUUUCUAUUCUAUGGUAUUGGCAGAAGGUUAGACAGGGCUAUAAGCCUGAAAUCUACCAAAAUGUUAAUCCGAUGUUGUAUGUCUUCUGUGCCAUUUGGGCCAAAGCUUUAUUGAUGUAUAUCAAGCAUGGAAAUUGUUAUGUCUCAUUGAUUGUAUAUCUUCAAUUCAAAUCAAUGAUUGAUAUGGAAUAUUUGUCACAUGAUUCACAUAUGCCCUUGUUGUUCCUUGUUCCUCUUUGCUUCUGCCAUAUUAAAGUAUAUAUAUGGCAUAACGUUAUAUUGUAUCUAUUAUUGAACUCACUAAGCGUCACCGCUUACCCUCUCGAUGUUUAACAAAUUGCAGGAGAUAAACAUCCAGUAUAGUUAUAUACUGGUAGAAGAUUUUUGAAUAGUUUGAAACUAUUGUAUCGAUAGAAGCUUAUGAAUAGUUUGAAACUAUUGUAUUUUGCACUCCCAUAUGUAUAAAACUAUAGAAUCCUGGGAAGUAAUGUAAUAUAUAACACUUUAAAAUAGUCGGUUCGUAUCCAGUAGUUUGUAACCUCUUUAUCAAUGUAAAUUUUUUUUUUAUGAAUAUGCAAGUAGCAUGUUUUGGAGUAACUAUAUUAUCAUGUAUGAAAGUUUGGGUCUUUCAGUUCUAAUACCGUAAUUAAACGUUUAAAAAUAUGAACACAUAAAGUUUCCAGAUCUGGUCGGCAAUACACCAUAGAUAUAAGCAAAUAAUAUCAUCAUAAGGCAUAUAAGGCAUUUUAUAUAAAUCAUUUAGCACAUAAAAGCAAUUUAGGCAUCUUUCCUAAAAUAAGCUAGUGCUCGUGUCUAUAUGUUUCCUAAAUAUAACAGACACUCAUCUCACAAUCAUCGCUUAGCAUUCUAAGUUUAAGUCUAUAAAUCCUAUAAAUUCCUAGUUCACUUAAACUAAUGCUCUGAUACCAACUGUGACAUCCCCAAUUUCACGGCCAAAAAGACCGAUUCGUUUAUGCCUUAUUUUAAAAUCGGAGUAUCUUUUUGAAGAAUAAUAUUGCAGAAUUUAUUCCCAAAAUAUGAUAAAAAUAUCAUCAAAGCAUUUCCAAAGAAAUGUUUUUUAAUUAUAUUAAAAACGUUAGCAUGUCAUCAUCAAUACAGUACAUAAGCAUAAACCGAAAUAACAUAGGCUUACAACAUUUAUUAUUCUACUACUGGCCUACAACCCGUAAAUCUCUCAUUUGAUCAUUUAACCGGUUUUCAUGUGGCACUGCCUGUAAUACAAGAAACUGAGUGGUUCAGGCGUGUGAUCCUGGUGAGCACAUAGGGUUUUCAACUCACAAUAAUUAGGUUCUUUAAUUUCAUCAAAUUAAUCAACCCGAUUACCCAUUCCCGUUAUCAUCAUUUUCUAUCCCUAAAGCAUCUAAUUUAAGGGACCUAGCCUAAGGAUUAUUUUCGGGGUUGAGAAUAAUGCUUAGGGAAUUCCUCAACAAUAUAUGUCAGUAAGGAAACCAUGAGGGGGAUGGAGUACACAUGGUGAACAUGCAGUUCAAAACACCUACAGGUUGUGAGCCUGUUAGCGUUCCAUAGGUUUGUCUAGAAUAGUCUGUGGUCAUCAUCAAUACUAUGCUAGAUGAUUAAAUCAGCUUUACCACCAAGGCCUCUCAUUAUUUUUUUUUUCAUCUUUCAUCAUUUAUAUCAUCUACCCAUCUUUACCCAACAUAAUUAUAGGUAUAAAAUACAUAUACAGUUUAAAUCGAGUAAAACAUGUAUAAAUCAUUCAUCUAGCAUAGAUAUCAGGAACACAGAUAAUAAACACAUAUAGCAUGUAAUUUAUAUUAAAUACUUCAUAUGUAUGUGUAAGAUGAAAGUAACUAUGCACUCACUUGUUAAAGUGACAACUAGAAAUUCGGGCAGCACUUCGCUCCUAGCAACUGUCUUUUCCUUUGACGUAGCCUAGUAUUAUUAUUAUUAAGUUUUAGUCUGAUAUUUAUUGUGACUAAUUAUUGUCUAGAUUCAUCAUUAAUUCAAAGUCUACUUCAAGAUAUAUCAAGUAAGGAACAACUAGGUAGGAUCAUAUCGGAGGUAGGGUCCGUUUGGUAUACAAACUAUACUGUUUGGAAAUCCCAUUUUAAAACACCUAGACAUCAUCCCCGUAAGUAGAUCAAUCUGUAUAACGACUUGGAAUCACUGAUAAAUCUUUUUUAUAGGUUCAUAAUAAUGAUAAUGAACUUAAACAUAAGUUAUACUUAAAGUAUGGUAAGCAUAAUUCACUUACAAGGGGGUUUAGCGAGGAAUCGGGUUCUAUGCAGGCAGAACUUCUGAGCCGAAAGCUCUUCUUCUCGAGGCCUUUUGUUGCUCCAGGCUUCGCUACUAUCUCCUAAGAAGUGCUAGAUAAAAUCUUAGAGGGUUUGGGGGUGUUUGGGAGAAAAAUGGGUGAAGAGGUAUGGAGAAAUAAGUGAAAAGCGAGCUUUAUUUAUAGGCUGCCCAAUGCCCAGUACACUGGGCGUACUCAACAUUACGUGUGGCGUAAUGGGUAAAAAGCAGUACGCUGGCCGUACCUAAGAGUUACGUUGGGUGUAAUUUUCCAUGUAUCGCAAUCUCGUUCGAAGCCUUGGGGAGGAAGUAGUGGCCUAAAUCCUGCCACGUGGCACUUCGAGGUUUAAUCCAAAAAUUAAUUAUAUUCUAAAUCUGUAACUCUCGGAUACGAGCUUCGUUUUUUACGUUCUUUUAUAUCCACACGUAGGUAGCGACGUGAUCUACAACUUUCAUUUAGACUUUGUCGGUUAAUUUUGACUUUUUAUUUUUUGUUGAAGUUAUAUUUUAACAUGCUUAGAUAGUUAAAGUCUGUUAAAAAUUCAUAAAUUUAUCAUGUGAUGUCCGUUUUUGACUGUUUUUAUAUCGUUGAACUCCUAUUACGAGAUAUUCAAUUCUCACUUAAGUUGUAUCGGCUAAUAAAUCACAUAAAUCACAUAAUACUCAAAUAAUUCUUCUUCAUUACCUCAAAAUAGGUUAUAAUUGUUGACCCUAACUAUUAUAUUAUCAAAUAAUGCUUAGCCAGAAACGCGGGCGUUAUAUAUUACGUAACUAGAAUUUUGAUAAUGAUUGUAGUAAUGUACGAUAAUUACAUGGGUUUCUAACUCCACGUCACUUAUUCAUUAAAACCAUUUUGUAAGUCGUUAUUGGGGGUGCAAAUAAGUCGUGCCGAACCCGAGUCUAGUCAAGUUUUGUUCGUGAUCAUUUAAGUUAUACGAGGCUUGAAUUCGAGCUUGGCUCAAUUCGAGUUUUUUAUACCGAGUUCGGCUCGAGCUCGUAAAUAAUUAUAUAAGCUCUGCUCGGGCUCGAGCUCGACCCAUUUUUUUUUUCUAAUGUGCCUAAAUAAGCUUAAGUUCAGCUUGGGUUAGCCUAAAAAGCUCGUUUACUAAUACCUUAAAUCCCUAAUUCUCCAAAUAUGUUUUUAUUUUAAUAUAUAAAAAAAUAAUAAAUUAUAUUAUAUAUAAACUCGAUUUGGAUCGCGGACCUAAUGGAGCUUAGUAACAUAGGCUCGAGCUCAACCUCAUAUAAUAAACGAGCUUAAUAUUAAAGCUCGAGCUUGGCUCGGGCUCAUUUAAAAUUGGUUUCGAGUUGAGCUUUAAAUGAACUCAUCCCGAAUGGCUUACGAAUAGCUUGACUCGUUUGCAUUCAUGCUCGUUAUCUCAUCUUUUUCAACAAAAUACAAAAAUAAAAUUACAUUUGAUAUAAAUAUCUUCAUUAUUUUCGUAAACAUUUAUAGAUUUUCAAAAACCUUCUUUAUAUUUAUUAGGUUUAACAAUAUAAUAUUAAUAUUGAUAGUAUCAAAUAUUUAUUAAAAAGUGUUAUAUUUUUAGAUAAGCUUGAAACAUAAAAAGUAUAUUAAUACGAGGAAUAAACUAGUUUCAGUUUAAAUUAUAAUAUAAAAUCACAAGUAACAAACAACAUAAACCUAAAAUUAAGGAGUUUUGUACCGAUAAAAUGUUAACAAUAAAUUUGAUAUUUAGAAUUACACCAUGUAUAAUAUAAUUGUUUGUUCUUAUUCAUCAAUAUCAUUUCUGAAUAGCAAAUGGUGUUUGUUUCGAAUAGUUUAAAUCUAAUUGAUAGAAUAAAGCAGAUUUAAUAUUAUUUACAAUUUAUACGCCUUUUAUAAGCCAUUUACAUUUUUCAAUCCUCGAAGUUUGAAAAAACACUCCCCUUGAGCUAAAUUUUUUAAUUAUUAUUAUAUUAAUAGAAUAAAAGUUUGCUUUAAUUUAAGUGACAUUGAAUGUUUGUUAUUACCUUACACUUUAAUAUUCGGUAAUCUUUAAUACGACAAAAAGGUGUCGAGGAUACCAUUUAAAUUUUUCGGUGUACUGAAAAAAUUGUGAUUUUUUUUUUUUAUUUUUUUUUUAGUGCAAUUUUUUCGGUGUGUAUCCAACUAUCCAUGACAUUUUGCUCUUGCUGAAUGAGACAUUUGCUGGACACUCUGACGUCCCAGUUCAUAGUCAAUACUGGCUGUUUGUUUAGUAGACAAAGUCAAACUCAAAGUAUCAAAAGUCUACUUUAUAAAAACAAAAAAUUAAAAUUUUAUACCUAUCGUGAAAGUUCUAGGACGCUACUCCAAUUUAUUUAUUUGUUUCAAUUUAUAUGAAUUUCUUUUUGUUGUUUUUGUACUAUUUCUGUAUCAGUAAAUUAUUUUGUAUUGCUAUCAUAAAAUUUAUUGGAAUUUUGAAAACCAAUAGUAGAAAUGAUUGUCAUUAAUUUAUCUUUUUCUUUAUGAUUUGUAGUUUUAUUAGAUUUCUUUUUCCAAUUUUUUUAAGGUGUUCUUAUCAUUUCUUAUUUUAAAAAUAGUCGUCAUCGUAAACGUGUGUNNNNNNNNNNNNNNNNNNNNNNNNNNNNNNNNNNNNNNNNNNNNNNNNNNNNNNNNNNNNNNNNNNNNNNNNNNNNNNNNNNNNNNNNNNNNNNNNNNNNNNNNNNNNNNNNNNNNNNNNNNNNNNNNNNNNNNNNNNNNNNNNNNNNNNNNNNNNNNNNNNNNNNNNNNNNNNNNNNNNNNNNNNNNNNNNNNNNNNNNNNNNNNNNNNNNNNNNNNNNNNNNNNNNNNNNNNNNNNNNNNNNNNNNNNNNNNNNNNNNNNNNNNNNNNNNNNNNNNNNNNNNNNNNNNNNNNNNNNNNNNNNNNNNNNNNNNNNNNNNNNNNNNNNNNNNNNNNNNNNNNNNNNNNNNNNNNNNNNNNNNNNNNNNNNNNNNNNNNNNNNNNNNNNNNAUGUAGACAUAUAAAUUAAAAGUAUUAUAUAAAUAAGAUCGUUGUUGGCACGUUAUAAAUUAUUCAAUUGUGGAGGGCGCAAUAUAUUCCGUACACUGGUCAUGACGUGCGCAAUAUAAUUGAUUAAAUUUAUGGCAUAAGUGUCGCUAGUUAAAGAAAUAAGACAUUUUUUAAUAUUUGUCUUUGGAUAAAUUAGAUUAUAACUUAUUAGCUUACAACAAGUAAAUGAGAGAUGCUUAUUAAAUUCAUUUUAUUUAAUUUAUCUCUACCACAAUAAGCUGAUUUUUAAAAUUCAUUUCCAAACACUUAAACUUAACUUAUUAUGGUGGAAAAAAUUAAUAAACAAUAAGGGUCCUUUUUUUUUCUAUCCAAACACCCUUUUGUUUAUAUAGAAAAAUAAGCAUCAAUUUCAGAAUUGGUAUUUAUCUAUAUUGGCCUAGUAUCCGUAAAAUGGUGAUAUUAUUGCUAAAACUACUUCGUUUAAAAUAGCUAAUUUACUAUAAUUUUAAGAGCUUAAAAACUAAUUUACUAUAUAAAUAAAUAAAUAAAUAUCUUAUAACUCGAUAUAAUUUAUAAGAUGUUUAUUUAUUUAUUUUUAACCAUUUAAGAUUUUAAAAACCUAAUUUACUAUAAAUUAUAUCGAGUUAUAAGAUGUUUAUUUAUUUAUUUUUAACAUUUUAAGAGUUGUAGACUAUCAAAAUGAUGUAAUAUUAGCAUUUUUUUUUAAAUAUUUUAAGAGUUGUAGACUAUCUUAAUAAUGUUGAUAAUUUGUAUAGUAGAAUAGUACAGAUUACUCCAGAUUAGUAUUGCCUAUUUGAGAUGGAUGUGAGGUCGCACUUUUAGGAGAUAAUAUGGCUAAGCUCUCUAAAAGUCUCAUAAAGAAAGGAUUAUUCAUGACCAAAAUGCACACAACGGUAAGAAUCAAUCAAUGUUUAGAUAUGAUAUGUGUGAUAUCUCUUUUUUCUAUUCUAGUAUAAAAAGUGAUUAAUAUAAGACUCUAGUUUACUACUCAUGAAGUAGAUCCAAAUAGAUUCAAUAUGACAUGUUCAAGUUUUCUAAAUACUUUUUCAGAUGUAUGUCAUCUCUUAUCUUCUUAAUUUGAAUAUCAAAGUUGUUUUAUUUUCUAUUCACAUGUAGGGUAUUUUUGGAAAUUUAAAUAGAAAAUAUAGGGUAUUUUUGAAACUUUGUUUAUUAGAAUAACCUUAUGGGACUUGUCCCACAUACCAAGGGGAACAAAAAUUGUGACACCUUUUACACACUUUAUCCACUUUAACUAAAAAAUGGAUUCAAAUAUUGGAUAAAGCUUCAUGGGUCAAUUGUGUGGUGUUGGGUUCGUAAAUAGAGCAUUUAUAUAAUUUCGAAAUUUUUUUAUAUUUUAUUCUAAUUUUUAAGAUUACCUAUCUUUUAACAUGUUUGUAAUUAUUCUCUAUGGCAGUUUUUGGAAGUUAUAAUUGGUUAGCAGUUAAUAACUGUCAAAUUCCAAGCCUAUAAAUAACAAAAAUGCUUCAGGUUUUCGGGUUGAUUGUUUCAGACAAAUUUUGAAACAUUCAUCCUUGUUUUUCUCAUCUAUGUUUAAGGAGACAUUCUACAAAUUCGAUAGAUUUAGGAUUAUAUCUUAAAUAGAUUGUUGUAUCCUCAAGACAAAUCAAUACCCUGAAAACUUUAGGUCACUACUUGCAGGCCUCAAUCUUCUAUAAGUUUGUGGUUGUAAUCUUUGUGUAAAACACUGUCAAGUAUGUUUUCUGUAUUGUGAAUCUUGUAUAUAAAUUUGAUUUAUUCUCAUAUAAUUCAAUUUCGUUUGUACUUUUUAUGUUGUUUUAAUUGAUUUUGUACUUCUGUCAGAACAAUGAUGAGGCUCUGAUGAGUGUUUUUUUACCUUCGUCUUGUAACACUCAUAAAAUUCAUGAAAAAUUUUAAACUUUUAAAACAUCCAAAAUCAACAUUGUUUACAAAUUGUUUUCAAAAUAAGUUUCACAUCAAAGAUAUACCAAAAUCGUGAAAAAAAAGAGGAGGUUGAUAGAAUGAAAAUCAUUAAUGAUCGAUAAGAUUCAAACAGGUAAAUAAUGAAAACAAAGAUAAUCAAACAAAUGCUGAAUGAUUAAAAGUCACGUCUCAGAUGAACUCGAUGAAGAAUUUCAACUAUAGAGGUGUGUUAGGGUUACAAGAUCAAAUAAAACAGUUAACUAAAAUAAGAUGCAUGUAUGCACCAUAUAUACUCUAACCCUAGAAUUAAAUACAGGAGGACAAGCCCAACCCGUUUGCAAAAAGGACUAAUAACAAAUCCCAAUGACACAACAAUUAAAUAUUCAACAAUCUCACCCUUUGCGUCAAUUGAGUCUGUAGUCCUUCAUCCAGUGAUUCUCUUCUGCACUUUGUAGAUUUUUGGAAUAAAGCUCAAUAGCAUCUUGCGAACUUGGAUAUACCAAAGUAUCAUAUCAGAAAAGCACUUGACGUCGUCCUUGUGGUUGCCCUUGAAUUUAGUGAUCAGGUCCAAUAUAAAUUCCAGACAGGCAGUAUUUUAUAGAUGUUUGUCUUCGAGAUAGAAGUAAGACUUGCGAAAGUUAGCUCCCAUUCGUUCUCUUGACUGAUACAUUACGAACCAUCCUUCCUUGUAUAUCUUCCCUAAAUUUAAUUUCUCGAUGUCUUUCGGAGCUUCCUUAGGAACGACAAUCGACUUCUUCUUCAAAACAGUGGCAAUAUCUACAUCCACCAAUCCAACCUCUUGAAUAUAAGACUUGAUCAUAAUUUGGAGAUGGGACAUAACAGCCUCGUACUUCUCUUUCUCUCUCAGCAACAUGUUGUAAAGUACGAUCCAGUCAUUGGGAUUCAAACAAGGCAAAUCUGUGAGGGUGAAUUCGUAGGCGUGACAAGUUGAUCCGCUCGCAACUUUAAACUUCGCAUCGGGAAGCUUUCAGUCUCAAUUGGCCUAGUGACCUUCACAACAACUAUCUUGUGCGCACUCCAAGUUUUGUACUGGGGCUUCAUGUGCUUUAAGUACAAGGAGAACAACAGUUGAUCAGCACCAUUGUCUGUGAAAGGAGCAUUCGCAACCUUCACAAAAGCAUGAAACCUGAAUGCUUUUGGAGUAAUUGGAAGAUCAAGUUGCAAAUCUUGAGAAUUUUGACGAUCAAAGGACGCAAUAUGGUCCAACCAAUAUUGACUAGGCAGCUCCACAACAUCAUGUUGGAUUCGCUUCAGGGUCCACUUAGGAAAGAAUAACAUUUUGCUCUUGAGAGAGGCCUGGGCUUCCUUUUCUUCCCUUUCCUUCUCUUCAGCCUCCUUGACGAUUCGUUAAGUUUCAUUCAACUCAGCAUCAUGAGCCUUCCGCCUUUUAAGUUCAGCUUCAUCAGACUCAUCGUCUUCAUCAUCAUCAAUUAUAGGCUCGUCUUCGAUCAACUUUUCCUUGCCCUUAGGUUCUUUCUUGAUAAUCAGCUUGGCAAUGACUUUGGGAGGUUUAACAUUGGAUCCACCUUCUCCCCCUUGUUUCUGAUCAGACGAUUGAGGAGAAACACCCUACAAACGGUGUAACGUUGCAAAGAUAGGGCUCAACUUUUCAGCCAGGUGUUUGCGAACAGUAAUAGAAUUCAUUGAGUCCCUAGUCUUAAUGAUAUGUUAGAGAAAACCAGUGACAUCCGUAAUGUAGGUUCGCACAACUGCCCUCUCAUAUAGCAAAUCCUUGACCGUUUUCUCAGACUGUUGAAGCUUGAUAUCUAACACCUUAACCUUCUUUGUCUUUCUGGCAAGAGCAUCCAUAAUUUUAUUUUCCAUCGCCAAAUCAUCUUGAAGCUUUGUAAUUUACGAAGUAAGGGAUGUUUGAAACAAUACAUGAUCUUUCUGCAAUCCUGUGCAAAUCUUCUCCAAGUUGAUUCUCUCAGUUUUGAACAUUGCUCCCCAGUUCUAAAGAGCUUCAUUCGCAAAUGUUGUGUUAUUGUUGUAGAUGGUUCUGUAAUUCUCCACGAAGGUGGUUGUUUCAGAGAUUAGUUUAUCGACUUUUUCAGUUGUUGAUUUGCAGACAUUGGCAGAUUCUGAUACUGCCACAUUCAUCUUUGCAGCAUUCUCUGCAUGUUCUUUCGUUAUGCGCUCAAAAAAGGACUCAACAGUUGCUUUUCAAUAGGCGUCAGAGGAGGAAGCCUUGGAGGCCAGCAACAGUUGGUCAAGUUUCUCGUGAAUCGCUUUAAGUUUCUCUUUCAUGACUAUGGCUUCAUCUUCACUUUCAGUCCUUAUCUGAAAUGGACUAUAAGUGAAUCCGCCAAGAUCAUCAUCAUCGCCAUCAUCUCCAAAGAUCAUUUCUGGAUCAUCAGUGCGAAUAGGGGAGAUGGGUGGAGAAACAUGGGUAGUGAAGACUGAAGUGUUAGCCUCCAUAUCAGAUAUGUUGACCGUAACUUCAAGGUUCAUUGAAGUGAUGGGUGUUGUGGAGGAAUCAGUUAAGAUUGGUGCACCAGAUGGACCUUCUUCGACAGCAGUCUUCUUUGCACCAUUCUUAGACCCCUUACCUCCUUUCUUUGGUUUAUCGGCAGCAUUAAGGGUUGCUUGCAUUUCUAGAGUUGGUGGAAGAAACCCCGAAGGUGUAAGAUUGCGAAAGCCUUCUAAGAUUUUGCUUGAUGCAUGAACAUCCUGAAACAUGACCUUUGGUAUAGAUCUAAUGAAUGAGAACUUUGAGGCAUCGACAAAGAUUAUCCCAGUUGUAUGAAAGGUGGAAACCGUGAAAGCAAGAGCAUCCUGCAUCAUUGGGAUAUUGUUGAUGUGCACAAAAGUACCCACUAAUUUUAAUAUUUAUAACCUAACUAACUUAACUAACUAAAAUGCACCUAGGCAGUGUACCUAGUCGAAUUAUAGAAUAGUUGGGUAAGUCGGGUGUCGAUCAUAGGGAACGAUGUUACCAAUUAAUCUAUUUACUACUAAAUUAACCUAAAUAUUAACAAGCUUAAAAGGGUUUUAUCUGAUUUUACAAGAUUAGAUGAACUUUACUCAAAUUCAAUCAAUUACUAAAAACACUCUCGUUUAGUUCGAAUCCACUUCUUCUUUAUGGUUAGCUAUCAAUUAUGGAAUAUCAAAGUUGGUUAUCUAAUUGAUAUUGUAUUAAUAAUUUAGGUCUAAAAUUACCAAUAAUUAACUUCUUCAUGUAAAACUAUGCAUGGUCACACAAUUAAACACAAAAUUAGUUAUGAUUAUGAAUUUGCUAUGAAAGAUUAUGCAAACACAAUUAUAGUCAUUAAUUAUGUUCUCUAGCACAACUAAACUUAUUUACUUCAAUUACUAUCUGGGAUUUUGGUCGAUCCUAGCUCUAGCAAUUCAAUGUUCACUAAAUCACUAGGUAAACAAGUUCAUGUAGUUUAAUGAUCACUAAGCUACAUAGAACAUGAAUUCAAGUAACUAAAGAAACAAAUAUUAACAUGCUAGGUGGUAACAAAUCAAACACAAUCAAUUUACCAACUAAGAAAAUCCAUUAUCAAUAAGCUAAUCCAUAAGUCAGAAGCUUCAUCUAGCUAAAUAAGAGUAGCUAGAUUCAGCUGCUCAUAGCAACAUAAAAACAAACACAAAUCAUAGUCAAAGUCAUAAACAUGUUUAAAGUACCAAACAAUCGAAUGAAUUAUGAACUCUUUCUCUCCUUAGGUGAUAAAAGCCUCUUCCAGAACUUCUUUUCCUUCCAAAAUCGUCUCUAGGUCUGCCUUCUAUCAGCCAAAAAGUCCUCCAAGUUGUCAUGAACAAGGAUAUAUAUACUCUAUGAAUUUUCCUGAUUCACGUCGUGAGCUGAUAGGUCUCACGUCGUGAAUACGAGAUAAUCGUGUUCGACAAGGAUUCUUUCACCCGGAUGCAUAUCUUCUGGAAUACUCUACUCACAAUCUUCAACUUCCCACGUUGUGAAUAUCACAACUUCAUGGGUUUCUUGUCUUUUAAGCCCUCAAGUCUCCAAAGUUCCAAGUGUUGUCAAUUUUGGUCCCUUUCUUCGAAAAUGGUUCUACUUUAGCUGCAAAUAACAAUUUAUCCUUCUAAGUACCAUAAUUCUAUGCAAAUAACCAAAAUAUUAAUAAAAAUGUAAAUAAAUAUUGCCUAAAAAUAUGUAUAAAUAUGGCAAUAUCAAAAUACCACACACUUGUGAUGUGCUUGCCCUCAAGAAAAUCUACUUAAUCUAAACUUAAACCUUCAUCACUAACAUCAUAUAGAACAAUCGAACUCUAGCUCAGCCAUUAUGCCAAGACCUCAACGUGUGCAUUUGUGUCUAGAAUGCUUCCUAAAGGACCCCCAUAGUCUAAAUACUCACAAUCUUCAUAAAUGCUUGCCCACUUCUUUUGAACAAUGCUCAUUUUAUGCAACCCUCUGAAUCCAUCCUCAAAAAUCUUACCUAGCCUCAAAGUAUAAACUAGAUAAUUACAACUUUAAGAUACCAUUACUUGGAGCUCUUGAAUUCUUCACUUUCCUUGAUAUUUGAUCUUUAACUUCCUUGAAUUCACCUCUUUCAUGAUUUUUGGCAUCUUUAACUUUUGAUUUUUUAGAAUUUUGAUCUUUUAAUCUUCAAACUUGAUAGCUCCAAAAUUCUUCAAUUUUUACCUUUCGGUAACUUCUCUCUCUCUUUUUUUAUGUAUAAAUCACUUUUUUCUCUGAAAACCCUUCAUGCUUAAGCAGGGGCGAUUAACUUCAACCUUUAUUGGUUAAGACAUAGCUUUCCUGGAUAGAUUUCUGGUACAGGCUGCUAAACAUAUCGCAUUCCUCAAACUAGCGAGAUUGUGUUUUUGCUCCAUGAUUUCACUAAAAUAAGGGAGGCCACAAAUUCACUAUAACGUACAUCGGCUCAACUAAACAUUUGAGCUCUUAUCAGAUUACCCCAUGCAACACUAGCAACUAUAGUUCAAAUUUUUAUUACUAAAAAAUAAUUUAAAUUUUAAAAUUUUCCAAAUUUUCUAGUAAUUUUACUUUUUUUUACCCCUACCCCAGACUUAUUACAUACAAUGCCCUCAUUGUAUGCAUAUACUAAAUAAAAGCAAUAAAAGGGAGAAAAGGAACAGACUCCCCUAGGAUAGUGGCGUGAUCGAACUCCAUAAGUGUGGAUAAAAUGUGCAUCUCGAAUGUGAACCUCUUCUAUAUAGGAACUUGGAUCUUGGACUUAAUAUAAAUCACCACAAAAUACGGGAUCGGAACUUAAACCUUUAAUAAGAAUGGUGCCAGACUCCAAAGUGUAAAGAAUAAUGUGGGAAAACAUACACCACAUUAUAUGAUGGAGAAAAACGAGCUCAAACUAGUCUUCAUAAAACUCCAAAUAAAAUGGUGAAGAAUAUGGACUCCAAAGUGAUCCAUGAAGUGAAUGGAAAUGAAAAGCCUUCAAUAAUAUGUAAAUAUAUAACUCACAAAGUGAGUAAGAAAAAUCAUGUCAUGAAGACGUAUUAGCACAAUUUCUGAACCCUCUUCCGUCGGGCUCACAUCGUGAAAAUAAAAGUCUCACGUUGUGACAAUUGGGCGAACAAAAUCUGAAAUAGUCCAACUUCACUUCUAAAAUCAUGCACUCCAACCAUUAUCUUAAUGAAUUAAGACUCUCCUAAAUGCAGUAUUUGAGGACUCUCUAACUGUAUCUACUCUCUCGACUCACCCCACACUUAUUUCCAGUUGUAGGUAUCGACUUCAGAUGCUAAACUUUAGACUCUAAGCGACCCUUGGCUAAACGUAUACGCUAUCGACUUGACCUUCUUUUCCUAGACUCCGUAGCAAAUCUGAAAUAUAGCAACCAAAGGAAAGACAGCAGUAACAUAAUAAUUUACCAAGUCUUACAAACCAUAACAAGUUUAACAAAUUCAAACAAAACUAAAAUACAAAUAAAAACUAAAAAGGUAAGCAAUCAAUCAUCAUCCUCUUCAUCCCUUGCACCACUUGUACCGACUCCAUCUCCCCCUUGAUCUCUAUACUCAGUCCACCUCGGGAAAAUUGGGUAAUGAUACCUAAGGUGAGGAGGUUUCUCCACAUGCAAAUGUUGUACCAAGUUUUCCACAGUCCCUCCAAUCCAAUUGACACUAAGUGAAAACUGAUCAAAAUAUAUGACCAUAUCACCGCUAAAAUGUGGUCCUCCCAUGGGUGCAGAUCGAUGCAUAGACUGUCCUCUCUCUCCUCAUCCGCGCACAUUCCUCCUUCGAGGCCUCGGUUGUGGUUGCUGCUCAUUCUGUCCACUACGGUGCUCACCACCAUCACCUUCCUCAUCAGUAUGCAUAAUUCCCCAAUGAAAUCCAAAAUUCUAAACAACCCGCAUUGUCUACAAGUAUCCCAUGGUAAAAUCGCUCUCCGCCUUGCAAGUCGAAGAGCGGGUAAGGUCGGGAACAAUUAAACCAUAAGAACGGGACAAGUGAGUGAUGAAAUGGCCCCCACAGAUAGGGCUUCCGGGACGAGGACUUGCAGCCGAAUCCACUAAAUAGCGGGCCAGAAAAUAAGGAAUGUUACAGCACACUCCCGACUGCAAAAUACACCAUAAAAAGAAUAAAUUUUGCUUCGUGACCUUAUCCCCAUGGUGUUUAUGGUUGAUGGAGAAAGUGAUGAAUCGGUGUAUCAAGCGGUGAAUGCGUGAUCGUAUGCUGCUCUCGGGUGACAGUCCGAAAUUAAAUAUUCCGGAUGCAAUGUUGUUCCACAAAGCGAUCCUCGAGGCCCGAUUUUCAUAGUCUCGAGCCGCCUCCCUAAAAAACAUAGCAAAUUCCGGAGUCAUAGCUUCCUGGGCCAUGUAUAACCCCGUACUCUAGGAAAAUUCAAUCAGACUGCACUCUCGAUAUUCACCCCCGAGUCUAAAAACUAAGGCUUGUGGAAAAGUAGGGUCUUGGACAUUCUCAUGGAAUGCCACGGUUGCAAAGAAUUCCUCACACAAUUCCUUAUACACCCUCUCUUGAAUACCGAAUAGAUUAAGCCAGCCCUUGCAAGUGAACGAAAACCCAUUUCCCAAAAAUAUUUUUGUGAGAAAUGGAGACAGCCUAUCAAAGAUUCUGACCUCCCUUAGCCUUGCCCAAUUAUUUGUAGGGGCAACAUCGAAUUCCCUGUUGUAUAGCCACCCCAACCUGUUUUUACGACGUGUUAAAACAUCUUGUGGCAUGGUAGUUGGGAAAGCAUAGAAUGGGUGCAAAUGCGACACCCAUGUCGGAAUUUCUCUCCUGGGAGCCGUUGCUGCAAAAAUAAACAGAAAACAAGACCAACAAAACAUCCCAAAAUAUUAACAUUAAAUAGGAAAUGAAACUGUAAUUGGACAGGAUUCACGUCGUGAAUUCCUAAGAAUUCAUGUCGUGAGUUCGUAUGUAGAAACUAGAAUCGGUCAAGGUAAAAACCAAAUUGGGUCAACAAUGUCAACGGGGUUUACUCCUAGGGCGAUUUCAAACUCAUUACAAACACAUGCAUCAAGAAAUUCACAGAUUUAGGGUAUCGAUUUUUAUAUUCAAGUGAAAUGCAAACUUUAACCCCUAAAUCUAGUAAAUAAGUUAGCAAUAAACAAUGUAAAGAUGAUUAAAUUAUCUAGAAUGGUGAAUCACGUAAGCACAAGAAGAAAAUGGGAGGAAUGCCGGCCGCAAUUGCGAAGAUGGCGACCAGGGGAACAUGUUCACUUCGUGGGAUAUAAAGAAAAGAACUAGGUCAAAUGGAUUCUGUCUUUAACCUGUGGUCCCGUGGUAUUCAAAAUUCAAGCCGUGAAUUCUAAGAAUUCACAUCGUGAGUCCAGUUUGGGCCAUACAGAUGGGUCAUUCAAAUUAAAGGUUAAGCGGGCUGGACUACUAUCAGGCUAACGAAUUGGGUAAUAUAUUGGCCUAAAAAGGAAUCCUUAAGUCAUACUAGACUCAUGUCGUGAACCAUAAUAAUUCACGUCGUGAGUUCGUCUGGAUACUAAAACUUAAAAUUUUAAUUAAUUAAACCUCCUAAUUUAUUACCACUUAAGUAACCUGACCGUACACUUAAAUGUUUCAUUAUGCACAAAGUGAAUUAAAUGAUACAAUUUAUUACUCAAAAACUAAAAAAAAAACUAAAAAUAAAAGAAAGAAAAUACAAACCAAGCUUGGCUUGCCUCUCGAGAAGAACUUCUUUUUGAUGGAGUCGUGAGCCGGACUCCAUGGUUCAUAUGUUGAAUCUUCAGAUGAGUCCAUCACCACCUGGGUUUUCUGCUCCUUCCAUCGCCACUUGUAUGCUUGGACUCUUCGAUUGUACGCCUUUUUUGAAUUUUCCUUUUUAGCCUUUGUCUCAUCUAUAUUAAGCUUCCUUUUGGUCCCUUUUGUUCCCAAUUUUUCUUCAUUCUUCUUUAGCUUAAUAAGGACCUUCUCUUCUUUUACCAUUGGAACCGUCUCCUUGGAAGUAGCCUCGUCCUCAUCACUUAACACAUCUUCACUUUCCUCACUUAUCAAAGAUGUUGGUUUUGUGUAGGUAAUGACUUCAACGAAAAACAGAACGGAUGCUCUUGGUUUAGUGCGUUUGACUUGAUUAGUUGUCUUGAUUUCUUCCUCCAUGAGUCUUUCUAAUUCUUCAAGUUCAUUAUCUUCAUCAAUAUUGAACACUUCACCUUUAACAUCAUAUCGUUGAAAUCCAUCUUGUAUUCCAAAAUCUUCUUUAUCAUCACCAACCCUUAAUGUAAGCUUGGAUUCACGAACAUCAACUAAAGCGCCAACAACAUUUAGCAAGGGGCGACCAAGAAUGAUUGGAACAUUUACAUCCUCCUUCAUAUCCAUGAUCACAAAGUCAACAGGGAAAACAAACUUCCCAAUUUUAACAAGGAUGUCUUCUACAAUUCCUCUUGGGUGCAUCACCGAAUGAUUAGCCAUGUGGAUGGUCAUCUUUGUAGCCUUCAUUUUCUGAACAUUCAGCUUUUGAUCGAAUGAGCCAUUAAAUUUAUGCUGGCCCCAUAAUCGGCUAGAGCAUUAGUCUUCAACUUGUUACCAAACUUACAUGGAAGAGUGAGGCGUCCAGGAUCUCCCCUAUUCUUAGGCAACUCUCCUAAUACAACUUUUGAGAUUUGUUCACUAAGAAUGACCUUAGAGUUCUUCUUCAACUGCAGACGGGUGUCUACAAGAUCUUGUAGGAACUUUGCGUACUCUGGAAUUUUUGAAAGCGAAUCGAUAAAAGGGGUAUUAAUAAGAAUACCCUUUAUUUGCUGAAUAAACUCAAGAUGUUCCCUUUCUAGUGGACUAAGAUUAGCUCGAGACGGGAAUGGUAAAGGCGGUCGAAAAGCAGGAACGGAUUCUGACUUUUUCUGUUCAGACCGGGCUCACGACGUGGGUCUGGUGUUUCAACAAUGUUUUCAUUUUCGAGCUUUGGCUUCUUUGGCUUUGGAUCGGGUUGCUUUGGUUCCACUUCUAGUGCCUCUGAAAACUCAGAGAUUUCCUUUUCUUCAGUAUCAAUAGCCAUAACAUGAGUUUGAGCUUUCUUUUUGGGAAGUUGUGAAGAUAAUUUGUUAUUCACCAAAGUAGUGAGUUGACCAAAUUGGACUUCUAAAAUAUGAAUCGAUGCUUGAUGAUUUCUUAAUGAAGCUUGCUGGUCAAUCAUCAUUUUGUGCUGUUCUUUCGUCAUAUUCAUGUGUUCCUUUAGCACUGCAUCGGUAUCAUCAUGUCUUCUUUCGAAUGCUUCCAUAAAUUGGGUCAACAUGUUUUCCAAGUCUACUUUCUUCUCGGCUGGUGGUUGCUCUUUUUGAUAGAAGCCUCGGCCUCUCUGCUUAUAUUUCUCUUCCUUUUUCUUCUUAUAUUCAUCAUAUGAUAGCCACUCUUUCUUUGGUUUUCUCCAGUCUUCAUCAUACUGAUCCCCACUCGAGUAGCAAACUUGAGCACUUUUGUUCCCAUACUCAUCCAAGUUGCAAUAUUUAGUCAAGUGUGGACCAUUACAUCGUUCACACCCAACUUUGAUUACAUAAAUUGAUUGGUCCAUUUGUGUCAACCUUCGAUCUAUAUUAUUCAGAAUUGCCAUCAUAGAAGCUAUUUCUUCAGACUGCGUGCCUCCACUUCCUUUUGUGCCUUCUUGUCUUGGGUUGUGGGACUCACGAGAGUGUUUUGCGAAUUCUUCAACUAACUCCUUGACCUCCCUUUGAUUUUUGUUUGUCAAUGGUCCUUGAGAAUCAAGGAGUUGCCUUGUCAUAACAUUCACCCCAUCAUAGAAAAUAGACAUCCAUUGUUGAACAUUAAGAUCACGUUGAGGACAAUUUCUUAUCAACCCUUUGUAACACUCCCAUGCCUCGUAUAAUGACUCCCCCGGUUGUUGCUCAAAGUUGGAAAUUGCCUUCUUGAGUUUAGCUAUCUUGGAUGGUGGGCAAAAUUGAUCUAAAAACUGCUCAUGCAUUUGAGCCCAUGUAGUGAUUAUACCCAGUGGUAGUGCUUUUAACCAGUCUUUUGCAGUUCCCUUAAAAGUAACGGGAAGCAUCCUUAGUAAGACGGUAUUUCUGUUCACAUUUGGGACAUUGAAAUAAUCUGCAAUGUCAUUAACUUCAUCGAGAUGCUUAAAGGCAUCCUCGUGAUCUUUUCCAUAAAAUGGAAUAUCCUUUAGUGUAGUGAGGAUAUUUCCUUUCAACUCGAAUGUGGCAGUGGUAGGAAUGGCUGAUUGUACUAAACCCGCACCAACAUCGUCUCUAAUUCGCUUCUUGUAAGCUCCCAUUGACAUUUCUUCAAUGUUUGCCAUCUCGUUUCUUGGCUCGUCUUUGGGUUCACUUCUAUAAGGAACAAAAUCGGCUUCGAAUUCGUAUUCGGCUUCGUUUGGGAUAGGUAUUUGAUCUAAGUUUUCAACGUUGUUUUUGUUCUUUGAAGAUGAACUCGACUCUUCCAUUUUCUUCCCCGACUUCUUUGAGAAUACUGACUUAAGUUCUUGUAAGGGUGUCUUCUUUGGUGUUUGAUCUUCUUUCAUGUUCUUAUCUUUCUUUUUAUGAAGGGCAGACUCUGGAUCCUCAAGUGGUGGCACCAAAGGUGUGUUGGAACCUCUGGUCAUGAACUCCUAUAAAAUAAACAAAAUAAAAACAAAAAACUGAACUAAAAUAAACUAAAAAUAAAAGAAAACUAGAAUUCACGGUAUUCACAUCGUGAGACUAUAGGCUCACGUCGUGAGUUCUAUAACUGAAAAAAAUUAAACUAUGCUUGGUAAAAUAACUUUUUGCAGGUUUUACCCCACAAAAAGGAUCUAUUAAUCAAAAGCAAAUAAAUAAACAAUAACUAUGCCGCUCCCCGACAAUGACGCCAAAAACUUGAUGUGCACAAAAGUACCCACUAAUUUUAAUAUUUAUAACCUAACUAACUUACCUACCUAAAAUGCACCUAGGCAGUGUACCUAGUCGAAUUAUAGAAUAGUUGGGUAAGUCGGGUGUCGAUCACAGGGAACGAUGUUACCAAUUAAUCUAUUUACUACUAAAUUAACCUAAUUAUUAACAAGCUUAAAAGGGUUUUAUCUGAUUUUACAAGAUCAGGCGAACUUUACUCAAAUUCAAUCAAUUACUAAAAACACUCUCGUUUAGUUCGAAUCCACUUCUUCUUUAUGGUUAGCUAUCCAUUAUGGAUUAUCAAAGUUGGUUAUCUAAUUUAUAUUGUAUUAAUAAUUUAGGUCUAAAAUUACCAAUAAUUAACUUCUUCAUGUAAAACUAUGCAUGGUCACACAAUUAAACACAAAAUUAGUUAUGAUUAUGAAUUUGCUAUGUAAGAUUAUGCAAACACAAUUAUAGUCAUAAUUUAUGUUCUCUAGCACAGCUAAACUUAUUUACUUCAAUUACCAUCUAGGAUUUUGGUCGAUCCUAGCUCUAGCAAUUCAAUGUUCACUAAAUCACUAGGUAAACAAGUUCAUGCAGUUUAGUGAUCACUAAGCUACACAAAACCUGGAUUCAAGUAACUAAAGAAACAAAUAUUAACAUGCUAGGUAGUAACAAAUCAAACACAAGCAAUUUACCAUCUAAGAAAAUCCAUUAUCAAUAAGCUAAUCCAUAAGUCAGAAGCUUCAUCUAGCUAAACAAGAGUAGCUAGAUUCAGCUACUCAUAGCAACAUAAAAACAAACACAAAUCAUAGUCAAAGUCAUAAACAUGUUUAACGUACCAAACAAUCGAAUGAAUUAUGAACUCUUUCUCUCCUUAGGUGAUAAAAGCCUCUUCUAGAACUUCUUUUCCUUCCAAAAUCAUCUCUAGGUCUGCCUUCUAUUAGGCAAAAAGUCCUCCAAGUUGUAAUGGACAAGGAUAUAUAUACUCUCUGAAUUUGCCUGAUUCACGUCGUGAGCUGAUAGGUCUCACGUCGUGAAUACGAGAUAAUUAUGUUCGACAAGGAUUGUUUCACCCGGAUGCAUAUCUUCCGGAAUACUCUACUCACGUCGUGAAUCUUCAACUUCCCACGUCGUGAAUAUGCCAAUUUCGUGGGUUUCUUGUCUUUUAAGCCCUCAAGUCUCCAAAGUUCCAAGUGUUGUCAAUUUUGGUCCAUUUCUUCGAAAAUGCUCCCACUUUGGCUGCAAAUAACAAUUUAUCCUUCGGAGUACCAUAAUUCUAUGCAAAUAAUCAAAAUAUUAAUAAAAAUGUAAAUAAAUAUUUUGUCAAUUUCCCUGCGAACAAUCAGGGACCAGAAUCUUGCACAAGAAAUCUCGGUGUGACGAGAUGUUGAGAUAGUGCUUUGAAUCACCUGAGCCCAAAGAACUGCUCUAAAGUAUAUAUUCAUCCCGGUAUAGAGGCCAUAAAGGAGGGUAAUGAACAACUUACUUGCACAGUAUGACCCUGUAAUUCUUUAAGAAAAGCCUUUAAACAGAAUAGUGAAUAAAGCAUUCCAUUGUGGAGGAAGAUUGGACUUGCAAACUUUCGAGACCGUAGAAAGAGUCUCCUUGUAUCCCAUCUGAUAAAACAUAUCCAGGAGAGCAAAAUUGGAGAUCAUUUCAUGGUUGAUCAUGUCUUCUGAUUGUGGAAUCCCUAAAAGUGAAAUAAAUCUGGUUUUGAUGAUAAAAGUUUUUUGAUCGUGGAUAUGAAGAUAAUCUUGUUCUUCUCCUUGAUAUAACUUGUAGAAGAAUAUGCCUUGGAUAGAUGAGACAUCGGUACACCCUCCAUUUUUGUUUGAGCAUGAACCAGUGGCGAAUAUUUAAGAUCGAUCAUUGAUAGAAGAUAUGGCUCAUAUUUUCAAGGAUCCAGAUUGAUAAGAAGAUUCUGAUUCAGUUUGACAGCCAGAAGAGAAGAUUUGACAGUUUGAUUGUGAACUGAUGAUGAAGUAGCCAUUGUUGAAGGUUUGAAGAAGACGAUGAACAGUAGAGAGCGUUUUAUUUGCUGGAUAUCUUUAGAGAAGAUUUUGAAAGUGAUAAUGAGAGAGGAACUGUCAAAACCUUUAUAUAGUAUUCGAUUUAUGAGGGAAAUCUAGAGAGAGAAUGCAUCAGGUACUAAAACGUCGCCUGAAAAAGCGUGACUUGUCAACUGUAGAUGUCAGACCCGUACGUCAUACGACAGAAAAACAAUUGUCCGUUCAAAUUCUACACGCGCCUUUUUGAACUCUUAUCAUCAUAACUUUCCUCGUCAUCAUCCGUCUUUCGCAGUUAAAUAUUGUAACAACCCGAAACUUUGCUUCCUCGCCGUAACCGUUCCGUCAAAACUCGUCUUAAGCGAAUUGUUCCGAUUUCGUCCUGAACUAGGUCAAUUAAGUCAAAACCUUUAUUUUGACUUGGUAAGUAUCCAAACAUGUCGGAAACAUGCGAAAACGUUCCGAACUAGUAAUUUGAAAAAUUAUAGUUUCGACCAUAUCGGGUAACGACAACUUAAUCGGGUGCGACCCAAAGCAUCGGUUAACGUCGGUAUCGGGUAAAAUUCCAUCGUGUAUCCAAGUCAAACCAUAUUUAAAGUGGAUUAAGCCUCAUUUGAAGCUUUUUCACUCUCUUUCUAACCUUUCUCCUUAAAUCCAUCUUGUUAAGCCAAAAUCAACCAUUUCAAGCCUUAAAACACCAAGGUAAGCAUCCUAGCUCCUAGUAUAACAUCCUUAGCUUUCAAUUUCGUGUUUAAAUCAUGUGUUAGGACCAUAAACAUGUGUUUACGGCCCUGGAACAGCCUUAGGCCGUGAACACAUGUAAUUGGAGGUUUUUGAGCCUUAAAACCUUUCCAAAUCACCAUAGGAGCUUAGAUAUGACUAAAGGAAUUAUUGGAAUGGACUUAAAACACCUUGAAUGUCAAUUUUAAGGAGUAAACAUGAGUUUACUGCCCAAGAACAUGCUUGGGCCGUAAACUCAUAUAAAUGGGUGGUAAACUCCUCUUUUGGGUGUUAAAAUGCAACUUACACACCCCUUAGGCUUUGGAAUAAAUUAUGGAACCAACCAAAAAUCAUUUAGGGGCCUUAAACUCAUCAUAAACACUCUAAUUGAGAGUUUACGGCCAGAGCAUAUGCUCCAAGGCCGUAAACUCCUAGAUGGAUGCCAUUUGAAGCCUUAAACUCACCCAAAGCCUUGUAAAAAUUAGUUGAAUCACUUGUGGUUAAUCCUUGGCCUUCAAAGUAAUUAAGUUGGAUAUGGGUGAGAGUUUACGGCCGUAAACACUUAUUUUACUGCCCUAAACUCUUCUAUUAAUUCAUAUAAUGAUUUAAUCCCUUUCAAAUGUCCAAAAGCCAAACCUAGCAACACCCAUUAUUUCAUUUAAGGCCAUUUAGCUCAUAAAAACACCCACCAUGAGUUUACGGCUGUAAACUCAUGGGGAUGUGGUGUUUAGUCCGUAAACACUCCCUAAGAGUUUACCCUUGGAGAGUAAACUCUAAAUCCUAGUCAUUCAUGUCCUGAAACGCCACCCGGGUCACUUCAAAUGCUCAUUUGGAGUGUUUUCGCGUCUUAGAAUGUUCAAGUGUAUCUAACUAGUUAUUUAAAUCUAAUUAGAUAUAUAUUGUGUAUUAUUUAAUAUUACAUAGGAACAUCGCUCGUAUUCAAGCCUCGGUUCGACGUUUAGCAUCCCAUUCGACACAUUUCCGCGUCCGGUGAGUUCAUACCCCUACCCUUUUUCAAUGGUUUUUCAAUGUUUUCAGGGGGGGAAUANGGAAUACAAGAAGAGUACAAGAAUAUCUUGUAUUUAAACUUAUCAUUUUAGUUAGAUGGUUUCAUACUUGUACAUUUUUAAGGAUUGAAAACCCUUUUAACAAACUGUUUUAACUUGCAGAGUUAUUUGUUUAAAAAUCGAUUUUCAAUUCUUAUUAUAUGCUAUCAUAUUGUAUACUUCAAAUUUAAUUGUUCAUACUUAUUUUGAUAGAAAACAUAAAACAUUGUAAAGUCUGUAAUAAAAUACCAUAGGCACGAGUAUAAAAGUCAGACACCAUAAAACAUUGUAAUUCUUAUUAUAUGCUAUCAUAUUGUAUACUUCACAUUUAAUUGUUCAUACUUAUUUUGAUAGAAAACAUAAAACAUUGUAAAGUCUGUAAUAAAAUACCAUAGGCACGAGUAUAAAAGUCAGACACCAUAAAGAAAACAUAAAACUUCGAUAUGUCAUUAAUAAUACACCUAGGCUCGAGUGUAAAGGACAACAACCAUUUGAUAAUAUAGAACAUUGUAAUGUCUUUAAUAAUGCACGUCGGCUCGAGUGUAAAUGGAUAGUCGUCAUUAGAAAACGUAGAACAUUUGUAAUGUCCUUUAUAAUAACACCUAGGCCCGAGUGUAAAGGACAGGUAUGUUAGAACUUAGUUAGUCUUAGAUACUACUUCUCCUAGGCGAGAAGUAAAGAGUGAUCUUAAAGAUUGGAGACACGUCCUCUGUAACACGUCCCGUGGCACGAGAGUGGAGGACUACCCCUGUAACCAGAAUCUCUGAACAUAGGAGAGUGUGACUUGAGUGUAUAGAUCUAUACGGGACUGACAAUCCCGCACCUGGCUGCUAGCUACAGCCGAACCGAAAGGUUCAAGGGUGACGAAAGUCACAAAAAGGAUACUGGCCACGACUCGAGUCAUAUCUAGUAUGAGUAUGGUUAAGGACUCGCAAUCUAGAUUAUUAACGCUUUAGACUCAUUUACUAGCUUUAUGUACGUAGUAAAGCUAAUGCACAUUUAGUGAUAAUCAGAGUUGGUAAUGGUACACACACAUAUUCAGGAAAACAUGGGGUUUUCCUAUGGAUAACAAUGAACAUAAUCAGAACUGGUAACAGUUAGCACACUCAAAAUUGGUAAUAGCACACACACACAUUCAGGAAAACAUGGGGUUUUCCUAUGGAAAAUAAUGAACAUAAUCGGAAUCAGUAACAGUUAGCUCACACAGAAUCAGUAAUAGUUCACACUUUCAUACAUAGGAAAAUAUAGGAUUUUCCUGAGUAACAGUAGUUUGUAACCAGAAAAGUGUAAUAAGUUAAAUAACUAUACUUUACUAAAUCAUUUGAACAAUCAUGUUUUUAUUGUACAUCUUUUACAUUACAAUUUGGAUUUGGUAUCUAACUCUUAAGAAAAUAUGGGAUUUUCUUGGUUAACCACUUUUUCAGGAAACUAAAGGAACCCAUUCUUUUCAUAAAACAAACCGCUUAUGAACUCACCAGCUUUAUGCUGAUUUUCAAACCGCUUGUAUUCUCAGGUCCGCUAUAGACAGGUACCCGACGAUCUUUUUUGGUGAAGACGGAAUGCGUAGAAGAUUCGUAUUUCUUUUGUUUAAACUAUGUAUCUAUGAAACUUGUACUACUUUACUUUUCAACUAAUGUAAUGAAAUCUAUGUAAUGUAAUGUUUUGUGUUUACUUUGCUUACUAUGUACAUUGGUUAUGAUAUUCCCAUGAAGUCACCUCCACCCCGAGAUGUUUCCGCCUUCGGUUUCGGGGUGUGACAAAUAUUAUUUGUCCAACUAUUAUGAACCUUAGUUUUUAGAAAACUUAGGUUAAAAUGCGAACCUGAAAGAAGUUAUAAAGAACCACAAAUAAGACUUUUGGAAGAUCACUAGAAUCUUCUUGCAAUAGUGUCAAAGAUAAAGAAAUAAAUCAACUAUAUCUGGGAAAUUAUGUGAUGUCUCUACGAAGACAUAAAUCAGUUAAUCCCGGGCAAAGAUUUCUUUCUUCGAAGUCAAGAGACACUAAGAAGUGUCUGUGUGAUUUCCCGUUGAAAUACGAUCAGAUGUCUUAUACGAAAGAAUGAAAGGCUUCUUUUAUUUCGUCUCAUUAGGUGGCUAAAUCUCCAUUCGAACAACGAACUUCAUAUAAGAACGAAAGUCGAAUGAAGUACUCGUGUGACCAGUUUAGUCACAUGAACGAGUAGGUUCGUGAUUAUAUUGGUGACAAGAUAAAACUUUUGAAAUCUCAGACAAAAAUAAAACUUGAUCCUUUGGGAAGAAGUGACUUGGUAAUAGAACACUUCAUAAAGAUCACGCAAAACAAAUGAGAUUUCUUGGUACAAGCUACAAAAGUGGCUAUCACUAAUUCCAUGGUGAAAAUAUAGAACUUGUAAUUGUUCACUGUCAAUUCAUGUAAGUGUGUUGGAUUGUGGGUUUCACUUAGUUCGUGGUGUACGAAGCUAAGAUCAUGAACAUAGAUGUUUCGUAACCAUAAACCUCAGUGGUAUAGCUGAGAGUUUCAAGGGUUACAUUUAUGAGUGUGAAGAUAUAUGGAGAAGAGUGAAGGUGGUUAAAGAACUGAAAGUACCUCUGCUAAACAAAUGUGACCAAGCAGAUAACUCUUAACUCAAUAUGAGAAGAGUAAGGUUGCUCAUGUUGGAUUAAUGUCUAAGUCCAUAACUAUAAUUGGUAAGACUUGACCUGAUCCGGCAUGGUCCAUUUGGGUUGCAUGACAUCGGGACAAUUGGUUAGACAAGAUGAGGAAAAAGGAUACUAAUGAUUUAUAUUAAUAUAUUAUAAUUUCUAAUAUAUUAAUAUAUAAUCAUACUAUUUAAUUAGUAUUGAUCUAGAUUUAAUUUAUAAUUAAUUAAGUGAUCAAAAGGAACUAAUUAAAUAUGGACUCUUAGAUAUAUAUGUGUGGUGGGCCAAGUUCAUUUACGUUGGGCUAAGCUUUCAUGGAUGGUCCAUGGAGUGUUUAACCCAUGGAUCAUAUGAAAUGAAAGGUCAUGGGUUAAACCCUAGUCUCCACACUAUAUAAAGAUGUCCUUGGUUGGUGAAAUUGGCACAAGUGUGGGUACACUAAGAGGGCUAGCCGAUUUCACUAGAGAGAACCAAGUAUCCUUAUUCUCAAGGUUAUUCCAAGUGUUCAUGGUGUUGUGUGAACCAUUUGAGGUGUCACACUUAGGGCACUAGGCACUCAAGCUUCAUGAAGACAAGUUACAACAACAAGGUAUGUAUUCUAUCUAUUUUAUUACCUUAGUAUCAACGUUUUGGUAUGCUAGUUAGGAUAAUACCUUGGAUAUUCAUAUUUGUAUGUAUAAUAGAGAAUACAUAGAUCCAAGGUAUUUAGGGUUGCAUGUACACUUAGGAGUGUUAGAAUGCUCAAAACCCAACAGUGGUAUCAGAGCCUAGGCUUGUUUUCUUAUUAUACUUGCAAAUUUAGCUAAAAAAUCAAAUUUUGUUGCUGUCUGCACACUAGAAUCGCCAAGUCCAUGAAGGGAAUCGACAAGUCCAAGGAAAAAAUCAUCCAACUCACCGAGUUGGUUCAUGCACUCGACGAGUUGGACCCCCUGAUAGCAUAUAUUUGACUGUUUUGGCUGAAAUUUGACUAGGAACAUUACCCUAAGCUGUUUUUGACCUUAUAAACUUGUUUUUAAUGUGGUAAUGUUCAUGCUAAUCCAAUUUCAAAGAUAAUUGUCAAUAGAUUCAUGUUUUGUAUUAGUUUAAAAGUUAUGCUAAUUACAUGAAAAAGUUUGAUGUGAAUUAUCUUUUUUCAUAUGAGUUGCUUAGAUUAAUAGAAAAUUUAAUUGAUUAUGUGUCUUUAAUCCAUUUUAAUCUAAGAGUUGAUCCUAGAAUAUGUUUAUGUAACUUGUCCUCAAGUUACAUGAAAGGUCACAUUUAAGUUUCUUAAAACUCAUAAAAGUUGGCAAAGGUUACAAAAUGAAGAGUCUUGUCCUCAUUAAAUGAUUUUAUGACUCCAUAACUUGUCCUCAAGUUAUGGAGGUUCAAGAGUCUUUUCAUUAAAUAAUAAGAAUGUGUAGCCUUAAAUAGUUCCAUAAGUUACAAAAGAAGAAGAGUUACAUUCUUUAAUAGUUUAAAGUCUUCCAUAACUUGUCCUCAAGUUAUGGAACUUGAAGAGUUUUAAAUUAAAACUACUUUGAACUCAUAAGUUAUGGAUAACUACUAGAAAACAGGCCUUUAAUGACGCGCAAACAAUGACACUCGCUGAUAGAAGACGCACAUUUGUACGCGCCCUAAAAAAUAAUGUCAGUUUUGCAAAAUUUGAAGGAUAGAGGACACGUAUUUGUGCGUGCCUAAAAUUAGUGUCAGAAAACAAAAAAAAAGGUAAUGCGGAGGGCGCCUUUCAUAAAAUGUGCGUCGUCUAAAUGUGUUGCUUUAUAACAUUUUAAUGAAACACGCCUUUUUAAUGGGGAUUUCACCCGCCUAUCGAAUCCCAAAAAUUAAACCCCCUGCCUCUUCCAAUUAGCAAGAAAAAGCCCUAGGAUUUGGUCUUCAUCAUCAUCUUCUUCUUCUUUAUAGUUAUCAGUCAAAAAUUAAGCAACAUUCUUGAUUUAGAUCGAUAGUUCACUACAGUUCACUAAGACAAAUUGUGAGCGAACCUAGGGUUCUUGUUUAACAUUCUCUUCUUCUUCUUCUUCUUCUUCUUAUUCUUCUUCUUCUUCUUCCCCGAUAUCUUAAUUUUUCGUGUAACACCUACAAUUUCUUUACUUUUCCAUUAUUUCUUAUAACAACAUUGAUUAGUUUCUCUAAAUUGAAUACAAAUUUUUGUUUUGUGAAGAAUUAUAUCGACUCAAUCAAUGCGUACGGUCCCAUCUGGUAAAUGUCUAAACUACCCCUUCACCCUUGUUACAUGUUUAUCUCUCUCUCUCUCUCUGUAUAUAUCUUUCUUGUUUUGAUGUUUGUGUAAUGAUUUUUCAGGAUUCUAGUAAAUUCUAAGCCAUGAAAAUUAAGUUAACAAAUACUUGUUUAGGUGAAUGCUCUGUUAUCUUCUUUAGAGAUCGAUAAUCAUGGGGGGUUGGUUAGGGAGCACAUGCCUGGUAGAUACGCAAAACUGGAUCAGUAUUGGGGGGAGUCGCAAGUCAUGGGGCCCCUUGCAGAUGGAUGGGCUGAUGAAUUUUCCCAACGACUGGGCAGAUGAAUUUGGUCGCCAGGUUGGUGAAGCGAUUCUGGAAGAUGAUUCUGCUGAUAAUUGGGUAUCUACAUAUGACGAGAAACUUCUAUCCUCUUUUCUCCACAUAAAACAAUCUGCUGUUUUAAUAAUCAUUUCAACAAAACCUGCUUCCCUUGUAUAUAAGUAACCUUAUAAUUCCUCCUCAUAUCCAGAACCCUUAAUAUUCACCCCAAGGCAUAUUUUUUAUUUUGCAAUAAGCACUAAAUAGAUGUCUAAAGUCUGAUUGUGCCAGACAUUGGAUAGAUUAACGUGUUAGUUACUGCUACACAUCCAAUUAUAGAAAAGGGUAAUAUGAGAAAAUAAAUAACAUCUUAUUAGUGGAGGGGCAUUUUAGGUAUUUUCUUUAGAAUGCUUAUAAAGGAGUAGUAGAUGGAAGGAGUGUUAUCUUUUGUCAAGUUCUAGUUCUGGUCUUGGAACCUUUGGGAGAAUCUCUAGCAAAUCAUUAGGGGUUUAGUUUUGCUGAUUUGAGUGUUUAAUCAAUUCUUCGAGUAAGUUUUGUUAUUUGUUCCUUCCUGAGUAUUGAUUUCAUCUUCUAAGUUGUAAGUGAGUUGGUAGCAGUUAGCUUUCUUGUUCAUUAAGUUGUCAUUUUUACUGAAAAACAUCUUAAUCACCUAGACAGACUAUAAUAAAGUCUGAUUGCCUCUCUCUUAACUUAUUGGAAAAAAGAUAAUCGGAGGAGAUGAAAAAAGAAGAAGAAGGACAAGACAACGUAAUCACUUUAAGUUUUCCAAAUUCAUUAAUGCUUGCUGAUUUUGACUUUUGAGUUAAGUUGUAAACAUUCUAACUCAUACAACAUACCUGGACUAACAUGACCUACCGCCUUGCAUUUAUGGCCGCCUCAACACCCCCUUUCCUUGAGUUGAGAAACACUCAUUUCCUUUCGGUGUAGAAGUAAAACUAACUUGUAUUCCUUCCCCAACCUGUUACUGACCUCAUAUUCCUUCUUAAGCUAUUAGUUUCCUAUUAAUUCCUAGCCACGUAGCCUGAAAGAAGUGGGAUGUUUUAGUUGCUACAUAAAAAUAAGAUACAAAUUCAAGGAGAAGAGGUCUAGAAAAAGUACAAGAUAAUUCCUACUAUAAUAAUAUAAACAACACGAUGAUACGAGUAAAAGUGAAUAAGAAAAUAAAAUUCGUCAUCUGGUGGUUGACGUUGAAUAAUUUAUGUUUCCAAAAUGUAUUUGAAGUCCUUGAGAGUUGAGUGAGUUGGAGCAUAGAAGCAUUGGAAGAAUAAUUAUAUUUAUUAUUGGAGAAUGGAUUGGGUAAAUUGGUAUUGUUUUUGUAGGUACUUAAACGAACAAGCUGUUAUGAAGCAGAAAUCUGAGAGUUCAAGGGGGCUGUAUGUAUUUUCUGAUUUAAAUCCUUAUGUUGGGCAUCCUGAUCCAUUGUGGGAAGGCCAGGAGCUGUUCCGUAAAGGUUUGUUAAGUGAAUUUUCACACCAACAUGAUGGGGACCCGAAUGCUUGGGCUUUAUCCUUUGAAUGACAAAAUGUUGCUGGGGGUUGGGCUUCUGAAUUCCAACAUGUUAUUGAGCUCUUUUACUUCAAUUAUUAAAAUAAUAGUCGAAUGUUGACUUACUAUUAAUUAUUAUGUUAUUGAGCAUAACCAAGUCAGGGUUAUAAAAGGUAUUUCACAUAAGAGAUCAGAUUAUUAUAGUAAUUUGAUGAGAGGACUGUGUGGUUGGCAAUGCCUUAAUGGAUGGAUGAAUUAGUUGCAUCACAUGUUCCCUGUUUAUAUCUGUAAUAAUAUUUAGUAGAUUAAUGGAUUUGGGUUUCAGUAACUAGAAUUUUCUUUUCUGUUUGCAGUUGAAGAGUUGUUAAUGAAAUUUGAAGCUGAACCUAAAGAAAGGGCAUAUAAGAAGUAAAUGGAAUGGAAGCCCAUUAAAAUCAGAAUAUAAGAAUAGUGUAAGUAAUACAUACCUGUACGUAUUCUGAUAUCAAUAUUCCUUGGACGUAAAGCAGAACCAAAACUACUAGUGCCAGAGGCUGACCUUGUCACAACUACAUUUGGAGGUGGAGGUGGAUGUGUGGUUGUUCCAAAACUCGUGCUAGGUUGAAAAGGUAGAGGUUGCACCAUGAUUGGAUUUGGUCUGGAUGUUGAUAUGAAAACAGCAGGUCCAUCAUUCACCACUGCAUCACUCUACAACAACAAGGUAAUAUAUAUAUAUACAUAUAUAUAUAUAUAUAUAUAUAUAUAUAUAUAUUGGUUUUUGUUUUUAGUUAAUUAAUAUAAGAAACUUGGAAACAUAGUUAAAAGUUAUGAAAACCCAUGGGUGACUGUCCCAAUCGUAGUGUCAUGGUCGUUCGUCCAAGCUCCAACAGAAAAGCACCCAAAUUCUGCAACAAAGCACCUGACCUCAAAGUAUUUGACUGCAUCCUUAACCAUGUCACAGGAUCACUUACAUUGUUCUGAUCCCCUAAUUGUCAUGUCAAUUGCCGCAACCACAAAUCAUCAACAUAACCUUGAUAGUUAAAUUUAGGAAGUUUAGUUUAGUAGAUAAGAAUAAGAUGCUAUCAAGCAUUCUCCAACUUCUUCAAUCAGCAAUUGUCUUGUAGACUGUGUCACUUCUCCCAGGGCUGCUGGUGUUCGUAACCCUCCCUGACCAACACCAAAUUCAGAAUCAAAUCAAUUGCCUCUUACAUAUUCACUUCAUCACAAAAUACACCCACCGCUAUUAUUCUUUUUGCUACUCUUUUUAUGUAUAAUCUUAGUAUGUUUUGUUCUCAUAUUGUUGCUAUUUCACAGAUGACGAAGAUAAUCGUACAUCUGUAGAUUUAGCUGCCCCUUAUUGGGUUAAGCCAAAAAACCUAAGUUAAUGUAAUCAAGACAUUGAUAUAUGAAGAAGCGUUGUAGUGGCAUUCUUUCUUGAACUCGAAUAUGCUACAAGAGCUUGUAUGUAAUUUGAAUAAUUUCUCCUUUCUGCUUAGGUUAAGUGCAUGAAAUAACAACAUAUUUUCAUGGAUUUUUUGUUUACAUUGGUAUCCCUCUUCAGUUUUUUCUUAUUAUGGGGGUUGGAGUUGGAGCUUGAGCUUGUCAAUGUCACAGGGGCUGCAAAGCCUACUCGGAAAAUAAGGUUUGUGACUUGUUUCUUAAGUUGCCUACAUAAAUUUGUUGUGUUAUGUAGUAAUAAAUAUAUUUUUUAUAAUGACAAUAAUAACUAUGAAUAUAUUUUAUACUUGUUGCCAGAUCUGAGCAAGACAAGGAAUUAGAAUAGGAAGUUAUGGGCUCUGGCCUAGCUGGUGAAUAAUCUGCAGCCGAGAGUAUCCAAGUCUAGGUAAUUAGUAGAUUGGACAUUUAUGCUGCUAUGUUUUCCUUAUAAGUUAGUGGCAUCAGUUAGUGGUCUAUGAUGUAUGCUAAUAUAUUGGUUUUAAUGUAGCAACAUGAGAUUUAAUAGAUAGUAGUUGGAGUUUUGAUGCAUACAUAGAAUUAGACAAGAGAAGAGUGGGUCUUUUAAUCUGUUUUACUACUCCUGUUAUAUAUCCGUAGUGUGAUGUUUUUUUUGUUCUGCAAUGCGUUACAUGGCAUGGCAUUUUAAUCUGUUUUACUACUCCUGUUAUAUUUUUUUGACGUUCAGAUUUCAUGUUCAUGUAGCAGGUGUUUGAUUUCGGUGCAUCACUCUCUUGGCCUGGACAAAAGAAAUCUUGACAGGUGACUACUUUUUAACUUUUCUCUUUUCCUGAUAUAUUAUAUCUUUUUCUGUUGAAAUGAUCAAGUAAACCUAUCGCAAGGCAAAACAAAUACUAAAAGGUGGGUUGCUAUUGAUGAUUUCUAGUUCUGUUAUCUUAACUUAUAUACUUACAUAUAACUACAAACUAUACCCAUAAUUCAUAAAUCUCUUCACAAAUUACAAUUAUUUUUCUAUUUUUUAUAUAAUAGACAUGCAUCCGUUUUGGAGAAUACUUGCAGAAAAAACAUGUCAUUUUAUAAGUUACAUAAAUAAAAAUGGUUAUGUUAGUAUGUUACAAAAUUCCAUUCCAUGUGCAUGAUGGAAUGAAAAAAAACUAACGUGAUGUGUUAUUUUUGACUAUUUGAUUUGAAAUUCAUAUUUUAUAUUUUCCAAAGAAGUUAAAUAUGUUUAUUUAGAGAUAUAUCUUUAUUUCAUAAAAAUACAUUUUGUUCAAUAGAGAAUCUAUGGAGAGGAUGGUGGAAGCUUCUGCUUAGGAAGCCAAGGAUGUGAAUCAUGUUUGGUAAGCUGCACAGGUACACACCCAAUCACAAGCUCCAAAUUCAGACAACAACUUAUCCCUUUCAGACGACUCACAUGCUCCAGAGCAUGUUGAUACAGAGGGAGACGUUAGGCUUCACCCUAGAGUUGUAUGUAUUUUUUAUUUUUUAUUUUUAAAUACAUGGGUGUUAUUUUUUAUGACAAAGAAGUGUUAUUUUUUAUUAAUAUGAUAGGAUGCAGGUUGUAGUUGCUAAAGAGACUAUAGGAAACCUUGGUGGAUUGGUAAGACACUUAUUCUUGGAUUAAUUUGAAAACGAGAGUAGACGAAUGAUUCCUACCCAAAAUGAACUUUCCUAUCCAACCAAAAAUUUCACUAGGCAAAAGUCACCUCAAGGCCUGCACAAAAAAGUAAGUUUACAACUACUUUUCAUAAAAAAGUGUAACCGCUAGUUGCUAGUAUGUAUGUUUGGGAAAACUUAUGAUAUGAUGUAUUUGCAUUGCAAGUUAUAUCUAAUUUGAUUAGGUCUCGAAGAUGGAAACCUCCAGUUAACAGGAGGUUUUUCCUUGAUUCAUAUGAAGUAGAAGAGCUGAAUAAAGUUGAAAUAAAGUAAAAAUAAGAAAAAAAUGAAGUGGAUAAUCUAAUCCAUUGAAUACUUGACUGUGGAUUUAUUUACCAAAUGCUUAAAAUAACAAUGAAUAAUAUAUGAGUGAUUUUAUGAUAUGUUUGUUAUGCAGGAGAAAACUUGGAAAAAUGACCCUAGAUAACUGAAUUAACGAAUCAGGUGUGUUUUUUAGAGUACUUAAAACUCAUAUGACUGGAAUUCCAUAUUCCAUUCCAUCAUGGCAUGUUUGUUUGCUAAAUCAAUGGAAAUCAGUUCCAUUCUUUCUUUUUUUACUAAAAGACCAAAAUAUCCUCAUUAUAUGUAUUGAAAUAAUAAAUAUAGAAAAAAUAAAACUUACAAAUCAUUCAAUUUUAUUAUUGAAUUUCAUUCCAUCCGUCCAACCAACCAAACACAUUUCUUUUUGAUCCUGAUUCCCUCAAAUUUCAAUUCCUCUGACAGAUUCCAAUCCAAUUCCAAUUCCUUUUUAUUAACACAUGUGGUGUAUUGAAUUUCACUAUGCUCCAGGUUUUCUAUUUCUCUUUUUUCUAAUGAUCAAGAGUGAGUCCUUGUCCCGCCUUAGAUUGGCAGCAGUAAUCCGGCUUUAUGGUAUCAACUACUCUUACUUUUCAUUCACUUUGAUGAUUUUUAUAGGCUUUCAUUUGUUUAUAAAAACAUAUGUUUAUGUUUUACUUAUUAAUGCAGUUUGCUUCCGGUGAAAUUUCAUUAACCAUGGUUUGGGACCCGGAUAAAGAGCAACUUGUGAGCUCUAUUCCCCCAACAUUAGAUUGCAGGUUUUCAGCUUUCGUAGAUUCACUUUGACCUUAACCCCCAUUGUUUUAUAUUAUUUGAUAUUGAUUCUAAUAUAUAUUUUUUGUGUGAAUAUGAAUGUAUUGGCUCUUUUAGGCUGCUUCUCAAGUUCAUGGAGGUCAAUACAUACAAAACUCUUAUUGGUAGAUCAUUUUGAUUCCACUCUCAUACAUACAUACCAUGUGUAUUAUUAAUUAGUUGAUAUUGAUAUUGUACAACUGACAUGAUUAUUGUGUAGGAUUUCCGUGUUGUUCUUCAUUAAGAGUUGGGAUUCAUAUUUAAGCUAAUAGACAUGAUCAUUGGUUGGAUACAUGAAGGGUUUCAGAGCUUCUUAUGACAGCUUAAUGAUGAGUUACUUAAAAAAGAAGGUGCCCUUUAUAGUAAUGUAGUAUUAGGUUAUAUAGUUAGGGAAAACCUCUUAAUAACAAUGUACAAUCAGAUCCCUUUAAUAUCAAUGUAUUACAAUGUAUUAUAUUUUUUGUAUAUGGUAUUUUAUUUUUUGUAUAUGGUAUUUUAUUUUCUAUUAUGAGACAUGAAAUGCAAAUUUAAUUUGAAAAUCAGUAAAUCUAUAAAUAAUUUUUUUUAAAAAAAAUUAAAAUUACUAUACGCAAAAAUGUGUGCCGUCUUCAUUUAUGACAUGGCCUUUCUUGACAUGGGCUUCCUUGAUACGCAUUGCGUGUCAUAAACACGCGUGUCGUAAGGUUAUGACACACAAAUGCGUGUUGUCUUCCUUUAUGACAGGGCCUUCCUUGAUACGCAUUGCGUGUCAUAACCGCGCGUCGUAAAUACGUGUCAUAAAUGCGCGUCGUAAAUGCGCGUCGUCUCUCUUUAUGACAGGGCCUUCCUUGACACGCAUUUGCGCGUCGUCUGAGCGUUUUACGACGCGCAAUGAGCGUCGUAAAAGNNNNNNNNNNNNNNNNNNNNNNNNNNNNNNNNNUUAGUAGGCCUCAUUCACGAAGCCGGUCUAUAAGGGGGGUAUAAGGUUACUGCCUAUAAAAUGGCAGUUUAAUGGGUGUCCACUCUCACCCACCGCUUCCUUGACCGGUGGAGGGUCGUUAGCCGAACGGGUAGGACAAGGACUAUAAUUCUCCCUUCAUUAAAAGUAUUAAUGAUAAAUACUAAGUAACUAAACUCUUAAUAAUACCCAAUCUUAGUUACUUAGGAAAAUGUGAAUGUGGUGCUAAUCCAUGAAAUUACACUUUGCACUUUGUUUAAGUCGGUUAGUGGAGCGUGUGUGGUUAACCGACACACUAGCUUGAUUUAACAAGGUAGGCAAAGGGUAACUUAAUGUUUAUCAUAGUAUCGAUGGAGCGUGUGUGGUUAACCGGCACAUCGAUUGAGGGGUAAAUAUUAAGGGUACCAAGUAUAUUUGCAUGGUUAUUCACACCUUGUUUUGUGAUCCUCGGCAUCCCAGUCACAAAACCUGAAGGGCACACUCGAGAUUGAAACAUGCCAUUGAAGAGUUCAAUUAAUCUCAAAAGAAUCUAGGAGUUUCAAAACCAAUUAAAACCUAAUAAUACAUUUUGUUUAUCUUGGUGGAAAUUGGUGAAUCGUCAUUCACUUACCUUCAAAUAUUUUAUAGCUUGGAUUAUGAUAUCCCUCUUCCAAGGUAUAAAAUAGUUUGUUGGGUCCUAGCCUUAAUACUUCUUAUUGGGUGUUAUAUUAAGGACUUUAAAUAAACUAUCUUGAAUAUCUCCCAAAAGAUGUCUAGUUCAGACAUCUAUGAUCCUCCCAAAUCUCUUGGAACUUCACUUCCUCCACCUCCUCCAAUUAUUCUCCCUAACCCACAAGUUCAAGGUCACUCAAGCCCUAUUGGCAAGCAAGGUCUAUAUAUGAUCGCAUCUUGGAGAUAAAGUCACAUAUUGACAAGCCGGGAAAGUUAGGUUUCAAAUUCUUGAGAAAGUUGGAUUUCCAAUCACUCUCUAUGUCACAUAGUGAAUUCCUUUGGGACUACUAUGGAAAAGACUAUGACAUGACCCUUAAUGAUAUUAUCUAUUUGCUUGGUGCUUCUAAAUCAGUAAUGAUUAGGAGGACUAGUAAAGCAAAUUUGAUUAGAAGACCAACUUCCCAAACUUCCAUGGACAUUGAAAAUGGUACAUGGUAAGAUGCAUUGGUUACGAAGCUGCCAAAUUUAACUGAAAGAUCUUCAGGUAAAGUCCACUAUCAAACUCUAUUAAGUUUCUAUUCUGAUAUUCUUGAGACAUGAUGUAAUUGGGUCACAUGUUGUUGUUUUAAGAAUCAAAGAAAAGUGAAGAAACUUAAAGAAAGGAUAUGUUGAAUCUAAUUGCAAAGAUGGAUUUCUAUCGCUUGGUUGAAGAUUGGAUUCUUGAGCUAUUUCCUAGGAGUUAUGAUAGAUUGCUAGGAAACAUGUAAUAGCAUAGUUUUCAUUCUAUGUUGCAUUGUAAGGAAAAGUUUUUCCACAUUUUAAAAUAAAUAAAAGUUUGUUUGACUUUAUUUUUAUCUCCUUACAAUGGCAUUCAUGAAAACUUGAUGUUUGUAUGUUUCUAGCAAUAUAGGAAAUAUGGAUUUGAUUCUUUCAUUUGUGGUAGUGUCUAAAUUUAGCAAAUAAGGAAAGAUUAUCAUCACCAAGUUUCAAUUGGACCGAAACUUUGGAAUCGUGCAAGUUGUAUAGUAUGAUGAAUGAGAACUUUCAAGCAUUAGAAAAUUAAGACUAACUACUUGUUCACAUGGAUGUGUGAGUCAAGUAAAGGACUAAGGGAUCGAGUACAUAUUCGUGUGCACUGGUCAGGACCCCCACAGAAGAUUGACAAGACUAUUCGUCAUGAUUUACUAAAGCUUAGUAAAUAUGGUUAUACUUACAAGUUUAAGUAUAAUUCUGAAGCAUUGGAAAAGAUUCAAUGUAUGGCAGAACGAAUAAGAAGAAUCAAAUUAGGCAGAAGGAUCAAAGUUUCUCAAAUCUGAAAAGAUGUGAGAGUACUUUAGUAUCAUGUUUGUGAUCAUCUUAAUGAUUUAGAAUCAUAUCACAAUUAGUCCUAUAAGGUCAUCUUAGUACAUUCUUAUGACUAAGAAGAGGAGUAAUGAAUUGUUGAAAUUGUUAAAUCAAUAAAAUGAGUCAUACUUUGAUCCAAAAACAAUUCUUAGAGUCAUACUCCAAGAUUGUAAUUUGAGUGAUACAUCUUAAAGAAGGUUUAUUAGCAUUAGUUAAAUGUAAGCGUAAAAGGUUUUCUACUCUUGUACAUUUGAAAUUGGUAAGUUGUGAUGUUUUGGAUAAAACAAAGACAAAUUAAGACCAAUUGUGUGAAGUUUUUGUCUUGAUAAAGAAUCCAAACUAUCUCUUGAAUAUUUGGCAAGUGAGUCUUAUGUGUCAAGAGGAUAGUGGGAGUCUUAAAGAUCCUGGAAGAAUUUCAAGAUCUAAUCAAGAAUAAAAACCUGUAGUUUAACACUAGCACACGACAUGAGGUUUAUAACCUAUCGUGUUGACAUAUUUCUAUUUCUGUGCCCAUUCCAUUUAAAGUUGGCUUUGCAUAUGAGUUCUUAGAGUUCUCAAUUGGUUGCAUAACAACUUGGAAGCAAUGGCAGGCCCUUGAGUUGCCAGGUGACAAGAAAAUAAGAUUGAGUUUAGUCCAUAUGAGUUUCGAUUUGUCAUUAUCCUUGUCUUGUGACUAUGAUUUUGACAAUUCACAUGGAUAAGAAAACAUACACCAUAAAAUCUAAGGGUCUUAAGGUUUCUCUCCGAUUCAUGAAAAUGAUGGUGAGGAAACACUCCACCAAGUAGAUUUGAAGCAGAUAGCAAAGAUCUAAAUAACUGAGACUAUGAUUACGACAUCGCUUUUCAUAGUUCAAAAAUUGUUUAGACACACCUCUGAGCUAUCUAAGAUAACGUGUAUGAUUUUGAUAAAGUCUUAUCAAGGCAAUCUUGUCUCAACAAUCUGAACUUUGGUAAGAAAGUCAGUAAAGUAUUGUCUUCUAGAAGUCCAGCUGAUUUUUUAGUACGUGUCAAAGUUAGUGGGAGCAUACGUGUUAUGCUAAUAAUCAUCAUGUCAGUGGGAGCAUGAUUAUCAUGAUAAGUAUUGCAAGUUAGCAAUGUUAAAUAUAGAAAACAAAAGGUUUCAAUUUGUUGAAAAAGUUGUUUUGCUAUAAUUAAGGGAGAGGAAAUUAUACUUCAUUUCAAUUCUAAAAGGAUUAGAUUGAGAUUUUAAUCAUCUUUAGUCAAGAAUGUAUAUGAAUUUUAUGUUGGUUUGUUUCAACUUAAGAAAAUUCGUAUAUAUUGCAUUCUCAAAAUUCGAUUAAUAUUACGACAUCCCUUUUCAUAGCAAAAUUUGAGAAUAUGGCAAACAAAAAUUAUUAUGGCAAAAGACUCGUCUAUAACCAUGUCUUUAUGUGAAACAUCAUGAAUCGUGUCCCAUUUACUUUGGGUACAAGAUCGAUUACAUGUGCUAUAAUAUUUAUCCUUUCUGAAUUUUUCCGAAUGCCUUGGGGAAUUAAGGGGAAAAUGUAUAGAAUUGGAUAUGACUAAAGUGACUAAGCAAUUGUCGAGGACAAUCUAAGGUUUACCAAAGAUUGGUUGCUCAAGGACAGUUGGAAGUAUACUGUUAAUAUUGGAAGGACCAUAUUGACAUAGUCUGAAAAAAGGCAACUCUUGUUCAGUAGCGGUAGUUAAAAUGGGAAUAUAGAGUUGUCUUAAUAGGUGGAAGCAAUCUGUGUAAGGUUAAACAAAAUUAAUGCAAGAAGCAUGUUCAAAGCAAUGCGCUUUGAAUUUGAGACUUUGUUACCAUGGAAUGAUAUCCAUUGGAAUACUCUGUAAUGUUUUUUGACAAGUCUUUGUGACUUUGUGGAUAAUCGUUACAAGAGAACCAAUGCAUAUAAGUUUAGAAUCGAACAAAUUUCGGUAAAAGGCAUGAAUUUGGAAUUCUUGCAUUGUCGUAAGGACUUGGGACUGUGAAAUGAGAAUCAUUGGAGUUAUGUUCAAUCGAUUUAUUUCACAAUGUAAAGAUCAUAGACAAACUUGGUAUGCAUACUUGGAGUAUGGCAUAACUAAUGUUUAGACAAACAUAGUGUGCAUACUUGGUGUAUGGCAUGACUAGUCUUUAGAAAACAUAGUGUACAUGCUUGGAGCAUGGGACAACUAUUGUUUUAAUUCAAGAAUAAAGUUGAUAGCUGAAACAGUACGCAAUAAAUAAUGUGUAAUCAUAUGUUGAUAAAUAAAAGGUGUUUUGUUUAUAUUCAUAAGUUCUGAGACCAUAUUGGAUCCAAUUAUUCUUGUGUUUCAUUUUUCAUGUUUUGACUUCCAAAAUAACUAGGUCGCUCUUCGUGAAUGACUAAGUUAUUCAAACCAUCCACAGUCGGUCAUAUGUUGGAAGUAGAUGUGAAUCAAGACUGUCAUGGGUUGGGCUUGUAGACGUCUAAGAUGUUGGACAAGGUGGUGCUACAACACUCAUGAGUGCUCAUAAGUUCUGAGUAUUGGAUUUAACCUACGCUCAUUUGACUCACUUAAUGGAUUUUAUCACGUGUGAUCGUGAGACGAUAAUAUCUUAUACUCUUCAAACCUAGAGAUAUGAGUUGUUACUAUGAGUUGGUUGUACAUUGAUUGUAUGAAAACGCAUUGGUAACUCCAUGUUAUAAAACUUGCCUUUGUGUAAGAUUUAACAAGUAGUAGAACAAGCCAUAUGUAUCGAAGUUUAUCCAUUCCUUUUGCCUUCGGGAUAAAAGCGAUAUAUGUGGGCCCCUCGAUGAUUUAAUGAUGAUACAUGUGAGUGCUUGGCCAUGCCAGGACGGAUUUGAUUUGUUCAAUCAGUCAGUCAUCAUGAAUCGAAAAUUGGGAAACAACAAAUGGACAUAGAGAAUGAUUAUAAUCCAUGUCUCAGUCCAUAUGAUAUCUAGAAUGGAGGAAUUUAUGAUCCCUUAUCUAAUGGACAAGUCGUUGACAAAGGUCGGAGAUCAUCGGCAAGGUUAGAGUUCGACGAAAGCUUUUGAGAGUUACGAUUGCUAGUCGGGUUAUGAAGUCAUACUUGUAAUAAUAGUUUUAGACUUAUCCAAGUGGGAGACUUUUGGAUUAAUUUCUAAGUCCAUAACUAUAAUUGGUAAGACUUGACCCGACCCAACAUGGUCCAUUUGGGUUGCAUGGCAUCGAGACAAUUGCAUAGACAAGAUGGGGAAAAAGAUACUAAUGAUUUAUAUUAAUAUAUUAUAAGUUCUAAUAUAUUAAUAUAUAAUCAUACUACUUAAUUAGUAUUGAUCAAGAAUUAAUUUAUAAUUAAUUAAGUUAUCAAAAGGAACUAAUUAAAUAUGGACUCUUAGGUAUAUAUGUGUGGUGGGCCAAAUUCAUUUACGUUAGGCUAAGCUAUCAUGGAUAGUCUGUGGAGUGUUUAACCCAUGGAUCAUAUGAAAUGAAAAGUCAUGGGUUUAACCCUAGUCUCCACACUAUAAAAGAUGUCCUUGGUUGGUGAAAUUGGCACUAGUGUGGGUACACUAAGAGGGCUAGCCAAUUUCACUAGAGAGAACCAAGCAUCCUUAUUCCAAAGGUUAUUCCAAGUGUUCAUGGUGUUGUGUGAACCAUUUGAGGUGUCACACUUGGGUCACUAGGCACUCAAGCUUCAUGAAGAGAAGUUACAACAACAAGGUAUGUAUUCUAUCUAUUUUAUUACCCUAGUAUCAAUGUUUUGGUAUGCUAGUUAGGAUAAUACCUUGGAUAUUCAUAUUUGUAUGUAUAAUAGAGAAAACAUAGAUCCAAGGUAUUUAUGGUUGCAUGUACACUUAGGAGUGUUAGAAUGCUCAAAACCCAACAGCUAAUGACUAAUGUGAAUUUUGCAGCCUAAUUGGGAAGAAAUGAAUGGUAGAUUCGAUUCAUUAAGGGUUCACAUAGAGUCGAUUGAGGCUUUGGACAACAUGAAACAACAUGAUUCUAGGGACACUUAACUAAUACAAAGAUAAACAAUUUUAUACCCGCCCCAUUACUCGAAUUGAUAGAAAUCACGAACAUACUCCAUGGGUUUUAAGUGUCUAACAUUUUUGGUAUUUUAUGAUAUGUGAAAAAUAAAAGAAACAAGAAAUAAGACUCAAAGAACCUUAUUUUUGUAUUUUUGUUUUUUUGAAAUGAAAUAAAACAGAAACAAAUUGUUUUUUUUUUUUUGGAUUUUGUGUUUUUCUGAAAAAGAUAUAAAAACAGAAAAGAUAUAAAAUUAAGAUAAGCUAAAGUAUUGAUAUGUGUAUUUUUAUAUAUAUUUUUAUGCACUUUAUCUUAAUAUUUUGGCCUUAUUUAUUCUAUUUUAGAACUAAAAAGUACUCCUAAUGCUUUGAAUUAUGUUUUGCAGCUAUUCGUUGUCAAUAAAGCACAAAAGAAAAGACUGAAGCGGAAACCGGACUUAGAAGCUAAAAGAAAUCAAAAAUAAUGAAGAAGUGGAUUUACGCCCCGCGUCCAGAGUAAUUACACCCCGUGUAAUGACCAAAGCGACUUACGCCCCGUGUACCUUAAGGUUACGCCCCGCGUACACCUUUGCAUCGGAUAUACUUGAUCGCGUGAUUAUCUUGAGUACGCGCUGCGUAAUCCUAAGUACGCCCAGCGUACUUAGGUCGGCCACAAAGAUUAUAAAUAUCGAUUUUUAGCUAACCAGGAAGGAGAUUCGACUUCUAACCUAAUUUAGUCGACAAUUAACUUCUGUUAAGCCGUUUUGAGGGUCUAGAAGGCGGCCGGAAGGCCGUUAAGCUAACGGGAGCAGAGAUCGGAAGGAUUGGAGAGCGGAUACAUGUCGAUUAUCAUAUGGAUUGCUGACGUGACCAUGUUUAGCAUUCCAUUGUGGUACUUUUCUGUAUUUAGUUUCUGAUUUGGGUGUAAAAACCUUUUACUUUGUGUUUAUGAUUGAAUGAAGCUUUGAUUAUUAGACUAAUUGCUAUAUUAAAUAGUUUAUUUGUGUUUAAUUUAUCUUGCCAAGCUUGUUUAAAGAUCCUCAUGUGUUAAUGAUGAUUAUUUUCUGUUAAUUGUUAAGUGAAUUGAGUUGCUUGAACAUCUGCUUGAUUGCUUGUCUCUUAUGAUUUUUGAUGACCAUCGAGAUUAUAAGCCUAGAAAUAACGAAUGUGAAACUAGGAUUAACUUGAGAAUAGGUAAGUUAAUGUGUGAGCCUUGUUUGAUGACCAUCAACAAGAGGUUAAUUAAAUGUUUAAAUUGAUUAACUAUAUUUACAAGUCUUGCUUGAUACGAACUGAAUACUAGGAAGCAUGUUAGUUUAAUCAACUGAUCACUGUUUGAAUUGACUUGUUUGCUAAAGGAUUAGUUAUAGUGAACAUGAAUCUAAUCAUUUUAGGAAUCGGUGAACAUGAAUAAAUGAAUUUGUGUAUGCAAUUGUCUAUGUUUUUAAAGUGUAAUUUGUUUAAACCAAAGUACCUGAAGAGAUUUGCUUUCCUGUUAGUUUAUCGAGGGUUGUUAAUUAAUUGUUAGUUUGAGAUUUAUUAAAUUAUUUCUUAAUUCUUUUCGUGUGACCUGUAACCUAUAAUCAAAUAUAUUAAAUUAAUCCACCGUUCCCUGUGAUCAACACCCGACUUACCUAAGCUAUACUGUAAUCUGACUAGGUACAUUGCCUAUAAGUGCAUAGAUAGUCUAAGUUUGUUAGGUUAUAAAUAUUAAAAUUAGUGGGUACUUUUGUGCACAUCAAGUAUACAUAAAGUACAAAAGGGUAUAAGAAACCAAACCACGAAUGAACAGUGAAAUGCGAACUACUACGAACAUUCGCACCAAUUCGAAUCAACAAAGAUAAUUACGAAUGAAUAGUUGUCUGCGAAAUACUACAAGCGUUUGCACCAAUUCACAGUUACUUCUUUAUUAGUGCAAAAGUGGUUUUGGUACUGAUUCAGCUUCCAUCAUUCUUAUCCCUUGAAGAAUUUUAUUAAAGGUUGUCUCAGGAAGGGCCUUUGUGAAUAUGUCAGCUAACUGAUCAGCGGAUCUUACGAAAUGUAUCUCGACGUUGCCAUCUUCCACGUGAUCCUUGAUAAAGUGAUACCUCAGUGCUAUAUGUUUCAUCUUGGAGUGUUGCACUGGGUUGUCACAAAUGCGAAUUGCACUUUCAUAUUCACGGUAAAGAGGGAUUCGUUUCAUACUCAAGCCAUAAUCACGAAGCUGGCUUUGAAUCCGAAUAACCUGAGAUGUGCAUGAAGCUGCAGCUAUGUGUUCUGCCUCAGCUAUUGAUAAUGAUACGCAUGUUUGUUUCUUGGAUUGCCAACUUACUAAUUUUCCAUCAAGAAAAUGGCAUCCACCAGUUGUGCUUUUUCUAUCUAAGCCACAUCCACCAAGCUCAGCAUCUGAAAAAUCUUGAACGAAGAAGACCGAGUUCGCAGGAUAUCAUAUGCCUAAAGAUGAAGUUCGUUUUAGAUAUCUGAAAAUAUUCUUCACUGCCACCAUAUGAGGUUCGCGAGGGUUUUCUUGGAACCUUGCACAAUAAAAAAUGGAAAACAUAAUGUCUGGUCUACUAGCUGUUAGAUACAUCAAGGAACGAAUCAUCUAACGAUAAAGGGUCAUAUCCGCAGCUGGUUUAUCCAGAGAUGGUGUGAGUUUCGUUCUGAAUGCCACUGGAACCUUCACUUUAGAGUCUCCUACCAUGCCAAACUUAGAGAGAAAAGUUUUCGUAUAUGCUUCCUGAUUAAUGAAAAUACCAUCUGGUCCCUGUCUUAUAUUCAAUCCAAGGAAAAAGUUAAUAGGACCCAUUGAGCUCAUCUCAAACUUAGUUUCCAUCAACUUUUAGAAUUCAAAUGUGAGGCUGGGAUUAGUAGAUCCGAAGAUGAUGUCAUCAACAUAAAUUUGGACAAUAAUCAAGUGGUCUCCCUCUUUCUUACGAAAGAAGGUUAGGUCAACUGAACCUUAUUUAAACUUAGACAUUUUAAUGAAAUGAGUAAGAGUUUCAUACCAGGCUCUUGGAGCUUGCUUCAGACCAUAGAUUGCCUUGUCCAAAAUGUAGCAGUGAUCAUGAAACUUUUCAUUCAUGAACCCUGGUGGUUUCUCCACGUAUACAGUCUCUUCUAAUUCUCCAUUUAAGAAAGCACAUUUAACGUCCAUCUGAAACACCUAGAAAUUCUUAUGUGCUGCAUAUGCCAGGAAUAUAUGAACUGAUUCCAACCUUCCAAUAGGUGCGAAGGUUUCUUCGUAGUCAUAACUCUCUUCUUGGCAAUAUCCCUUAACCACGAGUCUUGCCUUGUUUCAUAUAAAAUUGCCUACUUUGUUCAAUUUAUUACGAAACACCCAUUCCUAACCAACAACUGAUGCUUCAGGUGGAGUUGGAAUUAGCAUCCAAAAUUUGUUUCGUUCGAACUCAUUAAGUUUGUCUUGCAUUGCUUGCACCUAAUCAGAUUGAUCAAGAGCAGUGUUGAUGGUUUUAGGUUCUACCUUGGACACGAACCAAUUAAACAUACAGAAUUCCGGUUUGGAGAAUAAAGUAGUUCGUUUCACUUUUAUUUGAGACCUCGUAAGAACACCUGCAGAAGAUUCACCAAUAACUUGGGUUUUGGGGUGAUCUUUGGUUUAUUUGAUGAGUGGAGGAUAAUUUGGAUCAUAAGAGGGGUCUAAUUUGGCGUUUACAUCUUCGAACUCUGAUUGAACUUCUAAAUCAUCAUUCUCAUCCUUGUUCUCCCCAUUGAAUGACGAAUGAUCUUCUUCAUUAGGAAUUAAGGUGUCCCCUUCAUCCUACGAUGGAAUGUUUGUUUCUUUUGGAGUUCGUUGCUCCCCCUAAGGAGGUGCAUUCGAGUCCGAAUACUACCUCUGGAUUGGAGUGCUCGUGUCUUAAGGUACAUUCGUAGUUGGUGGCUGAUUAUCCAUGUGUUCUAUGGCUUCAUCAAUUAUCUUCUUCAAUUCAUCGACUUUGUUGUUAGCAUCUUUCGUUUCAGAAGAGAUAGCCUUUUCAGGUUCACCAAAUAGAAGCAUGAAUUCUUCAUAAAGAUUAGCCAAUGGAAUAGACAAUGGUUCGUUGGAGGAAAGAUCUCUUUUGCUUGACAAUCAUUCGCUUGAAUCUUCUUUAAGUAAUUAUCAUCAAAUGUGACAUAAUAGGUUUCUUCAAUCCUUUUGGAUCUUUUGUUGAGAACCCUAUAUGCUUUCGAUGUUAGCGAAUAUCCUAGAAAAAUGCCUUCGUCAGCCUUCUCAUCAAAGUUGUUUCGUUGUUCCUUGGAAUUGAAAAAAAAACACCUGGAACCGAAAACAUGAAAGAAUUUGAUGUUAGGUUUUCGUUUAUUGUUGAUUUCAUAGGGAGUAACGAAGAAUCUUUUAUUAAGGAGAGAUCUGCUUUGAGUAAAACUAGAAGUGGCAACAGCAUUAACCCAGAAGUAAAGAGGCAGGUUUGCGAACGAAAGCAUGGUCCUAGCAACAUCACAUAGUGAAUGGUUUCGUCUUUCAAUGACCCCAUUUUACUGUGGAGUAUAGGGGGCAGUAAAACUAUGGGAGACUCCCUUAUCCGCAAGAAAUUUAUCAAAUGCUUGAUUCUUGAACUCCAGAACAUUGUCACUUUGAACAUUGCGAACUACCUUUCGUAGUUGUAACUCUAUGUGCUUCUUAAAAUCUUUGAUCUUAGGAGUUAAUUCACACUUCUAUUUAAGAAAAAACACUCAAGUGAAAUGAGAAAAAUGAUCUACAAUUACGAGAAUAUACUUAUUACCACCAAUACUUUCAAUUACAGAUGGGCCACAUAGAUCGAUGUGAAGAAGUUUGAGUGGCUUAAUAACCUUUGUAUUCACUAUUGCUGGAUGAAUUUUCCUGCUUUUCUUUCCUAAUUCGCAGGCAGCACAUAGAUGAUCCUUGUCAUAUUUCAAGAGGGGAAGACCUCGUACAUGAUCACUAAGAACCAACUUGUUGAUAUCUUUGAAAUUUAGGUGCGAAAGUCUCCUGUGCCAUAAACAACUAUCGUCUACAGCAGCCUUAGCAAGUAAACAUAUAGAAGGCUUCCCUCAUAUAUGAUUGAUGUUUAAUGGAUACAUAUCGCCUUUGCAUUUUGACUUAAGCAGAACAGUUUUUGUCUUCUUUUCGAUAAUUUGUUAUCCUUCAUCAUCAAACGAGACCUUUAAUCCUGUACCAACAACAAACUGUGAAACACUUAUCAAGUUGCGUUGUACCCACACUUGUCAUGCCAUAACCUUUUAUUUCUCCAAGUGCAUUAUUACCAAACUUCACAAGACCACCAUUCUUCAGAUCCCUGUAUUCUAUCAGCUCCUCCUUGCUUCCUGUCAUGUGUCGCGAACAACCACUAUCGAUAUACCAUUCCGUAUCAAACUGUUCGUCACAUAUAACUUAUAAGAAUUAAGCAAGUUUAGGAACCCAAAGUUGUUUGGAUCCACGUGAGCUUUUUGCAGAAAGAGGAAAUGAAACAACAAGAUCGACCAUAUAUGUUCGCUUAAUUAAUGUAUUUUCGUAUUUUCUUUUUACGGUGAAAAAUUUUAUCUUGUUGUUUUGUAUUUUCUUUUCUUCAGAAUCAGAUUGAUUUUGUUUAUCUUUAGUUUGAUUCUUGAUGAAUUCUCUCUUAACUUUUUGAGGGUUAGUAGUCGAUUUCUUAGUUUGAACUUCCAAAUUCGAGACUAUCUUUCCCUUUCCCUUGACAUCUUUGGGUGAUGCAUUUGUGGGAUGAGAUUUUGGUUUAUCAUUGUAUUUCUUAGGAAGAGCGGAUUUAUGAAAAAAGUUCGCCUUUGAUUUGCAGAAGUGGCAAUGUGAACACUGAAUAGGAUUUGCAUGCGAACGAGCUUUCGUACUCUGAUUUGGAGAUUUUUCUCUUCGAACAUAGUUGGAAUUUUGGGAUUGCCAAAAUUUAUUCCCUUCAGCAAGUUGUUCAGCAGACUUGUGAAUAUUCACUUGAGGUUUCGCUUUUCUCACAUGAGUUUUGUCCUUUGCUGACCGAGGUUUGGUUUCGCUUUAAACUUCCUUGGUACCAUUUGGGCUACCCUUUUCGAAUGACGAAAAGUUGUUCAGUGGUUCUGAUACAUAUCUACCUUUAACUUUCCAGCAGAUUCUUUCAGAUAAACCCUUUGUUUCAUCUGCAUUGUCUAUUGGUGCAGACCAAAAGAAUUCAUCACAACCAUCUUUGUUGUCUUCAUUAACGAGGGACGUAAGUUCGACAGUUUGAGUUUUGUCUAGUUCUUCAGUGGAAAACACUUGAUUGGGAACAGUUUGGAUCUUAGGGAAAACAGUUGCUUUUGCUUUUAAUGUUAUUGGUUUAUUUUGAGAAAUACGAUCGAAUUCAGCUGAAUUUUAUGAAAUGAGAGCUUUCACCUUUUCAUGUUCGUUUUUAAGGAAUUGCGAACAGUCAACCUCAUCUUCUUCAGAUAUUUCACUCAUUUCACUGUCCUCAUCGAAUUCAGAAGUAUUUUCAACAUUUAAUUUAUUGUUUGAACUCAAUUUCAAACUCAAUGAAUCAAAUUUUUUUACAUUCUUCGUUUUGAUUUUCAAUCUGUCAUUUUCAUCGAUUAAUUGUAUCAACAUGUCCUUGUGAUAUUUGGACUGAAUGUAUGAUUCAAUUUUGCCAAGUCUAAUUUUAUACGUCUAUGAGGUUUCAUCUGAUGAAACGAUAUAUUCACAUUGAAAACAAUCAACAUCAACUUCAUCUUCGUUUAAUUCCAAAAAUGGCAAGAUCAUCUUAUGAAUUUUCUUACCAAUUUCACAAUCUAAAUGUAAUUGAGUGAUAUUAAAAUAAAGCCUCUUAGCAAUUAAACAGAAAAUGUUUCUUUGCUUUAAAAGCUUCAAAUUGUCUCAUUGUAAAUAAAUAGACUCAUCCUUAGACCUAGAAAGCUCAGACUCAAUCUUGCCAAUCCACAUUAUCCGGUCCUCACUUUUUGAUGACGCACUGCUCAUUUGAUCGGUCAUGUUAGCAUUUGAUAGGCGAUUUUGUUUCAAAAUUUCACUUAUACUUGAAAAGGUGAAUUUUAAAUCGUUUAAUUUAGUUUGAUAAUUAGAUGCUGGAAUAUUAAGAGAUUCAAGCAUGGAAUGUACCUUAUUGAUCAGCUGAUCACAUUCGUUGAUUUGUGUAAGAACUGCCUUCACAGUGAAGCAGUUGUCAUCCCUUCUUUCACUCGCAUCUCUUUGUCCAUCAUCGAUUGUGUACCCUUGCAUUUAUUACAUGCCAUUUGUCACCAUAAAGCAUCUUCCACUUACAUGUGAAUCUCCUUCUUUUGCCACCAAGCUCUUUCCAUGAGUGGAUUUUCUAACUUCUUCAUCUUCUGAAUUAGUGGACCAUAUUUCCACUCCACCAAACUCGUUUUCAUCAUUAUUUCCCUACAAAACCAAAACAGGCAUAACAUUAUCAACUUUCUGUUUUUGCUUGAUUUCCUCAAGCUUGCGAAGAUGGUACGCCUCAUCAUCCUCUCCCUCUUUCUUCUCGUUCAUUCUCCUUAGCAUGCAUUCCUUUGAUAGAUGAUUCUUACCAUGACAAUAGUUGCAAUUAUAGCCAGAAUCACCUGCCACCUUUUUCUCUUUCUUAUCUUCUUCCUUCUGGAAGCUAUCCACUUUAUCCUAUUCGCCUUUCUGAACUGUAGCUUCCCUGCCAAUUUCAAUUUUUGGAUGAAAAGUUUUUCUUUGCGAAUCUCCUAGGAUUUGACACCAUUAGAGCGAACUUUUCAUUUGUGAGUUCACAGUAAAAAAGGUUAGACUUCGCAUCAUCCUCAUCAACUUGCUUUCCCUUUGCAACUAGAGCCAACGUACCCAUGCUUGACACAACUUUCAUUUCUUUAGUAACUUCACUUUCGUGUGACGUCAAGAUCCCUACCAGCUUUGCUAAGGUAUAAUUUCUGAAUUGCUCAUGAGCUUUCAUAUUUGAUACCACUGCCAUCCACUAUGACCUUAAUCCAUUCAUGAAAGUUACCUUUUACUCGAUGAUUUCUCGUCCAAUCCCAUGCUUCAUCAUUCUGCUCAAAAGAUGAUUGAAGCGAUUGAACGUUUGACUCAGAUUUUCAUCAGCCUUUUGUACAAAAGCACCGAAUUUAGACAACAAGAGUGUUUGAGUAGAAUGCUCCAGAUCUACGUCUGUUGAAUAAUACUCGUUAAACCUGUCCCAUAUGGCUUUGGCAGUAUCACAAGUACUAACAAGAUGAAACGUAUUAGCAUGCAAUGCGAAUAUAAUGAUUCUCAUUGCUUCGAUGUUGCUCUGAAAUUUGUCUCUGAUCUUGAGGAACUUCUUUGACAUCAAGAAGAACUCGAUUGAGGUCGGUCUGAGUCUUAAUCUCCCUUCUUGUUCCAGAGGGAACAAAAUUUCCAAUAGUAAUAGCUUGCCAGAUCAAGUAACCAUUGUCUUCUAAACCUAGAACAUAAUCUUCAAAGUGAAGUGCCAGACGUCAUAGUCGCUGGGAAAAAGAAUGGUAAUCCUAGUUGUAGACCCAAUGCUGCUAAUGGAAUUGAUUUGAGAAUCUUCAUGCUACAUUUUAACAAGAUCUUUAAAACUUGUUUAUGAAUCAAACAUGUAAAAAAUUCGGGUAAUAAUGAAAUCACAAUGACAACGUCUAGAACACAGAGAUGAUGAAUUAAAAGGAUCUAAUAUUAUUGGAAACCAUAAUAGCUUCUUUUAACAAAAGUGUUGCGUAUAGAUUACACUCUCUCCUGCUCUAAUAUCAAUUGAUAGGAUGAAAAUCCUUAAAGAUCGAUAAGUUUUAAACAGGUAAAUAAUGAACAUAAAGAUAAUCAAACAAAGGCUGAAUGAUUGAAAGUCACGCCUCACAUGAAAUCGAUGAAGAAUUUCAACUGUAGAGGCGUGAUAGGGUUACAAGAUCAAAUAAAACAGUUAACAUAAAAUAAGAUGCAUGCACCAUAUAUACUCUAACCCUAGAAUUAAAUACGGGAGGACAAGCCCAACCCGUUUACAAAAAGGACUAAUAACAAAGCCCAAUGAUGCAACAAUUAAAUAUUCAACAGGGGUGCAUGAUCACGCCUUCACCUUCCCGCAAUCCUCUGAAGUACCUGAAAGAUAACCCAAAACUGUAAGCCCAAAGCUUAGUGAGUUCUCACAAAAUGCCAAUACUUAACGAAUAGCACAAAUAUAAUAACAACAUGCAAUGGGUCCACAACUUUACAGACUGGAUUACCCCUGAGCCCACAACAUAAGUGUGGCUUGCCCCAAGGGCCCACAACAUAUGUCUGGCUUUCUCCCCGGCCUGAUCAGUCAACAGACUGAAUACCGAUAGCCCUCAGUAUGAGUCUGGCAUGCCCUGCCCGACCCUCAGCUCAUAUCUGGAAUGCUCAUGGGUCCUCAAUAUGAGUCUUCCAUUCCCUCCUUGGCCCUUAGCUCAUAUUCGGCGUAAUCCAGGGUUUGUUGGCUAUAGUACGAAGUAGUACUACCUCAACCUAUCCACACAAUAUGUCGACAUAUAAAAGAUAAUAUCAUAAACAUAUAAACAGGAAAUUCACAGGUAAUCCCACAGAUCUACCAGACUAGCAUAUCAAGACUAGCAUGCAUAACUAUAUCAUACUCAUCAUGUCAGCAAUACCAUGUUAUGAAACCAAUGGGCCGGCCUUGGUGCCUUCGACCCGAAAGUACAAUGAGAAUAACUCACCUCACAAAUGUCAAGCUACACAGAAAUCCAUGACUGCAGACUCACAAUAAAUCCCAAACUAUCACAAUAACAAGCACCCAAUCAAUAAUUGUAAUACCAUUCUUGGCUAAGGGUCCAAACAUGGGGUAAUUGUCCAUUUUACCCUUUCCCUAAUUGGGCCAAGUCCCAAGUCCAAAUCUUUUGAUCCGAAAGGUCCAAAUACACAAGGCCCACAAUUUGCCCAAUUUUUCCAAAUUGGGCCCAACUCCUUAAAUAGGCCUCAUCCUAAGGUCCAAUUCCAUAACUGGCCCGGAACACUCCUACUCAAAAAGUCCAAUAAGGGCCCAAUCCAAAUUGGCCCAAAGAUGGCCCAAAUUUGAAGCCUAAUUUGGAAUAUCCCAACAGAAGGCGUAUGUUGGGCGUAUCCCGAAGGUACGCAGGGUGUACGCGAGCCUUGCAUUGACUAGAAAUGGGGGCGUUUACUUAGUAUGCAGUGCAUACUCCCCUUUACGUUGGGCGUACCCUCACAGAGUUCGAAACUAUUAUAAGUGCUUAAUGGCUUAACCACUUAAGCCUAAAUUCUAAAUCCAUCAACCAAAUGUAUCUCAGAACCAUAAAUUCUGAAACUUUAAGACUUUGGACAUCCAAUAAGUCCUUAAUACAUGGCCCUAAUCCACUAAGACCUCCUAUAAACAACAUGAAGCCAAACUAGCCAAAGGGACCUCAUUUUUAUAACUUAGACCCUCUCCUAGGGUCUAAAAGGAAAGCUUAAAAUGUCCAAAACAAAUUAUGCAUAAUAGUGGGACUUUUGAGACAAAAGAAUGGCAAUAAGCUACCAAUAAUAGAUCUAAGAGAAAUAAACACUAAGGUAGCAACUUUUUACCUCCUAGAGCUUCCAAAACAGAUGAUAAAUCAAGAUCUAUAAGCUAGCUUUCCUUCCUUGACUCCUUGAUGCACUUCCUUCUCCUUUAACUACACAAGCAAAAAAUUUAGGCUCCAAAACUCUUACUUAUGGACUAGCAUUUGCUAAGAAUGGCUCAAAGGCUAAGAGGCUGAAAGAGUGAAGCAAAAUGAUCCAUAAUGAUGCUUAAAUACCCUCCAAACUCUAAAAUUAGUCUUUCUCCUGGACAUUAGUAUGCCCAGCGUACUAGGGCACACCAUAGUACGCUUAGCGUACUCACAUGUACGUCCAAUGUGUAACACCCACAUAUUCAGGCUAGUCAAUUUAGAGACAAUAAGCGUCAAAAAUGACAUUUUGAUAGAAGAUUAUUUAGAAUAAACAAUCUUAACUGAGUUAUAGUAUAUGUCACAAGGGUUCCGUACAUAUAAAGAACACUGAAAUCUGAGUUAUAACGAAGAAGUUAUGACCUAUCGAAGUUUUGCGACAAAACCAACACGACACCGGGAAUCAUAAAAAGUAAGUUUAUGAUAAAGUACUUUUAUCCUUAGUGAUCUAAAAUAAAGUUAUAGAGUACGUCUCCACCUAUGCAUGGAUAUAAAGACCAUCAAAAACAGAAUUCGUAUGCAAAAGUUAUGAGCUUCUGAAGAUGUAGCUGUUUGAGAGCAUGACACGUGGUAGAAACCGUAAUCUGUAAGGGCUCACGACGAGAGCAUGUUUUAUCACGGUGUGAGGAGUCAAACAAACACUUUUCAAUCCUAGAAUGCAUAUGAAAAGUCUACAGAGUGAAAAGUUUAGGGCUCACGAUGUGAGAAGUCAAACAGACACUAAUCGAGGCUAGAAAACACCUGGGAAGGCUACGAGAUGACUCAUGGAAGCUCACGACGUGAGCAUGUGUGGCUCACGACAUGAGAGAGAAAAAAUCAGCCUAUAAAUAGAUAUCAAGGCUCAUUCAUUCAUUACACCUUCUACUUUCAUUCUGUCUCGUUUUCUGAAGGCCGUUUCAAUUCUUGAGCCCGACGAUCACGAACCGCUGAACGUUUGUAGUUAGAUUCAAUCAAAUCGUUCUACUAAAGUGAAUGCAUAGUUACUUUCAUCAUACAUAUAGAUAUGAAGUAUUUAAUAUAAAUUGCAUGUAAUGUGUUCAUAUUAUCUGUGUUGUUGAUAUCUAUGCUGGAUGAACAAUUUUAUACAUGCUUUAAAUGAUUUAAGCUGUAUAUGUAUUUUAUAUCUACAAAUAUGUUGUGUAAAAAUUGGGUAGAUGAAUUAGAUGAUGUGUGAUGAAAUAAGAAUUAAUGAGAGGUCUCGAUGUUUAAGGUGAUUUAGUCAUCUAGCAGAGUACAGACAUGGGGUAACCUGUAGGUGUUUUUGAACUAAGUGUUCACUAGGUGUUCAUUAGGUAUUUUUGAACUAAGUGUUCACUAGGUGUUUUUGAACUAUGUGUUCAUCAAAUGUACUAUAAAUAUCCUGGAAGCUAUGCCUAAAGGAUAAUAUUGACAACUGUGCCUAAUAGAGAAUGUCAUAAUCCUGGCAGUUGCGCCUAAUAGAGAAUGUUGUAAUCCUGGCAGUUGUGCCUAAUAGAUAACAUUGGCAGUUGUGCCAUAGGCAACGAUGGACUUCUUGCCUAUUCAUUAGGAGAAUCCUUAGGAAUGAAAAAGUGAAUGAUAAACGAUUCUUAGGGAAGGUGCUUCAGAAAUAAAGAAGAUAACGGGGAUGGGUAAUUGGGUUAAAAUUUUUGUGAUGAAACAUAAUAACUUUAUUAUUGUGGGUUGAAAAUCCUAUGUACUCACCAGAUUUCCCAACCUGACCCACUAAGUUUAUUUGUAUCACAUGUAUCGAUACGAAGCUACUUUACACUGAGAGAUUAAAGGAGAUGUAGAUCACUAGUGUAAAUAAAUGUAAGGUCAGUUUAUUCUUAUGUUUCAAUAUUGAAGACGACAUCCCAAAGUUUUAAUAUGAACAGAAUACAUUUCUUCGGAAAUGAUUUGAUAAUAUAUUUAUCAUGUUUUCCUGGGAACAACUUCUGCAAUAUACUUCUUUAAAAAUAUACUAUGAUUUUCAAAUAAAGCAUAAACAAAUCGGUCUUCUGGGCCCAUGAAAUUGUGAACGUCACAGUUGGUAUCAUAGCAUUAGUUUAAGCGAACUAGGAACAUUAAGAAAUUUCUAGACCUAAACUUAGAAUGCUAAGUGAUGAUUGUGAGUUGAGCAUGUCUAUUAUAUUUUAAGUAAUACACCUGAAUUGACACAAGUACUAGCUUACUCUAGGAUUAGAUGCCUAAAUUGCUUUUAUGUGCUAAAUGAUUUAUGUUAUAGCCUUAUCUGCUUUAUGAUGCUAUUAUUGAUCGGAUCCAUGGUCUAUUGCUAGAUCUAAAAAAUUUAUGUGUUCAUAUUUCUAAACGUUUAAUUACGAUAUUAGAACGGGCAUGUAAAUUUUUGGAGUAAUAAGGAGAUUUAUACGUCUGAUUCCCCUAUCUAAAUUUUCGUCACUGCACACCGAAUGUCUGAUUUGGUGUAUAGAUCGACAUAGUGAGAACAUGAAGCAGAAACAUUAAUGGAAAUGCUAAUCAGCGACAUGUUAUUCAGUGUGCAUAGAAGCUGCAACUACACUUGAACCAAUCACAUUGCCAGGAGUCCUAUUCAUGAUUCGUGCAAUGAUGGUCGAACAAAGGGAUGAAAUGAGGAAAAUAUUGCAAAAAAAUAGGGAUAAACCUACUAUACCUAUUGAAAAGCCUGAUCUAAAUGAAGGUUAAUCAAAAGAAGGAAUCUAUAGUAGAGUUGUUGGCCAAGGAGAACCACCAGUGGUUAUAAGAGAUAACCAAGAAGAAGGGAUUGAAAGAUAGGGAUGCAAGUACAAAGACUUCACGACUUGCAAACUAUCAAAAUUUAUUGGUAGAGAAGACCCAAUUGGAGUUAUAAAUUGGAUCUCGGAAAUGGUUGGCUUUCAUAACAUGUGGAUGCAAAGUCAAGCUAAAAACCACAUAUACAGUGCGUCAGGUCAAGGGUGGCGUUGUUCGCUAGUAGAACACUCUGGGGAAGACCAUAAGCCCCAAUGAUCCAAUGCAACUGACUUGGGAAGAGUUCUUGGUGCAAUUCAAACAAAAGUUCUGCUCGGUCCAAAAUCUGCUAGAUCUAGAGAACCAAUUCUAGACGUUAAAGAAGGGCAUCAUGUCCUUUGAUGAAUACAGCAAUGCCUUCACAGACAAGAUGGAGUUUGCUUUGCGCAUUGUCCCAGAAGAGUUGAAGAAAAUUGAUAGGUUUGCAAAGGGACUACCAUGGGAGUACACUGUGAUAGUACGCCAGACACCUAACCUUGAGGCAACCAUCCGGGUUGCUAAGUCUGUCAAAGAAAUGGUCAUGGGAAGAGCUGUAACAACCCGUUAUUUUUCUAUCUUGUAAAAGUCAACACAACUCCAAUAUAUCAAAUUAAAGUCAAAAAUAUUGAUUUGUUAUUUUAAUAAAAUUAAAUUAAUGUUUUUGAUACAUAUAAACACUUAGUAAAGGUGUUAUAGAAAUAAGGAGUUGAAAUCCAAGGAAAACCGAGGAUUCUCGCAUGACCGAAAACUCUCGGAUUCCCUUAACACUUCGGACCGAAAAUGGUUUCCAACUGGAAACCUUCGCAUGGACUGCAAACCCAUCUCGGACCUAAAACCAUGCGAAGCCGACAUAGUGCUCACAGCCAAAAACCUCGCAUGUCUUAUCCCUUUAGACAGCCUCGCGACCUUAUCCCUUCUUACUGAAAACAAAACUUCUCGAGUAGAGUUCCCAACUGAGAACCUCCUUUCCUUGGUUUGUGUUCUCGGCCGAAAACCCAAAUUAUAUAUAUAUAUAUANNNNNNNNNNNNNNNNNNNNNNNNNNNNNNNNNNNNNNNNNNNNNNNNNNNNNNNNNNNNNNNNNNNNNNNNNNNNNNNNNNNNUACAUCCUUAACUGAAAACACUCACAAAUCCUCUCAAGAACACUCCAACCAAAAACACUUCUUUUCAUCCAAGACCAUCAAACCGAGAACCUUGUUUUCUCACAUAUAUCAUACGAAAAUUCACCAUUUCUCCUUAGGAUCUUGCUGAUUUCACCUAGUGUUCUUCAUCCUUUCGAGAUAUCAUCAUCCAAAAUCUUAAACUCCAACCGAUAACACUCACAUCUUCUUGGUUUUACCAAGAACACCAAGAACACCACUUGAAUUAUCAAGUGGCCGAAAACUCCAAACAACCCCGAGAAUUACUUCUAACACUCCUUGUGUAAGUCUUUUUACAAUAAUUAUGUGUUGUUUAACACUUUAAACUUCAUUAGGUUAUCUAAUUUAUAUUUAAUAUAAUGUUAAUAUAUAUUAGGAUUCAGUUUUUAUCACGAGUUCAAACCCGAAUAUCAACACAAUCAGUCGAGAACUUACACAAAAGAUGAGUUCAUACACCUACUUUUUCAUGAUUUUUAACUGUUUUAAGGGGGGGGGGGGGGGGGAGUGGGANNNNNNNNNNNNNNNNNNNNNNNNNNNNNNNNNNNNNNNNNNNNNNNNNNNNNNNNNNNNNNNNNNNNNNNNNNNNNNNNNNNNNNNNNNNNNNNNNNNNNNNNNNNNNNNNNNNNNNNNNNNNNNNNNNNNNNNNNNNNNNNNNNNNNNNNNUUAACCUCAUUUCCUAUUCCUUGUUUGGUUGUGAGCUUGGGGUAGAAUUAUUUAUUUGAAUGUCUAUUUAAUCACAAAUAUAUAAAUAUUAUAUUUAUAUAAGUAUAAAAUGAUUUUCAAAACAUGUUAAAUAGAAACAUCAUUUUUAUUAAAACUGUUUUAGUACCAUAUGAAAAUAAAUUGUGGAUUUAAAGGAACAACAACAUUAUAGAUUUUUACAAAAUUUGACAAAAGUUUUCAUUACAAUGAAACACAAACAUAUAAACUCUAAUAGAUAGAGUUUAUGAAACUUACUCAUUUCUUUCAAGCUUCAGAUUACAAAAUGGAAAUCAAACAUAUAAACUAUAAUGGGUAUAUGCAUUACUUUACAUAUUCAGAGUACAUUACAGUGUGUUCAUUACAAAGUAACUUUUCAUUACAUACUUACAGUGUGUUCAUUACAAACUAACUUUUCAUUAUUAUACAUAUAAUCAUCAAUAUAGCGUUUGUAUAGAUCUAUACGGGACUGACAAUCCCGCACCAAAGCUGGUUGCAACAGCUAGGCCGACAGAUCUAUGGUGACAAAUGUCAUAACUAUUGCGAUGCCUGAGGAACGUCGUGUUCAGGUCAUCUUAGGUCAUCAAUCAUGGUUAUAAUAACUCACAAUUUGGUAUUGAACAAAAUGAUUAGUGCAUGAAUAAGUAAACAGCUUCACAUAGUUUUAUUUAAUAAUAAAACUAUAAGACAAUAUUUUACAAGUACGGGUUAUACUAGACAAUUACAAACACAUGAGUUGCAUACUAGUACAAGAACAUAGUACUAUUUCAGUACAGAGAAAACAUACUUUUCAUGGUUUUAUGUGAACUAAACUACAUUUUAUUACUUCAGAGUAUAGUAACGUAACACAUUUUGCUUACAAUAUACUACGAUAGAAAAUAUAGGAUUUUCUGGGAUAAACAUGUUUACAUUAUCAAGGAACAAGAAAACAGAUUUCAGUUACAAACAUACUUAUGAACUCACCAAUUUUUGAGAAGACGGAGAUCUAUAGACUCAGGUACAUCCACGGAUUUUUGAGAAUUGGUAGACAGGUACAUCCACGGAUUUUAGUGCGUUUUAACUUGUACCUUUUAGUGUCAAUAUACAAUGUUUUGAACACGGAUGUAAAACUUAUAACUUUGUUAAUACAAUGGUUGGAGUACUUUGAUUACUAUUAUGCAUUGUUGUGAUACUGUAUAUAACGUCCUCUGCCCUCGAACGUUUCCUCCGUUCCGGUUUGGGGGUGUGACAGAUUAGUAUCAGAGCAUUGUUUGUAGUGAACUAAGUAUAUCAGACCAUAAAAGAUAUACAACUAUAAAUACAAUGGGGCCGAAGUGCUCUGACAAAAAGUGUACUUUUAAAAUCUAAGUAUUUGAUAAGAAGUAUACUAACAUCCGUACAUACAAUAAACACUGUCACAAGAAGAACUAUACAAAAGUAUUUAGAUGUUGGACACUAUAGUUAAACCUGGACAAUUGUGUUAUCAUAUCUGGGAUAAACAUAGCCUACUCAACUAUAUUUAUUUGAGAUACGACCGACAUGUGUUUGGGAGUGAUAUUGGUGUUGCAACAAGUCUAAAACUUACCAAACCUAUGUACCAGAAGAGCUCUAGAAUCAAACAUAAAGUUAAAAUACUAUAGGCGUAUUUUAUGACACUAUAACGUAGAAACAUCAAGAUACGAGAUGAUCAUUGUUUCUAGCAACAAACAUGUGAAAAAAAAGAAUCAUUACUGGUAAAUCUAUAAUUACUAAGCGUAUACACAAGAGUUAUACAUAAUUAUGUUUUAAAGACUUAGAAUCUGUGAUGAUGAAUUUAUAAAAACUUCUUGAUCGAUUAGAUCUUAUAACAUGUAAAUCAAGAAAGCACAAACAGUAAGACAAAACACAAGAAUGAAUCUGAAUGUGUCGAAUGAUUCAAUUAACUCAAGCCUCAGCAGAGCUCGAUGAAGAACUUCCGCUAUAGAGGAUAUUAGGGUUACAAAAGAUAAGAACUGUGAACGCUAUCAAAAUCUCUAUCAAAUCUUACGUUCAAGGAUGCAUGCAAGCAUCUAUAAAUAUUAAACCCUACAAAAUAACUCACGGAUGGACAGGCCGAUACCGGAGAUUAAUUGGACUAAGAACCGAGCCCAAGAAGCAAUACUAACUGGACGUAACAAUCUCCCCCUUUACGUCAAUUGGACCGAGACUAUCACUUCUUCUUGCUGGGUCCAGCUGCAGGAAACUUCUUAGUGGUAUCAAACAGACGAGGGAUAAGAGUGAGGAUUGUCUGUCUGAAGCGAAUGUACCUUUGGAUCAUGUCAUCGAAGUACUUCUUUUCAUCUGCCAAAUUCUGCUUGCAACGAUGAAAGAUUCCUAAAACAUGUUCCAGGCAUGCGGUGGUGUAGAGAUGUUUGUCUGCCAAAUCGAACAGACAUUUUUGGCCUUCGUUUCUGGUAAACAUGACAGAAUUGCGUUUCGGGUGAAUCUUCCCCAUCUGCAUCAUGUUUAGGUCAUUGGAAGAGCCAACAGGUGGGAUAGUGGGCUUUUUCUUGAAGACACUAGCGAUCUCCUGAUCCAUCUUGGAAACUUCCAUUAUAUAGCAUACAAGCAUCCUCUUGAAGUGAUCAAUGAUCGGACCAUAUUCUGUUUCAUUUGUGAGGAGGAUGUUGUGCAAAAUUAUCCAAUCAUGUGGAUUCAAAUUGGGAAGAUCAGCUAGCGAUAUGGCAUGUUCGGUCUUAGCAGAACCCCUCAGCACCUUGAACCGAACGUUCUUGAAGUUCCCUUCUCAAAACGGCUUGAGGACCCGAACGUUGAUUAUCUUCUGAGCGCUCCAAGUUUGAUACUGUGGUUGAGCAGCCUUCAGGUAGAAUUCGACGGGAUCCCUAUCAACCUUUGGAUGAGGAUGAGGGAUAUCAGGAACGUUAUCAAAGGCAUGGAAGACGAAGGCCUUUCGGGUCAGCGGCCUAUCAAACUGUGAAUCGACAGAACUGAUGCGAUCCAGUGAAAUCACCGGUUCAAGCCAUAGAAUGCUGGGAGUUUCAAUCGCUUCUUUCAGCAGCUUCUCAAGAGUCCACGGAGGAAAAAGGGUUUUCCUGCUCUCAAGAAGGUCAUGAGCCUCUUUCAUUUUUCUUUCAUGUUCCUCAGCCUCUCUAGCAACGCGAGCGCUCAUAUCAGCAUCCUUGUCUCGACCUUGCUUCUUUAAGAGAUCUACAAUCAUCUCUUUAUCGUCAUCGCUCUCUUCAACAAUUUUAUUCCCCUUGUCUUUGACACCCAAACCUAAGGCUUGGCCUGUUGAAAGAGGUUUCGUUGUUUUUGUUGCUGUAGAAGUGGGAGGCGGUUGAGAUACAUCCUCUCCCCCUUGUUUCGGAAUGGACACGAAAUCAAGGAGCCCUUCAAUUUUGCUCAGGAGAGAAAAGGCAGGAGCAAGCUUUUCGGCGAGAUCACGCAUGACUGAGUAAUUCAGUAUUGGAUCAUGUGCUUCAAGGAUGUUGGAAAGAGCGACGUGGACAUCCAAAACACAUGAAGACACAAUCUCUCGUUUAGAUCGAAGAGAUUCAAUCUCCUUUUGAGAAUUGGAGAGUUGAAGAUUAUUGACCUUGAGAGUAGUGGUCGUUCGAGCGAGAGCGUCCAUGAGGGAGUUCUCGGCAGCUAGAUCUUCUUGUAGCUUAGUGAGGCGCUCCUCAAUAGUCGCCUUAAACGCUGAGUUGUCAUCAGUGAGAGUUUGACGAAGAGUGGCGAAGGACUGCAGUUCUGAGGCAACUGAGGUAGCCGGCUUGUUGACAAUAGGGUCAAGCUUCGUUUUAUUGGCAUCGGCAGUUUCCUAGACUACAAAAGAGAAGAAGCAUCAGCAAAUAGUUUUUCGACUUUUUCGGUCGCAGCAGCAUAGGCCUUUGUGGAAACGUCAAUGGCGGCAGUGGCUGAGCUAAUGGAGGCUUCAUGAGCUUUAGAGAAAGCAUCAACAAUCUUCUGAAUAGCAGCCUCAGAGAUGGUAGACUGUGAUGAAGAAGAGGAGGAAGAAAUGAGCGAAUCAAUCUUCUCGUGAAGCUCCUUGAGAUGCUUCUUGAUGACAGGAGUAUCAUCGUCAUCGUCACUUUGCACCUGAUACGGACUGUAAUAGACCGAAUCAAAUGUCAUGUCCUCCCCACCAAGAAAAGGUUCUUCAUUGUCUGCGGAGUGAGUAGGAGAUGAGGGUCGAAGGGAUGGUGGAGGCUCGGUUGUGGAAGUAGGUUAGGGUUUUGAUGUAUGUUCGGUUGUGGGAGUGGGUUCGGGUGCUUUAGUAGGAGCUCCCGUAUCAGAUACGUUGGUUCUUACUUCAGCGGUUGUUGUGGUAGCUUCAGUGAAAAUGGGAGGGGGUACUGGNGGUAGGUGGUUUUGAGUGGUGGAGGUUAUGGGGGAAUGGAAAUAGAAAUGGUGAUUGGUGGAGAACAGACAGGUGUACUGGAAACAUGUACCUCUGAGGUAGGCGAUCGUGGAGGAGUGUUACCACGGGGGGAAUCUUCGGAGUCUGAAUUUUCUUCCUCAGAUUCGCUUGAGGAGGAAGCAAGUAUCAGCUUUCGCCUAGGUUGGGUUUUCCUCUUCUCUAGUGGAGGAGAUUGAGCUACCUUGGUAGGUUUACGUUUCUUCAGAGAAGGGCCUUUCGCUCCCUUGCCAACCUGCUUGUCUUUUCCCUUUUCAUUUUUCUUUCCCUUUGGAGCGCACCUAUCAGCAUCAUGGAUCGACUUAAUCAUAUCAGGAGUGAGCUCUCUAGGACCAGAGCGAUGAAACUCCUUAUAGGUUCUGAUGAUGCGGCUGUCGCUAGGAACGUCUCCAAACAUCGACUCAGGGAUGGAGCCAAUGAACUGAAAUUUAGAUGCAUCGGAGACAAUUAUCUUCGUAGUAUGGAAAGUACCUAUCGAAGAGAGUGGAGAAUCAGCAACAAUGGGGACAUGAUACUUGUCCAUCACCUAUUUUGUGAUCAGAGUCCAGAAGCGAGCGUAGGAGAUCUCGGAAUGGCGAGAUGUAGAGGCAAGACUCUGAAUCAGCUGCUGCCAUAAAACCGACCCAUAGUCCAGGUUGAUUCCGUUGUAUACCCCCAUAAAGAAUCGUGAUGAAUAGACGACUCGCUCCGUCUGAACCGGCACUGCGUUCUGAUAACCCCUUGAAUAACACUGUAAAUAACCCGUUCCAUUGAGGAGGCAAGCACGAUUUCUUGAACUUAGUCACCGUCGUCAGAACCUCAGUGUAUCCCAUGUUAUAGAACAUGGAAAAAAAGUGACCCACUGGAAUGGAUUCAGGGUUAACCCUAGAUGAAUUGGGUGUAGACCCUAAAAGCGAGCAUAAUCGCUGCAUGGAGAUGGAUGCCUUGUAAUCAAGAAUGUCGAAGAAAAUUUUAUCGACAGACUUAUCAUAAUGAGCUGUGGCGAAGAUUUGCGAUAAACACUCCAUUGGAACAGCUUCAACUUUAGUGAGAGCGGGAGCAAGCGGCGAAUAUUUGAGGCAUUCGAUGAUCGGGAACAUGAAGGCAUCAUAAACGUGUGGAGUAAGAUCGAUGAUCAGACUCGGUUGAGGACAAAUCGGCAGAAUGUGGGAAGUGGCAUGAACAGAAGAUGAAUCCGCCAUUGAAGUGAAGAAGUUGGGAGAGAUGAUGAACAGUAGAAUAAUCAAAGCUUUUCUUGCUCUCUGAAUUUUGGGUGCAGUAAAGAGGUAAAUAAUGGUCGAAGUUACCUUUUAUACUGUGACGAUAGGAGAGAGAAGAAUCUGUUCCCAAAUCUUCGAGGGAAAUACGAAGGGUUUUCGUAGGUGAUUGAUGCGUGACAGUUGUUAGCCCCGAUGAAUACGCAGGAGAAAGAAGAACUGUCCUGAUUCACACGCCUUCCCAUCAGGCGCCGUUUUAAAAAAAAAUGGUUCCACUUCGCAUGCUUGUCCUUCAAGCGUCGUUUGAAAAUCAAAGCGAUUGGACUCCCGGCUGAGUCAGCAUCUUAUCCCUUUAGAGGGAACGUCAUCUUAAAGCAAAAUGACCACGUGUAACAAUGUGAGCCACAACUCUUUCAAAAAAAAUUCCUUGUAAGUAAUGAAACCAGAAUUAUGGAAAAUCAAAAAGAUUUUCGUGCUUAGUGUGUAAAAGAAAAAGAAAUAAAGCAACACAUAUGUGGGAAAUUGUGAUGUCAAUAAAGACACGAAACAAUGGAUCCCGGGCACGAAUCGCUUCCUUCAAAGUCAAGAGAGACCUUAAAGUGUUUGUUUGGUUUCCCGUUGAAUAACAAUCAGACACUUAUUGAUAAGUGUUGAAAGGCUUCUUUUAAUCAGGCUAAUUUGGGUGGCUUUCGCUUCAGUUCAGAAUUCCGGAUCUUGACAUAAGACAGAAAUCUACCGAAGUACUUGUGAUACCAAUGUAGUCUGUUGAACAAGUAGGUUUGAAAAGGAUUUAAGUAGCAUCGUGAAAAUAUUUGUAGGUGAAAUCUCAAAGAAAAAAAAUUAAAACUGGAUUCCAUGGGAAGAAAUGUUAUAGGAUUUAACAAUUUCAUAGGAAGCACACAAAGACAAAAUUCAGAGAUUUCAAGGUACAGUCUUAAGGCUGAAUUCGUCAAUUCUUUAGUGAAAGCUAGAUCAAAGUUAAUUGUUCACCAUCAAUGCAUAGAAGGUAGUGAAUUUUGGGUUUCACUUAGCACGUAGUGGCACGAAGCUAAGAUCAUGAACACAGGAAUUGUGUAACCAUAAACCUUAGUGGUAAUUUCUGAGAGUCUCAAGGGUUACGUGUAGGAGAUCGAAAUAUGAUGGAGAAAAAUAAUUGAGAUGGUGUAAAGAAACCAAAGUACCUCUGCUAUUUAAAGAAGGACCAAGCAGAAAACUCUUAUCUCAUGUGAGAAGAAAGUAAGGUAGCUCAUGAUUAGAAUAAAUAUAAAAGCCUGAUUGGGAAGACAAGGUUUGUAUAUACCAAGUCAGUAAGGCUGUGAUUCAGAAUCAGGUGAGACUUUGGACACAUACUUUUAGGGACACUUAACUAAUAAAAGAAUUUCCCACAGAUAUCCACACAGAAAAAAAUAUUAACUAACACAAAUAAUAAUAAAAAAAUGUUUUUGGAGUUUUUGAUUUAAAGAAAGAAAAGAAGAAAAAAAUGAGACAAAAAAAAAAUUUGGAACCGAACUCGAGCGUUCGGUCUAUUUCGGUUGCAAAAAAAAUUGAAAUUGAAAAAGAAAAGAACUUUGAAACUAAGAGUGAUGAAAUAGAGAAAAGAAUACAAAAGAUUUACAACCAAAGAAACUACCUUUGAGUGAUAAGCGAAGAUCAGAGAAUAGGACCGAACCCGAGCGUUCGGUUUAUUUCGGCACACACGUGAACCGAACCCGAACGUUCGGUUCAUUUCGCUUCCAAUUUUUAGUUUUGAGAAGUAGUUUUUGGUACUGACUCCGAUUCCAUCAUUCCUAGCCCUUGUAGAAUUUUAUUGAAACUCGGUUCAGGAAGAGCUUUGAUGAAGAUAUCGGCCAGUUGAUCAGUGGUGCGAACAAAGUGAAUUUUGAGGUUUCCAUCUUCCACAUGAUCCUUAACAAAGUGAUACCUCGGUGCUAUAUGCUUUGUCUUGGAGUGUUGCACUGGAUUAUGACAGAUCCUAAUUGCACUUUCUGAAUCGCAAUAUAGUGGGAUCUUUUUCAUAUUGAGUCCAUAAUCAUGGAGCUGGCUUUGGAUCCAAAUCAAUUGAGAUGUACAGGAGGCAGCUGCAGUGUACUCUGCUUCGGCUAUAGACAGAGAAACACAUGUCUGUUUCAUUGAUUGCCAGCUAACCAACUUCCCAUCCAGGAAUUGGCAGCCUCCUGUGGCGCUUUUCCUGUCUAAACCACAUCCUCGAAGGUCUGCAUCUGAGUAGGCUUGAACAAAGAAAACUGAGUUUGAUGGAUACCAUAGACCGAGGGAGGUGGUUCGUUUCAGAUACCGGAGUAUGUUUUUCACUGCAAGCAUAUGUGGUUCACGAGGAUUCGCCUGAAACCUAGCACAAUAACACACAGAAAACAUUAUAUCAGGCCUGCUAGCAGUGAGGUACAUUAAGAAACCAAUCAUCUGGCGGUAUAACGUAAUAUCGACUGCCAAUUUUUCCAAGGAUGGUGUGAGCUUGGUGCCGAACGCCAUUGGAACUUUGACCCUUGAGUCUCCUAUCAUGCCGAAUUUAGCAAAAAGAGUCUUGGUGUAUGCUUCCUGGUUGAUAAAGAUGCCUUCGGGUCCCUGUCUAAUAUUUAAACCAAGGAAAAAGUUAAUCGGACCCAUUGAGCUCAUUUCAAAUUUAGUCUCCAUCAGCUUUCUGAAUUCAGCUGUUAAGCUAGGAUUCGUUGAGCCAAAGAUGAUAUCAUCGACNGACGUAGAUUUGAACUAUCAUAAGGUGGUUACCUUCCUUCUUAUGAAAGAAGGUUGGGUCAACCGAACCUUGUUUGAAUUUUGACAUCUUUAAUAACUUAGUUAGCGUUUCAUACCAUGCCCUAGGUGCGUGUUUCAGACCGUAAAACGCUUUGUCCAGAAUAUAGCAGUGAUUUGGGUACUUUUCAUUCACAAAACCAGGAGGUUGCUCCACGUAAACCGUUUCUUCAAGUUCUCCAUUCAGAAAGGCACAUUUUACGUCCAUUUGGUAGACCUCGAAGUUCUUGUGUGCAGCAUAGGCCAGAAAUAUUCGAACAGAUUCCAGCCUUGCUACCGGAGCAAAAGUUUCUUCGUAAUCAAUUCCUUCUUCCUGGCAGUAUCCUUUCACCACGAGACGAGCUUUAUUUUGAAUUACAUUACCGUCCUUGUCCAUUUUGUUUCUAAAUACCCAUUUGAGACCAACGACUGAGGUAUCUUUAGGAGUUGGAAUAAGGCGCCAUACCUUGUUUCUUUCAAACUCAUUGAGUUCAUCUUGCAUGGCUUGUACCCAAUCGGAAUGAUCAAGAGCUGUGUUAACUGUCUUUGGCUCAACUUUGGAUACGAAAGAAUUAUACAUGCAGAACUCUACUUUGGAGAAUAGAGAUGAUUGCUUUGCCUUCAGUUGGGAACGGGUCAGGACCUUUUCAGAGACAUUACCCACUAUCUGUGAUACAGGAUGAUCUCUGGUCCAUAUAAUAAGAGGAGGAUAAUUUGGAUCAUAAGAUGGAUCCAAUUCGGCGUUGACCAUUUCUUCCAUUUCAGAUUGACUAUCGUCAUCGUAAAACAUGUCAAAAUUCUCCCCCUCGACUGAUGAAUCUCUUUGGUAUUACGGGUCAGGACCUUUUCAGAGACAUUACCCACUAUCUGUGAUACAGGAUGAUCUCUGGUCCAUAUAAUAAGAGGAGGAUAAUUUGGAUCAUAAGAUGGAUCCAAUUCGGCGUUGACCAUUUCUUCCAUUUCAGAUUGACUAUCGUCAUCGUAAAACAUGUCAAAAUUCUCCCCCUCGACUGAUGAAUCUCUUUGGUAUUCAGGUUGGUUCAUACCUUCGGGUGCAACAGAACUCUCAGGUGUGGCUGGACUCUCUAGUGCUACAGGACUUUCGGGUGUAGCAGACCUUUCAGGUGCUACAGGACUUUCAGGUGUAGCAGGGCUUUCGGGUGUAGCAGGGCUUUCGGGUGCUACAGGACUUUCGGGUGUAGCAGGGCUUUCGGGUGUAGCAGGGCUUUCGGGUGCUAUAGGACUUUCGGGUGUAGCAGGAAUAGAAUUCUCCCCCUGAAAGUGUAAGUUCGGUUGAUUUGAAGAAAAUAGAUUCUCCCCCUCAACUGAAGUACCUUGUUGAGGAGGUUCGUUUGGAACUUGUUCUCCUUCACCCAAUUGUUUGGCUGCAUCUUCGACGAUUUGCUUCAGAUGAUUGACUUUGUUGUCUGUUGCCUUGGCUUUUGAGAGAGUAGCUUUCUCAGGUUCAUCGAAUAAGUCCACAAACUGAUCGAACAAAUUAGCAAUCGUGACCGUGACUUGACCUGUUUGAGAGAAAAUCUAUCCAAUUGUUUCUUCAGUAGCCUUUAGCUUCUUGACGUAGUUAUCAUCGAAAGUUACAUAAUAUGUUUCUUCAAUCUUCCUAGAACGCUUAUUUAAGACCCGGUAUGCUUUUGAAGUAAGAGAAUAUCCCAGAAAAAUUCCUUCAUCAGCUUUAACGUCAAACUUGUUACGAUGUUCUUUGGAGUUGAAGAUGAAACAUCGUGAGCCGAACACAUGGAAGAAUUUUACGUUCGGCUUCCUGUUAUUGAUGAUCUCAUAAGGUGUAAGAGAGAAACGUUUGUUGAGAUAAGACCUGUUCUGCGUAAAACAUGCUGCAGCAAUAGCAUCAGCCCAGAAAUAUAAGCGAAGAGAAGCGAAACUUAGCAUAGUUCGGGCCGCCUCACACAAGGAUCGGUUUCGCCUUUUGAAAAUUCCGUUCCGUUGAGGCGUGUAGGGGGCUGAGAAGUUGUGAGUGGUUCCUUUUUCUGUCAAAAAGUCUUCAAAUUCUUUGUUCUUGAACUCCAGUCCAUUGUCGCUCCUAAUGUUGCGAACGACUUUUCUCAGUUGCACUUCAGCCUGCUUGAUAAACAUCUUUAGCUUAGGAGUAGCCUCAGAUUUGUGCUUCAGAAAGAACACCCAUGUAAAACGUGAGAAAUCAUCAACAAUAACAAGAAUAUACUUGCUACCACCAAUGCUUUCGAUUGAUGAUGGACCAUACAAGUCGAUGUGAAGCAACUAAAGUGGUUCAACAACUUUUGUGUUUAUAAUAGAUGGGUGACUUUGAUGACUUUGUUUACCUAUUUCACAUGCAACGCACAAGUGUUCUCGAUAAAACUUGAGCAAGGGAAGACCUCGAACAUGACCUCCGGUGACAAGCUUGUUUAUGUCUUUGAUGUUGAGAUGUGAGAGCCUUCGGUGCCACAACUAGCUUUCGUCAGAAUGAGCUUUGGACAAAAGACAUAUAGCUGGAUUUCCUUUGAUUGGUUUGAGAUUGAGAGGAAACAUUUCGCCUUUUCGGUCUGAUUUGAGAAUGACCUUGUUGGAUUUCUUCUCUAUAAUCUCUGAACCUUCGUCGUCGAAUGAAACCUUGAGACCGGUACCGCCCACUAGUUGAGAUGNGAUUAUGCUGCAACCCUUCAACGUACGCCACCUUUCUUAUUGUGAAGUCUCUAUUGGUUAUCAUCCCAUAACCCUUUAUCGUUCCAUAAGAGUUGUUACCGAACUUGACAUUCCCACCAUUUUGAAGAGAUCGAAACUCCCUUAGCUCUUCCUUCCUUCCUGUCAUGUGACGUGAGCAGCCACUGUUAAUGUACCAUUCUUCGUCGAACUGCUCGUCACUUAUAACCUGCAAAAAUUAAGCAGAUUUAGGAACCCAAAGUUUCUUGGGUCCACGUGAGCUUUUCACAGGAACAGGAAUAGUAAGAGAAACAUCAACAAGAUUGUUCAUUUUAUUAAUGUUGUUUCAUCUUUUCUUUUAAUAGUAAACACUUUGAUUUUGUUAGGGUUAGCUACAAUCGUUUUGGUUUCAGAUUCUGGUGUUCGGGCAUUAUUCUACUUUCGGUCUUCCUGGACUGAGGAAAUCUUUGAUUUUCCUUUCAGGUUCGUUGAUGAUUUUGAAUUUUGUGCAGGAACAGAAUUGGGUUUAGAAGAGAAUUGAGAAGAAUUAGAAAAAGAGAACUUAGAAUGGGAAUUUCUUCUGACUUGAGGUUCGAAAUGACCCUUUUGUUUAUGGUCAUUUGAGGGACCGAACCUGGACCUUCGGUAGCUGCUCAAUGAUGAGUUGAAGUUGGAUUUUUGGUUGUUGUUGGUUGGUGGUCUGAAACUUGAUCUUUUAUUAUAAAAUCUUGAAGGACUAAAACUAGGUCUUUGCUUGUUAUUACUUGGCGGACUGAAACUCGCUUUUCGGUUGCUGUUGCUUUCGGGACCGAGCCUAUCCUUUCGGUUCUGUGCUUCAUGUGGCCCAAAAGUCUUUUUCUCUAACUUAGAAUCUUUAUCAUGGUAAGAGUAAUGAACAUUUUGAGAGCGCCAAAACUGUUUUCGCUCUGAGAGAUUCUUUUUGUAUCUCAGGUUUCUCUGCUGCUGUUGAUUUUUCACCUGUUUCGGUUGUCUAUGGAUAUUAGCCUUUUGUUUUAGCUUCUUGACAGCCAGUUCACUCUUCAUAGAUGAGGUUUCUCUUGUGGAGGUGACUUCUUCUACAGGNGGUAUUUCUUGUGCCACUUGUACUUGGCACGUCAAAAUUGUCAGGCGUAUUUAGCGGCUCUGGUACAUAUCUUCCUUUGGUUUUCUAGGACGUUCGUUCUGAUAGACCAAAUGUUUCGUCUGCAUUAUCUAUAGGGGCUGACCAGAAAAACUCAUCACAGCCAUCUGCGUUAUCUUCGUUCACUAUGGCAGUGAGUUCGGCUGUUUGAUGUUCGGUUACUCCUGUGACUUUAUAUACCUGAUUUGGAGUAGUUCUAACCUUCUGAAACACAAGAGCUUUUUCUUUAAGGGUCGGGGACUUAUUUUUGGACAAACGAGAAAAUUCCACAGAAUUUUUAGAAAUUAGAUUUUUGUGAUUUCGGGUUCUCUCUUGACAAACUUAGAACAGUCAACUUCAACCUCUACAGAAAUUUCACUCAUAUCAUCGUCCUUAUUAAGUUCAGAUGCGUUUUCAACAUCAAUUUUAUUUUCUGAACUUAAAUUGGCACUCAAUGAGUCGAAUUUUUGUAUGGUUUCGGUCCUUAGUUUCAGCUUAUCGUUUUCAUCCAAAAGAUUUUUAAGCAUGUCCUUAUGGUCUUUGGACUUUAUAAAAGAUUCUAUUUNUUUUGUCCAGACCCUACAUAUAAGUAGGAUUCACAUCAUCAGAAGAUACAACACUUUCACAGUUGUAUGCUUCAACAUCGAUGUCAUCCUCAAGGAAGGGUAAAAUCAUGCGAUGUAUCUUCGGCCCUAUUUCUUAAUUCAGAUGUAGUUGAGUAAUGUUAGCAUAAAGUCUUUUAGCAAUCAAACAAAAAACAUUCCUUUGUUUUAACAGUUUCAAAUUGUCUCUUUGCAAAUAAAUGUUUUCAUUCUCAGACUUAAUCAGCUCCAACUCCUUCUGCUCAAUCCACAUCCUUUGCUCCUCACUCUUGGAUGACACCCUGCUUAUUUGGUCAGUUAGGUUAGAAUUUGUGACCCGUGUUUGAGUUAAACAACUAUCCAGAUUUGAGAUUCUUGAAUUUAAGUUAUUUAGAUCCUUUUCAUAUGUUUUCUGUGGAAUUUUGAACGAAAUAAAAAGAGAUUGUACCUUCUUGAUCAGUUCAUCAAGUUCACUGAUCUGCACACUGAGAGGUUUUGUUGUGAAGCAUAAGUCCUCUCGCUCCUUGGCGUCUUCGUUUCCAUCAUCAGUAUUAUAUCCCCUCAUGUGAGAUACGUCAGUCACCAUCAGACACUUUCCACUGCUUUCACCACCUCUUGCGACAUAAGCCUUUCCGUGAGAAGGCUUUCUCACCUCAUCAUCUUCUGAGUCGGUCGACCAAACCUGUACGCCACCGAACUCAUCAUCCUCUGCCGAACCCUGUACAAUAAGAGCAUUCAUAGAAGGAUUAGUAGCAGCUUUCUUCCUUUUAAUCUCUUCUAGCUUUUUCAUCAGGAUUGCCUCUUCAUCUUUCUCCUCAUCUUUCUCUGUCAUUUUCUUCAAAACACAAUCUUUGGCGUAAUGAUUCUUUCCUCCACAGUAAUAACAGCUGACACCAGAAUCCGCUUCAACCUUCACCUCUUUCUUUGGUUCUUCAGUCUUCGGCUCCUCCCUUACUUUUUCAGAACUGUAGCUUCCCUGCCAAUUUCGGUUCUUAUUGGUAGGAAACUUCUUCUUGAUGAACCUUUUAGGAUUGGACACCAUCAUAGCAUAAUCUUCUGAAGUUAGAUCGUAGUCCUCCAGGUUCAGAUCUUCGUCUUCUACUGCAUUCUUACUUUUAGACAGGAGGGCCAAGGACCCCAAGUUUGAGACCACACUCUUCUCUUGCAUCACUAUCUUUUCUUGGGAUUUCAGAAUUCCCACCAGUUUCGCCAGCGAAUAUGAUUUGAACUGUUCAUGAGUUUUAACUGUAGACACAACAGCUCUUCAUUCGGAUCUUAAGCCAUUCAAAAAGGUAACCUUCUGUUCAAUAAGCUUCCUUUCGAUAUCAUGUUUGAUCAUCUUGCUGAGAAGAUGAUUGAAGCGAUCAAACGUCUGAGUAACGGACUCAUCGGAAUUUUUCUUGAACUCUCCAAACUCAGACAAAAGCAAGGUCUGAAUAGAGUGCUCCAAAUCUUCAUCUGUGGAAUAUAACUCUUGCAGCCGAUCCCAGAUUUCUUUAGCAGUACUGCAGGAACUCACCAACCUAAACGUGUCAGAUUGAAGAGCAAAUCGAAUCAGUCUCAAUGCUUUGAUGUUGCACUGAAACAUCUCCUUUUCGUCCUGAGCGACAUCUUUCACAUCCUUUAACAGAUCGUUAUACUCCUUCUGAGUUUUAAUAAUUCAGGAUGUUCCUGAAUGAGCAAAUGGUCCAGACACAAUGGCUUCCCAUAUUAGAUACCCAUUAUCUUCAGAUCCGAUGACGUAGUCUUCGAAAUGAUGCGCCCAAACCUCGUAAUCUUGAGUGUAAAGAAUUGGAAUCUUUGUUGUAGAUCCAAUACUGUUUCAGAUGUUGAUAGGAUUAGAUUAAGAAUCAUCCAUGCUUGAUCAUUUAACCUGUUGCAAGAUCAGACUUGUAAUAUGUAAUAUUAGGGCAAAACGAAUAAAUUAUGAGAUACGUCAAUUAUGGAGUGACGGCUCACUAAAUAUCAGUUAAUGCGGAAUAAACCCUAAUCACUUCUUUCACAGAAGAGAUGUGUAUGAAUUACACAGCCUCCUGCUCUGAUACCAAUUGAUGAAUUUAUAAAAACUUCUUGAUCGAUUAGAUCUUAUAACAGGUAAAUCAAGAAAGCAAAAACAGUAAGACAAAACACAAGAAUAAAUCUAAAUGUGUCGAAUGAUUAAAUUAACUCAAUCCUUAGUAGAGCUCGAUGAAGAACUUCCGUUGUAGAGGAUAUUAGGGUUACAAAAGAUAUGAACUGUGAACGCUAUCAAAAUCUCUAUCAAAUCUUACGUUCAAGGAUGCAUGCAAGCAUCUAUAAAUAUUAAACCCUACAAAAUAACUCACGGACAGACAGGCCCAUACCGGAGAUUAAUUGGACUAAGAACCGAGCCCAAGACGCAAUACUAACUGGACCUAACAUGUGAUUUAGCUUUAUUUCCCGUUCCUUUUUUGGUUGUGGACUUAGAGUAGGAUCACUUAUUCGAAGGUUUAUUUAGUCUUGGUUAUGUAUGAUUCGUAUACACUAAGUGAUUAUAGAAAGACUGAGUAUGGAUUACAUUAUACAUAUUCAUUUGAAGAGAUAUCACCAAUACCAUUGCGAUUGUUUACUUAUAUUAGUAAACUCCUAUUGUAGAUUGUAGAAUACUAUGAAAGUCAGGAUAUAAUGCGUUUAGAACUAAUAUAUAUUUGUUCAAUAUUACAUGACCAUAAUUGCUAUAGAGAACUUAUCAUCAUUUUUCUCUUCAAUUAUUUUAGACAAAGAUUCCUCCAAGAAAGUCUAACAGAAAGAACAACAAUCCACCAUAUCCACCACCACCACCUCCACAAUAUGAUGCUGCUGUCUUCCAAGCAGUAGUAAUUGCCGCCGUAACUGGUACCAUGAUGCAAAUUAACGCUAGUGGUACUAGUGGAGCUGGCAGCAGUGCUCAUAAUUCCAAUCAUGGUGAAAGUAUUGGACACCCUCGAGAGUGUUCGUCUAAAGACUUUACAAAUGCAAAACCCAAAACUUUUGAUGGCAUUGGAGGUGUCCUUACUCUGACACGUUGGUUCGAGAAAACAGAAUCAGUGUUUGAAAUUUGUGCUUGCCCUGAGGCAAGCAAAGUAAAGUUUGCAGCAUGCACCUUCAUAGACAAAGCCCUUUCCUAGUGGAACGGCUAUGUCAAAUCGUUAUCUCUUCCGGUCACCAAUGCUAUGGGCUGGGAUGAUUUUGAAAAUUCUAAUGCUUGCAGAAUAUUGUCCAAGAUGUGAAAUUCAAAAGUUAGAGCAGUAACUCUGGGGUCUGACGAUGAAAGACUCCAAUAUUGUUGCAUAUACUUCCAGGUUCAGUAAUCGGGCUAUUUUGUCUACAUGGAUGGUUCCCACUGAGAACAAGUAAGUAGAGAGAUAUAUCUGGGGACUCUCUCCUCAAAUACAAGGGAAUGUAAUAGCUGGAAACCCACUCACUUUUGACAGUGCCAAGUGUUUAUAGCACACACACUAGUAGACCAUGGAGUUCGUCAGGCUUGAUAGUACCCAUACCGAAGCAACCCAAGGAAGGGGGCAACAAAAAGAAGUAGUGGAAUAAGCGAAAGGGACAGUCAUCUCAAGAGCCCUCGAAAAAGCAACAAACAGUGGCAGCACACGUUGCUAUUGUUCCUGCUGCUAUUCCAAACCCUGUUCCUACCACUGUUUCUGCUACUCCAGUAACCCCAAGUCGACAUGCUGGAACUUUGCCAUAGUACAAUAAGUGAAAUUUCCAUCAUACAGGAGCUUGUAGAGAAAUACACUGCAAGAAUUGUAACAGAAAGGGGCACACUACGCGUUUCUAUAAAGCACCAGCAUAACCCAUUUCUCAAGUCCCUGCCACGGGAGCAUGUCAAACUUGCUAUGAAUUUGCGGAAGUAGGAAUUUUCAAGAGAAACUGUCCUAAGACAAAGAACGCUAGUGGUACAGGAAGAGUUUUGGCGAUUGGCUAUGAAGAAGUAGUAGCGGAUCCUAAUGUGGUGACUGCUAUGUUUCUUCUCAAUAAUUCUUACGUAUGCAUUCUUUUCGAUACCGAUGUAGAGAAAAGUUUCAUAAUCCAUAAAUUUAAACAUCUGCUAAAACCAAACCCCAAAUCAAUAAAAGAUACAUUCACCGUUGAGAUGGCCAACGAAAAAAUUGAGAGCACCUAUGACAUAUACAUAGCAUGCACUUUUACUCUAAAUAACCAUUCAUUCCAAAUUGACCUUAUGCCGGUCUCAAUUAAAAGUUUUGACAUCAUAAUUGGCAUGGAUUGGUUAAGUCUCCAUCGUGCUAAUAUCCUAUGUUAUGAAAAAUCCAUCCCUCUUAAUGUGCUAAGUAAAAAAUUUCUCGUUAUCUAUGGCUAUAAAUCCGGUGCAAAUCUUCAAAUCAUUUCUUGCGUCAAGGCCAGAAGUAUCUUUGCAAAGAUUAUUGUGUCUUCUUAGCUCAUGUUGUUGAUAAGACACAAGAAGUGAAAAGUGUCAAGGAUAUCCUUGAAGUCUGUGAUUUCUCUGAUGUAUUCCCUGAGGAUAUCUCAGGAGUUCCUCCUAACGUCAAGUCGAAUUCUGAAUGGACUUGAUUCCCAGAGCUACACCUGUAGUUAAAUCCUUGUAUCGUCUUGCACCUUCAGAAAUGCAGGAACUAUCCAGCCAGUUGAAGGAACUUCGCAUGUGUAUAGACUACCGACAAUUAAACAAACUUACCAAUAAGAAUUGAUACCCUUUACCACGGAUAGAUGACCUCUUCGAUCAACUUCAAGGAGCUAGUUUAUUCCCUAAGAUUAACCUGAGAUCAGGAUACCAUCAACUACGAGUCUAGGAGACAGACAUUCCAAAGACUACUUUCAGAACUCGCUACGGUCACUACAAAUUCUUAGUGACACUUGAUGGUCAAACGAAUGCGCCCGUAGUAUUCAUGGACCUGAUGGAUCGAGUGUGUUGACAUUACUUAGACAAGUUCGUCAUAGUUUUCAUUGACGAUAUACUAGUCUAUUACAGAAGUAAGGAAGAACACAACCAACACUUGCGACAAGUCUUAGAAACCUUAAGGGCAGAGAUAUUAUACGUGAAGUUCUCAAAAUGUGAAUUCUAGGUUCGAAAGAUGGAGUUCCUAGGUCAUGUAGUCAGCAAGGAAGGGAUAUAUGUUAAUCCCUCCAAGAUCAAAGUUAUGGAAAAUUGGGCGACCCCAUGAACCCCAACAAAAACUCGUCAGUUUUUAGGUCUGGCUGGCUAUUAUAGGAGAUUUAUUCAAAACUUUUCAAAGAUCGUGAAGCCACUUACCACCUUGACCCAAAAUGGUGUGAGAUUCAAAUGGGAUGAAAAACAAGAAGCUGCUUUCCAGAAACUAAAGCAAGCCCUUAGCAGUGCACCGAUCUUAUCCCUCCCAGAAGGGACGGAAGAUUUUGUAGUUUACUGUGAUGCGUCCAAGCAAGGCCUAGGUUGUAUUCUUAUGCAACAAGGAAAUGUUAUAUCCUAUGCCUCGAGACACCUUAAGAACCACAAAGUCAAUUAUACCACACACGACCUCAAACUGGGAGCAGUGGUUUUUGCUCUAAAAAUUUGGAGGCAUUACAUGUAUGGUACAAAAUGCACAGUCUCUACUAAUCAUAAAAGCGUUCAGUAUAUCUUUGAUUAGAAAGAACUUAACAUGAGACAAGGAAGAUGAGUAGAGCUACUCAAUGAUUACGAAUGUGACAUUCGUUAUCACCCUGGCAUGGCUAAUGUGGUAGCAGAUGCCCUUAGUUAGAAGGAGUACUCGGGACACCGAGUAAAGUCUCUGACCAUGACUAUCCAUUCCCACCUAGCCACACAGAUCAAGGAGGCUCAAUUGGAAGCCUUGAAACCUGAGAACAUGACGGGUGAAGCCUAAAGGGGAAUGAAAAAGAACUUGGAAAUCAAGGGUGACGGAGUUUGUUAUUUCAUGAAUCGAAUCUAGACACCAAAUUUUGGUGGCUACAAAGAUGUUGUCAUGUACGAAUCUCAUAAAAAUCGAUACUCCGUUCACCUGGGUUUAGACAAGAUGUAUCUGGACCUAAAUAAACUCUAUUGGUGGUCAAACAUAAAAGCAGAGAUAGCUACUUUUGUGGGCAAGUGUCUAACUUGCACCAAAGUCAAAUUAGAAUAUAAAAAGCCCUUAGGUUUACCUCAACAACCAGAAAAACUUGAGUGGAAAUGAGAGCGGAUUACAACGGAUUUCAUAACCAAGUUACCCAGGACAACGGGUGGCCAUGACACCAUGAGGGUUAUUAUUGAUAGAUUAACCAUAUCCGUACACUUCCUGCCAAUAAAAAACUGAUAAAAUGGAGAAGUUGACAAGUACGUACAUGAAAGAGAUUGUAUGAUUACAUGGUGUGCCAAUAUCUAUUAUCUUUGACCGAUAUAGUAGAUUUACCUCGUGGUUUUCGCAAUCAUUGCAAAAGUCCUUGGGAGCCAAUCUUGACAUGAGUACAACGUACCAUCCUCAGACUGAUGGGUAAAGCGAGAGAAUAAUUCAAAAGAUGGAAGACAUGUUAAGGGCUUGUUUGAUAGAUUUUGGUAAAGCUUGGGAUACCUAUUUACCACUUGUUGAAUUCUCCUACAACAACAGCUAUCACACUAGCAUCAAAGUUACACCCUUUGAAGCUCUCUAUGGUCGUAAGUGUAGAUCCCUUCUAUGCUGGACUGAAGUGGGAGAUACGUAACUAGACAAGAACCAAGUACUUGAUAGUACUCUAACCGGUCCCAAGAUCAAUCGUGAAACCACAAAAAAGAUUUUCCGAAUCCAGGAACGAUUAAAAGAUUCUCAAGAUGGAAAGAAGAGUUAUAUGAAUAAACGAUGAAAACCCAUGGAAUUAUAGGUUAGUGACCACGUUCUGUUAAAGGUCUCACCCUGGAAAGGAACGAUACAUAUCAAUAAACGUGGCAAACUAAAUCCAAGGUACAUCGUAUCAUUCGAGAUCCUUGCUAGAAUUGGUCUGGUUGCUUACAAACUUAAUCUACCGCAUGAACUCAGUAACAUUCUUCUGAUUUUUCAUGUCUAUAAUCUCAACAAGUGUUUGUCCGAUGAAACUCUUGUUAUCCCACUCGAUGAAAUUAAGAUAAACGAGAGUGUCAACUUUGUGGAAGAACCAGUAGAAAUCCAAGAUAGGGGGUAAAGAGAACUAAACAAAGCCGUAUCCCGAUAGUGAAGGUUCGCUGGAAUGCAAAACGAGGAUCUGAAUUCACUUGGGAACGGGAGGAUCAAAUGAAACAGAAGUAUCCACAUCUCUUUCCCUAGUCUUAGUGUAACUCUAUAGUCUUAAUUUUGGUAUGAAAUUCCCUUUAAUGGGGGGAUAAUGUAACAACCCAUUAUUUUUCUAUCUUCUAAAAGUCAACAAAAGUCAAAUAUAUCAAAUUAAAGUCAAAAUUAUUGAUUUUUUAAUUUAAUAAAAUUAAAUUAAUGUUUUUGAUACAUAUAAACACUUAGUAAAAGUCUUGUAGAAUAAAGGAGUUGAAAUCCAAGGAAAACCGAGGAUUCUUGUAUGAUAGAAAACCCUCGGAUUCCCUUAACACUUCGGACCGAAAAUGGUUUCCAACCGGAAACCUUCGCAUGGACCGCAAACCCAUCUCGGACGGAAAACCAUGCAAAACGGACAUAGUGUUCACGGCCAAAGACCUCGCAGGUCUUAUCACUUCUGAAUGCCUUGCAGCCUUAUCCAUUCUAACCAAAAACGAAGCUUGUUGAGUAGAGUUCCCAACCGAGAACCUCCUUUCUUCGGUUUGUGUUCUCGGCCGAAAACCCACAUUAUAUAUAUAUAUNNNNNNNNNNNNNNNNNNNNNNNNNNNNNNNNNNNNNNNNNNNNNNNNNNNNNNNNNNNNNNNNNNNNNNNNNNNNNNNNNNNNNNNNNNNNNNNNNNNNNNNNNNNNNNNNNNNNNNNNNNNNNNNNNNCGAAAAUCUAUCUCAUUCUUAUAUCUUUGACCUAAAACACUCACUAACCUCUCAAGAACACUCCAGCCGAACAUACUUCUUGUAAUCCAAGAUCAUCAAACCGAGAACCUUGUUUUCUCCCAUAUAUCAUAAGAAAAUUCACCAUUUCUCCUUAGGAUCUUGCUAAUUUCACUUAGUGUUCUUCAUCCUUUCGAGAAAUCAUCAUUCAACAUCUUAAACUCCAACCGAAAACACUCACAUAUUCUUGGUUUUACUAAGAACACCAAGAGAAACUACUUGAAUCAUGAAGUGGACGAAAACUAAAGGCUGGCCGAAAACUCCAAAUAGCCCCGAGAAUUACUUUUGUCACUCCUUUUGUAUGUCAUUUUACAAUAAUUAAGUGUUGUUUAACACUUUAAACUUCAUUAGACUAUCUAAUUUAUAUUUAAUAUAAUGUUAAUAUAAAUUAGGAUUCAGUUUUCUCACGAGUUGUAACCCGAAAAUCUACACAAUCAAUCGAGAACUCACACAAAAGGUGAGUUCAUACCCCUACAUUUUCUUGAUUUUUAACUGUUNAGAUGUAAAAUAUGUAAUUUAACCCCAUUUCAUGUUUCUUGUUUGGUUGUGGGCUUGGGGUAGAAUUAUUUAAUUGAAUGUCUAUUUAAUAAAAUUAUAUUUAUAUAAGUAUAAAAUGAUUUUCAAAGCUUGUUAAACAGAAACUUCAUUUUUACAAUCUAUUUUAGUACCAUAUGAAAAUAAACAGUGGAUUUCAAGGUACAAUAGUAUUACAGAUUUUUACAAAAUUUGACCAAUGUUCUCAUUACAAUGAAACACAAACAUAUAAACUAUAAUAUGUAUAGUAUAUGAAACUUACUCAUUUCAUUCAAUAUUCAUAUUACAAAACGGAAAUCAAACAUAUAAACUUUAAUGUAUAUGCAUUAAUUUACAUAUUCAGAGUAUAUUACAUUGCGUUCAUUACAAAGUAACUUUUCAUUAUAUACUUACAAUGUGUUCAUUACAAAGUAACUUUUCAUUAUUCUAUGCGUAAUCAUCAAUAUAGCAUUUAUGAGACACUCUUGAAGUCCUUUUCUAAGUACGAACCAAGUCCUGAAAUUAUAACCAGAGUCUCCUGGAGGGAGAGAGUCAGAUUUGUGUAUAGAUCUAUACGGGACUGACAAUCCCACACCGGAGCUGCUUGCAACAGCUAGGCCGGAAGGUCUGUGGUGACAAAUGUAACAACUAUUGCGAUGCCUGGAGAACGUCGUGUUCAGGUCAUCUUAGGUCAUCAAGCAAGGUUAUAAUAACUCACAAUUUGGUAUUGAACAAAAUGAUUAGUGCAUGAAUAAGUAAACAACUUCACGUAGUUUUAUUUAAUAAUAAAACUAUAAUACAAUAUUUUACAAGUACGGGUUAUACUAGACAAUUACAAACACAUGAGUUUCAUACUAGUACAAGAACAUAAUACUAUUUCAUGGUUUUAUGUGAACUAAACUACAUUUUACUACUUCAGAGUACAGUAACAUUCACACGUUUUGCUUACAAUAUACUAUGAUAGAAAAUAUAUGAUUUUCUGGGAUAAACAUGUUUACAUUAUCAAGGAACAAGAAAACAUAUUUCAGUUACGAACAUACUUAUGAACUCACCAACUUAAUUGUUAACACCUUUUCAAAACUACUUGUAUUCUUAGGGAAUUGGUAAAUAGGUACAUCCACAUAUUUUUGAGAAGACGGAGCUCUAUAGACUCAUGUGUUUUAACUUGUACUUUUUGGUGUCAAUAUAUAAUGUUUUGAACACAGAUGUAAAACUUAUAACUUUGUUAACAAUGGUUGUAGUACUUUGAUUACUAUUAUGCAUUGUUGUGAUACUGUAUAUGACGUCCUCCUCCCCCGAACAUUUACGUCGUUCCGGUUUCAGCGUGUGAAAAGAACCGCCAACAAGGUUGAAGUUGGUGAUAUGAGGAAUUUUGAAAGAUAUUCGAGGUCCAAUGAGGAGGAAAUUCUAGAAGUCUGGUUCGAAGAGGUUCAAAGGAGGAGGAGGUGAAGGAAGAUGGUGCGAUAAGUGCAAGAAGAAACACUUUGGAAAAUGUGGCUAGGAGGUGACAUGUUUCUAGUGUGGAAAAUUUGGACACUAUGCCAAUGAGUGUACAUACAAUAAAAGGGUGCCUUAUGAAUGUAAUGAAGAAGGUCACUUCAAGCAAGACUGCCUAAAGUGGGAAGGAGCUAUAAAACCAAACUCACCACCAAAGCCAAAGGUAAGAGCAUUCAAGAUGAUCCUCAAUGAAGCUAGUGACAAUGCAAGAGAUUGGGAGUGAGGAUCUAUAUGUCCUAAGGUCAAGAUAAGAAGUAGUCAUAUAAAUAUAAUCAUGUGGUGUAGCCAAUAAUAAGAGGCCUAGUGUAUGGUGAACUUGAAUAUCCAUGUAAUUGUUUCAAGAAAUAAUAUAAACCUUAGUUAUGUUAUCUGAUUUGUUAAAUGACUAUGUGAAACUCUUGUAUGGUGGCUUGGAAAAAUACAAGACAAUACUUGGGAUGAGUUUGAGUAGGUGUGAAUGGUCGUAGAGGCCUAUACUACUAGAAGCCCAAGACUCACACUUGGAUAAAGGAAAGUCAUAAGGUUACUGUUAGAAUAAAUCAAGAGUUGAUCGAUAUAUUUAAGAACAAGAAUAAGUAUCAAACACAAAGAAUGAAGAUCAAAGUAGUUUUGAAUGAUUAUAAUAUUUGCCUUAGAAGACCACGAUUAAGAAUUUCUACUGUAAAGGAACUAUAGGGUUAAAUAAAGAUCGACUCUAAAUAUGGUUCAUGCAUGCACUAUAAAUAGCCUUACCCUAGCACAUUGAAGACUGGGUGGACAGGCCCAACCCGUUACAAAAAGUCUAUAACAAUACAAUACAAAAUUGAAACCACACAAUAUAACCCUAACAAUCUCCCCCUUUGUGUCAAUAAGGAAGGUAGAUUGUUCAAUGUUGUUGGCGUUUCCAAACUGUAAACAAUUUCAGCAUUAUGCUCAGCAUAGUCUUGCGAACCAUGAUGUACCAAUUAAUCAUGCCUUAGAAAUAUUUCUUGACUCUGGCAUUCUUCGCUUUGUUAUAAUUCGUAAACUCUAAAAUAUAUUCAAGACAAAGAGUGGAGGAUAAAUGCUUGUCAAGCAACAAGAAAUAAACUCUAUGAAAGUUGGAAUUAGCCCUUUCACGAAUUUGAAAUGUUAUGCUCCAAUCAUCAUUUUGUAUUCUUCCUAGCUUCAUCUGAUCUAGAUCUUUCAGAGCUUCCUCGGGCAAUACAGUCGGUUUCUUCCUCAGAACAGUUGUAAUCUCUACAUCCAUCCUAUCAACCUCCUAGAUGUACGAGACCAACAAUUUUUUGAUGUGAGCAAUGACUAGUUCAAAAUUUUGUUCCUCCUUUAGCAAUAGAUGUAAUAGAGAAAACCAAUCAUUAGGGUUCAAGCAUGUCAAAUCUGCGAGAGCGAAUUCGUGUGCUGAACUCACAAAUCCACACGCUACCUUGAACUCACAACUCCACACGCUACCUUGAAACGAGCUUUCAAGAAGCUUUUAGUUUCUAUAGGGCCAAACACCUUCACUAUAGUUAUCUUCUUAGAGCUCCAAGUUUCGUAUUGUGGUUUCAUAUGCAUUAGGUAGAAAGAAAAAAGCAUCUGAUCAGGACCAUUGUCAAAUGGAGAAGCAUUCACAACUUUGUCAAAGCUAUGAAAUUGGAAUGCCCUCGGAUUUAUUGGCAUAUCAAGCUGCAAAUCAGUAGUGUUCUCCAAUUCGAAUUAGGUCACAAGCUCUAGCCAAUAAAAGUUUGGAUUAUCAAUGGCUUCAUUCAAGAUUCAUUCUGUUGACCAGAGAGGAAAAAUAGUUUUCUGAGCUUUUAAACUCUCCUCAGCUUUACGAGUUGCCUUCUCUCGUUCCUCAGCCUCCCUAGAAACUCGUAGAUUUUCAUCAAGUUUAGCAUCACGAGAUUUACGCUUUAGCUUCACAUUCUCAUCCUCUUCCUCAUUGUCAUCAUCUAUAACUUUUUCUUUUCCUAUUGAACUCAAAGCUACAUUAUCAUUCGGUUGAUUGGACUUGGGCUUUUCUUUAUGUUCAUCACCACCACUGGUUUGUUUACCCGCACCAGAAGUUCUCGCAUGUUAUUCCCCUUGUUUUGGAAUAGAAGAUUCUGAAACACCUUCAAUUAUGUCGAGCAUGGAUAAGAUCAACUUUAAUUUUUCUGCAAGAUGCUGAAGAACAGAGAUGGUGAGGAGAGAAUCACGCGUCUAGAUUAGACUGUGCAAAUUAGUGUUCACAUCAGCAAGAUAACAUCAGAUUACAGCCUGUUCAGAUUUCAGUUCGUCAAUCUACUGAUUAACAUAAGUAAGCUUCACAGACAUAACAUUUAACUUCUCUAUUUUUAAUGGAAGCUCAUCCAUUAUCUUGUUCUCCAUUGCCAAAUCUUCUUGUAGUUUCUCGAUCUUUGAGGAGAUGGACGUUUGAAACUCUGUAUUAUCAGUUUGAAGGUCAGUACGAAUCAUAUCUAGAGCUACUUUAUCAGUGUGAAGGGUAGAUCCAAGACUGGUAAUCACUUGGUUUUCUUUGGUAGUGUUAGUCUCAAAAGAAGUACGAAAGUUGCCCAUGAUGGUUUCAACAUUUGAAACUAAUUUAUCAACUUUUUCGGUCGUUUCCUUGCAGAUGGUCGAUGAAUCUUCAACUGCUUUAUAUUAUUUUUUCAAGGUUUGCAGCAUGCUCCUUCGUCGUUGUCUCGAGUAGAGCCUUGUAAGCUGCAACAGAGUAAUCUGAGUUGGAAGUGGAUGUGGAUGACUCAAUCAAGGUAUCCAACUUUUGUUGAAGAACCUUGAACUGCCUAUUGGUAAUGGGAGCUUCAUCCUCACAAUUACUGUUGGACGUUGAAAGGAUUGUAAUGAAAGUCUUCAAAGUCAUCUGGAUCAUCACUAACAUAGUAUCCGGAUCAUCAGCUCGUAGCGGUAAAAUAGGCGUGAAACCAAUAACAAAUGCGAAAUCAGAAGCCGCUGCCCCCGUAUCAGAUAUGUUGACAUUGACCGGUGGUAUACUUGUGGUUGUUGUUGGUGUAGCCGUUGAAUCAGUAAAGAAAGGAGUCGAUUGUGCAACCGACACUUGGGGUUGCGAAACACCCAUUGAAACAUUCAGACAUGGUGUGAUGAAGAUGGGAGUAGUUGUAGCAGUGGGAAAAGGAGGAAUGAAAUCAUAUAAAAUUCAUCUGUAAUUGGAACAGAAGUAGGCAUUUUGAAGGUUACCUCAUGAUUCGUGGUGAUUCGCUUCGAAACCAAUGGGUGCGAGGUCGUAGCAGUGUCUUUAUGUUCGUGUUGGACUUAUUCAGGACUGCGAACAUCAGAGAUGUUGUUAGACUGUGAAUUCUCCGCAUCACUUGGAGUUGGUGUUCUUUGCUAGAGAGCGGCUUGCUUGACUUUCUUCUUCUUUGGAGUUUGAGCAGGUUCGGCAUGGUCCUGCCUUCGCUUUUCAUUUGCAUCCAUUCUUUGGCUUGUCUACCUCCUCUAAAACUGUUCUCACUAUAUCGGUCAAUGGUCGAGGACCUGAAGCCGGUUGUCUGCGAUAGGCUUCGAUUACUUCAUUGUCAGUCGGUACAUUACGAAGCAUCAUCUCUGGAUUAGAUCUGAUAAAGGUAAACCGCAAACUAUCAGACAGAAUCACAUUUGAUGUAACGACCAAAAAUUUCAACCAGUUUAAAAUUUUCGAAAACAACUCGAUUCCAUUAGAGUUAUUACAAAAAGGUUUUCAGUACAAUUUAUUUUAAGUAUUCCCAGAAUCUCAUCAUGACAUAAACACGAGGAGCGGUACGAUCACGCCUUCGCCUUGCCACGGUCUCCUGAAGAACCUGAAAAACAUAAAACCACAAUUGUAAGCCCGAAAGCUUAGUGAGAUAUCCCCAAAAUACCAACCACAUAUACCAUACACGCAUAACAUGCCAUAACAUAUCCGAUCACAGAACAGCCAUGCACUUCGGGUCUACUGUGGGACUGGUCCGCCGCACCGGCCAACAGUCCACCUGGUCCACCCUCCGAGUCUAGCCAUAUACCUCGAGUCUACAGUGUGAUUGGUCCGCCCGCACCGGGCCUUCAAUCCACCUGGUCCACUCUCCGAAUCUAACCACAUACAUCGAGUCUGCAGUGUGAUUGGUCCGCCCGCACCGGGCCUUCAAUCCACCUGGUCCACUCUCUGAGUCUACAGUAUGACUGGUCCGCCCGCACCGGGCCUUCAGUCGGCCUGGUCCACUCUCCGAGCCUCGGCACGUCUGGUCCGCCCUCUUGGGGCCUACAACCUAUUCGGACCGCUCGCUGGGCCUUCGGGACAACCGGUCCGCCCUGGGUAUCUUGGCCUACAGCACAAAGCAGGACCCGCCUCAACCCAACUCCAGUCCAAACAACCAUGUGCACAUAAACAUACAAACAUAUAACAAUUCACAGUCAACAAGCCGAUCAAACAGAUCACAUAACAUAUCAUCAUCCUAACCAGGAUACCGACCUAACCGGUCACUAGCAUAGCAUCACCCUACAUCUCAGGAUACCGAUCUCAACCAAGUCACUAACAUAUACCAUCCUAGCUACCAGGAUGCAACAUAUCAAAGCAACAACAUACACCAAAUACCCGGAUCUCAAUCUGAUAAAGGGCCGGCCUUGGUGCCUUAGACCCUGUUGAUAUAGUCAGGAUAACUCACCUCGAAACUGUCGGCUGAAAGGAUAAGAUCCCGCUGCUCCACACUCCGACACGAACUCCUCCACUGAACAACACCAAAGCACUGAAAUCAAUAAAUACCCAUAAUUACCAAAAUACCCCAGGAAGACAACUGGUCAACCCUUGGACAAAGUCAAAGUCAACCCCUUACAGACUCUACUCGCCGAGUCCCCAAGCUCAGAACUUCCCUCAAUCCGCGACCUAACUCGCCGAGUCACCCCGAGACUCGCCGAGUCCAACAAUUCUAAGUCCACUCGCAUACAACUCAUCGAGUCAUCCCUUGACUUACCGAUUCUCGACUCAACCAGAAAUUAUUGGGACUCUUCGACAAGACUCGCCGAGUCGAAGAACAGACUCGCCGAGUUUAAGACUAUCUUCAACCUACUCGCCGAGUUGUUCUUACAACUCGCCGAGUUCCAGGCCAUCUUCAUCCAACUCGCCGAGUUGUUCUUCCAACUCGUCGAGUUCCAGCUCAUCUUCAAGCAACUCGCCGUGUCUACCCAUGUGACUCGCCGAAUACCACCGGUCUGAAUCCAUGCAGAAGCAUUCCAGGCCAUGCAAUUGAUCCAAAACAUAGAUCUAGCCUCCUACCACCCAUCCAUCACGUAAAGUGGCAAACUUUAUGUGAAUCCAAAGAGAUCUAGGCCUGUUACACUUUAGGCUAGGGUUUGGGACAUGAUGGCUUUACUAAACACUCAAACACAAGGACUUUAAGGCACUCUAGACCUUCUCCAUUCCAGAUCUGAGGUAGCAACCUCAGAUCUAACCUCCAAACUCCAAAACAUACCAAGAUGAGUUCCCAUGAACCCCAAAAUGAUGAAUCUAUAUGAUUAACAGCCCAAGAACGAGAUAAUACCUCAAAAGAACGCCCCAACAGCAAUGAAACUCGAAUCCAAGCAAAGCCCCUUGCUCCAAGCCUCCUACCCUUCAAGAUUUCCUCAACAAUUGCUUCUCCAAGCUUCCAAAUGCAACUUGAUCCACUCACACACGAAGGUUAGGGUUUCUAGACUUAAGGAUGAGUAAGGAGGCUGGGGGAAUCGAUGUUAUGUUCUUUAUAUAGGGAUUAACCCCGAGAAUUAGGGUUUUCUCCACUCAGCGCCUACUCGUCGUGUCCAAUCCACUGACUCGCCGAGUCGGCCACUUGACACACGACCAAGUCGCGACUCUACUCGCUGAGUCCACCCAUGGACUCGCCGAGUCGCUCUUUCCCAUAUUACUCUUUUAGCCCUUCAACUUUACUCUUGCUAUUCCAGGAUGUUACAAUUCUCCCCCACUUACAUUAGGCUUCGUCCUUGAAGCCUGCAACAACUCAACUCUUAGAAAUACUCCUGCCAUGCACCACCUGGCAUUAACCCAACCAGGUUCCUCAAAAUACAACCAUAGAACCAGAAACUCAUUUUCUCCUUCCUUACGGUGUCCUGACCACCGUCUCGAGCCGGCCACCGGCUUUACCCUCUGAUAACUCCACUUAACAACUGAGUACUACUCAUGAUGCAUCACUGCUCCAAUUCACAACCAUCACUCGACCCAUAUGAGCUAGAAAAUAACUAUGCACCACCGAAUUCCCGAUCCGAGUCUAACUCUAAUCAUUCUGCUGACAGAAAGACACAUUCUUCAGAGCACCCCCCAUGAGUUCUCCUUUUGCAAUCACAUACAUAUGGUUAACUAGCUCUAGCACCCUCAGGUUGGGAAAACUCGAUACACUGAUGACAUUUCUAAACAUCCCCUAGGAUGAACCACUACUACAUACACAAUUCCCUUAUCAGAAUCUCACUGAGAGCCCAAGACUCCCUCCCUGCAUCCCUUCCGAGCCUCUUGGCUCUACACCCGCAUAAUUCCUUCCGCGACCUUAGCAGACAUCUCAAACCGGAUGUGCUUCCAUUCCACUGCCGCAAACACGCUGCUCAAUAACCAUACUCAUAUCACUCUAAUCAUAACACUGCUCUGCCUUUCACUCCCGUGAGUUCGCACUCCCUCUCGGAGUUACACUCCUCUCUCUUUCCUUUACCAAGGAAAUCCACUUGGCCGCCUUGUCACUCCGACAAGUGCCACGGCGCUCGCCCAAUGCUACACCACUCCUUCAUAGUGUAUCCGCUAUCCACCCAACACACAUGCUCUGACUCUGCUCUCAAGGACUCUCGAUUCCAUGCACCAUCUCCACCCAUCAAGAUCAAUACCCGAGGCCAGACCUUCUAAUGCUAUCACACUGCAACAUACACAAUCCCUCUCCUCGAACCACUCUAUCAAUACCUUCAGAGUCUUCAGUAUGACUGGACCGCCUUCACAGGCCUUCAGCCAAUCUGGACCACUCUCAGAACCUUCAACCAAUCUGGACCGCCCUCCAUUGCCUUCAGUCUGACUGGACCGUUCUCCAAGCCUUUGGCCUGACUGGUAUGCCUACCGGCCUUCAGUCUAUCCAGACCACUCAACUAACAUCCAUCAUUCCGAGCUAUCACUCUGGGAAAUCCUCCCAUGCAUACUGGUCUAGCCCUCUAGGGGUUCCGAACUCUAACUCCAUCAUACAUACUCGAUCCCGGCCCGAUCUCAGGCCUUCCACAAUCAGAUGCCCUAGGUCUGUAUUCCGCCCCGCACCCCCGACACAUACACAUACCAACCUACACUCUGGGCUGACAGAACACUGCUGAAUCCCAAACAGCUAAGCAACCUCACAUGCUCGUCUAUCUUCUGGAGAAUUUUCCAAUUCUCCCCCACUUAGGAUGCUGACUAUCAACCACCGGUCGCCAUCACCGACCUCCCAGAACAACUCUGCACAAAACCAACACUUACAUGCGGAUUGAUUCCCACUAGCACUAGCAACCUUCACAAAAACACAUUUCCACACUGAUCAUCCCGCUCGAAAGAAACUCAAUCUGCAGCUAACCAUUCUCAGAAAGCAGAUGCUACCCGGCCUUCAAACCAAUGCCAGGUUUCCACUAAUAACCCUCAUGAAUGAUAACCAACGAAAUUCCCAAUACAACAACCCAUAACCAAACCACAACCCUCAAAAACGACGAAUACCGCAUCGAAAACCACACAAAGAUACCAGCAGAUAAACAAUACUCCACAAUAAACACAAGAUAACAAGACAUUAAGAAAGAAACAUACCCACAGCUGCAUCUGGCACUGCUCUGACAUCUUCUGCCGCAAGCUGAUAAGCACGACCCUGAGCCCUUGGGGGCUCCGCUCCAUCCUGACCUCCACCUGUGAUCCUCAAAGUGGCCGGUGCUGGAGCCUGCACCGGUCCUGCAGCAAGCUGUGGACAGUUGACCCUCAAAUGUCCAACCUGAUGACAAUGAUAACAAAUCCUCAAAUCCCGAACCGGCGCUGACUGCCGACAAUCCCUCGCAUAGUGCCCCUCCUUUCCGCACUUGCGGCAUGCACCACCGGACCUACAAACUCCGGUGUGACCCCUCCCACACUUCCCACAAGUGUGGCUGCUCAGAUCNNNNNNNNNNNNNNNNNNNNNNNNNNNNNNNNNNNNNNNNNNNNNNNNNNNNNNNNNNNNNNNNNNNNNNNNNNNNNNNUUGGACCGUUUCGGCGCCGGCUGCGACUGCACCAGAGCCUGCCUCAGCUCACGCAACUGCAACUCAAUCUCUAACUCACGCCGCCUGGCGGCCUCCUACAACUCCAAAAAGGUCUCGCACCUCUGCGCAGACACAAACUGUUUGAUGUCCCUCUUGAGCAUGUUCAGAUAUCGAGACAUCUGAGCCUGCUCCGAAGCGAACUCUGGGCAAAACAUCGCCCUCUCAGUGAACAUCCUGGUGAUCUCAGUCACUGACUCCGAAUCCUGCUUCAGCUCAAGGAACUCCUGAGCCAACCUCUCCCUCUCAACUUGCAGAACAUAGCGAGUGUUGAACAUCUCUCUAAACUGAUCCCAUGAAACCGCAGCCCUCUGCGCAUCCGAAAAUGACCCCGUGGUCAAUCUCCACCAAUCCUUCGCCCCGAGCCUUAACAGGUUCAGAGCACACCUCACCCUCUGAUCAGCAGGGCAUGAACACGUGAAGAAACACCCCUCCACGUCCAAUAACCACCUCAUAGCAACAAUCGGGUCCUGAACUCCAUCGAAUGUGGGAGGCUUCGUAAUUUCGAAGUCCCGAUACUGAAAGCCCCGACCAGCUCCUCCCCCUGUCGCUGCUACAGCUGCUGUAUCCGUCUCUAUGAGAGCUGCAUAGCGGUCAUCAAAAUACUCAACCAUGGCGGUCUUGAUCGACCCGAACAGUUCCGAAAACUCAGCCCGGAACAAUGCAGCAAUCUCAUUACGCAGGAUCUCACGAAUCCUCGUAUCCAACUCGCACAUGCUCAUCUGACCAAUAACCUCGGGCGGCACAGACCCGCCCGGAACUCCCUCUCCUGCCCCCGAUCCUGACCCGGAUCCAUUCCCAGCAUGCCUCGGAAUCUCCAUACUGAAAAACACCACAAAAUCUCAGACACCUCCCACUAUCCGGGAUCCAACUCCCUCAACCCAACCCUAGAGGACAUGGUUUCCAUGAUAUGCGUAUGAGUCCUAUGCAUUCAGUAGUACGGGCCCAUACUACCUUCCACACCUACCCAUAUUUGUAUGAAGUACUACCACAACACCCUAGGGAAAACAUGCAUAAGAACUCUCAACCCUCACCACAAGAGGAACACUAAAGAUCCCUAGCCUAACACUAGCAUGCUGUUCUAUCAAAGCUCAAAAACAAAUAUCAUGUAUGGAAUUUUGGGUUUACUUACUGGCUCCGGCUGAUCGUACCUCCGCGUCCUCCCUUACUCAUUUUGAAAACCAUUUUAAAUUCUCUUUUGACAACUCUCCUCGAUUUGAGACUGGAGUCACACGAGUGUUCCUCCAAUUCACUCAAACCAAGGCUCUGAUACCAACUUGUAAUGACCAAAAAUUUCAACCAAUUUAAAAUUUUCGAAAACAACUUGAUUCCAUUAGAGUUAUUACAAAAAGGUUUUCAGUACAAUUUAUUUUAAGUAUUCCCAGAAUCUCAUCAUGACAUAAACAUGAGGAGCGGUACGAUCACGCCUUCGCCUUGCCACGGUCUCCUCAAGAACCUGAAAUACAUAAAACCACAAUUGUAAGCCCGAAAGCUUAGUGAGAUAUCCCCAAAAUACCAACCACAUAUACCAAACACGCAUAACAUGCCAUAACAUAUCCGAUCACAGAACAGCCAUGCACUUCGGGUCUACUGUGUGACUGGUCCGCCGCACCGGCCAACAGUCCACCUGGUCCACCCUCCGAGUCUAGCCACAUACAUCGAGUCUGCAGUGUGAUUGGUCCACCCGCACCGGGCCUUCAAUCCACCUGGUCCACUCUCUAAGUCUAUAAUAUGGGAUAACGUGAUGAUUUGAAAUUAUACUUUAUAAUGUUAUUGGGAUAACGUGAUGAUUGUAAUUUCUGUUUAAAAAUGAAAAAAGUUAUCAUGGUUUUUGUGUUGUUACAAGUUGGUAUCAGAGCCUUGGUUUGAAGGAUUUGGGCACACUCUCGGGUGUGUCAGAACUCAAAUUGAGGAAUUUAUAAUCUUUUCAAAGAAAAAGAAAUUGGAUUAUGAAAAAUUUCUUUUUAAGUAACAAGGGGAGUGCAAUGCGUGCAAUCAGCCUAGCUCAAGUAAGUGUUUCCCCAGUUACUCAUUCUCCUGUAUUGUGAUUAGUACGCUUGAUAUAUGAACUGCAGCCUAGAUUAGAUCUAGGGGUAUCUUCAAGAAUCAUAUGAUAGGAUUUCUUGAUUUGUAUCAUGCCUUAUAGCUUAAUAGAACUUGAUGCCAUGUAUUAUUUGGUAUUGAUAUCGGCUCAGUUAUUUGCUAUGUGUAUGUUUUCAAAGUUGUAUAUGAUUCGGAUUGUAUAGCCCUAGAAUGAUCGAUUUGGCCUCAUUUCCUAUUCCUUGUUUGGUUGUGGACUUAGGGUAGAACCUUCAUUCGACAAUCGUUGUGAUCCUAUUUUGUGUACAACUUGCAAGCAUAAGGAAGCUAACAGGGUUGGUUGAGGUUCUUGCUACUGCAAGUGGUGAGGGUUGAGAGUUCUUAGUAGAGUCUAGGAUAUGUAUGUCACUUAGGAUGAGAUUUGGUGCCUGGUAGUAGUAUGGUAACUCAGAGGAAUUAGGAGUGACCUUGAGGAGGCUACAGGUAGGUGUGGAAGGUAGUAUUGGGCACGUACUAUUUGAAGCAUAGGACUUGUACCUAAGACAAGAGCACACCUGGAGACUCCAAGAGUACAUGUGUGUUAUAAGUUUCCCUCGAGUGUUUGCUGAUUGAUUAUAUCUUUGUGUUUCAUUUUGAGGAUGGUGGUCGCUCGUUUGGGAGGUUCUAGGUCUGGCUCUGGCUUAGAACCGAUUGAUGAGAUGCUGCGUGAGCUUAUUGUAGACGAGGUUACUCACAACAUACUCGACGCUACCCCUAUGAUUUUUGGUACCAUCAAGAAGGGAAUUUUAGAGAUCCUAGAGGAGCGACUCAGGACUUCUCAAGCCCAGAUUGCUGCAGGGCAGACUGGGGCAUGAACUUCCUAAUUUGGGGAGUUCAAGGCAUACGGAGUGCAUGAGUUCUUUUGUGUUUAGGACGCCAUCUCUAGCAAUCACUGGAUCGCUAACAUGGAUAAUUCUCAACGGACGAGCUUUUGCUCUGAGGGGGCAAAUAUGGGAUUUACGUCCUGCCUACUAAAGGAUAGAGCAUGGGACUGGUGGGAGGAGGUUAACCGAGUUGUGGGGACGGACAGAGUGAUAGUGAUGGCAUGGGAUGACUUUGUUCAAAGGUUUCAAAGGGAGUUUGCACCAGCUAUCGAGGUGCAGCAGACAGAGAGGGAGUUCCAGGACCUUCGUCUGACUACAGAGACUAUGGCGGAUAUUACCGCCAAAUUUAGGGAGAGAACAUUGUUAAUUCCGUAGUAGGGUGUAGAUGAGGAGAUGUGGAAGACAAGAUAUCAUGAUAUGCUGAUAGAUGAUAUCAGGGGGUUCGUGAGCUUUUAGGGUGCAAGACCUUGACUGACAUGAUCGAGAAGACCCGCAAGCGGGAGAUUGAGUUGGUGAUUCGGACGAAGUGAAAGCCGGAGCAGGCUAAGACAGCUAUGGGUCGGGCUAAGAGACCCAAUACCUUUGAUACCCACACCAGAGGCCAGUAGAGACCUAGCCUUUACACCAAGUAUGACAAGCUGCACAGUGGAGCCUGACGGUCAAUAGGUUUAGGAUGUUUUAGCUGUGGCCAGUCGGUCCAUGUUGGCAGUGUUUACCCCAAGAGGGCUAUGAUUUGCUUCCAUUGCAAUCAGAUUGGACAUAAAAAGGCUAAUUACCUGGGAUAGUUUGGGGGAGCAGUAGUGGCACCUGCACCAACCACCUUGAGGAUUACUGAUGGCCACUAGGUCAAGUCGGAGGCUCUUGUGGUGAAGAGCAUGGAUUUUUAGCUGACUACUGAUGAGGCCCGUGCAGCGCCGGAUGUGGUUAUUGGUACGUAUUUUAAACUUAUCUUUUAUUGUUUUCUUGUUUAUGCUUAUGUUUAUUAUGAUCUUGUAUAUGGACCUUUUUGGUCAAUGGUUUGAUCGCUCAUCUUCUGUUCGAUUCGAGGGCUACUCGAUCCUUUAAAUCUCUUGCACUCAAAAGAAGUUUCAAGACACUCUGGGGACUUUGGACUCCCCUCUAGAGGUGGAGAUUUUGGAUGACCAUAGCGUGAGUGUUGCAAUGGUUUUUCGUAUGUAUGUCCUAAAUAUGUUUAGUGAGAGGUUCCCUAUUGGUUUGCUGAUGUUUCUCUUGAUAGGAUCGGAGGUUAUAAUCGGGAUGGAUUGGUUAGGUCCCAAUAGGGCCGUGAUUCAUUACGAGCAGAAGUUUGUUCAGCUGUGAGGGCUAGGAGAUAUCUGUUGUAGGGUUGCUCUGGGUUCUUAGCUUAUGUUUUUCACACGCGAGUUGAGGGAACGAUGGAGUUGAGUAAGGUACCCAUUGUAUGGGAUUUCCUUGAUUUUUUUUCCUAAGGAUUUUCCUGGAGUGUCUCUCGAGAGGCAGGUUGAGUUUUUGAUUGAUUUGGUACUUGGUGCAGCUCCGAUAGCAAAGGCACCAUAUCACCUGGAACCACCUGAGAUGUAGGAGUUAUCUAUGCAAUUGUAGGAGCUGCUAGAUAAGGGUUUUAUUCAUCCAAGCAGCUCUACGUGGGGAUCAUCGAUCGUAUUUCUGAAGAAGAAAGAUAGGUCGCAUAGAAUGUGCAUUGGCUAUCGGGAGUUAAAUAAGCUAAUGGUAAAGAAUCGUUACCCACUUCCUCGUAUUGAUGAUUUGUUUGACCAGCUUCAGGGUGCAUAUUGGUUCUCCAAGAUUGAUUUACAGUCCAGGUACCACUAGAUGAGGGUUAGGGAUGAGGUUGUGAAGAAGACAUCCUUCAGGACUCAUUAUGGUCAUUACGAGUUUGUGGUGAUACCUUUCGGGCUCACCAAUGCACCGGGAAUGUUCAUGGACCUCAUGAAUUGGGUAUGCAGGCCGAUGCUGGAUCAGUCUGUGAUUGUAUUUAUUGAUGACAUUUUAGUCUACUCCAAGACCAUGGAGCAGCACGAGCAACAUUUGCAUGAGGUGUUGGAGGCCCCGAGGAGAGAGGUUUUAUGCCAAAUUCUCUAAAUGCUAGUUCUGGUUGUGUGAGAUGCAGUUUCUGGGGCAGAUUGUCAACCAGAAAGGAAUGUAGGUUGAUCCGACCAAGAUUGAGGCGAUGAUGUGUUGGGAGAUUUUGAGGACCGCAUAUGAGAUUCUAAGUUUCUUACGUCUCGCAGGGGUAUUAUUGGAGAUUUAUCUAGGAUUUCUCCAAGAUUGUUGUGUCGUUGACCUGUUUGACGAAGAAGUGUGUGACCUUUCAUUGGGGGCUUGAUCAGCAGUUGGCUGUUGAGACUCUAAGGUGGAGAUUGUGUGAGGCCCCGAUUCUUGCACUUUCUGAGGUUUUGGAUGAAUUUGUUGUUUACUGUGAUGCCUUUAUUACGGGUUUAGGAGUUGUUGUUAUGAAGAUGGGUCAGUGAUUGCAUACGCUUCGAGGAAGCGGAAGCAUCAUGAGGCGAAUUAUCCGACACAUGAUUUAGAGUUGGGGGCGGUCAUUUUUUCCCUCAAUAUUUGGCAACAUUAGCUCUAUGGGGUCCGUUGUACUAUUUUCACGGAUCACAAGAGCCUGAGGUAUCUGAUCGAUCAGCCAAUUCUGAAUAUGAGGCGGCAUCGUGUAGGGUUAUGAUUGUGAGAUCAUUUACCAUCCUAGGAAGGCCAAUGUGGUGGCUGAUGCUCUUAGUUGCAAGGAGGUCGCAACUUCGAUCAUGCAUAUUUGUUUGAGGAUGAACAUGAUUACUCCACUUUUGGAGCGGAUUCGUGAGGCAUAGAUCAAGGCUAUGAAGGAAGAGCACCAGAAGAGCGAGCACGUAGUGGGUUAGGUGGAUUCAAUUGAUUAUGAUAGUCGCUGGUCAUUGACUCUUCAUCAGAGGGUAUGGGUUCCAUACUAGGGUUGUAUGCAUCAGGUUCAGAUGGAGGAGGUGCACAAAUCGAGAUUCUCUAUUCAUCAUGGGUUCCAUACUCUUCGUCCUGAUUAUUGGUGGCCCUGCAAGAAGUAGGAUAUAGCUUGGUACGUAGAGAGGUGCUUGACUUACAUGAAAGUCAAUGCUGAACAUCAACGACCUCACGGCAAGAUGCAACUAUUAGAUAUUCCCGUUUGGAAUUGGGAGGAGAUUACUAUGGAUUUCAAUAUGAAGUUUCCUCAGACUGCGUGGAGUGGAUUUGAUUUGGGUCAUCAUGGAUUGAUUAACCAAGAGCAUACAUUUCAUUCCGAUUCAGGAGAGUAUCUCUACGGAGAAGUUGACUGAGGUAUACAUCAGGGAGGUCAUGGCACGACAUGAGGUGCCAUUUUCAUUGGUUUCAGACAGGGACGUCUGGUUUACUUCCAAAUUCUGGAAAAGGUUCCACGAAGAGUUGGGCACUCAUCUGCAUUUCAGUACGACAUUCCAUCUGCAGAACAAUAGCCAGAGCGAGCGGAAUAUUCAUACAUUGGAGGAUUUGAUUUGGGUGUGUGUUUUGGAUUUCAGUGGGAGUUGGGAUACGUAUCUUCGUUUAAUGGAAUUUUCGCAUAACAACAACUAUCACGCCAAUAUUGAUCGACCUCCUUUUAGAUGCUUUAUGGGAGGAAAUACAGGAUCCCAAUUUGUUGGGGUAAGGUCGGUCAAUGAGUUAUGGGCAGUACCGAGGUGGUACAUAAGACUACUCAGUUGAUACAGAAGGUUCGAAGUAGACUCCAGACAACUUAGAGUCGGCAAAGGAGCUAUACCGACAAGCGCCGAUCGGAUAUUGAGUUCCUGGUUGGCGAGAUGGUUCUUCUAAGGGUGUCACCUUGGAAAGGUGUCAUCCGAUUCAGGAAGAGGCACAAAUUGAUCCCCAGUUAUAUUGGGCGUUUUAGGGUUAUAGCUCUGGUGGGAAGGGUUGCGUAUCAUUUAGAGCUUUUGGAGGAGCUCGGUUAGAUUCAUAGCACAUUCCAUCUCUUUUAGCUAUGGAAAUGUUUGGUCGAAGAUUCAAUAGUGGUCCCAUUAGAGGAUAUUCAUGUGGAUGAUCGCCUGAAUUAAGUUGAGGAACAAGGUGGCUGAGUUAGUAAAGGUUUAUUGGCAACACCAGAAGGGCUUGGAAUGGACAUGGGAGCCGGAGGAUGAGAUGAGGUAGCACUACCCGGAGUUAUUUGGGGUAGCAGACUUUGAGGAUGAAGUCUGAUUUAAGUGGGGGAGAAUUCUAUCAUCUGGAACCCUAAGGUACUAAAGUCAUUUGUUUUUUGGCAUUAUGGGGGUCCUCACGACGUGAGAUCUUGGGGAUCCCGACGUGAGGGGCCAUUGACCGGUUGACCCUUGUCUUGGAGUCUCACGACGUGAGACAUAAGUUCUCACGACAUGAGCAUGGCUUAAUAACCCCAAACCCCAAUUUUCGGGUAUUUAAAGGAAUAAGAUGCUAGGGUUACCCAUCCUCAUCCUCUCUCACCCUCUAAGCCUCUGAAAACCCUCAUCAAUCGAACCUCUUGAAGUCCUUAGGCGUUUUUAAGACCUUUGAUGCAUUCCUUGGUGGUUUUGAUUCUUUAAACUGGAAGAAGACCGUGGUUGAGCAACCUCUUGGUGUUUUGGUUUCUACCUUGCAAUCUCUUGGAGCUUUUGGACCAUUGUAAGUCUUAAAGCUUGGUCUUUUCAACGUUUUUCAUAUUAGAUCUAAGUUCUAAGCUCCUUUUUGCAUGAUUGUGUGGGUUUGCAUGCAUGAGAUGCAUGAAGUUGCUAACUUUAUGGAUAAUUGAGUCAUUCCCAACUUUUGGGUUAGUAAGAGUUUAAGUCAUGCAUUGGACAUGAAUUAGUGAAAAGCUAUAAUUUUUAUCACCCUUUGGGUAAGGAAAGACCCUCUGGAAUGUCCCAAGUUAUGGAUGUAAGGAUUAAGAGCUUAAUGCUCAAAGCUGCUCAGUACAAAUCUCACGACGUGAGGAUUAAGCCUUUCACGUCGUGAGGAUACUAGCCACCCCACCUAUUUUGUCCGGAUUAGAUCAUGAUGUGGCUCAGGGUGAGGUCACGAUAGGACCAGGAUUAGAAUCAUCUGGAUGAGUUGAGUUGACCCACUGAGUCCGGACUGGGUUGAGUUGGUGCUCACGACAUGACCAUGAGCUAGUAACGACGUAAAGACUUGCUAUUGGAGUUUGGACCAUUGAGUUUGUACUAUUGACUUUGGACCAUAGCUAGGAUUUUGGUCUUUGGGCUGUUGAGCAUUAGUGGCCCUUAGAAUUUUGUUAGUGGACCCUAUGUUGCAUGAGUUGGGCCUUAUUGGGCCUUGGGGGUCAUUAUUUUGAUAUUGGGUCAAGUUUGGGUAGGCCCAUUAAUGGAAGGAUAAAACCGACUUUUAUCCUUUGACAUAGGGUUGGGUUUAGAUCCAUGGCUAUGGUUUAUAACCAAAUUUUGAUUAGGGUUCUUUGUUGUGUUAGUUAGGGAUCCUCUAAUUCUACAUUCGAGCACCUAGUUAAUUAUCAGUUGACUGAGGUGAGUAUUCUCACUGUAUCAAUGGGUCAAAGUCACCACAGUCGGCUCGUUACUUGUGAUAUAGGAUGCUAGCUAUGCAUGUAAUAUGUGUAUGAAAGACCAGGAUGUGGCCCCUGGAAAUUGUAUGAAAGGCUAGGAUAUGGCCCCUGGUAGUCUGUAUAAAAUACCACGAUCUGGUCCCUAACACUUGUUUGGAAGACCGGGAUUUCGCCCCCUACAAGAAAAUACUUGUAAUAUUAUGAUUUGGUCCAUAUCACUAACUUAUUUAUGAUUGGUAUGUGAUACCUGGGGGAAAAUCACUAAGCUUUUUCUUGCAGUUUGUAUUUAUGGUUUUAGGUACAUCCAAUACUAAGGGAAAGGGCCCGACCUAAUGGCACAACAUUCUCCCCUAACUAUUUUAUUGAUAUUGUCACUCUCAUGAUUUGACAUUGUAAUUUGUAAUGUUUUUGGGACAUUGUGAUGAUUGUAACUUCUAUUUAAAAAUUAAAAAUUUUAUCAUGGUUUUUGGGCUGUUACAAAACAUCGAUCCCUAUUUCAUAUAUUGUUAUCUGGAAUCGCAACAUACACGUCACGUAUAUGGCUUAUACUUUUCACGUCCAUCAUUACACAUAUACAUGACACAUUUCACUCAUUACUAACUAGGCAUCACAUAAGCAUAGUACAUUACUGUUGGGCAAUAUUAUGUUGUGUCAAAUUUUUAUUAUAUUAUUAUAGUACAUUAGUAACGGGUUGGGUAUGUCCAUCCAGUUUCUUUAUUGUGCUAGGGUUAGUUAUUUAUAGUGCAUGCAUGCACCAUGAUUAGUAUCGAUUCUCUUGUAACCCUACCGUGCUUUUACAGUAGCAGUUCUUAAUUGAGCUCUUCUAAAGCACUGAUUAAAAUCAUUCAACAUAACUUUGAUCUUCAUUCUUUGUUUUUUAUUCUUAUUCAUGUUCUUGAAUCUAUCGAUUAACUCUUGAUUGAUUCUAACAAAUGGUAUUAGAGGAGGGGACUGUGUAAACUAUACGCAUAUCUUCUGUUAAAGAGUUAUUAGGGUUUUCGCUUUUAUUGGAUCUAUUCUCUAUCACCUUCUCAUUUUUGACGACUGGUGAUGUUGGAUCUGGAUCUUGAUUCUACCCUAAACUCGAUUUCAGUUUUACACAUAUAGUUCAUUACAGGUUUUCAGUGAAUCGACAUCAUGCAUUUAGAAGAUUCUCACGCUCUUUCAUGCAACCUAUCCAGUAGUAUUGGUUCCACAAAAAGGAUCCCAAUACUCUUUCUGCAUGAGUAUGAAGUGUGGGUAAUGCAUUAUGAGGAUUAUGUUCUAGGUCUCGAAGAUCAUGGUUCUUACAUAUGGGAAGCCAUGACUAUUCAUACAUUUACUCAUAAUGAUACAAGAAGAGUUAUUAAAACUCAAGUCGACUACAACAAGCUUCUUCUCGAUGUUAAAGACAUUCCACGGGAUGAGAAAGACAAGUUAAUCAGCAAUGUCAAGGCUAUGAGGAUUAUCAGGUACGCUUUGCCACCAGACAUGUUUUGUCCGGUCAGUGCCUAUGACACAACGAAAGAGAUGUGGGAAAGGUUGAAAGAGUUAUAUUCUAACAAUGAAGAUCUUAAACUCCAUUCAAACUUUUCCUCUUUCUGAGUUUGGGGAUUUUGCUCAGAAGCCUGAGGAGAAACUUGAUCAAACAUUCAACCGGUACAAUCAUCUUUUAAGCAGGACGGUGAAAAACAUGAUCGGACGUGAACAAAUAGAACCGAAGGUCACGUUCAUGAAUGGACUAAGGUCAGAGUUGAAACCUGUGGUGUCAAUAGUUAAGGCAUAUGAGCAGUUUAAAAUCUAGUCCGUGGUGAAGCUUGUGGGGAUUCUCAGAACUCAUGAGGACGAAGUAACAAAAGAAUCCAAGAUUGUUUUUGAGAUGGGAUCUUUGGCCCUUGUUGUGAAGGGAAAACAUGUUGAAGAAGAAGAAAGUUCAGGGCUUGAUCUCUCCGACUGUGAACUCUCAAAGGAGGAAUAUGCACUCAUGGUCUCAAAUCCUAGGAAGUUCUACAAAAAGAAUUUUGGACGCAACUAAAACAGAAACUGGGAAGGAAGUUAUAGCUCUGAGAAGACGAAGGGUGAGAGUGUCAACAACAUUCAAAAGGAAGAAGUGAAGAAAGAUAGCAAGUUGGUAGGAGAUUCUGGAUAUGACUGUAAUUACUAUCAUGGAAAGAAUCAUUUGGUGAAAAAAUGCAUGUUGAAAAGGCAAUAUGACAAACAGGAUGAAGGAGAAGAAAAAGAUGAAGCUUACUAUCUUUGAAAUAUAUAAGAGCUCAAGAAAAAGAAGAAUGUUGAUAACGCUAAACCUUCUUUGAUUUUGCAGGAGAAUGACGACGAGUUUGGAAGAGUUAAAGUUUGGUCAACUGACUCGGAGGAUGACGAGGUUCGCAGACCUACACAUGGAGGAUGCUUUGUAGAGAAGGAUCAGGUCCCUGUGUACCAAGGAAGGUGUUUGACGGUGAACAACAAUGUUUCGGAGCAAAAGGGAUGUGCUUCGAAUAACUUCUUCGCAGCAAAGCCUGUCACAGAACAAAUCAGCGUGUGUGAAGAUAUGAUCAGCAAGGUACAUUCCAUUCUCGAAUCUUUAAAUAUUCAUGUCUCUCGGUGUGAAAGUGAACUAGAAGAUUUAAAAUAUACAGUCACUAGUUUAUCUGAUAGUUAAAAAGAACCCGUUUAAGUAAUACUAACUUAACCGAUCAACUUGGCAUGGUAACAUCAAAGAGUGAAGAGAGGCGCAUGUAGAUUGAGAAGUAAGAGUCUGAUUUAUCUAAGCCCAGGGAUGAGAUGAUUUAUUUGCAAAGAAAAAAUAUAGGGAUUUUAAAACAAUGGAACAUUUUUUGUUUAAUUGCUAAUCGUCUUUACUUUAAUAUCACUCAGCUGCAUAUUGACUGUGAAAUAGGAAAGAAAAUUUAUAAAAUGAUUUUGCCCUUUCUCGAAAUGAAAGUUGCAAAAUCGAUGCAGAUUGCUUCAAAUGAAAAUCCAUAAUUUGAUCUGAAGAUAUCUCUGAUCCUUAGAAAGUUUGACUGGACAAAAUCGAAACUUACAUAUAGUCCAAAGAACACAAAGAAAUGUUGAAACAAAUCUAGAGCGAAAAAGAUAAAGAGCAAAUUAAAUUUGAUAUUGUACACAAAUUUAAAUUAUUAAGUACUAAGUUGACUUCAGAAAAUACAAUUAAUGUUGAAUUAUUUCUGAAUUUGUUGAUGAAAGCGACAAGAGUGAGAUUUCAAUAGAGGAUGAGAUUGAUUGUUCAGAAUUUAUCAAAAAUGAAUCUGAAUCUAAGAUAAAUAUGAUUUGUAAAAAUUAUGUUGUGUAUGUUCGCAUUUCUGAAAACAAAACUUCAAAGAUUUUAAAAGAAAAAGCAACAGCUUUUCCCAAGGUCUAAAUUGUUCCGAACCUAGUGUUCGCAACUUCCAAACUGAACAAAAAUCAGACCAUAGAAUUAACGUCCCUUGUAGAAGAUGAAAAUGCUGAUGGAUGUGACGAAAUCUUUUAGUCCGCUCAACUUGAGAAUGCUGAUGAAACCAAAGGUCUUUUGAAGUUGACCUCUUGGAAAGCAAAAGGAAAAUAUGUGGCUGAACCACUGAACAAGGUCAAUUCCACCGACGAGAAAUGAAGUCCGAGUGGAACCAAAGUCGUUCUAGCUGAUACAUCAUCCAAACAAACUGAAACCCCUAUUAGAAAAAUGAAACCUAGGGCUAGUGUUCAUAAGUCUAUUAGAUUAGAUGUCUAAGUCCAUAACUAUAAUUGGUAUGUACUUGACCCGAUAGUAGCAUGGUUCUUUUGGGUUGCCUUCACCAUAGCCAUUUGAUAGGAUGAUUUAUAGAGAAUAAUGUUGGUAAAUGAUUUAUUAUAGAUUAUAAGAAUAAUAUAUUAAUUGAGAAAUCAUAUUAUUUAUUUGGUAUUGAUCAGAAAUUAAUUUGGAAUUAAUUUAGUGAUCAAAAGAGACUGAUUAAAAGAAUGGGGACUGAUUAUGUAAAUCAGUAAUAGUUGUAGUUUGGGCUAAUGGAUCCUACUGGUAUAGGAUGGACUGAAAUCUAUAGGGAUCCCAUAUAGUUUUCGUCCAAGGCUUACCAUAUGGGAGUCCAUGUGUUGCUUAGGGCCUAAGCAAGGGAAAUUAGGGUUUCCAAGUUGAAAACCCUAGUAAGCCUCAACUAUAAAAAGAACCCCAAGGCUCCUAAAAUUGGCCACUUGACUCCUUAGAAGAAACCCUGGCCGAUUUUUGUAGCCUCCAGCUCUCUCUUUUUGAUCCAUUGCUAGUUGGUGUUUGUAACACCAUUAGAGGUGCAACAGUUGGGGCACUAAGCUCUUGAAGGUCAAGAUCAACAUUCAACAAAGAAAAAUGUAUUCUUCUAACUAUGUUUACUUAUCAAAUUCGAAAAGUGUAUGCUAGAUUAGGGUUUUGCUUUGGAAAAUUAUUAUGCAUGUAUAACUUGAGAAAAACCUAGAUCCAAAGCAAUUAGGAUUGCAUGUGCACCAAAGGAAUGUUGUUAUGCUUAAACCCCAUCAGUGGUAUCAAAGCUUAGGGUGUUUUUAUAUUAUAUGAUGCAAUUGUAAUGUUUUCAAAGCUGAAAAAAUUUCGAUUUUUGGUUUCUGCAUGAUGAACACGACGUGUUCAUAGUUGAACAUGAUGUGUUGGACUACACGACGCAGCAUGGCCUCUCACGACGUGGUAUCGGAUUUGUUGGCAGAUUUUUCGGAUUUUGACCAUAAAUUAGAUAAGGAUCAUUACCUUAAAUAUUUUUAACUGUUAAAAAUCGAAAUUUAUGAUAUGGUAAUGAAUAUCCUCAUCUAAUUACAAGAUAAUGGUCAAAUUUUAAGAUAAUAUUUUAAAUUAUAUAGUUAGUUUAGUUAUUUAAAAAUUGAUCUAGAAGUUUUGAAAAGUUUCAAAACUUGCCCUCAAGUUUUGGAAUUUAAAAUUUUAAUUACAAGUUAAUUUUGAAAUAUUAAAUUCUAAAACCCUAGUAUUUUAAAAGCUUAAAAUACAACCCUUAUACUAUUAUAAUAUUAAAAGAGUAAUAUGUAUAUAUACGUAAAAGAUAAGUCAGUCUUACCAUUCGUAGACCUCAUUCACGAAGCCGAUCUAUAAGGGGGUAUAACGAAACUGCCUAUAAAAUGGUGGUUGAAUGGGUGUCCACUCUCACCCACCGCUUCCUUGAUUGGUGAAGGUUCGUUAGCCGAACCGGGUAGGAUAGGACAUUAAAUCCUCAUUAAUAAAUAUAAUGAAAAUUAUAAAGUAAAUAAAUGUUUUUAUAAAUUCCCAAUCUUAUUUACUUUAGGAAAAUGUGAAAAUGAUGUUAUUCCAUGAAAUUGCACUUUGCACCUUACCAAUUUGUUAGUGGAGAGUGUGUGGUUAACUGACACACUAAUUUAGACUAACAAGGGGGAAAAGGGUAGCUCGAGAAUUAUCAUAGAUCAAUGGAGUGUGUAUGCUUAACUGGCACAUUGAUUAGGUGGUAAAUGACUCGAGAGUGCCAAGCUAAUUUGCAUGGUUAUUCACACCUUGUUUGUGAUCCACGGUAUCCCAGUCACAAAAUUAAAGGGCAUAAUAGAGAUUAAACAUGUCAUUGAAAAGUUCAAUGAAUCUCAAAAGACUCUAGGAAUUUCAUUUCAUUUAAAACCGAAUUUUUCAUUUCAUUUUCCGUGGUGGAAUUGUUAAAUCGUCAUUUACCUACCUUCAAAUAUUUUGCAAUUGGAUUACGGCAUCCCUCUUCCGAAUUGUGAAAUAUUGUAUUGGGUACUUGCCUUAAUAUUUCAUUUGGGUGUUAUAUUAAGGAUUCUUUAUCUAAUCAAAACUUUUUCCUUUUUUUGUUUUAGAUUCCUAGUUCAAACAACGCUUCUAGCUUAAACAACAACUCCUCAAGCUCAUUUUCUCGCUUAAACAUUUGUUCUACGGUCAACUUCGAUGGAUCCAAUUCCAAUGAUUGGAUUCACAACAUCCGAAUGGCCCUGCGAUACGAAGAAAAUGAAUAUGUUCUCAACAAGCAACUCAACGAGAUCGAUGAAACCAAAUCUACUCCCGAGCAAAUAGUCGAGUACAAGGCUCAUGAAAAGGACACAACAAAAGUGUCGUGUAUCAUGGUAGCCACUAUGACUCUUGAGCUAUAGCGGUUUUACGAGGACCAUUGGCCCUAUGAGAUGUGAUAAGAAUUGAUGGAAAAGUACCAACAAAGUGCGCGUCAAGAAAGGUACGAGAUAGCUACCUAGUUGAUAAUGACCAAGAUGAAGGAUGGAGAGUCCUUCACGAGCCACUUGCAAAGAUUGCAAAUAUAUGUGAAUCAAUUGCUCAAGUUGAAUGUCAACUUUGACGAAGAUUUAGCGAUUGAUAUAAUCCUACACUCUUUACCUCCUUGCUAUAACCAGUUCAAGAUGACUUAUCAUAUGAACAAGAAGUAAGUCACGUUGAGCAAACUUCAAGGUCUGUUAAGAACUACUGAAAGUGAACUAAAAGAAAAAGGUGUCGAGUCCACUCCUGUUGCUGUUGCUGCCCUAGUCCUAGCAAUUUGACAUUGGAAGGGGACGAAGAGGCAAGUUCCCUUUAAGAGCCACAAGGGAAAGUCUCAUGAUGGAUCUUCUUCAAUGAGUACCAAAGAUAAAGUUGGCUCUGCUCCUCCUGCAUCUGAUCCCAAAGAAGCAAUGUGCUUCUAUUGUCACAAAAAGGGGCAAUGAAAACGAAGUUGCCUGAAAUACUUGCAGGACAUCAAGGAUGGGACGAUAAAGCCAACCUUCGCAUGUAUUUAUACUAUUCAAUCUAAUAACUCAUCAUAUGCUAAUUCUUAGGUCCUUUAUACAGGAUUUGGUUUUCACAUUUGUUCUGAUUUGCAGGGGCUAAAAAGAAGUAGGGAUGUGGAGCAUGGGAAGAUGAACCAGAUAAUGCGGAAUAGAAAACCAUCGCCUGUCACCAAGAUCGAGAUUUAUUCCUUAUUUCUUAGUAGUGGGUUAGGAUUAGAAUUAAAUGAUUGUUUCUACUCAUCAGAGAUGAUGAGGAAUAUUAUUUCCUUCCAUGGUUUGUACAGACAAGGUUUAGAUUUUCAUUUAAUAAUGAAGUUGGUUCUAUUAAUGCUUUCUAUAAUGGUACUUUUUAUUUUAAGUAUUGCCUUGUAAUGGUGCAUAUGAAACUAUGAUGGUUGUAGACAACUUAGGAAAUAAUGUGUUGCAUUUCGAUUCGUCUAAUGGUUUAGACAAGGCGUGCUUGUGGCAUUGUCAUCUUGGACAUGUCAACAAGAAGCGCAUAGCCCAGCUUCAAAACGAAGGAGUCUUGGAGUCAUUUGACCUAAAGUCUGAUGACAUGUGUGAAUCUUGUUUACUUGGAAAGAUAACUAAAUCACCUUUCAAGGGUACUUAUGAAAGAGGUGAGGGAUUGUUGGAUCUCAUACACACAGAUAUGUGUGGGGCAUUCAGAUCCACAACAAGGGAUGCUAACCGCUUCUAUGUAACCUUUACCGAUUAUUAUAGUAGAUAUGGAUAUAUGUACUUAAUCAAGCACAAGUAUCAAACCUUAGAAAAGUUCAAAGAGUUUAAGCAAGAAGUGGAGAAUCAAUUGGGCAUGAAGAUAAAGAUGCUCAAAUCCGAUAGGGGUGGUGAGUAUCUUAAUAUCGAGUUCCAGGACUAUCUUAAGGAAUGUGGAAUUGUUUCAUAAUUGAAGCCACCCAGAACACCACAGCUCAAUGGUGUGUCUAAAAGGCGCAAUCAAACCUUGUUGGACAUGGUUUGUUCUAUGAUGAGUCGAGCUUCGGUGCCUUAGAGACUACCACCCACAUCCUUAAUCUAGUCCCAACUAAGAAGGAUGCCAAAACACCACACGAGAUGUGGACAGGAAGGUUCAAUCUUUGACACAUAUCAAGGUUUGGGGUUGUGAGGCUUUCGUAAGACGAGAGACUCACAACAACCUUGAACCUUGUAGUGAGCAAUUUAUUUUCAUUGGCUACCCACAUAUAUCUUUUGGAUAUCUUUUCUACAAACUGAGUGAAAAUGUUGUCUCCUUAGUGAGGAGAUGGGUUUUCCGGGAGAUAGAACUCAUAUGCUAAGAUGACAUGGUAGGCUAAUUGAUCUUGAAGAGCUUCAAGAAUCAAGCGAUAAAGGAACCUCUAACACUAGAGCUCAACCUGGGGAAGAGAUUCAUGUUGAACCAGUUGACGAGUCCUUACCUAUAAGACGUUCUAGUAGAGUUAGUGUUCCACCUAUGUUGUAUGGUUUCCAUAUAAUAGCUGAAGGUGAUACGUUUAUCAGUGAUAGUACACUGAUGAAUUUGGAUGAACCUAUAAGCUACAAGGAAGCCAUGGCAGACCUAGAUUCUGCGUAAUGGAAAGAAGCAAUGGACAACGAGAUUCAGUCCAUGUAUGACAAUCAAGUUUGGAACUUGGUUGACAAUGUACCGAGUCGUAAGACGGUCGGGUGCAAAUGGAUCUUCAAUAAGAAUACCAUCAUGAAUUGGAAUGUGCAUACAUUCAAGGCAUGGUUGGUUGCGAAGGGAUUUACUCAAUCCCUGAGGGUUGACUAUGAUGAGACCUUCUAACUAGUGGCCUAGAUCAAGUCUAUUAGGUUCAUGUUGGAUAUUACUGCAUUUCAUGAUUAUGAAAUUUUGCAGAUGGAUGUCAAAACUGCCUUCCUUAUUUAGAAGCUAGCUGAAGAUGUUUACAUAUGUCAGCCAUAUGGUUUUGUAGUUGCUAAGUACCCCAAUAGAGUAUGCAAGCUUGAGAAAUCCAUUUAUGGAUUGAAGGAAGCAUCUCAUAGAUGGAAUCUAUGUUUCGUUGAGAAAGUCAAAGAGUUUGGAUUUUUUAGAAGAGAGGAUGAGUCCUAUGUGUAUGUCAAAGUUGGUGGUAGUAUAGUUAGCUUUCUAGUUUUAUAUGUGGAUAACAUACUGCUAAUAGGAAAUGACAUCCCGACCUCGCAGGAGGUUAAGUCCUGGCUUGGGAAGUGUUUCACUAUAAAGGAUCUAGGGGAAGCUGCUUAUAUUUUUAGAAUAAGGAUUUUGAGAAAUAGGGGUAAAAGACUGAUAGGACUCUGUCAGGGUACUUACUUGGACAAGGUGUUGAAAGUUUUUAGCAUGGAGAAUUCCAUGAAAGGAGAGUUGCCUAUUCAAAUCAAUACCAAGAUGAGUAAGAUUCAGAUGCCGAGAUAGUGGAAUGAGUCGAGUACCAUAUGCUUCCGCCGUUAACUCGAUCAUGUACACUAUGACAUGUACUCUCCUUGAUGUGGAUUUUGCGUUGAGUAUGGCGAUCCGAUAUCAAGGGAACCCAGGUAGAGCUCACGGGAUAGCAGUGAAGAACCUUAUCAAGUACCUUCGAAGGACUAAGGACUGGGUCCUUACACUUUGUGGGAGUGAUGACUUGAGAGUGAUAGGGUAUAGUGACACCAGUUUUCAAACCGAAAAAGAUAACUUCCGCUCUCAUUCGGGCUGGGUAUUAACCCUAAAUGGAGGAGCAGUCACUUGGAAAACUUCCAAGUAGGAGACCGUGGGUGAUUCUACGUGCGAAUCAGAGUACAUAGCUACAAGCGAAGCGUCGAAGGAGGCAAUAUGGUUGAAGAACUUCAUUAGAGACCUUGGAGUUAUACCGACCAUAAAGGAGCCUAUGGAGAUUUUCUACGAUAACGAAGGAGUGGUUGCCUUAACCAAGGAACCGAGGGAUCAUGGCAGAUCCAGACAGAUCGACAAAAAAUACCACAUCAUCAGACAUUGGGUAGAAGAAGGACUCGUCAUAGUCAAGAGGGUAUCAUUAGAGGAGAACCCAAUAGAUCCCCUCAAAAAGGGUCUCAGCAGGGUUAAGCAUUUGCUGCAUGAUAGGAGCAUUGGUUUGAAGGACGAUAUUAGUUUUGGUGAUUAGAUAGAUAUUUAGAAACUUGUAAUAGAUAAAAUGUAAUUGACAUUUGAUGAUUAAGUAAUGGAGAUUUAUUUAUGAGUAAAGUUUACUAUCUUGUGUCAAUUGUUUGCUAUUGUUUCACUUUAGCAUGUUUUACUUCCUGAAUAAUAGGAUUGUUCAAAUUAUCCACAGUCGAUCAUACUUUAGGAGUAAGUAAUGAGGCAAGACUUUCAUGAAUCGGUUUUAAGAUUGUCUAAGUGUUUAGACAUAGUAAAGGUUUGCUGCAACAUUCCUGAGUACUUCUGAAAUAAGAUUUGAGUAUUGGAUUUAACCCAUGCUCAUAUGAAUCACUUCAUGGAAUUCAUCACGAGUGAUUGUGAGACGAUAAUAUCAUAUAAUCUUUAAACCAAGAUAUAUGACUUGUAGUUUAGAAGUUGGUUGUGUGUUGAUAAUGUGUAAAUGUAUCAGUAACUUGAUGUUAUAUAACGUAUUGAUGUGUACGAUUUUAUAAGUAAAUAGUACAAGCAUAUAAGUCAAAGUUUAUAUGUUCCUUUUAUCCUAAGAGGGUAAAUGCGAUAUAUUCGGUCCCUCGAUGAUUUUGUGUUGACUUAUGUGUCGGACCCGGUCAGGACUGAAUUGAUGUGUUCAUUCAAGUUCUUUUUCAAACAAAUCAAAAAUCGGGAAAAAAACUAUUGGACAUUAAGAAUGAUUAUAUGAUCCUUUAUCUAAAGGACGCAUCAUUCACUAAGUCGGAGUUCGACAGUGGCUUUUAAGAGCUACGGUUGCUAAUCGGAUCUUGAAGUUAAAUUGGCGGUUAAAGUUAUUAGACUUAUUCAAGUGGGAGACUGCUGGAUUAGAUGUCUAAGCCCAUAACUAUAAUUUGUAUGUACUUGACCAGAUAGUAGCAUGGUCCAUUUGGGUUGCCUUCACCAUAAUAAUUUGAUAGGAUGAUUUAUAGAGAAAGAGGUUGAUAAAUGAUUUAUUAAUAUACUACAAGAAUAAUAUAUUAAUUGAGAAGUCAUAUUAUUUAAUUGUAUUGAUCAUAAAUUGAUUUGGAAUUAAUUUAGUGAUCAAAAGAGAUGGAUUAAAAGAAUGGGGACUGAUUAUGUAAAUAAGUAAUAAUUAUAGUUUAGGCUAAUGGAUCCUAUCGGUAUAGGAUGGAGAAAAUCUCUGGGGUGCCCAGAGAGUUUUCAUCCAAGGCUUACCAUAUCGGAGUCCAUGUGUUUCUUAGGGCCUAAGCAAGGGAAUUAGGGUUUCCAAGUUGCAAACCCUAGUAAGCUUCAACUAUAAAAGGAACCCCAAGGCUCCUAAAACCGACCACUUAACUCCAUAGAAGAAACUCUGACUGAUUUGUGUAGCCUCUACCUCUCUUUUAUUCAUCCAUUUCUCGUUGGUAUUGGUGACUCCAUUAGAGGUGGUACAAUUGAGGCAUUAACCUCUUGAAGGUCAAGAUCAAUAUUCAACAAAGAAAACGAUAUUCUUCUAACUAUGUUUACUUAUCAAAUUCGAAAAUUGUAUGCUAGAUUAGGGUUUUGCUUUGGAAAAUUAUUAUGCAUGUAUCACUUGAGAAAAAACCUAGAUCCAAAGAAAUUAGGGUUGUAUGUGCACCAUAGGAAUGUUGUUAUGCUCAAAACCCAUCAAAGUCAGCUAAUAAAUUUGUUGAUCAAAAACGUCAACGAAAUGCUAGAUACCGUAAAAAUCUAAAUGAAAGAAAGCAUUUAUGGAGAUCUAAAAACUCCAACUUUGGUAAUCAAGAAAAAUCUGCCAAACCAACUAUGAAUGUCUCCUCAAACACGAACUCUAAAAGUUUUUCAAAAACUCAGCCUUUGAACCCACAGGUUUCAAAAACAAAAGUUUUUCAAAACUCGUAUUUUCAAAUCAAGAGAAACCUUUGGAGAACACAAAACCCAGUUUUGCUUCAAAAUCUAAAAUUCAAAAACCUACCAACACAUCGAAAGAUGUCAAGGGCAAAGCAAUGGUUUUUUCGUAGUCUAAACCUAUUUUAUAGAAGUCCGAAACACAUUUGAAAAAGGAGCAAAGAAGGUCAAGAAAGUAGCUAUCAAACAACAAAUCAAAGCAAAACAAAGAAUAACUUCAAUUAAAUGUGAUCCUUAAGAUAAAAGGAUUAUUGUUUUUAAAAUAACAAAAUGAGAUAGUUCAACCUUGGUUAAAAGAUAUUACUUGGUUGAUGAAGCAAUUACAUUUCCUGUAUCUGCGAAAGUCUCACAUGGACCCAACAACAACUUUGGGUUCUUAAAUCUCUCUGAUUUUGUAGGUAAUUCAUGACGAGAAUUUUGACUCUGAAUGGUAAAUUGAUAGUGGAUGCCCUCAUCACAUGACAGGAAGAAAUGAAGAGCUAAGGGAAUAUAGUGCUUUCAAAGAUGGAGGAAGCAUCAAGUAUGGGAAUAAUUCUCUCAGAAGAAUCAAGGGAUGGAAUGAUAAUGAACGGGGAAUUCUUCAUUCCUAUGGUUGCAUAUGUGGAAGGCCUGCAACACAACUUAAUUAGUGUUUGAAAAUCAGUUGUAGGGACUGGCUUGAAAGUAUCAUUCGAUGAUGAGGGAUCUGACAUCAUCGGGAAGAAAUCCAAAACAGUGCUGCUGAAGUCCAAGCGAAAAGGCGAGAUGUAUCCACUUAAUCUAAAUCCCAUUAAAGGAAAGACAACCAUUUGCCUUCUUACAAAAGCAUCUUCGGAUUAUAGUUGGCUUUGGCACUGAAGGCUCUCACAUGUCAAUUUCAAAGACUUCAACAAACUCGUACUUGAUGAUCAUGUGCGAGGGAUCCCAUUAUUGAAGUUUAAGAAGGAUCAUCUUUGUGCCGCCUAUGAACUAGGAAAGCAGAGCAGGAAAAGUCAUUCACAAUCAUAAAUACCGAAGUGAUCGAGCCACUUGAGCUUUUACACAUAGAUCUAUGUGGUACAUCGGCUAUCGAGAGCAUCGGUGGUAACAAGUUUAUCUUUGUUAUUGUUGAUGAUUUUUCCAGAUUUACGUGGGUUUAUUUUCUUACGCAGAAAUUUGAAGCCACUUCCAAACUUAAGGACUUUAUCAAGAUGAUUGAGCUUCAACUGCGAAAGCUUGUCUUGAAUGUUCACUAUGAAACAGGUUUGGAGUUUAAAAACCAAGCGUUUAAAGAAUUCUUGACUGAUAAGGGAGUUGCUCAUAACUUCUCGGCUCCUUACACUCCUUAGUAGAACAAAGUUGUUCAAAGGCGAAACCGUUCUCUAUGUGAAGCUGCGAGGACCAUGCUAUCGUUUGCGAACCCUUCUUAAUAAGCAAUUGGAACAACCUGUUAUACUCAAAAUCGAUCCCUUCUUAAUAAACAAUUCUCCAUUACCCCUUAUGAAAUUCUGAAUAAAAGAAAACCUAAUUUUAAGUUCUUUCAUGUUUUCAGUUCCAGGUGCUUCCUCUUCAAUUCAAAAGAGUAAAGGAAAAAAUUUGAUGUGAAAGUAGAUGAAGGAAUUUUCUUGGGGUACUCUCUGACUUCGAAGCUAUAAAGGGUUCUCAACAAAAAUUCAAGAAAAUAGAAGAGAACUAUUAUGUCACUUUUGAUGACAAUUAUUUUAAGAAGUUUCGUACAAUGGAUCGUCAAUCAGAGGAGAUUUUUCCAACAAAGAAUCCCAUGACCAUUCCUCUUUCUGAUCUGUAUAAGAAUUUUUGAAUUUAUUUGAUGAGCCAGAGAAAGAAAUCUCUUUAGAAUCCAAGGCAACAGAUAAUAAGGAGGACGAAUUGAAAAAGAUCAUUGAUGAUGCUGCGAAGGAUCUUGAAAGCGAGGCACCAAUUCUGAAAGCCUCUGACAUUUCGUCUCAACCACAAGCUGCGAGUGUUGCAUCUCAGUUAGAGGGUUUCACAUCCACCUCUUCACCCAACACACCUAUUUAAGGGGAGAAUGAAGUCCCUGAAGUCAGCUUGUAACCUCCAUUCCAGGUGGAGAACGUGAAUUCAAACCUAAACAAAGAAUUAAAUCCAUCAAUCGAGGGGGAGGAUGCAAACACAAAUGAUGAUUCGAACGUUCAAUCAGAGUUUGAAGAAGUGAAUGCCGAAUUAGAUCCAUCCCAUGAUCCAAACUACCUCCACUGAUAAAAUGGACCAGAGAUCAUCCUAAAACACAAGUAAUCAGAAAAGCCUCUACUAGAGCUCUUAAGACAGCUCAACAAAAAGCAAAAUUGACUUCAUUAUACUUUAAAGUGGAAUUUUGCAUGUUUAAUUCGUUUAUCUCCAAGAUUGAACCCAAAAAUGUAAAGAGUGCCCUUAAUCAUUCUGAUUGGGUGCAAUCAAUGAAGGAGGAGCGUAAUGAUUUCGAAUGAAAUAAGGUUUAGAGGCUUAUUUCAACUCUGAAGGAUGCAUCUGUCGUUGGCUUAAAGUGGGUGUUUCGUAAUAAGAUUGACAAAAAAGGGAAUGUGAUACAGAACAAGGCCUGGCUAAUAGUAAAAGGGUAUUACCAAGAAGAAGGGAUUGACUAUGAGGAAACUUCUGCACCGGUAGCAAGGCUGGAGUCAGUUUGCAUUUUUUUUUGGCAUAUGCAGCACACAAUAACUUUAAAGUCUAUCAAAUGGACGUCAAGUGUGCCUUUCUAAACAUGGAAUUAGAAGAAACAAUGUAUGUAGAACAACCACAUGGGUUUGUAAACGAAAAAUAUAUGAACCACUAUUACAUUCUGUACAAAGCAGUCUAUGGUCAAAAGCAAGCUCCACGAGCAUGGUAUGAAACUCUUAUUAGAUUCCUAAAACAAGCUAAAUUUAAACAAGGCUCAGUCGGCCCAACCUUCUUUCACAAGAAUGAUGGUGACUAUCUAAUGAUCGUCCAAAUCUAUGUUAAAGCUAUCAUCUUCGGAUCAACUAAUCCAAGAUUACCUGCAGUGUUUCGAAAGUUGAUGGAGACAAUAUUUUAGAAGAGCUCAAUGGGUCCGAUUAACUUUUUUCUUUGUUUGAAUAUUAGACAGAAUCAGGAUGGAAUCUUUAUCAACCAUGAGGCUUAUAAGAAGACCUUCCUUCGAAGUUUGGAAUGGUGGGCAACUCAAGGGUGAAGGUGCCAACGACAUUCGGAACAAAACUAACUCCAUCUCUGGACAAACCAGCAACUGAUAUGACUCUCUAUCAUCAAAUGAUAGGUUCAUUGAUGUAUCUAACUACUAGUUUUCCAUACAUUUUGUUUUAUGUUUGCUAUUGUGCCAGGUUUCAAGUGAAUCCUCAUGAACCCCACAUGACCGCUAUUAAGAACAUGUUCAGAUAUUUAAAAGGAACAACCUCGCUCGAAAUUGGUACCAAUCUAUUUCGGGGUUCUUUGUGCAAGCAUUAUCAGAUGUUGAUCUCGGAGGUUGUGUUCUUGAUCGAAAAAGUACAACUAGAUGAUGUGAAUUCCUUGAUGGAAAACUCGAUAGUUGGCAAUCAAAGAAGCAGACAUGCGUCUCCCUGUCGACCACUGAAGCUGAAUAUAUAGCCACUGACUCCUAUACUUCGCAGGUGAUAUCGAUUAAAAGUCAGUUAAGGGAUUAUGGCAUUAAUAUGAAAAGAAUUCCCUUAUAUUGUGAUUCCGAAAGUGCCAUUCCCAUUUGUCAAAACCCAGUGCAACAUUCAAAGACCAAACACAUCGCACUAAGGUAUCACUUCAUCAAGGAUCAUGUGAAAGAUGGAAAUACCUAGAUUCACUUUGUUAGAUCCACUGAUCAACUUUCUGAUAUCUUCACGAAAGCCUUGCUAGAACAAACCUUUAAUAGAAUACCUCAAGGUUUAGGGAUGAAUGAAGUAGAAUCAGUUCCGAAUUAACCUUCACGCCUGUAAUUUACUGGAUGAAUAGUGAAAUGGUCCGAACGCUCAGAGCGAUUCACAAUCUACUGCUCAUUAGUUGGUUUGAAGCUUGUUGUAUCCUUUGUGUAUUUCAUUUUUCUUAAAUUUAUGUAAACCUAAUGUUUUCAUUUUCUGUUUUUAUUUCUUUUUUUAGAAAAAUCAAAAAUCCAAAAAUAUUUGUGUUUUUAUUUCUUUUUCAGAAAAAUUCAAAUAUUACAAAAAUAUGUUCUUUAUUCUCAGAUUUUUUUUUCUUUCUAUGAAAAAUAUCAAAAAUACCAAAAAUAAUAAACAAUUUAGCAGGAUUGAAGGAACAUAUCAUAAUUCUCUCAAUUGUGAAUGAUGGGGAAGGUAUUUAACUCUAAAUCUUUACACUAGUUAACUGUCUCUAGAAGCAUGUUGCUGCAUGUUGUCCGAAGCCUCUGAGACUUUAUGCUUGAAGCCUUAAUGAAUCGAUAAUACCAAUCGUUUCUUCCCAGUCAGGCUAAUAUUCACAUAAGUCAUUGAGCUACCUUACUCUUCUCAUAUUUAGUUAAGAGUUGACUGCUUGGACAUUCUUUCAUAUAGCAGAGGUACAUUUAUGUACGGAACCACCACCUAAAAUUCUCCAUCACCUUCGCAUUCACACUUUUAGCCCCUGAGACUCUCAGAAAUUACCACUGAGGUUUAUGGUUACAUAAAUUCUAUGUUAAUGAUCUUAAAUUCAUUAUCACCAUGAAUUGAGUGAAACCCAAAAUCUAACAUAUAUCUACGAAUUAAAGGUGAACAAUUUAUCUGUUCUAGAUUAAUCACCAUGGAAUUGAUGAACUCCACUUAUGUGGUUUGUACCAUGAAAUCUCUUUUUAUUUUUGCAAGAUCUUAAUGAAAUGUUCUUGUCCUAAGACAUUUCUUCCAAAAAGAUCCAGUUUUUAUUUUUCUUGAGAUUUCUGUUACUUAUCCAACCACUCAAAAUAAUGCCAAAGCAUACUUAUUCUUAUGGCUACAUUAGUCAAACAAGUACUUCAUCCAAACGUUCGGACUUAUGUCAAGUUUUAGAGUUUACUUGAAGAUGAAGUCACCCUUAAGCCUUAUUGAAAAGAUGCCUUUCAUUGUUUCUCAUCAAACACAUGAUCGUAAUUCAAUAGGACACCACACAGACACUUCCGAGUCUCUCUUGACUUCGAAGGAAGAGAUCGUUGCCCGGGAUCCAACUGCUUCAUGUAAUUUUUAGCAUCACUAGAAUCCUUUAGAAAAUUUUCUUUAUUUCUUUAUCUUUGGCAUACUCUUGCACAAAAAAUCUUUGUGAUUUUCAAAAAGUCUGUUUCGCAGUUCUAUUGGUUACUUUCAUAUUCGGAGAAUACGAAAUAACACUCAGAUAUAAAUGAGCAGAUUAGAAAAGGAGAUAUUUAAGGAAUACAAUACGGCGACUCUUCAGGCAUAAGAUUGCGAUAAUGGCGCGUGCAAAAUUCAAAUUUUUCUGACAUCACGCUUUCUCAGUUACGCCGCCUGACAUCACUCCUGUCACGCGCGCUUUUUAGGCGCUUUUUCAAGGAAAAUGAACAGUCUCCAGCUGUAUUUCUCUCUCCUAGACUGACGUAUAAAAGGCCUUUGACAGUUCAUUCUCACAUUACCGUUUUCACAGAAUUCCUUACAAGCGGAAGAAAUCCCUUUCUCCAACACCGUUCAUCUAAUUCUUCGACGAUUUCAAUGGCCACAUCAUCUGAGACUCCCUCUGGCGCUGAUCAAACUGCGACAUCCGGUCUCCUAGGCAUCAAGGCCAAUCAAAUUCUUAUUUUGGACCUCGAUCCAUCAAAAUAUGAUGCAUUUCCCCAACCUCUCAUAAAAUGUAUGAAAUACUCUCUACUGCUUAUUUCCUUAUCGAAGACAGAGAACGUUCUAUUGGCUUUUCUCUCCAAAGCUUACUGCUAUAUAUGUUAUGAGGAGAAUGGACCGAUCAUUAUUUUUGAGGUUGAUUCGUCAAGACCACCAUCACCAAGACACGUUUCAGCCGACUCCUAGGGCUUCCUGAGGCUAGAGAUUUGGUCGAUCCUUACUCCAUCCCUUCUUCUUCAAUUUUGGAGAUGUUCUACCACAUGGUCUAUAAAGAUCAUCUUAUUGCUCUAUCAAAGUUUAAGAAGCCCAAUAUUCCUCCAUUGUGGAAUGGGUUUUUACUCUUAUUUUCAAGAGUUUUUUAGAGAGGACCACGGGUUCAGACAGUGCAAGUAAGCUUUUCCUAAUGAUUCUUUAUGGUCUUUACUCUGGAUUCAACUUGGACUAUGGUUCCAUUCUUUGGACUAAACUGGUUCAGAGCACUUUAACUGUAACAAGGCACAGAGAUCUCUUUUACUUGUUUUUGGUCUUUUAUCGUUCAGAGAGCUAUUAAUCGCCAUCAUGUUCUAGUAAAGGAGAGUUCGGCAAUUGCAGCAAUUCCGAUGUUCAAUAAUUCUAAUGUUAUCGUCUCCGAUAGUUCACGGUUCACAUUUAUUGGAUCUAUUCCAUAGGUGAUGCUUUGUAAUGUUCCACCCAGCAAGUGAAAUUACUGUCGCAUAUCGUAGACUACUAGCAUCAGGUCCUCUUCCUUUAACACCUGAAAUGCAUAAAGUUUUGGAAGAGGCAGACAAGCCCAAAAAGGGAGGCAAACAAAAACCAAAGGUUGGACCUUCCAAACCAGCUCAAACUCCAAAAAAGAAGAAAGUUAAGAGAGCUGUUCGCAGACCACGGACUCCUACUUUGAGUGAUGUGGAGGAUUCGCAAUCCAAUACUAUCUCUGGUAUUCGCAUUCCAGAGCAAGUUCAGCAAGAACAUGACGACACGGCUGUGACUUCACAUUUGAUGGUCUUGGAGCCAAUCACUACAAAUCCUGAGGUAACAUUUUCAAUGCCAACCUCAGUUCCAAUUACAGAUGAUUUGUUUCAAGACUUCACUCCACCAUCACCAACUGCUACAACCACUCCUAUCACUAUUGCUCCCUAUUCGAAUGUCUCGGUGGGAGUUUCACAACCACAAAUAUCCAUGGCUUAGUUUUCCCCAAUUUUCACUGAUUCAACUGCAGCCACUACAACAACAACAAUGCUACCAGUCAAUGUCAAUGUAUCUAAUAUAGGGGCAGGGGCUUCUGGUUUCACAUCUGGUGCUAUUUUCACUCCUGUUUAUCUGCAUCGUCAAGAUGAUCCUGAUACUGUGUUCGAAGAUGAUUAGGAUGACCUUGAGGACUUUCAUUACAGUCCUUUGAAUGUUCAAUAGUUCAGUGAUGACGAUGCUCUUGUGACAUCCUGACAGUUCAAGGUUCUUCAAGAGAAGUUGGACAAAUUGCUUGAAUCAUCCAAAUCCACUUCCAACUCAGAUUACUCCAUCGCACCUCGCAUGGCUCUAUUUGAGAAAACAAUGAAGGAGCAUGUUGCGAACAUGGAAAAAGAUAACAAAGUUGUUUCUGAAUCUUCGACCGUUUUUAAAGACACGACCGAGAAGGUCGAAAAACUAAUCUCUGGUGCUCAAAGCUUUAUGGGUACUUUUCAGAUAUCCUUCGAAGAAAAAACUGCCAAAGCAAAUCAAGUGAUUUCCAGCCUUGGAACUACCCUUCAUACUGAGAAGGACGCUCUUGAGAAGGUUUUCACAUGUAUUCAAUCUAAUAAUACAGAGUUUCACACCUCCAUCUCUUCCAAAAUAGACAAGCUUCAUGAUGAUUUGGCACUGAGAACAAAAUGAUGGAUGAGCUUGCUGUCAAAAUUGAGAAGGUCAAACUUCUGUCCUUAAAAUUAGCACAUGCGAACUCUCAAAUCGUUGAGUUGAAAUCUAAAAAAGACGUUAUUAAAAGUAGUGUGGCUGAUGUGAAUGCUGAUCUGCACAAUAGAAUUGACACUCGUGAUUCUCUUCUCACCAUUUCAGUUCGUCAGCAUUUGGCAGAGAAAGUGAAGCCUAUCUUCUCUAUGCUCGACAGAAUUAAAAGUGUUUCGGAAUCUUAUCUUCUAAAACAAGGGGGAGAACCUGCGAAGACUCUUGGUGCUGGCAACACAACUAAGGGAGGUAAUGAAGAACAUGAGCAGAAACCCAAGUCGAACGAACCGAAGGGUAAUGUAUCUUCGAGUUUAAGAGGAAAAGAAAAGGUGAUUGAUGAUGACGAUGAGUAAGAGGAUGUUGAUGUGAAGCUUAAGUGUAAAUCUUGUGAUGAUGAGCUUGACAAAAAUCUACGAGUAGCUAAAGAAGCUAAGGAAAAAGAGAACGCAACUCGUGACGUAGAGGAAACCUUGAAAGCUUAGAAAACUAUCUUUUCUCUGUAGACACUAGAGCGUAUUUUGAAUGAGGCCAUCGACUAUCUAAACACUUCUUGGCUAGAUCCUGUUGGCUUAUUCGUAUCUUCAUGGAUUAUACCAAAAAUCUUUCUUUCUGCUAAUCGAACAUGUACUUCUCCCAUACUAGACGUAUUAUUUAUUAGACGCAUUCUAGAGGCAUGAUAUAACUCUUAUGAUAUCUUCCGAUAGGUAUCAUUCACUUUCGUAAGUCAUCUCAUUUCCUGUAUUUUCUCAGUCUAUCAUGGUUCACAUCACUUCCUGAACUUCUGCCAUUGUGAUAGGUUCGGGUGCAAGCGCAAUGACCGAUGCAUGACCCAUCACAUACUUAGGCUCAGGUUGUCAUCUUCCUCGGACAUUUCCUAUUCUGUCUUCACCAUGACGUUUUGUACACCCAAGCAGACGUUCGGUGUACUGAGGCAAGAAUUUUAAGAUAGGAAAUAUUUUAUUUAUGAUAGACGUAUAGAUUUCCUUGUCACACCGAAAAAGUUAUAUGCCAGUUCUACUACCGUAAUCAAACGUUUAGAAAUCUACACACAUAAAAUUUCCAGAUCCGGUCGGCAAUAGACCAUAGAUCCGAACAAAUAAUAGCAUAUAAGGUAUUUUUAUAGCUAUAACAUAAAACAUUUAGCACAUAAAACAUUUUAGGCAUCAUUCCUAAAAUAAACUAGUGGUUGUGUCUAAAAUAUAGCAGACACUCAUAUCACAAUCAUCGCUUAGCAUUCUAAGUUUACGUCUAGAAAUUUUCUACAAAUUCCUAGUUCUCUUAAACUAAUGCUCUGAUACCAACUGUGACAUCCCCAUUUUGAAGGCCAGAAAAGACCAAUUUUGUUUAUGCUUUAUAAAAAUCAGAGUACCUGUUUCAAUAAAAAUGUUGCGAAAUUUGUUCCCAGAAAAACAUGAUAAAUACGUUAUCAAAGCAUUUUCGAAGAAAUGUAUUUUUAUUCAUUUAAAACAUUUGGGAUGUGAUCGUCAAUACAGAAACAUAAGCAUAAACAGAACUUACAUUCAUUUACACUAGUGAUCUACAUCUCUUUUAAAUCUCUCAGUGCAAUGUGACUUCAUAUCAACACAUGUGAUUUAAAUAAACUGAGUGGGUCAGGUUGGGAAACCUGGUGAGUACAUAGGGUUUUCAACCCACAUUAAUAUAAUUAUUAUAUUUAAUCAUCAAACAAUCAAUCAACCCAAUUACCCAUCCCCAUUAUCUUAUUUACUCUUAAGGAUCUAAACUAAGAAUCAGUUAUUCCUCGUUCAUUCAUUCCUAAGGAUCAUCCUAAGGAAUCGACACGAAGUCCAUCGUUUCCACGGUUUACACGACGGGCACUAAGUCUGCAUAGUCGCCAGGGUUUAGGCAUCAAGUCUGCUUGACCACCAAGGUUUAGGCAUCAAGUCUGCGUGAUCACGAAGGUUUAGGCAUCAAGUCUGCAUGAUCACCAAGGUUUAGAGUACACCGAAUGAACACAUCGUUCACAACACUUAUAAGUUGCGAACCUGCUAGUGUUCCACUGGACUGUCUAGAACAGUCCGUGAUUAUCAUCCAUACUCUGCUGAAUGAUGGGGCCAUCGUUUGGGAAAAGGCUUCUCACAUCGUCCACCUGUCACCCUCACCUCGUGGUCUAUAACACCUCUCAACUCAUUAUCCAACUCAUAUUCCAUCUAUUACAUCUACCUAUGUUUUACCCCAACAUUAUCGUAGAUAUAAAAUACAUAUACAAUGUAAAUCAUUUAAAACAUGUAUAAAAUCGUUCAUCCAGCAUAGACAGCAAGUAUUCAGAUAAUAUGCACACAUAGCACGUAAUUUAUAUAAAAUACUUCAUAUCUAUGUAUAAGAUGAAAGUAACUAUGCACUCACAACACGUACUUUAUAUUAAAUACUUCAUAUCUAUGUGUAAGAUGAAAGGGACUAUGCACUAACUUGAAAAGGUGUUGAUUUCGAACUCAAACAGCGCUUCGCUUCUUAAAAAAAAAUUCCUUCGACGAAACCUAGUAUUAUUACCACUAGAGUUUAGUCUAUUAUUCGCCGAGACUAAUUAAUAGUCUAGCUAUUAUUACUAUUAUAUAAGCAUUAAACAAUACUUAUAUAACCCAUAAUAAUAGCCCAAGUACUUAUUAUAAGUUCCUAGUAACAUUAUUAUAAUUAAAUAAAAGCUAUAUUAAAAAUAGCAUAGACGAAGCUCACUUACAACGGGUUUUAUAGAAAACCGGGCUUUGUUUGGAGCAGCGUUCCCAAGCCGAAAAGCUCUUCUUCUAGGAUCCGCCGAGCACUUCGGGGCUUCCACCUCAUGCUAGGGAAGUUCCCUAGGCUUUUCGGGGGUUUCGGGUCUAGAGAGAGGUUUUAGAGAGAGAGUAAAGAGAAGAAAGAAUGGGAAAGAUGUGAAUAAAAUGAGGGUGGGAGAGGUUCUAUUUAUAGGGUGAAAAAUGGUUGAACUUGGUGCCACAUGUCACAAUCUAGUGGCAAGACUUGGGGAGAAAGCAAUGGCCAAGAUUGUGCCACAUCACCCAUUUUCGCACAACACACUUCCGACUUCUAAAAUCCGUAAAUUUCACAUACGACCUCCAUUUUUGAUGUUAUUUAUAUCCAUGCGUAGAUAAAAAUAUGAUCUACAACUUUCAUUUUGACUCCGUUGGCUAAUUCUUGACCGAUCAUAAAUUUAACAGUACGAGGAGAUUAUAUUGUUAAAUGUCCGCGUAAAAUUCAUAACUUCUACAUAUGGAUUCUGUUUUCAUCUGUCUUUUUACCGUUGAGUUCCUAUUAAUGAGAUCUUCAAUUCUUAUUUAGGUCGCAUAGGCCAAAAACCGCUCGAUUUAAAAUUCGAGUUUCAAGCAGUGCACUGCUAAGCCAAUUUUUUGAAAAUUCAUAACUUCCUCAUACGAAGUCAGAUUUGGGCGUUCUUUUUAUGGACGCUCUCAGGUUAACAUAUACUACGACUUUUGUUUAGAUCACUAAGGCCAAAAAUUCUUCUAUCAUAAAUUCACUAUUUACUUCGCGUCGUGUCAUGUCGGUUUUGCCGUAAAACUUCGGCAAGCCAUAACUUCUUCGUUAUUACUCGGAUUUCGGCACUCUUUAUAUGUACAGAACCCUUUUAAUAUAUUCUAAAAGUUGGUUAAGUUUACUCCUUCUAAAUAAACUUCCAUCAAAAACUCAUUUUUGAUGCUCUUUGUCUCUAAAUUGACUAGCUCGGAUCUACAUGCAUUACAGAAAUGAAGAGUCAUGUCACAUUAGAGUUUACAUGGUGUAAACCUAGAUGUGACACACUAUAUAAAGGACAUCAUACUCACCAAAAUCGGCUACACACUAAGAACUAGAGAGGGCAAGCCGAUUUAUAUAAGUGUUAUACAUACUCUAAAGUUAUUCCAAAGCAUUUGGUGUUGUGUGAAGCAUUUGAGGCACCACACUUGGGGUGCUAGGCUCUCAUGGUUUUCAAGGAAUCAAAUCAACUACAAGGUAUGUAAUUCUAGCCAUAUUUUAGAUUAAAAGUUCCCCAUGUAUGAUAGAUAGGAUUAUGAACCUUGGAAAUCAUAUUUUGCAUGUAUUUUAGACAAACAUAGAUCCAAGGUUUUCUAGAGUUCCAUGUACACUUAGGAGUGUUAGAAUGCUCAUAACCCACCAGUGGUAUCAGAGUCUAGGCUUGUUUGUUAAAUACUUGAUGCAAAAUAAGGAAAAAAUCAAUUUUUGAGCUGUCUGCACAGGGGACUCGACAAGUCCAUGGGGGGACUCGACCAAUCCAAGUGAAAAUGCAUCCAACUCAGCGAGUCAGUUCGUGCACUCGAUGAGUUUGGCAGGCAGGGUGCAGAAUUUAGAUUUUUGCUACUGGAAAUGGACUAGAAACAUUACCCUACACAGUUUUUGUGUUGUAAAACUUGUUUUAGAUGGUGUAAUGGUUGUUCUAAUCCAUUUACAAUGGCUCAUAUCAAUUUUUCAUGAUGUUGUGUGUUCAUAUGUUCUUGAAACUUUGAUAUGAAUAUUCAUCCUCUUACGAGUUUUUGAUAGAUCAUAGGAAUUACUUGUUUAAAUGUUUAAUUCAUUAUCUUUAUGUGUUUUAAUGGAGUCAAUAACUUGUCCUCAAGUUAUGGAUAACGAAAACUAUGUUUGUGUUAAAAACCAUUAAAAGAACACAUAAGUUACAAAAAUGAAGAGUCUUCAUUUUAAUAACUCAUAAGUCAUCAAUUUGAAAGAUUUUGUAAAGUUACAAAACAUGCCCUCAAGUUUUGGAACAUGUAAAGUCACUUAAUAAACUUUAGUUCCAAUCCCUAGAUUUUUAAAAGUUAAAAAUCAACCCUUAUACUUUAUAAUAUUAUAAGUUAAUAAUAUAUAUAUAUAUAUAUAUAUAUAUAUAUAUAUGUAUAAGAGCAAGUCGUCUUAUCAUUAGUAGGCCUCAUUCACGAAGUCGGUCUAUAAGAGGGGUAUAAGGUUGCUGCCUAUAAAAUGGCAGCUUAAUGGGUGUCCACUCUCAUCCACCGCUUCCUUGAUCGGUGGAGGGUUGUUAGCCGAACGGGUAAGACAAGGACUUAUAGAUUCUCAUUAAAAGUAUGAUGAAUAUUAUAAAGUAACUAAAUGUUUUAUUAAAUUCCCAAUCUUAGUUACUUUAGGAAAAUGUGAAUAAGGUGCUAAUCCAUGAAAUUACACUUUACACUUUGAUUAAGUCGUUAGUGGAGCGUGUGUGAUUAAGCGACACACUAACCUGGACUUAACAAGGUAGGUAAAGGGUGAAUUAAUGUUUAAUAUAGGUCGUUGGAGCGCGUGUGGUUAACCGGCACAUCGAUUGAGUGAUAAACUUUAUGGGUACCAAGUGAUUUGCAUGGUUACUUCACACCUCGUUUUGUGAUCCUCGGUAUCCCAGACACAAAACUUGGAGGGAACACUCGAGACUGAAACAUGUCUUUGAAAAGUUCAUUGAAUCUCAAAAGAAUCUAGGAAUUUCUAAGAACCAAUUAAAACCUAAUAAUUUAUAUUUCGUUUUUUGGUGGAAAUUGUUGAAUCGUUAUUCACCUACCUUUCAAAUAUAUUGUAGCUUAGAUUACAACAUAUCUCUUCUAAGUUAUGAUAUAUUGUGAUUGGAUCAUAGCCUUAAUAUUACAUUUGGGUGUUUUAUUAAGGACUACCUUUAUAUCUAAACUAAACUUGUUCUCUUCUUUUUCAGAUGUCUUCCAACAACACUGCUUCUGGCUCAAACCCCACUAGCUACUUCUCCCUCAUGAACCAAUGUGGGAGGGUCAUCUUCGAUGGUUCCAACUUUAUAAAUUGGAUCCGGAACAUCAGGAUGGUGACUCGCUACGAGGACAAGGAAUAUGUCCUUGAUAAGAAGCUAAAGGAGAUCGAUGAGUCCACUGCUACUCCCCAGGAGAUCGCUGACUUCCAGACUCAUGAAAGAGAUGACACCAAAGUGGAAUGCAUCUUGAUGGCCACCAUGACAGGUGAACUCUAGAAGUCCUAUGAGGACUACUACCAUUUUGAGAUGCACCAAGAUAUGAUGUAAAGAUACCAUCAGAGUGCUCGUCAAGAGCGGUAUGAAAUAAUCUCCUCCAUGAUAGCAACCAGGAUGAAGGACGGAGAAUCCGUCACAAGCCACAUGUAGAAAAUGGAAAGGUAUGUGGAUCGUUUGCUGAAGCUUAAUAUGAACUUCCCUGGGGAGCUUGUAAUAGAUAUCACUUUGCACUCCUUACCCUCAUGUUAUGAUCAAUUCCGCAUGACAUACCACAUGAAUAAGGAAGAAGUCACACUCAGCAAACUUUAGGGACUCCUAAAGACCGCAGAAAAAGGUCUUAAAGGUAAGUAAGUUGUUAACACUCCUACUCCUACUCCAAACUCUGCCCCUGUCUUGGCAAUCGGAAAAGGUAGAGGGAAGAAGAGGAAGAGCUCUUCGAAGGAUACCAAGGCUAGGACCCUUGAUGGCUCUUCUUCAAGUGGAACCAAUAAAGGUUUCAUCACUCCUUCUGACCCAAAAGAGGCCGAAUGCUUCUAUUGCCAUGAGAAGUCUCAUUGGAAGCGGAACUGCCCAAAGUACAAGCAAGAUGUGAAGGAUGGGAAAGUCAAACCCAACCAUGCAGGUAUUUACACUAUUCUAUAUAAUAACUCACCCUAUUCUAACUCUUGUGUCCUUGAUACCGGUUGUGGUAUUCAUAUCUGUUCUGAUUUCCAGGGACUAACAAGAAGCGAGAAUGUGGAGCAUGGAAACAUAAACUUGAUCAUGGGGAAUAGGAAAGCUUCACCUGUCACCAAGAUUGGAGUUUAGUCUUUGUUGCUAAGUAGUGGGUUUACUUUAGAUUUGAAUAAAUGUUGUUAUUCACCAGAAAUGGAAAGAAAUAUUAUUUCCUUUCAUGCUUUGUACAAACAAGGGUUUACCUUUUCUUUUGAUAAUGAAAAUGGUGGAAUAAAUGCUUUCUUUAAUAAUGUUCUUUAUUUUAAAGCAUUACCCUAUGAUGGUGUUUAUGAAGCUGUAUUUGUUGUAGAUAAUCUAGGAAAUAAUGUGUUGUGUAUUGAUUAUUUGAGUAAUAAUAACUUGGAUAAAGCAUCAUUAUGGCAUUGUCGCCUCUAACAUGUGAGUAAGAAAUGUACAAGCCAACUCCAAAAGGAUGGAUUCUUAGAGUCAUUUGACCUAAAGUCAGAUGAUAGUUGUGAAUCAUGAUUACUUGGAAAAAUGACAAACUCACCCUUCACUGGUUCUUGUGCUAGGGGUGAAGGUUUGUUGGAUUUGCUACACACGGAUGUGUGUGGAUCCUUCAAAUCUGCCACCAGGGAUGCUAAUCAUUAUUAUCUAACUUUUACUGAUGAUUAUAGUAGAUAUGGAUAUGUCUAUUUAAUCAAGCAUAAGUCAAAGACUUUGAAAGAUUUAAAGAGUUUAAAAGGGAAGUCGAGAAUCAAUUGGGCAGGAACAUUAAGAUGGUUCGAUCCGAUCGUGGUGGUGAGUAUCUUAGUACAAAGUUCCUCGACUAUCUUAAGGAAUGUGGGAUUAUCUCACAAUUGACACCUCCCAGGACACCACAGUUGAAUGGUGUUGCUGAGAGGCGCAAUUGAACCUUGUUGGAUAUGGUUCAUUCCAUGAUUAGUCGAGCUUCGCUACCAAUCUCAUUUUAGGGGUAUGCCUUAGAGACUGCCGCCCAUAUCCUUAAUCUGGUCCAUACAAAGAAAGUUGCCAAAACUCCUCAUGAGAUGUGGACUGGUAAAGUUCCUAAACUAGACCUCAUCAAGAUUUGGGGUUGCGAGGUUUUUGUGAGAUGCGAGACUCAUGAUAAGCUCGAACCUCGAAGUGAGAGGUGAAUUUUCAUCGGCUACCCAAAUAAAUCCUUUGGUUACCUCUUCUAUAGACCUAGUGACAAUGUGGUCUUUGUAGCAAGGAUGGGUGUCUUUCGAGAAAGAGAGUUCAUAAGCCAAGGAAACAGUGGGAGGCAAAUUGACCUUGAAGAAAUUCAAGAGUCAAGUGGUGAAAGAACUUCAACCCUAGCACUCAACCUGAGGAGGAAACUCCUGUUGAUCCAAUUGACAAGUCUGAACCUCUGAGGUGUUUCACAAGGAUUAGGAAUGCAUCUGAGCAUUAUUAUGGUUUCCAUAUUACUACGAAAGGUGAGACACUUAUCUUUGAUGAGACAUUGGUAAGUCUAGAUGAACCUAACAGCUACGCGGAAGCCAUGGUAGGCCCCGAGUCUGCCAAAUGGAAAGAGGCAAUGGACAACGAGAUACAGUCCAUGUAUGAUAAUCACGUUUGGAACUUGGUUGACAACAGUUGGGUGUAAAUGGAUCUUCAAGAAGAAGACCGACAUGUAUGGUAAUGUACACACAUGUAAGGCGCGAAUGGUUGCAAAGGGCUUUUCACAAACUCCAGGAGUUGAUUAUGGUGAGACCUUUUCGCCAGUUGCAUAUAUUUUGUCCAUUAGGGUUCUGUUAGCCAUCGCUGCAUUUCAUGAUUAUGAAAUAUGGCAGAUGGAUGUCAAAACCGCCUUCCUUAAUGGAAGUUUGGCUGAAGAUGUUUACAUGAGUCAGCCAGAGGGUUUCGUCAGUAUAGAAUACCCUAAUAGAGUGUGUAAGCUUGAUAAAUCCAUUUAUGGAUUGAAACAGGCACCUUGUAGAUGGAAUCUUUGCUUUGAUGAGAAAGUCAAAAAAAAAUUGGCUUUUUGAGGAGUGAAGAUGAAUCUUAUGUCUAUGUCAAGGCUAGUGGGAGUAUAGUAAGCUUUUUGGUACUGUAUGUGGAUGACAUACUACUCAUAGGAAAUGACCUCCCAACCCUGCAGGAAGUAAAGUCCUGGCCUGGGAAGUGUUUCUCUAUGAAAGAACUAGGAGAAGCUGCCUAUAUUCUGGUGAUAAGGAUACUGAGAGACUGGAGUAAAAUACUAAUUGGACUUAGUCAGAGUACUUACUUGGCUAAGGUGCUGAAGAGUUUCAGUAUGCAGGACUCCUAGAAAGGAGAGUUACCCAUCCAGAGUAACGACAAACUGAGUAAGACUCAGAGCCCGAGUACUGAGGCUGAGAUAGUAGAAAUGAGUCGAGUACCUUAUGCUUCGGCAGUAGGAUCGAUCAUGUAUGUUGUGACCUGCACUCGACCUGAUGUAGCCUUUGCUUUGAGCAUGGUUAGCAGAUAUCAAGGGAACCCUGGCAAGGCUCACUGGACUGCGGUAAAGAAUAUCCUCAAGUACAUGCGGAGGACUAAGGACUGGGUCCUUACGCUCGGUGGGAGUGAUGCCUUGAGAGUUGUAGGGUAUAGUGAUGCUAGCUUUCAGACUGAUAAGGAUAAUUUCCGCUCUCAGUCAGGCUGGGUCUUUACCUUAAACGGAGGAGCAAUUAGUUGGAAGAGUUCCAAGCAAGAGACAGUGGUUGAUUCAACUUGCGAAUUAGAUUAUAUAGCAGCAAGCGAGGUAGCAAAGGAGGCGAUAAGUCUAAAGAACUUCAUUGGAUACCUUGGAGUUGUACCAGCUAUAAAGAAGCCAAUGGAAAUUUUUUGUGAUAGUGAAAGUGUAGUUGCCUUAGCCAAGGAACCAAGGGAUCCUUGGAGACCCAGACACAUCGACAGAAAAUACCAUUUCAUCAGACAUCGAAUAGAAGGACUCCUCGUGGCGAAGAGGGUAUCAUCGGAUGAGAACCUAGCAGAUCCCCUCACGAAGGGACUGAGUCGGGCUAAGCAUCUCCAACAUGCUCGGAGCAUAGGGCUGAAGAAUGAUAUUAGUUUUAGUAGUUAGAUAAUUUUGAAAUUUGUAAAGUGUAAUUGACAUUUGAUGAUGAAUAAAAGUUGUGUUUAUUUAUGAAUAAAUUGUUGCUAUCUCUUGUCAAUCGUUUACUAUAUUUCUUUUACAUGUUUUGACUUCUAGAAUAAUUAUGUUUGGUAUAUCAUAUUAUUCGAAUCUCCAAAUUCGGUCAUAUGUUGGAAGUACGUAUGAAUCAAGACUGUCAUGAGAUGGUUGCAGAGGUCUAAGCUAUUGGACAUGGCUACAACACUCAUGAAUGCUCAUAAGUUCUAAGCAUUAGACACAACCCACGCUCACUGGUAUCACUUCAUGGAAUUGAUCUCGAGUGAUCGUGAGAUAGUAAUAUCAUAUAAGUCUUCAAAACUAGAGAUAUGACUUGUUGCCUAUGAGUUGGUUAUGCAUUGAUCGUACGAAACCGCAUUGGUAACUCGAUGUUAUAAAACGUACUUUUGUGUGUGAUUCAACAAUUAGUAGGACAAGUAUAUGAGUCGAAGUUUAUCUGUUCCUUCUUGGAUUAGAAGUGAUAUCUGGGCCCCUCGAUGAUUUUGUUUUGACCUAUGUACCGGGCCCGGUCAGAAACGAAUUGAUGUGUUCAAUUUAGUUCUAUGUCAAACAAAUCGGAAAUUGGGAAACAAACUGCCAGACAAUAAGUAAGAAAUUGUUCCAUUUAUUUGUCCCGUUGAUAUCUAGAACAGAGGAUUAUAUGAUUACUUAUCUUAAAUGGCGCAUCAUCAUCUUUUCGGUUCCGAGAGACCUUGAAAGAGCUACGGUUGCUAAUCGAUUCCUGAAGUCAUACUUACAUAUAUAGUUAUUAGACUUAUCCAAUUAGGAGACUGCUGGAUAAGGUGUCUAAGUCCAUAACUAUAUUUGGUAUGUACUUGAACCGACCCGGCAUGGUCCAUUUGGGUUGCAUGGAAUCAUGCAUUUGGAUAGACUUAAUGAGAGAAAUAACACUUGUGGUUUGUUAAUAUAUUAUAAGUUCUAAUAUACUAAUAGUAUUAUUUAAUUAGUAUUGAUCAAGAAUUAUUUGGAAUUAAUUAAGUGAUCAAAAGAUAACUAAUUAAAUAUAUGGGUUGAUUAUGUAAAUUAUCCAUAACUGGUAUAGUGGGCUAAAGGCUCCAUGGAUUAUCAAUAUGGGUUAAACCCAUAGGAUGCUCCAUGGAUGCUCCAUGGGAGUUACAAACCCAUGGGUCAUGGAAAUGAAGAGUCAUGUCUCAUUAGGGUUUACAUGGUGUAACCCUAGAUGUGACACACUAUAUAAAGGACAUCAUACUCACCAAAAUUGGCUACACACUAAGAACUAGAGAGGGAAAGCUGAUUUAUACAAGUGUUAUACAUACUCUAAAGUUAUUCCAAAGCAUUUAGUGUUGUGUGAAGCAUUUGAGGCACCACACUUGGGGUGCUAGGCUCUCAUGGUUUUCAAGGAAUCAAAUCAACUACAAGGUAUGCAAUUCUAGCCAUCUUUUAGAUUAAAUGUUCCCCAUGUAUGCUAGAUAGGAUUAUGAACCUUGGAAAUCAUAUUUUGCAUGUAUUUUAGACAAACAUAGAUCCAAGGUUUUCUAGAGUUGCAUGUACACUUAGGAGUGUUAGAACGCCCAUAACCCAUUAGUAUAGCCAUGGACUUUUCGAUCAAGAAUUGGGCCCAUUAUGGAUAGGGUAAAGUGGCAAUUUAACUUAGGUUUGGCUUAUUAUUCAGGAAUGCUAAUCCAAUUAUUAAUUGGAUGUUUAUUUGUUGUGAUAGUUUGGGAUUUUAGUGGGCCAACAGUCGAAGGUUUUAUGUGCGAUUCAUCAGUGUAAGGUGAGUUGUCCUCACUAUACUCUUGGGUCGAAGGUACCAAGACCGUCCCUUUGGACUGUUAUCCUGGUUAUUAUAUGCUUGUUAUGCUAUAGUAAUCUGUUAGAUUCAUAUCCUGGUAGAUAAGAUAUGUUAUGCUAUAGUGAUCUAUUAGACUUGUAUGAAUGUCUGUAUAUACUAGUUAUGUUUGGUUAUAUUAUAUGUAGAUAUGUGGUGAAAGGUUGGGUUGAGGUGGUCCUGUUGUGUGCAGAAGUCCAAGAGACCAAGGCGGCCCGGAUAUAGUGAACGCCUGUAAGGUGGACCAAUCAGGCCAAAGGACCGGAGAACGGUCCAAACAGGCUGAAGGCCCGGUGCAGCGGUCCAGACAUGCUGAAGGUUCUGUAUGCAUGCUGAUGCUAUUGAUAUGUGUGAUUAUGUGUUGUGGUGGUAAUUUGGGAGAAACCCAUUAAGCGUUGGGCUUACAGUUUUGGGUUAUGUUUCAAGUAACUCGGAUGAUCGUGGGAAGGUAAAGGCUUGAUGGUGCACCUCCUCAUGUUAUGUUUUUUGUAAUUUUGGGAAUAACUUUGAUGAUGAACAUGUUUUGAAAAUCACAAUGUAAAUAAUUAUGAUUUUGGUGGGUUUGGAAAAGUUUAAAUUUUCAUAAAAUUUUAUUAAUGUCACAAGUUGGUAUUAGAGCCUUGGCUUGAAUGAAUUAAAGGAACACUCGUGUGAUUCCUGUCUCAAACUGAGGAAAAAUAUUUUUAAAAUAAUUUUUAAAAUGGUUUAGAAAAUGAUAGAGGAGGAUGCAAAGUGUAUGAUUUGUCGAAGCCAGUAAGUGACCCCAAAUUACUACAAAUGUUAUUUGAGAUUAUGUUAUGUUAUGAUUAGAACGGCAUGCUAGUGUCAGGAUAUGGAUCCUCAGGAAUCGUAUGAUAAAUUGCUUGAUAUUUGAUGCCUUAUCUUCUAUAGAGUACCCUAUUGAUUGUGUAUGACUCUUUCAUGUGUGAAAUAGCUAUUGAAUGAAUACACUAAGUCGCAUAGUGCAUGGGUUAAAUGGCCUUCGGGUAAGGGAUUGGUCCUGCUGUGCAACUCUUGUUUUAGUCCAACCGUUAUGGGAUUGAAUCCUUUAUCCUAAGAUUUUUUAAGUCAGGUAGUAUUUGAUAGUAUUCAAGCAUUGGUUUUCUGGCACCAAUGGAGGGUUGUGUGGCAGUUAGUGGUAGGAUAAGUUAUGUGGGAUCAGCCGACCAGUCGAUAUGCUUAGCCUUCCUCUAUGAAGUGAUGGUAAAGUGUAUAAGUAUGUUAGAGGGAAGUUUACAGUUAGGGUGUUGUGGUGAUCCUCUCAGAAAACUAUGGGUAGGUGUAGAAGGUAAUAUGGGCCCGUACUACUGAAAGUACAAGACCUGUACGCAUAACAAGGAUGUCACAGCCCCUAGAGUUUUUUUGGGAGUUGGUUCCCCGUUUUGGUUAUAUGUGUUAUCUGAUAUCUCCCUGGUGUAUUUCAGUAUGGUGACUACAAGGCGAUUUAAGACCGGAUCUGGAUCGGGAUCAGGAGUUGGCAGACAUAUUGGAUCUGAUGAGUUGGAUGCCAAGAUUAGGGAGAUUCUUCAUGGGGAGGUUGUGGCCAUAUUCCAGGGUCAGAUACUGGAGUUAUUUGGGUCUAUUAAGACCAAGAUAAUGGAGUUCUUCGAUGACAGAUAUGCAGCCAUUGCUGAGACUUCUGCUGCUGUAGCCUCCGCAGCCGUGGCGGCUACAUGUGUUGGAUCGGGUUGGGUUUUUCAGUAUCUGGACUUCGAUAAUACGAAGUCCCUAACUUUUAAUGGAGUUUAGGACCCGGUCGUAGCCAUGAGGUGGCUAUCUGAUGUUGAGGGAUGAUUUUCACCUGCUCUUACUCGGCUAACCAGAAGGUCAGGUGCACUCUGAACCUUUUGAGGUCUGGAUCGAAGGAUUGGUGGAGACUUGUUAUGGGAUAAUAUUCUACUAAGCAGAGGGAUGAGAUAUCUUUGGAUCAGUUCAUGGAGAUGUUUCUUACUUGUUAUGUGCCGCGGGUUGAGCGUGAGGGGUUGACCCAAGAGUUUUUGGAUCUGAGGCAAGGAUCGGAGUCGGUGAUGAAGAUCACCCGGAUGUUUACUGAAAGUGCCAUGUUUUUCCCUAAGUAUGCUGCAGAGCAUGCUCAUAUGACCCAUUACUUGAUAAUGCUAAAGAUACAUAUCAGGCAGUGUUUCCACCCAGGGAUGUGAUUCUUUGUUGGAGUUGCAGGAGGCCGCCAGAUUGCAUGAGCUUAAGAUAGAACUUUAGUUGAGGGAGCAGAGACCAGCCCUAGUACAGUCACAGCCAGCAUCGAAGCAGGUCAAGACUGAUGAGUCAAGUUCUAGGGUUCAGCAAGGUCGUACUUGUGGGAAGUACGGUAGGGCUCAUGACGGAGUGUGCUGAUCUGGUAGUUUGUGCCACAAGUGUGGCAAGGAGGGGCACUAUGCGAGGGAUUGCUGCUAGUUAGCCCCAAUUCAGAGUAUGAGGAUUUGCUAUCAUUGUGAUUAGGUUGGCCAUGUGAAGGUCAAAUUUCCAUUUCUCGUCGCCAAGUCGGCGCAGGCCCCGAUGCCAGCCACGUUGACGAUCACUGAUAAACAUCAGGGGAGGACAGAGCGCCCGAGGGCUCGAGCCCGUGUUUUUCAGCUCACCGCUGAGGAGGCCACAUCAGCACCAGAUGUGGUGACUCGUAUGUUUCUAUCCUUUAUCUUGAUAAUUAUGUUUUAUGUUAUGCUUAUUUGUGUACCUUUGUUAGGUACGUUCCUAGUGAACACUUUGCCUGCUCUGGUGUUGUUUGACUCGGGUGCGAGUUUCUAUCGCCAACGAACAUAAGGUUUCUACCUCUUCGGUGUAUCAGGGGUGUCUUCUAGAGAUAUUCAGGGUAUAUGUUCUACUUGAUUUGAUCCCUAUCCCCAUGGAGGGGUGUCUGCGUUAUUGUAGGUAUGGACUGGCUGAGCUAUUUUGAUGUGAUGAUUGAUUGUGAGGGGCAGCACGUGGUAGAUCGAACCCCAAGUGGAGGACAACUUGUCAUCAAUGGAAAGGGCACCAGGAUCGGUUCAUGGUUUUGUUCUGCGGCCAGGGCUCGACAUUAUAUUAAGCAUGGGUAUGCGGGUUAUUUGCCUUAUGUGGUGGAUACGCGAGUUGGGGAUCUAGUUUCAGUUUCAGAGGUCCUAGUGGUCAGGGAGUUUGCCAAUGUAUUUCCAGAGGAUUUUCCCGGUGUGUCUCCGGAGAGGCAGGUUGAGUUCAGGAUUGACCUCUUGCAGGGUGCCCCCGAUUGCCAAGGCGCCAUACCGUAUGGCACUGCCUGAGAUUCAGGAGUUGUCAUCUCAGUUGCAGGAACUGCUAGGCAAGUAGUUCAUCAGACCGAGUAGUUCCCCGUGGGGAGCACCAAUCUUAUUCGUCAAGAAAAGGGAUGGUUUACACUGGAUGUGUAUCGAUUACCAGGAGUUUAACAAGUUAACAAUGAAGAACCGUUAUCCCCUUCUGCGGAUUGAUGACCUCUUUGAUCAGUUGCAACGUGAAUCUUGGUUUUCCAAGAUAGAUUUGAGGUUUGGGUAUCAUCAGGUCAGGGAGAGAGAGGGUGACAUGGAGAAGACCACAUUCCAGACUCGUUAUGGGUACUAUGAGUUCGUGAUGAUACCAUUCAGGCUCAAUAAUGCACCUACGGUAUCUAUGGAUUUGAUGAAUUAGGUAUGCAAGCUGAUGCUCGAUUGUUCAGUUAUCGUGCUUAUUGAUGAUAUAUCAGUAUAUUCCAAGACCAGAGAGCAGCUUGAGGAGCAUUUUCUGGGGUUUUGAGGCGAGAGGGGCUUUAUGCUAAUUUAUCAAAGUGUGAGUUUUGGUUACAAGAGGUUCAGUUCCUUGGACACCUCGUUAACCAGGACAAGAUAUUGGUCGAUCUAGCCAAGAUCGAAGCGCUGAUACAGUGGGAGGUUUCAAAUUUCCCUUGGAUAUCAGGAGCUUCUUGGGAUUGGAAGGGUACUAUCAGAGAUUUAUUUAGUAUUUCUCUAAGAUUGUGGUGCCCCUCACUCGUCUUACGGGGUACGAGUGGAUUUCCGGUGGCGCACUGAGCAGCCGUCAGCAUUCGAGACCUUUCGAUAGAGAUUAUGUGAGGCCUUGGUAUUGACCCUUCCCGAGGGAUUUGAGGAUUUCGUGGUUUUUUGUGAUGUUUCCAUCACUAGUUUGGGGGUGGUCCUCAUGUAGAGAGGACAAGUGAUAGCAUAUGCUUCGCGACAGCUGAAGCCGCAUGAGACAAGAUAUCCCACGCAUGAUCUUGAGUUGGGGGAUGUGGUUUUUGCCCUCAAGAUUUGGAGGCAUUAUCUUUAUGGGGUCCGUUGUACUAUCUACAUGGAUCAGAAGAGCUUGAGACACAUUAUGGAUCAGCCGAACCUGAACAUGAGGCAACACAGGUGGCUGGACGUAGUCAAGCAUUAUGACUACGAGAUCCUUGAUCAUCUGGGUAAAGCGAAUGUGGUGGCGAAUGCCUUGAGCCACAAGUCGACUGAGCCUUCUGAUGGGGUGUCACGUAUAAGGAUAUUUGUGGAUUCUCCGCUUGUGGGAUUGAUUUGGGAGGCUCAGGCUGAGGGUUUUCGGGAAGAGAGUUGGAAGAUUGAGAGGAUUAGGGGCGAGAUCACUAGAUUUGUUCUAGAUACUCGUGGUUUGUUGACUCAUUGUGGUCGGGUAUGGGUUUCUAUGUCUUGUGGGGUCAGAUAGAUUGUAUUGGAGGAGGCUCAUAAGUCUCGUUAUUCUACCCAUCCGGGCGCCACCAAGAUGUAUCGGGAUCUGAGAUUGAGUUGUUGGUGGCUGCACAUGAAGAGGGAGAUAGCCUGGUAUGUUGAGAGGUGCUUGACUUGCAGGAUGGUUAAGGCUGAGCAAUAGAGGCCGUAUGGCAAGCUGCAGCCUGUGGAGGUUCCCAUGUGGAAAUGGGAGCAUAUUUCGAUGGACUUUAUCACCAAGUUGUCAAAGACAAAAAAGGGUUUUGAUGCUAUUUAGGUCAUCAUGGAUCAAAUGACCAAGAGUGCCCAUUUCCUACCGAUUCGAGAGUGUUCCUCAGCCGAGAAGUUGGCUGAUGUGUAUGUUCGUGAGAUUGUUGCUUACUAUGGGGUUCUGAUCUCCAUUGUUUCAGACCGUGAUGUUCGAUUCACCUCCCGUUUUUGGCAGAAGUUCCAUGAGGAACUAGGCACGACGUUGCACUUCAGCACAACUUAUCAUGAACAUAAUGAUGGCCAGAGUGAGCGAAUGAUACAGAAUCUUUAGGAUAUGUUACCAGCCUGUGUCAUUGAUUUUGGUGGGAGCUGGGACUCCUACCUACCUCUUGUGGAUUUCCCCUACAAUAGUAGUUUUCACUCCAGCAUUGGCGCUCCACCUUUUGAGCUUGUGUAUGGGCGAAGGUCUCAUACCCCAUUAUGUUGGGGUGAGGUUGGUCACAGGGUUAUGGGGUGGAUCGAGGUGCUCCUUCAUACUAUGGAGAUGAUUCAACAUAUUAGGAAGAGAUUGCAGACUGAUCAGAGUCGGCAGAAGAGCUAUACCGAUCGGCGCCAAUCUAAGCUGGAGUUUCAGGUCGAUGACAUGGUGUUACUGAAGGUCUCACCAUGGAAAAGGGUGAUUCGCUUCAGUAAGAGGGGGAGAUUGGUUCCUCGAUAUAUUGGGCCAUUCCAGGUUAUUUCCAGGUUUGGCAAGGUCGCCUACAUAAUCGAUCUUCCUGAGGAGCUCAGUCAGAUCCAUAACACUUUCUAUGUUUCACAACUGCGAAAGUGCAUAUUGGAUCAGGAUGUAGUUGUGUCAUUGGACGACGUUCAGGUUGAUGAGGCCUAAACUAUUUUGAGAGGCCCGUACCUACUCUGGAAAGAAAGGUGAACGUUUUGCACAGCAAGGAAGUACCUUUGGUAAAGGUAUGAUGACAUCAUCAAAUGGGCUCCGAGUUGACCUAGGAGUCGGAGGCUGAGUUGCGGGAGCAUUACCCUGAUUGUUUUUGCUGCAUCAGACUUCCAGGACGAAGUCUAGUUCAAGUGGGGGAGAGUUGUAACAUCCCAGAUUUCAGGUAUUUUCAAAUCCUUUCCUUGGUUUUUAAUUUUGUCGUUUUGAUCCUUGGAUUUGGUUGGAAUUUGCUAAGUGUACGCUAAGUUACAGGAGCAUUACCCUGUUGUUUUGUCCUUUGGGACAGGAGGUGUACGAUGAGUGUAUAUGUGAGUAUGCUAAGUGUACUAGGCUACGCCCUAGUACGCUGGACAUAUAAAUAUCUACGUUAGGCAUACUAGCGUCCGAGUGAAACCCUAAAUUUUAGGGUUUGAGGAGUAUUUAAACAUCUUUAUAGACCAUUCACCCUUAUCCUUUCAGCCUCCAAUUCCUUAUGUUGUUCUUGUAAAACCCCAUCCCCCUUGUGUGAGUGUGAGAGCCCUAAGGUGUAUUCUUGGUGAUUUAUAGGCAAAGGAAGUGCACCAAGAACUUAGAAGUCUAAAGCAAGGGUUAGAUCUGAGAGUUUGGCUUCCUUCUACAUUAUCUAAAGGUAUAAAGUUCAUACCUUUAUCGUUUAUUUGAUAGAUCUCUUGUUGGGUUCUUUUUAUGCUCCUUUCUAGUCCCAAAUACUCCAUCUUGAGCAUGGCAUGUUCUGGAUGUUUUGAGUCGUCCUUUCAGACCCUUCGAGGGGUCCUUAAUCAUAAAAUGAGGUCCCAAUAGCUAGAAGUGUCCCAUGCAUUUGGUAGAAAGGUCUUAAUGGAUUAAGACCUUGUAUUAAGAACUUUUGGACAUGUAAAGUCAUAAAGUUGGAGAAUUUACGACUCUAGGGCGCAUUUAGACCAUGUAUCUAAAGUUUGGGCUUAAGUUCUUAAGCCAUUUAGAACAAAAUAGGACUUUUGGAUCUGCGAGAGUAUGCCCUGUGUAAGGAGGAGUAUGCCCGCAUACUCGGUCAGCCACCCCGAUGUAGGUCAAUACGAGGUUCAGAGUACACCCUGCGUAUCGAAGGAGUACGCGAGCCAUUCGAUUUCAGACUUUAGGUUUCGAUUUUUGGACCAUCUUUUGGGCUUGAAUGCUUGGGUCCUUAUUGGUCUAUCUGAGUAUGAGUGUUUUGGGCCAAGUGGGGAGUUAGACUUAAAGAUAAGGCCCAAUAAGGAUUUGGGGCCCAGUUUAGAAAAUUGGGCCAAUGAUGGGCCUUGUAUAGCCUUGGACUUUUUGGAUCAAGAAUUAGGUUUGGGUCUUGGACCAAUUAUGGAUAGGGUAAAGUGGCAAUUUAGCUUAGGUUUGGGUUAUUAGUUAGGAAUGGUAAUCCAAUUAUUAAUUGGAUAUUUAUUUGUUAUGAUAGUUCAAGAUUUUAUUGGACCAGUAGUCGAAGGUUUUAUGUGUGGUUCAUCAGUGUAAUGUGAGUUGUGAUCACUGUACUCUCUGGUCGAAGGCACCAAGGUCAACCCUUUGGAUUGUUAUCCUAGUUAUUGUAUGCUUGUUAUGCUGUCGUAAUAUGUCAGAUUGGUAUCCUGGUAGAUAGUAUGUGUUAUGCUAUAUUGAUCUGUUAGACUUGUAUGACUAUUUGUAUAUGAUAGCUAUGUUUUGUUAUAUUAUAUGUGGAUAUGUGGUGAAUAGUUGGGUUGAGGCGGCCAUACUGUGUGCAGAAGGCCAAUUGACCUAUACGGACUAGUCAGGCCGAAGCUCCGGAGAACGGUCCAGACAGGCCGAAGGCCCGAUACGACGGUCUAGACAUGUUGAAGGUUUUGUAUGCAUGCUGAUGUUGUUGAAAUGUGUGAUUAUGUGUUGUGGUGGUAAUUUGGGGGAAACCCACUGAGCGUUAGGCUUACAGUUUUGGGUUAUGUUUCAGGUACCUCAGAUGCUCGUGGAAAGGCAAAUGUUUGAUCGUGCACCUCCUUAUGUUAUAUUUUUUGUGAUUUUGGGAAUAACUCUGAUGACGAACAUGUUUUGAAAACCACAAUGUAAACAAUUAUGAUUUUGGUGGGUUUGGAAAAGUUUAAAUUUUCUUGAAAUUUUAUGAAGUUAUAUAUAUAUAUAUAUANNNNNNNNNNNNNNNNNNNNNNNNNNNNNNNNNNNNNNNNNNNNNNNNNNNNNNNNNNNNNNNNNNNNNNNNNNNNNNNNNNNNNNNNNNNNNNNNNNNNNNNNNNNNNNNNNNNNNNNNNNNNAAAAAAUAAAAAAUGAAUAUUUGAUUUUAUUUAUCAUUAAUCUCUUGUGAGAUGAUAUGACAUUUUUGUAAUCCUUAAUUAUAUUUUAUAUGAUUUAAAAUAUAUAAUGAUCCACUAUUUUUUUUAACAAAAUCAUUAUUUAACUGAAUAUAUUAUUAAUCCAAAAUUAUAUUAUUUAAAAAUUAUUUGAUUCAAAAUACUAUGACUCAAAAUAAUUUGAUUUAAAAUUUUAUGAUUCAAAAAUAAUUAGAUUCAAAAAAAUAUGAACAGAAAAAUAUUAUAAGCAUUAAUAUCUUUUUAUUUAAAAUUUUAUAAUUAUUAAACAUUAAAAAACUCAAACCGAUCACUACAAAAAUAACCAUCAAUAGCAGCGACGCCUUUAGCGGUGACGGAGACUUUUAGCGGUGACAAAAAAGAAAUGCGUUUUUUGUCUCUGCUAGAAAUAUAUGUCGCCGCUAAAGGCUUUUGUUGACGAUCCCCGUCAUUUCAAUCCAUCGGUCGAUUUAAGAGAUAGACCUACGACUACGAUUAUAUAAGAAAUCCCAUGUUGUUUUUCCUCUGGUGUAUCGCUGCUAAAGAGUGUGUGUCGCUGCUAAAGGCGUCGCCGCUAAAAGUUUAUUUUGGCGAUCCACAUCAUUUAAAAAACAUCCAUCGAUUUAGGCGAUGAUCCAACGACAUAGAAAACUCCGCGUUGUUUUCCCUCCCAUGUAUCACCGCCAAUGAGUACGCGUCGCCGCUAAAGUACGUUGACAAUAAAACCCUCUUCGUUCUCACUUUCUUUCCCGAUCUUCUGUGUUUUCUCUCUCUCUCUCUCUCUCUCUCUCUCACCAUCAUCGACCUCAUCGGAAUUUUACAAAAAACUUUGCAAUUUCACCUCUCUCCACUCCAUUUUUCUCUUUUUCUUUUCAUUUUAUCUUCUCCCUACUAAAUUUCUAGAAUUUGAGAUGGUUGACGGAAUGUUGAGAUCCCUCACCCUUCUCGCCGGAAUAUACUGUCACCAUCACUGUUCUCGCCGAAAUAUCGAUUUUGUAGAUGUGUAUUUGUAUGUGUAUAUUGUGUUUGUAGAUAUGGAUGUCUAUUUGUAUGUAUGUGUAUUUUGAAUGUACUUUAUGUAUGUAUAUGUGUUUUCGUAUGUGCAAUUAUAUGUAUAUAUGUAUUUUUAUGUAUAUGUAUGUGUAUAUAUUUUUGUAUGUAUAUGUGCAUUUUGUAUGUGUAUUAUGUAUGUGUAUAUGUAUUUGUAUGAAUAGAAAUACAUAUAAAUAACGGUGGCACCUUUAGUGGCGACAGAGAGCAUUAGCAGCGACGAAAAAACAAUAGCGACGACCAAUAGAGCAUUGGCGACGCCCGUUGCCACUAAAGAUCAAAAUUCUUGUAGUGGAUAUUUAUUUUUAAAAAUCAAAAAGCUAAAAUAUCCAAAAAUACAAAAAAAAAAAAAAGAAAAAAAAAAAAACAGACAAAAACAUAAAACAUAAAACAAAAAAAACAAUAGUAUUUUCAAAUAUAUUGUAAAGAUAUUAAAAAAAUAAUAAGAAAAAAUAAGAAAUAUAUAAAAAAAAAAGUAAAAAACAAAAGAAAAUGUGAAAACCAAGUAUAUGGAUUUUUAGUUUUGUUUUUGAAUUAAAAAAAAAGUUAAAAAUAUAAAAAAACAAACAGACAAAAACAUAAAACAUAAAACAAAAAAAACAAUAGUAUUUUCAAAUAUAUUGUAAAGAUAUUAAAAAAAUAAUAAGAAAAAAUAAGAAAUAUAUAAAAAAAAAAGUAAAAAACAAAAGAAAAUGUGAAAACCAAGUAUAUGGAUUUUUAGUUUUGUUUUUGAAUUAAAAAAAAAGUUAAAAAUAUAAAAAAAAACAAAAUUAAAUAAUAAAACUCACUUAAUGAUGUUCCAUGGAUGUUCUUCGCACAUGAUUAAGUCUUCGAGUCGGUAUUAAUUACCAUGGACGUGGGUCGCAUUUGAAAACANNNNNNNNNNNNNNNNNNNNNNNNNNNNNNNNNNNNNNNNNNNNNNNNNNNNNNNNNNNNNNNNNNNNNNNNNNNNNNNNNNNNNNNNNNNNNNNNNNNNNNNNNNNNNNNNNNNNNNNNNNNNNNNNNNNNNNNNNNNNNNNNNNNNNNNNNNNNNNNNNNNNNNNNNNNNNNNNNNNUAUAUAUAUAUAUAUCAUCCAAAUAGGUUUUUUAUAAUAUAUGUUUUGAUAAAGUAAUAUUUUACCCUAUUUUACAUAUUACCAUAUAUAUGGUGUCUAUAAGGGUGAAAGUUGAAACAAUUCCAAAGCAUCCACAUCAAAAACAAACUUAAUUUUCUUCUACAUAUUUUACAUAUCAUGCAUUUUCAAUAUUUUCAACAUUGUUACAUCUAAAUAUAAUAUAAAUCCAUUAAACAAUCGAUUUUGUGGUGCCAAGCGAUUAGUAUAUAUUCGUAUGCAUUAAAAAACAAAAUAUCAACUUUGUUGUGCUAAGCAAUAUAAUUAAUAUCAGUUUACAAAUAUAUAGUUAGUCAAUAUUUAUACACUACAUGGAGACGGUGACCUCUCAUCACUUUUUUUACUUUAAAAUGAGGUGGAUUUGCUGUCAUCUUAGGCUCCGUUAUAAAUGGAGGUGCACAGCUUCCAUAAAUUGGCAAACAAACACCACAAAGAACAAAAAACCCAUUUUUAUGAUGGAUAUCUUCACUUUCUGCCCUUCAUCGCUUCUUUCAACGGUAUCAAUUCUCUUAUUUUCUUCGAUCUUCAUAUAUGCUCUACGAUGGAAGAAAACAUCCAAAACUACCCCUAAUCUUCCCCCCAGCCCUCCUAGGCUUCCGAUAAUAGGAAACUUGCAUCAAGUGAUAGGUAAAAACUUCCAUCAAAUCUUAUGGAAAGUCUCCCGAAAAUACGGCCCUAUUAUGACCGUCCAUUUAGGUUCCACACCAUACGUCAUCAUCUCCUCCAGUGAAUUUGCAAACCAGGCCUUAAAAACCCACGAUCAGAUACUUUGUAAUCGUCCACGUUCCAAGGGUUUCAAACGGCUAACUUUCGACUAUAUGGACGUUGCUUUCUCCCCUCAUGCUGAUCAAUGGAAGGAGAUGCGAAAGGUUCUGGUAACCGAGUUCUUAGGUUCUAAGAGGAGUAGAUUGUUCAAAAAAGUGGUAGACACCGAGGUCAAGGGCAUGCUUGAUUCCUUUUCAUCACUGAAUACUACCAUUGACCUAGACGAGAGGCUCUUUCAUCUUGUAACCGACAUUGUUAGCAAGGUUGCAGUGGGUAAGAGCUAUAGAGAGGAGACGUUUAGGGGUAAAAAAUUAAAAGACAUGCUUGAUGAUCUGGUAAUCUCUCUUUGUGGUUCUGUUUCCGAUAUUUAUCCAGGUAGAUUAGGGUUGAUAUUAGACGAACUACUUGGGUUUAAUCGGAGGCUAGAAAAGACUUUCAGUAAUUUUGAUGCCUUCCUUCAAAUGGUUCUUGAUGAGCAUAUUGAUCAUAGUGGAACAACUGACUAUGAAAAAGAUAUGGUUGAUGCAUGCAGAUCUCAGUUGACUAC